UGCUAUAACUAAUUUAUCACAUGACUAUAAUUUCCAGAACACCUUGCGCUUGUCCAAUGGGUUGUUCAACUUGAGGAGGAGCUAGCAGAUGUGCGUUGACAGAGGUGACAAUGAAGACAGCGAGUAGUCGAAGCCAGUAGAAGAAGUGCUGAAACAGAGAAGCGAACAUUGCAUAACAGAGUGAUAAGACUAUGAGGCACAAAUACGCUACCAAGAACAGAGACGGAGCCAAAAUGACAGAGGCCACUGCCGAGACAGCCAACAGAACAGAGAGUUCUCCACAACUCACGGAAAUGGGUCGGCUCACUUUGAGAGGAACUCUGAUGGGUGUGAGGAUGAAGAGCAGUAAUGGGAUGACAAUGACAGGAAUCAGGAACCAUAACUGAAGCUUUAAAAUUGGAUACAGAAGUAUCUUACUUGCACCAUCUUGGACGUUCCAAGAGUUGCCAUCCUGAGACUUGAGGAACAGAAAAAAGACUAUAAGAUUCAGCAAUGGAAGAAAUAGAAACCUCAAAUCGAUUGAAAAGUCCAUGCCUGUGAAUAAGAUUUGGCGGAGAUGAUUCAGUUUAAUUAUUAUGAAUAAGAUUUGGCAAUGGCGGAGUUGAAUGAAUACGAUGGAGUUUAAGUUGCGUGAUACUAUCAGGAAAUAUUUAUAGAGCCCUUUUGCUUAUUGUUUUCUUUGUAGCUUGAGGGUAAGAAACAAAGCAAGUCAAAAGGAUUUGGUGCCGUCCUGGGUAGAUCGUUAAUACGACGUGUCCCCUUUCUUUGGAGAAAUUUAUUUGUGACCUGUUUAGUAUCUUUCGCAUUUUACUUAGUUAAUAAUUUAAUUAAUUUUAUGCCUUAUUUUCGUUUUACCACUUUAGAAAUUAUAAAAUAAUAAAUUGGGUAAAAGCCUAUUUAGUUCUUGUAUUUUAAGAUUAGUAUCCAUUUAGUCCUUGUAUUUUUAAAAAUAUCUCGAAACAUUCAUGUCAUUAAAGUAUUGAUACCCCUACCGUUACUUUUUAUUUCUUUUGGCUUACUUUUACAAUAUUAUCCUUUUAUAAUAAUUUUUUUAGAUAUUAAUAAAAAGAAAAUAAUUAAAUUACUAAUUUAACCUUAAAAAAUUAUAUUAAUUUUUAAUUGUCAAAAAUUGUAUGCAAACUACCAAGUGUGCAAAUGAUGCUUGCAAAAAAAUUAAUAUAAUUUUUUAAUUUUCUAAGAUUAAAUUGGUAAUUUAAUUAUUUUCUUUUUAUUAAUGUCCAAACAAAAAAAUUAUUAUAAAAUAGAAACCUCAAAUCGAUUGAUAAGUCCAUGCCUGUGAAUAAGAUUUGGCAAAAAUGAUUGAUUUUAAUUAUUAUGAAUAAGAUUUGGCAAUGGCGGAGUUGAAGCUCCGUGAUACUACGAGGAAAUACUUAUGGAGCUAAUUUGAGGGUAAGAAACAAAGCAAGUCAAAAGGAUUUGGUGCCGUCCUCUGUAGAUCGUUAAGACAACGUGUCCUAUUUCCUUAGAGAAAUUUAUAAGUUUAGUAUCUUUCUCAUUUUACUAAGUUAAUAAUUUAAUUAUUUUUAUUCAUUUUACUAUUUUAGAAAUUGUAAAAUAAUAAAUUGGUGCGGGAAGUAAUAGGAUAUAACAUUUUACACCAUAAUACUUUAGGAAUUGUUGAAUAUCCUCAAUAAACCUCACAUUUUACUACAAUUCUGUUACUUAAAAUUCACUUGUAAAAUACUAAUUUUACAUGUAAAAAAGAAUUGAUAAUUAAUCAAUUAAAUUGUUCUUAUAAUCUUUUUUUAAUUAAUUAAACUUUGGUUUGCCAGCUGAGGUUGUUCUAUGGUAAGUCUAAUUUGACCUUUUUUUAAUGAAAUUCCAUAAUUUAACUUAUAUAUACAUAUAUAGUAGUUUUCUAGUCCGGGAUCAUAAAGUGCGGGAAACGUCUGGGAAAUCUUUAAAACCGCAAGAUUUUAAAGACUUAAAACUUAAAGUGCUUAAACCGGACGGUUUAUGCAUUUUUACGGACAUUCUUGCACUUUAAAAUUCCGAACUAAAACAUUUCUUUCUCUCUCUCUCUCUCUCUCUAUAUAUAUAUAUAUAUAUAUAUAUAUAUAUAUAUAUACUUCUGGAUGUGUUUUCGUUGGAAAUCAAAAUUAAGAACUCAAAUAAUACAAUGCUUGGAUUGGGUCGGCUUUGUCAAAUUUUUAAAAUAAAUUACCAGCUUUUGAAUUAAUAGAGUUGCUUUGGAACGCGGUUGGUCAGGUUUUAUGAAAGGUACGUGGCGUUGUAUCUAGAUCGAUGCAGAGCCAGGUCUGCCUUUGGAACCAGAUCUGACUUAGAACAUAUCAAUAUCCUGCACGUUCUAGUUUCCAGCCGAUAUACCAAAUUUAUUUACCAAAUCUUUAUUAAGUUUUUUAAGCAAGCCUAGCAACAAACAUACAUCUAAAGGCUAGGGUGCAUACACAGUACCAGAUCUGGAUCCUAGAAAUGGUGCUCUGAAGGAGUGGGGGGAGAAGAGAAAGAAUACAAUUGAGGAUUGAGAUCUGGUCUCGUUGCCUCAGAGGAACGUAGCAGUUAUAUGACAGAUCUGAUAUAAACCAGUCUGCAAAGGAUGCAUGAAAUUUAAAUGCUUUAAAAUAAAUUGUAGAAUUUAAAGUACAUAAAUUUAAAUUUACAUGGAAAGCUUUAAAUAAAACUGGAAAUAAAAUGCUUACAUUGACUGAUUUUUCUUUGUAGAGAAAAGGGAAAUUAAUCGUGAAGGUAAGGAACUAUUCUGUAAACAGAAAAAUUUCCUUGAACCCUUCGGAUUCCUGAUUCCCAGAGAGAGAGAGAGAGAGCAGAGGAAGAAGAGAGAGAAGUUCUAAACUUAAAAAAUGAAAAAUCUGAGGAGUCUAAGUCUUCCUCCAGAUUUAUAUACAAAACGAGCUUUACACUGUAGACUGUAGCGGAGCUGUAGCAUACAAUAAUCUUUGGAACUCUGCACUGUUCACUGUAGCGGAGUUUGAAGCAAACAGUAAGCUUUGGAUCGUAUGUAACAGUAAUCUUUGGAGCGUAUGUUGGAAUAGUGACUUUGUAAAAAUACAAUACGGGUGAAGAGACAUGUGCGCUCUCACUUGUGUCCAAGGGACCACCCGAUGGUGUAAGAAUAUAAAAUGGAUAUUUACUUUUUUUUUUACAAUAAUUAUUUACAAUGCUUUAUUGGAGAGAAAAUUCUGAAACAAUCAUCUUCAUUUUCAUCUCCAAGGGAAAUAAAAGGCUCUUCAUCUUCAUCUUCAUCAUCAUCUUCAGAGGAGUCAGCCACUGAUGAUCUUGAUCGAGAGGUGAGAAGUUGUUUCAUGACUUUGAAGUAUUCUUCUUCUAUUUUGGCGCUCGCCAAAAGAGAUUGGGCAAGGAAUAUUUGUUGGGCUUUGGAUCUUUUUAAGGUUGGUUGUAGAAAACCUUUGGAAUUAAGCCAAUUUUUGAUGAGGGUGUCAGUCAGUUUGGUUUGCUCAUCAAAUUUUGACCACCAUUUAACUUUAAAGGUUCUUUGAAGGAUAAGCUGGGAAUCUUGGGUGUGAAAACGCAGGUUCCACAUCCAUAUCCCUGGUAGAAAGAAGUUUGUGCAAAAACAGAGAAAGGGGGGAAAUCUUUUCUCUGAGUCAGAGGGUAUAUAAUGAGCUUUGAAGAGGUUUAGACAAUUCGUGGCGUUUGGAGUUAAGAUUUGUGGUAUUGGGUGACACAACUUAAAAGUAAAUUUUAACUCCCAAGUAUAAGAGUGUCUUGUUGUAUUAUAACUCGGUGAGUCCGAGGUCGAUCCACAGAGAAAAGAUUUAAUUAGUUUAUUUUAUUUUAUCUAAAAAUUGAAAUUAAAACUUGAAUAUAAACAAGUUAAUUUAAAUGAAACUAUGGAAUUGAACUAGUUAGGGUUAUGGAUCCACUCUUACAAAUAAAUAAAACUUAAUAAAUUCUUUUUGCCAAUUUGUUUUAGAUUUAUUACCCAAAAGAUUAAUUAUACAAAUUAUUAUUAUUUUCCCUUUAAUUUUAUGAUGGAUUAAGUAUUUAUUGUGCCAAAAUUUAAUUUGUCCACAAUAAGUCAAAAUACCAUUUCACCAUACCUUAUAUUAAGAUCUUAAGAAUUUAUUGUGCCAAAUUCAUUUGUUUGUCUACAAUAAAUCAAAUUUUCAAAAUAUAAAACAUGUAUAAAAUUAAAUAGAAAAUAAUUUAAUUUAUAAAAUUAAACAUAGAAUUUAAUUAAGUCAUAUUUAUUUCUUAAGAGUUUCACCUUCCCCUAACUAAUAUUAUUUAGUUAAGCAUAAUUAAAAUAAAAAGUAGUAAAAUUGAAUUACUUAUAAUUAAAAGAAAUAAAAACAACUAAAAUUGGAAAUAAAACUAAUUUUAUUAAUGAAAAUAAUUAUACAAAAUAUUAAAAACACACCUGGAAAUCAAGAUUACAAGGAGAUGGAGAGAAUUUGAGAAGAAGAGAGUUGUAGAGAGAUGAUUAAAACAUAAAAAUGAGGCUCUAUUUAUAGAAAAAUAAAUUCAUAAUCCAGUGCUUUGCGGUCCAUCAUAGGCUUCAUGCAUGUGCUCCUCACAACCCUUAGAUCAAGAUCCAAUGGCUGGUCAAACUUCAAAAGUCAACAUCACACAUGGCAUCAUUUGACUCGUCUGAUUUACCCAAAGAACGGUUGAGAUUUGGCGGGUUAAUGGGUGGAUUGGGUCGACCCGAAUACAAAGAUUUGGAUCCUCCAACUUGCUUCACCAACCAUUGCCACGUGGCACAAUCAUGGCAUUUGAAUCAUGAACGGUUGAGAUUUAGUCAAGAUUGCCAGUUAUCCCAUGCACUCAUAUCUAUUGUAAGCUCAUUUCAUCAUCCAAUCAGUGCUCGGUCAACAAGAAAAGUCAACUUUUUUUACACAAGCCUAAUUUUAAGCCGAUCUUGACUGAUCUUAAGGUUUUCGGACCUCCGGAAUCCAAAUUUGACCUCCGUUUAUCUGUUUGGAGCCUCGAAGUACGUGAAAUUAAUAAUUUUCCGAAUAAACACAUAAAAAUACACAAAAUUAAAUAUAUUUAAAACAUAAUUAAUAAUUCAUAAUAUAUUACAUAAACACAAAUAUAAAUUAUAACAUAAGCAUAAAAUAACAUAUUAUCGCUUGAUAAUUAAACAAUUUUUAAUACUAAUCAUUGGGCCAAAGAAGUUCCACCAAUGUUGAAAACAGUUUGGGAGGCUCUGAACGGUUAUUUUUGAAUUAAAGAAAAAUAACCAUGAAUGAGAUUUCUUUGGGUUUUGUAAGAAGAAUGUGUUAUACCAGGCUUAUUGGUAAUCCCAGUAAGUGUAGGAUAAACAAUGUGGUAAACGCAUUUGGAAAUUUGGAGGGAAAUGUUUAAACUUGUGAAGUUGAUCACCCCACUGAUUUGGGCUCAAGACUUUUAGAAUGGUAGGCGUUGAAUAGGCUGGUUCUGAAUGGGUUUCACUGAUAAAGAAAUGUUUGAAUUUAACUGACUCAGUAGCUUCUAAAAUGCUUUGAUAGUAAGGCUGGUGUUUUGUUAAAUCCCAUGGUUUGAAAAACCAGCCUUUAGGGAAAAACUUUGAAAUUGCCUGAAAAGGAUCAGUAUGGUAAAAUCCAUCUUCUAUAGAUAAAAUGUUUUGAAAAUGGGUUUUAUCAAACCAAUCUAAAGAUUUCUUUAAAGGUGUUGGCUGAGAAAGCACAAUUUGAGAAGAUGAGCUUUCACCAGAAACAAUAACAUUUUGGGAAGAGGGCUUUGAAAUUUCUUUUGAAACAAGUUUUUCUUCUUUAAUAGGGGUUUGGCUUUGAGAGAGGUUUUGAAAAGCGAGCAUAAGCUCAUGUGAUUUUGUAAUGGAACUCAUCCAUUGUUUUACUUGGUCAUCAGAGGAAAUUGUUUUGUACUGGGCUUCAUGUUCUUCAACCAUUUCAAUCCAUGAUUUGAUAGGCAUGCAGAAGAAAGCAAUUUCUCUUUAGGAGUUGGUUGGGGUUCUUUAGAGGUUGCUUGAGAUUCAGUGUCUUUAAGAACUGCUUUACCUUUAUCCUUCUUUUUUGGCGGUAUUAUCUGUUUUGAAGAAAUUCUCUGGUCAGAAAAUCAGGAAUAGAAUUUGUAUCUCCUUUAAUAAACUCAAUAUCAAAAUAAAAAACACUUAAAAUGGCUUGCCAACGUACAAAAAUCUGUUUUGAUGCAAUAUUUUGAACAUCUUGUUCUAAAACAUGUUUUGCAGCUUUGCAAUCAAUUCUAAGUAAAAAUUUUUGAUUUAGCAAAUCACUUUGAAAUUUGGAAAUACAUAAAACAAUAGUAAGAAUUUCUUUUUUGAUAGUAGAAUAAUUCUUUUGGCAUUCAUUCCAAUGUGCAGAAACAUAUUGGACUAUCUGUUCUUUAUUAUUAUCGAUUUGCUUUAAUAUGCCUCCAUAGCCUAAAUUAGAUGCAUCAGUUUCAACUACUUUAGGUAAUGCAGGAUUAGCAAGAUAUAAACAUGGAAUGCUUUUAACAGAAUUCUUUAUGAGUUUAACAGUUUUAGUAUGCUCAUCAGUCCAUGCAACAUGAUUCUUUUUUAAUCGAUCAUGUAAAGGUUUAGACAUCCUAUUGAUAUUAGGACAAAAAUCAAAAACAUAAUUUAAACUUCCUAGAAACCUCUGUAAUUGAGUUUUAUCUAGGAUUUUGUCUGGGAAUUUGUCUGCAAAGACAAGAGAACGCUCAAUAGGGGUAAUGGUUCCUUUGGAGAUAUGGUGACCUAGGAACCUGAUCUUUGUUUGGAACAAAGAGACUUUAGUACUAGAAAUUGCUAAACCAUCUUUUCUAGUGGCGAAGUAAAAAGUCUUUAAAUAUUUGAAAUGUUGGUCGAUGGUUUGGGAAAAAAUCAAAACAUCAUCUAUAUAAACAAUGCAAAACUCAGAAUAAGGGUUAUAAAUAUCAUUAAUAAUUCUUUGAAAUUCUGAAGGUGCAUUUUUUAAACCGAACGACAUAACCGUCCACUCAUAUUGUCCAAAUGGCACUAUAAAAACGGUUUUAUAACGGUCUUUAGGAUGAAUUUGAAUUUGCCAAAAACCCAACUUCAUGUCAAAUUUUGAAAAUAUGAAAGCAGAAUGCAGUUUUUGAAGCAAAUCCUUUUUAUUAGGUAUUGGGUACCUAAUCCAUUUUAAUACUUUAUUAAGGGGUUUAUAAUUUAUAACUAAUCGAGGUGUUCCUCUUUCAAUCUCGAAAUUCUUAUUAACAUAAAACGCGACACAAGACUAAGGAGACCGAGAUUUUACAAUAAGUCCUUUGGACUCUAAGUCACUUAUUUCAGCUUUACAGUGUUGUUCCAAUUCCAUGUUCAUCUGGAUUGGACGGGCUUUAGUGGGAAUCUGUUUUUCAUCAAAAGAAUUUUCAUAAGGUAGAUCUACCGGGUGUUGUUUUCUAUUCCAAAAAGCAGAUGGUAGAUCAGCACAGAUUUCCUUUUCAAUGAGAGUUUUGAAAUCAGAAAUUUUCUUUUGUAUAAAAUCAUUUUGUAAUUGGCUUUCGAUUCUUUGUAAACUCAAAUCCUUUUGUAAAAACAUUAGGUCACUUUGUCUUGUUCUGAGAAGAUUAUUGAUUUGAUUCUGAUAAACAGAACAAGCUUUGACAAUAUUCAAAUUCCUUGUUUUUGGCUUUUCAAUAAAUGGAAAAACAAAUCUUUUAUUUUUUGCUUUGAAAGAUAUACUGUCGUAAUUGACAAUAUAAGGAGUAAUAAGAUUUAUAAAAGGGGUUCCUAAAAUGACAGCAUGGUGUAUGUCAUUUGUAAGAACAAAAGAGGUUUUAAAUUCAAAAUCAUUAUUAUAAAUUGAAGCCUCGACUUUAGAAUUAACAUUAAGUUUUGAAUUGUUGGCGGCAGAAAGUCUUUCUUUUGUUUUCUCAUGAAAUCUUUUGGGGACAAUGUCUUCUCUUAUGCAAUUCAAAUCGGCACCAGUGUCAAAAAGGGCAAUGGCAUCAAUUGCAAAAUCAUCAGAAAAAAUUAAGGUAAUUUUAAUCAAAUAUUUUCUCAUAGUGAUUUGUUUUAAAACAAAUAGAAAAUCAUUGGGUACAGACUCAAUGUUUUCUAGAUUUUGAUCUUCUUUAUCAUUGUUAUCAGAAUUGGAUUCAUUAUCCGAAUUGUCUUGUAAUUGUUUUUGCAAAAGAAGUUGGAUGGUUUGAGAAUCAUUCUUUUGCUUUUCUUUUAACUCUCUUAUCUCAAAUUUAAUGUCUUUGAUUUCUUUCUGAAGAUCCUGGAUAUUGGGGAUUAUCUUUUUUGUUUUCUUUUAUCCAAAAUUUCAGUAAGAUCAUAAGAACUCUUUUUAACAAUUGGGAUUUUGGAAGUCUCUGCUUUAUUAAAAUCCAGAGUUUUCAAAAGCUUAUCAAGAUACUCCUUUUGAAGAUUUGGAUCAGAAAUAUGCUUUACGAGUUCAAGAAAGGUUUCUUGAUCUUUAGUUAAAAUAUUGAUUUUCUUUAAAUAAGAAUUUGUUUCAGAAUCACUACUGCUAGAUGCAGAGGUAUCUGAGUCAAAAAGCUCAUCGACCUGAAGAAGGUCACUAUCUCCUGACAUGGAAGACUCAGAGUCAGAGGACUCUACAAGGAGAGGGGUGACUUUGGAAAGGAUAUCUUCAUCAAGGCCAAGCUCCUAGAGCUUUUUGUUCAUUCUGCAAUAUUUUACAGUAUGGCCUUUUAUACUACAAUUAUGGCAUAUGGCUUCUUUGUAGUUGAAAGGGGCUUUGUGUUUAGGUUUAAAUUCCUUUUUCUUAGAGAAGUUGAGCUUCUUAUAAGGCCUCUGGGGUUUCUUAUAAAAAGAUUCUUUAAACUUCUGGAAUGGCUUUCUAUAGCUCUUGGAUUUGUAAUGUCUCUUGUGAGGUUUGGAAGAACAGUCACCAUUACAACCUUUGGAAAUGGAAGUUUUAAAGGGGUCAUAAUUGAAUUGUUUACAGAAACUACCUAAUUCUUGCUUAGACUUCUUAAGCUCUCAUUUAAGUCGUUUCUGUAAUUUCAAAUCUUGAGAGAUCUUUAAACCUUCUUUGUUGACAAAACUGACUAACUCGCCAUAAGUAAGUUCGUCAUAGGGAAUGCGAUUGUCAUAAAGGGCUUUUAUGUAAUUCCUAACCUUUUCUCCUAAAAGGGUAGGUAAACCUACUAAGAAUUUUUCUUUCCAAGUUAUAUGAUUUGCAUCAUCUCUUAGAAAGAGUCUGGUGAAGAAGGUGGUUUUGUAAUCUUGAAAUUCACUAAGUUUUCUACAUCUUAAAUUAUGUAGUAACUCAGCAUUUUUAUCUCUAAGGUGAGAAGGGUCACCUAUGAAAUGGAGGGAUAUGGUUAGAAUCAGGGUAGCUACGGCAGCCUAAAUUGGGUUAUUAAACUUGUCAAGAAUGGGGGAUCCAUUCUCGUCUAUUUGGAUAGCAUUAAGGAUAUCUGACUGUUGCUGCUUAGUGAGAAGGUGAUCCUACCAACCUUUAAGUUGACCAGUAAAACCCGCAAUGAGAAUUUCUGCAAUGGCUUUGUCAGAAGUUCCUGACUGGAUUUUAUAGGCAUUGGCUGCCAUGGUCAUCUGUUGCAACAAUCCUAGGAUAUUAUACUCGGACAUUCCAUCUAUAUUCCCCUCAUAGACAGAGGAUGCAUUAUAUCGAGACUGAUUUAAUGCACUAGGCCUAUUGUCUAUGGUCAAAUCAGGUGGAGACUUGACAGUGGGAAGGGCUAAUUCCCAAUGGAUUUUAUUGGCUUUAGAAACAGGUUCUUCUGUGAAGGCUUCUAUAUUAGAAGAGGCUAUAGACAUUUGGUCUUGUUCUAAUACUCCAAUCUUGCUAGAUUGGGGAGUAUCAGGGACUAUUUGAACUUUGCUAGAUGAGGAAGAAGCUACUUCUAUCCUAUCUAAUUGUUCUCUAAUGGCUUUAGCAAAAUUUGAUUUUGACUCUUGGACAAGCUUUUGACUAGUUUUCGAAACCUGAAAAGGUUUGAAAAUAGGCUCCUUGUGCUUUUUGUCAGAAUCCGAUUUUGAUGGAACAUGGGAAAUGGAAGAAAUAGCUAUGGUUGACUUUUGGAAUUGAUUUUCUAUACGGGUCAAUUGCUUUCCAAUAGUAUUUAAGUUAGUAUUACAGAAAUUAUUCUGUUGGAUAAUACUACUUAAAUUUGCAGUUAGUAUUACAGAAAUUAUUCUGUUGGAUAAUACUACUUAAAUUUGCAUCUGUGUCAUUUGGCUUUGGGAUUUUAUAAGGUGAAGCUCUAAUUUGAACAGGAGGUUCACUGUGAUCAACGGUUAAACUCCGAAGAGGUGGAUGCUCAGAUUUUAUGAUUCUCUCACUAUCAGAAAGUUUCCAUUCAGGAAUCUUCUUUUUAAUGGUAAUAGGGUUUGAUUCUUUAAAGGGAUAGUAAAUGUUGUUCUCAAAAGAAUAUAUUUCAAACCAAUCAAAAAACAAUAUAUGAACUUGAUGUAGAUUUACAAAUUCAUAAUAGAUUUGUUGGAUUUCUUUUCUUUGGUUCAAAAAAUGUUUGAAAAACCAAGUUCUUUUUUCUUUAUUAUUUUCCGAAUAAAAAUCAUUAUGAAGAAGAUUUUUGUCUAAUUCAAAAUCCUUUUUAAUGACAUUAAUAACAUUUUCGGUGAUAGCAGAAAAUGUUGGGGAAGUUGGAGGAGAAGGUUCCUUCUUUUCCUGUCUUUGUUCAUGUUGAUUGCUAGUAUAGAUUGAGUGUGGGACACUAGUGGUAUAGUCAACAGAACGUAUGGAAGAACUAGGUACAUCCGAGGUGGAAAACCUAGGUUGACUCUUUACUGUUUGGUAAGGGAGAUUUAUGACAGAAGGGACUUUUGUGAAUUUCCUUUCUAAUGAAGGAAUGCUUGAGCACGACUCUUUAUCAGAAAAUCUGGAUGAAGUAGAUCUCCUGAAAGAUAGUUUUACUCUACCAUCAGAAUACUGAGUCACAUUUUGCAACUCUGUAUUAGGCUCAAGUUGUUUCGGAAUCGCUGGAGGAGCGGCUCCUUCAAGAAUCCAUUCUUCUGGAAGAUUGACGUCUUUCCACUGGAUUGGUUUUAGAAUGACAGUGUUGGCUUUGGACAAAUCAGUCUGCAAGAGAAGAGUCUCAUCUCUUUUUGACUGGAAUUUGUGUUACGUACUAAAUGCAGAAAUCAUGGCUUUAUAAGAAAUUUUAAAAAUUAAUGCUACUGGGACAGAUCCCUCAAUCAUAUUAUAAUUGUGGGUUUUGAUUUGUAAAAUCAUGCUUUUCAAAAUGUUUUUGUCUUUAAGGGAAAUUGUUAUGUUUGGAUAACAAUCAAAAGAUAUGGGACCUUUACAGAGACUCGAUUCAAUACUAUUUAGUAAAGAAUCAUCAAAAGAGAUGAAUCGGCCAUCUCUAAGGACAAUGAUGAUAGAAGUAUCCAAGCCUUCUUUGGUUAAUGUUUUUAUGCCUACUUGGAUCAAUCCUAUAUGAACAUAAUUAAAAUUCUUUUCUUUUAAUUUCUUUAAUGAAUGUUCUAAAAAUAAUUGGAUUGUUUCAAAUGGCUUUAAAAGAGUUAUGUCACGUUCUUCAGUCUUUAUGACAUAAUCAUUUUUGAAAAAAUCAAGUUUUUUUGUUUUAUAAAUCUUUUCUUUAGAAACUCUUGGAAGUUCCCAACAAUCAAUUGCUUUAUCAAAGUUCUCAAUAACGAAUUCUUCUGAACUCACAACAUGCUUUGAAUCACUAGUCUUCCCGGAAGAAGAGCUAGAAAAGGAUGAUGUUCUACAGAGUAGAGGGUCCAUGGGUAAAAACCUAUGGUCUAUUUUUGGUUUUGUCAGGAUGGCUACAGGUAUGGUUUUACAGCCCUAAGGGGAAAUCUUUAUCCUAAAACGGGACUUACUACCAGUAAGGAAUUCACCACACAACAAAACUUCAAAAUAAAACACAAGUCUUUAAACACGUUGACUCUAAAAAGUAAUACACUAUCCUCCCCUUGGCUCUGAUACCAGAAGGAAAUAGGAUCGAAGGAUGGAUGUGUUUUCGUUGGAAAUCAAAAUUAAGAACUCAAAUAAUAUAAUGCUUGGAUUGGGUCAACACAUUGUUCAUGCAAAAACUUUGAUACCAGAAUUUUAAAUUAUGUUCGAAAUUUUAAAUCCAAGCAUUGUAUUAUUUGAGUUCUUAAUUUUGAUUUCCAACGAAAACACAUCCAUCCUUCGAUCCUAUUUAAACCGGGACAUUCCAUAUAUAUAUAUAUAUAUACUGACACCUUAAUCCGAAAUUGGCUCUUUGCCAAAGGAUUUCUUGAACCAACCAUUAAGCACUCCAAAGCCCAACAAACUUUUCUAACCCAAAAAUCCAAAGCCCAAUCUCUUUUAGCCAGUGCUAAAACUGAAGAAGAGUAUUUUAAAGUUAUACAACAACUUCUCGCCACGAGGUCUGAAACAUCUGUUGCAAGUUCCUCCUCAAGCACCUUCGGAGAUGAAGAGCCUUUUAUUUCAAAGCCGACGGUUUAAAAUGUCAUUCAUACUUUAAAUGUUCUUUGUAGAAUAAGUUGGGUGUCUUGGGCAUGAAGUCUGAGAUUCCACAUGCAUAUGAUGGCAUUAAGGAUAUCUAAUUGUUGCUGCUUAGUGAGAAGGUGAUCCCACCAACCUUUAAGUUGAAGAGGGGCAACUUUAGAGAGGAUUUCUUCAUCAAGGCCAAGUUCAUGAAGCUUUCGAUUCAUUCUACAAUACUUUGCAGUAUGGCCUUUUAUACCACACUUAUGGCAUAUGGCUUUUUUGUAGUUGAAAGGGGCUUUGUGUUUAGGUUUAAAUUCCUUUUUCUUAGAGAAGUUGGGUUUCUUAUAAGGCCUCUAGGGUUUCUUGUAAGAAGAUUCUCUAAAUUUCUGGAAUGGCUUUCUAUAGCUUUUGGAUUUGUAAUGUCUCUUGUGAGGUUUGGAAGAACACUCACCAUUACAAUCUUUGGAAAUGGAAGUUUUAAAGGGGUCAUAAUUGAAUUGUUUACAGAAACUGCAUAAUUCUUGCUUAGAUUUCCUAAGCUCCCAUUAAAGUCGUUUCUGUAAUUUCAAAUCUUGACAGAUCUUUAAACCUUCUUUGUUGACAAAACUGACUAACUCACCAUAAGUGAGUUCAUCAUAAGGAAUGCGGUUAUCAUAAAGGGCUUUAAUGAAAUUUCUAACCUUUUCACCUAGAAGAGUAGGCAAUCCUGCUAAGAACUUCUCUUUCCAGGUUAUAUGAUUUGCAUCAUCUCUGAGAAAGAGUCUGGUGAAGAGGGUGGUUUUAUAAUCUUAGAAUUCACUAAGUUUUCUACAUCUCAAAUUAUGUAGUAACUCAGCAUUUUUGUCUCUAAGGUGGGAAUGAUCACCUAUGAAAUGGAGGGAUAUGGUUAGAAUCAGGGUAGCUACGGCAUCCUGCUUUAAAACAAACAGAAAAUCAUUGGGUACAGACUAGUUGUUUCGGAAUCGCUGGUGGAGCGGCUCCUUCAAGAAUCCAUUCCUCUGGAAGGUAGACAUCUUUCCAUUGGAUUGGUUUUGGAAUGACUGUGUUGGCUUUGGACAAAUCAGUCUGUAAGAGAAGAGUCUAUUCUCUUUUUGACUGGAAUUUAUGUUGCGUACUGAAAGCAGAAAUCACGGCUUUAUAGGAAAUUUUAAAAAUCUAGGCGACAUGAAUUGAUCCCUUAAUCAUAUUAUAAUUAUGUGUUUUGAUUUGUAAAAUCAUACUUUUCAAAAUGUUUUUGUCUUUAAGAGAAAUUGUUAUAUUUGGAUAACAAUCAAAAGAUAUGGGGCCUUUGCAGAGACUGUAUUCAAUACUACUUAGUAAAGAAUCAUCGAAAGAGAUGAAUCGACCAGCUCUAAAGACAGCGAGGAUGGAGGUAUCCAGGUCUUCUUUGGUCAAUGGUUUAUUUCGACUUGGAUUAAAACGAUGUGAAUGUAAUUAAAAUUCUUUUCUUUUAAUUUCUUUAAAGAUUUUUUUGAAAACAAAUGAAUUGUUUCAAAUGGCUCAGAAAAAGUUAUAUCACGUUCUUCAGUCUUUAUCACAUAAUCAUUUUUUAAAAAAUCAAGCUUUUUUGUUUUGUAGAUUUUUUCUUUGGAAAUUUUUGGAAGUUCCCAACAAUCAAUUACUUUAUCAAAGUUCUCAAUAAUAAAUUCUUCUGAACUCACAACAUACUUUGAGUCACUAGUAUUCCCGGAAGAAGAGCUAGAAAAGGACGAUGUUCUACAGAGUAGAGGGUCCAUGGGUAAAAACCUAUGGUCUAAUUCUGGUUCUGACUGAAUGGCUACAGGUAUGGAUUUACAGCCCUAAGCGGAAAACUUUAUCCUAAAACGGGACUUACUACCAGUAAAAAUUCACCAUACUUGUUAUAAAUUAUAAACCCCUUAAUAAAGCAUUAAAAUGGAUUAGAUACCCAAUACCUAAUAAAAAGGAUUUGCUUCAAAAACUCUAUUCUGCCUUCAUAUUUUCAAAAUUUGACAUGAAGUCGGGUUUUUGGCAAAUUCAAAUCCAUCCUAAAUCAGUCUAUAUCGAGACUGAUUAAUGCACUAGGCCUGUUGUCUAUGGUCAAAUCAAGUGGAGAUUUGGCAGUGGGAAGGGCUAAUUCCCAAUGGAUUUUAUUGGCUUUAGGGGUAGGUUCGUCUUUAAAAGCUUCUAGAUCAUAAGAGGCUAUAGACAUGUUGUCAUGUUCCAAUAUUCCAAUCUUGCUAGAUUGGGGAGUAUCAGGGGCUAUUUGAACUUUGCUAGAAGAGGAAGAAGUAGCUUCUAUCCUAUCUAGUUGUUCUCUAAUGGCUUUAGCAAAAUUUGAUUUUGACUCCUGAACAAGCUUUUGACUAGUUUUUGAAACCUGAAAAGGUUUGAAAAUAGGUUCUUUAAGCUUUUUGUCUGAAUCCAAUUUUGAUGAAACAGGAGAAACGGAUGAAACGGCAAUAGUAGUCUUUUGGAAUUGGUUUUCUAUUCGGGCGAAUUGUUUUCCAAUUGUAUUUAAGUUAGUAUUACAGAAAUUAUUCUGUUGAAUAAUACUACUUAAAUUCGCAUCAGUAUCAAUUGGCUUUGAGAUUUUGUAAGGUGAGGCUCUAAUCUGGACAUGAGGUUCUCCGUGAUCGACGGUUAAGCUCCAAAGAGGUGGAUGCUCUGAUUCUAUGGUUCUAUCACUAUCAAAAAGUUUUCACUCAGGAAUUUUCUUUCUAAUAGUAAUAGGGUUUGACUCUUUAAAAGGAUAUGAAAUGUUGUUCUCAGAAGAAUAUAUCUCGAACCAAUCAAAAAACAAUAUAUGAACUUGAUGUAGGUUUACAAAUUCAUAAUAAACUCGUUGGAUUUCUUUUCUUUGAUUUAGAAAAUAUUUAAAAAACCAAGUUCUUUUUUCCUUAUUAUUCUCUUAAUAAAAAUCAUUAUGAAGAGGAUUUUUGUCCAAUUCAAAAUCCUUUUUAAUGACAUUAAUAACAUUUUCGGUAACAGCAGAGAAUGUUGGAGAAGUUUGAGGAGAAGGUUCCUUCUCGUCCUGUCUUUGUUCAUGUUGACUACUAGUAUAGAUUGGGUGUGGGACACUAGUGGCAUAAUCAACAGAAUGUAUGGAAGACAUAGGUAUAUCUGAGGUGGAAAACCUAGGUGGACUCUUUACUGGUUGGUAAGGGAGGUUUAUGACAGAAGGGAUUUUUGUACAUUUCCUUUCUAAUGAAGCAAUGCUUGAGUACGACUCUUUAUCAGAAAAUCUGGAUGAAGUAGAUCUUCUGAAAGAUAGUUUAACUUUACCAUCAGAAUACUGAGUUACAUUUUGCAACUCUGUAUUUGGCUCAAGUUGGUAUCAACUGACACCUUAAUCCGAAAUUGGCUCUCUGCCAAAGGAUUUCGUGAACCAACCAUUAAGCACUCCAAAGCCCAACAAACUUUUCUAACCCAAAAAUCCAAAGCCCAAUCUCUUUUAGCCAGUGCCAAAACUGAAGAAGAGUAUUUUAAAGUUAUGCAACAACUUCUCGCCACGAGGUCUGAAACAUCUGUUGCAAGUUCCUCCUCAAGCACCUCCGGAGAUGAAGAGCCUUUUAUUUCCCUUGGUGACGAAAAUGAAGACGACUGCUUCGGCAUAUUCUCCCCAUUAAAGCAUUCCAAAUAAUUAUUGUCCUGAUGUGAAAAAAAAAAGUAAAGUAAAAAGUAAAUACAUUUUGCUAUUACUUUGAUUAUAUAUCUUCGGGUGGUCCCCUGGACACAAGUGAGAGCGCUCAUGUCUCUUCACCCGUAUUAUCCUUGUAUUUGUAUUUUCUUGUUACAAAGCUACAGCUCCGCUGCAAUCUACAGUGAAGAGUUCCAAAGAUUACUGUUUGCUACAGCUCCGCUACAGUGAACAAUGAAGAAUUCCAAAGAUUACUGUACGCUGCAUCUCCGCUACAGUCUACAGUUUAAAAUUUUUUGUAUAAAAACCGAAAGGAAGACUUAGACUCCUCAAGGUUUUCAUUUUGCAAAUUUGAGAGCUUCUCUCUCUUCCUUCUCUUUCUUCUUUUCCUCUCUCUCUCUCUCUCUGGGAAUCAGGAAUUCGAAGGGUUCAAGGAAAUUUUUCUGUUUACAGAAUAGUUCCUUACCUUCAAGAUUAAUUUCUCUUUCUUCUCUACAAAGAAAAAAGCAAUUGAUGUAAGCAUUUCAUUUUCCAGUUUUAUUUUAAAAGCAUUAAAGCAUUUGUAAAUUUUAUUUAAAGCUUUGCGUGUAUGUUUAAAUUUCUGCAAUUUAUUUUAAAGCAUUUAAAUUUUUGCAUGCUCUGCAGACUGAUCUAUAUCAGAUCUGCCAUACAACUGCUACGUUCCUCUGAGGCAACGAGACCAGAUCUCAAUUCUCAGUUGUAUUCUUUCUCUUCUCCCUCCAUUCCUUCAGAACACCGUUUCUGGGUUCCAAAUCUGGUACUGUGUAUGCACCAUAGCCUUUAGAUGUAUGUUUGUUGCUAGGAUUGCUUAAAGAACUUAAAAAUAUUUGGUAAAUAAAUUUGGUAUAUCGGCUGGAAACUAGAACGUGCGGAAUAUUGAUCUGUCCUAAGUCAGAUCUGGUUCCAAAGGCAGACUUGGCUCUGCAUCGAUCUAGAUACAACGCCACGUACCUUUAUUAAAACUUGACCAACCGCGCUCCAAAGCAAAUCUAUUUAUUUCAAUGGAUUUUACACUCUUUAUUUCCUUCUGGUAUUAUAGCCAAGGGAAGGAUAUUGUAAUCUUGUUUAGAGAUUUCGUGAUUAAAGAUCUAUGUUUUAUUUUGAAGUUUUGUUGUAUGGUGAAUUUUUACUGAUAGUAAGGCCCGUUUUAAGAUAAGGUUUUCCGCUUAGGGCUGUAAAUCCAUACCUGUAGCCAUUCAGUCAGAACCAGAAUUAGACCAUAGGUUUUUACCCAUGGACCCUCUACUCUGUAGAACAUCGUUCUUUUCUAGCUCUUCUUCCGGGAAGACUAGUGACUCAAAGCAUGUUGUGAGUUCAGAAGAAUUUAUUAUUGAGAACUUUAGCAGUGGGAAGGGCUAAUUCCCAAUGGAUUUUAUUGGCUUUAAGGGUAAGAUCGUCUUUAUAUAAAAAGCCUUUAAAGUAUGAAUGACAUUUUCUCAAACCGUCGACCAACAUUUUAAACAUUUAAAGACUUUUUACUUUGCUACCAGAAAAGCUGGCUUAGCAAUCUCUAGUUCUAAAGUCUCUUUGUUCCAAACAAAGAUCAGAUUCCUAGGUCACAAUAUUUCCAAAGGAACCAUUACUCCUAUUGAAUGCUCCCUUGUCUUCGCAGACAAAAUCCUAGACAAGACUCAAUUACAGAGGUUUCUAGGAAGUUUAAAUUAUGUACUUGAUUUUUGUCCAAAUAUCAAUAGGAUGUCUAAACCUUUGCAUGAUAGAUUAAAGAAGAAUCAUGUUGCAUGGACUGAUGAGCAUACUAGAACUGUUAAACUCAUAAAGAAUUCUGUUAAAAGUAUUUCAUAUUUAUAUCUUACUAAUCCUGCAUUACCUAAAAUAGUUGAAACUGAUGCAUCUGAUUUAGGUUAUGGAGGCAUACUAAAGCAAGUAGAUAAUAAUAAAGAACAUAUAGUCCAAUAUGUUUCUGCACAUUGGAAUGAAUGCCAAAAGAAUUAUUCUACUAUUAAAAAAGAAAUUCUUUCAAUUGUUUUGUGCAUUUCCAAAUUUCAAAGUGACUUAUUAAAUCAAAAAUUUUUACUUAGAAUUGAUUGCAAAGCUGCAAAACAUUUUUGCACGAUGGCAAGCUAUUUUAAGUAUUUUUGAUUUUGAUAUUGAAUUUAUUAAAGGUGAUAAAAAUUCUAUUCCUGAUUUUCUAACUCGGGAAUUUCUUCAAAACAGAUAAUGCCGCCAAAAAGAAGCAACAAAGGAAAAGGCAUUGCCAAAGACAUUGAAUCUAAAGCUGCUACUAGAGAACCCCAAUCCUCUCCUCCUAAAGAAAAACUACUCUCCUCUGCCAUGCCAAUCAAGUCUUGGAUUGACAUGAUCGAAGAUGAGGAGGCAAGAUCUAAAGCCCUUUCUACCCAAGACCAAGUUAACCUAUGGAUGAAAGCCAUUUCCAAAUCUCCUGAGCUUAUGCUUGCAUUACAAAGCUUCUCCCAAAGCCAGGAAUCUCCAAAAGAGAUCUCUGAAAAAGAAAGCUCCAAAGAAAUUACAAAAUCCUCUCAAAAUAUUAUUGUUUCUGGUGAUAGUUCAUCAUCACAAAUUAUUCUUUCACAACCAACAAAGAAAACCUCGGUUUGGUUUGAUAAAGCCCAUUUCCAAAACAUUUCAACAAUCGAAGAUGGGUUUUACCAUACUGACCCAUUUCAAACACUUACGAAGUUUUUCCCUAAAGGCUGGUUUUUUAAACCAUGGAAUUUAACAAAACCUCAGCCUUAUUAUCAAAGCAUUUUAGAAGCCACUGAGUCAGUUGAAUUCAAAAAUUUUUAUCUCAGUGACUCCCAUUCUGAGCCGGCCUAUUCCACGGCCACUGUUAUGCAAAUUUUAAUGUACUCGCAAACGUACGAAUCUUUUGUAGUAUAGAUCAAUGGUGGCGAGUGUCGAUCCCACGAGGAGGUGGAUUUUAAUUAUAUGUAGAAUUAAUUUUGUAAAUAGGUGGUUGAAAUUGUGGUGGAAGUGAUUUAAAUUAUCCUAAAAUUGGAAUUGAGAUUCUAAAAUUGGAAUUGCAAUGACGAGAAUAAAUUGAAGCGAAAUAUAUUGAAAUGACGUACUUGGGUGUCUAAAUCCGUAUCAACAUGCAUCAUGGGCUAAAUAAUCCGUAUUAAUGCCAAUUAAAUCAUGAGGGGGGAAUCCACACCUCAUGAACCACGCUCUAAUCAAUAUGGUGCUAAGGGCUUAUCGUGCCAAAUAAUAAUAACCUUGUACUAGAGGGCCGGUGAAACCAAGACGGUACUAGACAAGAAUAUUAUUAUUUGUCGACGAGAAGUCAAAACAUCCACAAAAACUAAAGGGGAAGAGAAAAUAAAUUUAUCAAAUUAAGCCCAUGACACAUGUUGAGAAUUCACCUUCAACCCAAGCUUGAAAGAAAAUUAGCCACUCAUAAUUGAACUAGGGGCAAAAUGGGAAUUUAUUAAAAUAUGAAGAAAAUACAAGAUGGAGAAGGAAUUACAGAAAAUGGAUCCCAAAAAUGGAUUCAGAGAUAUCAAAUUAGGGGGGGAGGCCCCCUUUUUAUAGAUACAUGGAGUAAAUUAUGGCCAUCAGAUUAAAAACAGUUUGGACGCUCAGGAUUGCACCACGUCAUCAGUCAACAGUCCACGGUUUGACCACGCGGAUGAACAGUAACACAGUUUGACCCGGAUGAACAGUAACACGGUUUGGUUGAAAAUAAUCUUGUGUGAUGCAUGCACCGUACGCGAGAUUUUUCGUCCACUGAUAUGCUGCCACGUCACCAUCAACAGUACAUAAGAAUUUUAGUCCAACAGGAUCGUGACACCUCAUCAGUCAAUGCCACAUCAUCGGUCAAUGCCACAUCAUCGAUCCGUCUAUGUGAACAGUGCUAUGAACAGUAACGUAUACAAUACCGUAUACGUGAAUAGUACCGUACAUGUGAAUAGUGCCAUUUUUCCUUUUAUGCUCCUCCUAAGGUUUUCGACCGUCCUGAGUUCAAAAGUGAUGUCCAUUUUGCCGUCUGAUCUCUCCUUUAUUGUGAAAUGACUAUAAUGCCCCUAAAAUACAUAAAUUACUUAAUUAAAAUAAAAUACACGUAAUUAAAUCACAAGAAUGUUAAAAACAUAAAAGUAAGGGUUGUUAGUAAGACUUGAAAUAUAAAAUAACGGUUUUCUCCUUUAUAAAUAUGCAUUUUCUAACACUCAACAGCCACUAUCUUAAAAGUCUUGAGCCCAAACUAGUGGGGCGACCAACUCCACAAAUUUAAAUCUUUCCCUCCAAAUUUCUAAAUGCGUUUACCACAUUGCUUGACUUUUUCCUAUUGGGAUUAUCCACAAGCUUGGUUUAACACAUUCUUUAUCCAAAAUCCAAAGAAAUCUCAUUCAUGGUUAUUUUUCUUCAAUUCAAAAAUAACCGUCCAAAGCCUCCCAAAUUGGUUUCAACAAUGGUGGAACUUCUAUGGCCCAAUACCCCAAAUCCUAACUCCAAAUGCCACUCAUUGCUUAAACCUCUUCAAAGUUCAUUAUGUCCCUUCUGAAUCAGAGAAAAGAUUUCCUUUUUUUCUUUGCUUCUGUACAAAUUUCUUCAUUCCAUGGGUAUGCAUGUGGAAUCUCAGACUUCAUGCCCAGGAUACCCAACUUAUUCUACAAAGAACAUUUAAAGUAAAAUGGUGGUCAAAAUUCGAUGAACAGUUUAAAUUGAUUGACACCUUAAUCCGAAAUUGGCUCUCUACCAAAGGAUUUCUUGAACCAACCAUUAAGCGCUCCAAAGCCCAACAAACUUUUCUAACCCAAAAAUCCAAAGCCCAAUCUCUUUUAGCCAGUGCUAAAACUGAAGAAGAGUAUUUUAAAGUUAUGCAACAACUUCUCGCCACGAGGUCUGAAACAUCUGUUGCAAGUUCCUCCUCAAGCACCUUCGGAGAUGAAGAGCCUUUUAUUUCCCUUGGUGACGAAAAUGAAAACGACUGCUUCGGCAUAUUCUCCCCAUUAAAGCAUUCUAAAUAAUUAUUGUCCUGAUGUGAAAAAAAAAGUAAAGUAAAAAGUAAAUACAUUUUGCUAUUACUUUGAUUAUAUAUCUUCGGGUGGUCCCCUGGACACAAGUGAGAGCGCUCAUGUCUCUUCACCCGUAUUAUCCUUGUAUUUGUAUUUUCUUGUUACAAAGCUACAGCUCCGCUGCAAUCUACAGUGAAGAGUUCCAAAGAUUACUGUUUGCUACAGCUCCGCUACAGUGAACAAUGAAGAAUUCCAAAGAUUACUGUACGCUGCAUCUCCGCUACAGUCUACAGUUUAAAAUUUUUUGUAUAAAAACCGAAAGGAAGACUUAGACUCCUCAAGAUUUUCAUUUUACAAAUUUGAGAGCUUCACUCUCUUCCUUCUCUUUCUAAUUUUCCUCUCUCUCUCUCUCUCUGGGAAUCAGGAAUCCGAAGGGUUCAAGGAAAUUUUUCUGUUUACAGAAUAGUUCCUUACCUUCAAGAUUAAUUUCCAUUUCUUCUCUACAAAGAAAAAAGCAAUUGAUGUAAGCAUUUCAUUUUCCAGUUUUAUUUUAAAGGCAUUAAAGCAUUUGUAAAUUUUAUUUAAAGCUUUGCGUGUAUGUUUAAAUUUCCGCAAUUUAUUUUAAAGCAUUUAAAUUUUUGCAUGCUCUACAGACUGAUCUAUAUUAGAUCUGCCAUACAACUGCUACGUUCCUCUGAGGCAACGAGACCAGAUCUCAAUCCUCAGUUGUAUUCUUUCUCUUCUCCCUCCAUUCCUUCAGAGCACCAUUUUUGGGUUCCAGAUCUGGUACUGUGUAUGCACCCUGGCCUUUAGAUGUAUGUUUGUUGCUAGGCUUGCUUAAAGAACUUAAAAAUAUUUGGUAAAUAAAUUUGGUAUAUCAGCUGAAAACUAGAACGUGCGGAAUAUUGAUCUGUCCUAAGUCAGAUCUGGUUCCAAAGGCAGACUUGGCUCUGUAUCGAUCUAGAUACAACGCCACGUACCUCUAUUAAAACUUGACCAACCGCGCUUCAAAGCAAAUCUAUUUAUUUCAAAGCUGGUACUUUACUUUAAAAUUUUGACAAAGCCGACCCAAUCCAAGCAUUGUGUUAUUUAAUUUCUUAAUAUUUGAUUUCUUACGAAAGCACUUUCAUCCUUCGAUCCUAUUUCCUUCUAGUAUAUAUAUAUAUAUAUAUAUAUAUAGCAUAUGUAAUUCAUUCAAAGAUUGUAAUAAUUUUAAAUUUUAUUACAAAGCAUGUAUGUUUUAAAUUCUCGUAAUUUAUUUAAAGCCUAUUUACAUUUCUUUAUAAACUGUUACGUAUCCUCGAAGGCAUAGAGACCGGAUCUCUAACCUUCGUUGUAUUUCUCUUCUCCCUCCAUCAAAUCAGAGUACUACUUUCCUUCUAGUAUCAGAGCCAUGUACUGCUUUUUGUNNNNNNNNNNNNNNNNNNNNNNNNNNNNNNNNNNNNNNNNNNNNNNNNNNNNNNNNNNNNNNNNNNNNNNNNNNNNNNNNNNNNNNNNNNNNNNNNNNNNGAGGGUUACCGUGCGAAACAUCGGCAUCCAAGGGUGGAUGAGUUUUAUGAAGAAUUAAUAAAUUAAAACUAAUAAAGCAGAAAGUAGUACGUGGCGUUGUUUUACCAGAUCAAUGCAGAACUUAAUCUGCCUUAGAAACCAGAUCUGACUUAGAACAGAUCAAUAUCUCGCAUGUUCUGGUUUCCAGCCGAUAUACCAAAUUAGUUAAACAAAUAAAUUUAAAAUGCUUUAAACAAACCUAGGCAACACAAAGGCUCAUAGAUAGUACUAGAUCUGGAUCCUAGAAAUAGUACUCUGAUUUGAUGGAGGGAGAAGAGAAAUACAACGAAGGUUAGAGAUCCGGUCUCUAUGCCUUCGAGGAUACGUAACCGUUUAUAAAGAAAUGUAAACAUGCUUUAAAUAAAUUACAAUAAUUUAAAACAUACAUGCUUUGUAAUAAAAUUUAAAAUUAUUACAAUCUUUGAAUGAAUUACAUAUGCUUUAAAAUAAAUAACAAAUGCUUACAUGAGUUGCUUGAAUCCGAAAGCUUUAUAAACAGAAAGUGUUUUACAUAAGGAGAUAGAGGGGAAAAUCAGAAGACAGGAAAAUUUCUUCGAUGUCUUCAGUUCAUGUUUUCCCAAGGAAAGGAAAGAGAGAGAGAGAGAGAGAGAGAGAGAGAGAGAGAGUUCUAAAAGAAGUGCCGAGUAGAAGAAGAAGUGAUAAGUCUCAGUCUUCAUCCACUCUUUUAUACAAUAAUUAUUUUUCAAAAGAAAAUGCUACAGCUGGUCUUCACAUGCGUUGGUGGAGAGUGGGGCUAACAAUAGUAAAAGUAGUAUGAGCUUUUGGAACGUGGGAGACAGCAUCAUUUGAGGCAUCUUCUGCUUUAGGAAAGCUUCACAUGGGAGUAGUAAAAAAUAAAAGAAAACGUAUACUGUUAUAUAAAGAAAUGGAAAAUUACACUUUUUUUUAAAUUACAUUAUUUUAUUUACAAUGCUUUAUUGGAGGCAGGAUCCCGAAGCAAUCGUCUUCGUUAUCAUCUCCAAGGGAAAUGAACGGCUCCACUUCAUCUGAAGAACUGGCAACGGACGGUUCAGAUCUCGAGGCAAGGAGCUACUGCAUUACUUUAAAAUAUUCCUCUUCAGUCUUUGCACUGGCCAACAGUGAUUAGGACUUAGAUCUUUGGGCGAGGAAUGUGUUUUGGGCUUUAACAUUUUCUUGUCUUGGGACAAGAAGGCCUUUUGAAGAAAGCCAGGCUUGGACUGUGGCUUCAGAUAGUUUUGACUGUUCGUCAAACUUGGAUCACCAUUUGACUUUGAAAUAUCUUUGAAGGAUGAGUUGGGCUUCUUGAUUAUGGUAUUGAAAAUUCCACAUCCAGACCUAAGGAAGAAAGAAAUUUGUACAAAAGUAGAGAAAAUGAGGAAACCUCUUCUCGGACUCAGAAGGAACAUAAUGGGCUUUAAAAAGGUUUAAACAAUUUAUGGCAUUUAGGGUUAGAAUUUCUGGGCUUGGCCCAAAGUAUUUCCAUCAUUGUUGGAACCAAUUUGGAAGGCUUUGGACAUUUAUUUUUUAGUUAAAGAAAAAUAACUAAGAAUAGGUCUUUUUGGGAUUUUGAAUAAAAAAUAUGUUGAAUCAGGCCUAUUGGUAAUCCCAGUAAAAAAAAAGAUAGGCAAUGGUUUAAACGCAUUUGGAAAUUGACGGGAAAGGUCUUUGGUUUGUGGAGUUGGUUACCCCACUGUUUUGGGCUCAAGACUUUUAAGAUGGUGGCUGUAGAGUAAGCCGACUCAUGGUGAAAUUCACUAAGAAAGAAAUGUUUGAAUUUUACAGACUCAGUGAACUCAAGAAUGUUUUGGUAGAAAGACUGGGGUUUUGAUAAAUCCCAUGGUUUGAAAAACUAGCCUUUCGGGAAAAUCUUUGUAAUGGCUUGAAAUGGAUCAGAGUGAUAAAACCCAUCUUCCAUAGAUAAAACAUUUUGAUGAUAGGUUUUAUUAAUCCAAUCCGAAGAUUUUUGUGAAAGUUUCGAUUGAUAAAUAAUAAUUUGUGAAGAAGAGCUUUCACAAGAAAUAACGUUUUUAGAAGAAGAAGGCUUUGAAAUUGCUUUAGAAACAGAUUUUUCUUUCUCAGGAACUUGAGAAAGAGCUUUAUUUUGGGAAAUACUUUGUAAAGCUAACAUAAGUUCAGGGGACUUUGUAAUGGAGUUCAUCCAUUCUUUACCUGCUCAUUGGAAGCAAUGGCUUUAGACUGUGCUUCUUGCUCCUCGACUAUUUCAAUCUAUGAUUUAAUAGGCAUGACAGACGAAAGUAAUUUGUCUUUAGGAGGGGUUGUUUGGGUUUCUUUAGAGAGUGUUUGUGGUGCAAAGUCUUUAAGAAUGGCUUUGCCUUUGUCUUUUUUUUUUUUGGCGGCAUUAUUUGUUUUGAAAAAAUUUCCUGGUUAGAAAAUCAGGGAUAGAAUUUGCAUCUCCUUUAAUAAACUCAAUUUCAAAAUCAAAAACACUUAAAAUGGCUUGCCAUCGUGCAAAAUUUUGUUUUAAUGCAAUGUUUUGAACAUCUUUUUCUAAAACAUGUUUUGCAGCUUUGCAAUCAAUUCUAAGUAAAAAUUUUUAAUUUAACAAAUCACUUUGAAAUUUAGAUAUGCAUAAAACUAUAGAUAAAAUUUCUUUUUUGAUGGUAGAAUAAUUUCUUUGACAUUCAUUCCAAUGUGCAGAAACAUAUUGUACUAUCUGUUCUUUACUAUUAUCAACUUGUUUUAGUAUUCUUCUAUAACCUAAAUCUGAUGCAUCAGUUUCAACAAUCUUAGGUAAUGCAGGAUUUGCAGGAAAUAAACAUGGAAUAUUUUUAACAGAAUCCUUUAUCAGUUUAACAGCUUUAGUGUGCUCAUCAGUCUAUGCAACAUGAUGUUUCUUUAAUCUAUUAUGCAAUGGCUUUGAAAUCCUAUUGAUGUUCGGACAGAAAUCAAGAACAUAAUUUAAACUACCUAGAAAUCUCUGUAAUUGAGUUUUAUCUAGGAUUUUAUCAGGAAAUUUAUCUGCAAAUGCAAGAGAUCUUUCAAUAGGUGUUAUAGUUCCUUUGGAAAUAUAAUGACCAAGGAACCUAAUCCUUGUUUGAAACAAGGAGACUUUAGAACUAGAAAUGGCUAGACCAGCCUUCCUAGUGGCAAAAUAAAAAGUCUUUAAAUGCUUGAAAUGUUGAUCAAUUGUUUGGGAAAAGAUCAAUACAUCAUCAAUAUAAACAAUGCAAAAUUCAGAGAAAGGAUUAUAAACAUCAUUCAUAAUCCUUUGAAAUUCUGAAGGUGCAUUCUUUAAUCCGAAUGGCAUAACAGUCCAUUCAUACUGUCCAAAAGGAACAAUAAAAUCAGUUUUAUAACGGUCUUUGGGAUGAAUUUGAAUUUGCCAAAAUCCAGAUUUUAUAUCAAAUUUUGAAAAAAUAAAUGCAGAAUGUAGUUUCUAGAGCAAAUCAUUUUUAUUAGGUAUGGGAUACCUAAUCCAUUUUAAUGCUUUAUUAAGGGGUUUGUAAUUUAUGACUAAUCUGGGUGUCCCUUUUUCUAUCUCAAAAUUCUUAUUGACAUAGAAAGCAGCACAAGACCAUGGAGACCUAGACUUGACUAUGAGACCUUUAGAUUCUAAAUCUUUUAUCUCAUCUUUGCAAUGUUGUUCCAAUUCCAUGUUCAUUUGGAUUGGACGGCUUUAGUAGGUAUUUGCUUUUCAUCAAAAGAGUUUUCAUAAGGCAAAUCAACAAGAUGUUGUUUUUUGUUUCAAAAAGCAGAUGGUAGAUCCGUACAUAUUUCUUUUUCAAUGAGGUCUUUAAAAUCAUAGAUUUUUCUUUUUACAAAUUCAUUUUGUAAUUGGUUUUCGAUUCUUUGUAGACUCAAAACCUUUUAUAAACAAACCAGGUCAUUUUGUUUUGAUUUGAGGAGAGUAUUGAUUUGGUUCUGAUAAAUAGAACAGGCUUUAACAAUAUUCAAAUUUCUUAUUUUAGGUUUUUCAAUAAAAGGGAAAACAAGUUUUUUGGUUUUUGCUUUAAAAGAUAUACUAUCAUAGUUAACAGUAUGGUGUAUGUCAUUUGUAAGAAUAAAAGAAGUCCUGAAUUCAAAACCAUUGUUAUGAAUAGAGGCGUCAACUUUAGAUUUGACAUUAAGUUUUGAAUUAUUAGCAGCAGAAAGUCUUUCAUUCGUUUUCUCAUGAAACCUUCUAGGGACAAUAUCUUCUUUAAUGUAAUUUAAAUAAGCACCAGUGUCAAAAAGGGCAAUGGUGUCAAUUUCAAAAUCUUUGGAAAAAAUCAAGGCAUAUUUUAAUCAAAUACUUUCUCGUGGUGAUUUGCUUUAAAACAAACAGAAAAUCAUUGGGUAUAGAUUCAAUAUUUUCAAGACUUUGUUCUCUAUUACCACCAUCAUCAGAUUCUGAUUCGUUAUCAGAAUUAUCCUAGAGUUAUCUAUGUAAGAGAAGUUGAAUGGAUUCAGAAUCAUUCUUUUGUUUUUCUUUCAACUCCUUAAUCUCAAGUUUGAUUUCUUUAAUCUCUCUUUGAAGGUCUUGGAUAUUGAGAAUUAUUUUCUUUGUUGUCUUUUUAUCCAAGAUUUCAGUUAGGCCAUAUGUAUCUUUUUAAUGGUAGGGGCUUUAGAAGUUUCUGCUUAUUUCUAAUUCUAAGGGUUUUUAUAAGCUUAUCAAGAUACUCCUUUUGAAGAGUAGGGUCAGAAAUGUGUUUAACUAGCUCAAGAAAAGUUUCUUAUUCUUUAGUCAACACAUGAAGUUUUUUUGUCUUUAAAUAGGAUUCUGUAUCAGAAUCACUAUCACUAGAUACAGAUGUGUCUGAGUCAAUUAACUCAUCAACCUGUAGAGGCUCACUGUUUCCUGACAUGGAAGACUCAGAGUCGGAAGACUCUACAAGCAAAGGGGCCACUUUAGAGAAUAUCUCUUCAUCUAGGUCAAGUUCAUGGAGCUUUCUGCUCAUUCUACAGAACUUUGCAGUAUGACCUUUCUUUCCACAUUUGAAACAUGUGGCUUCUUUGUAAUUGAAAUGAGCUUUUGAUUUUGCUAUGGUAUCUUUCCUUUUAGAGAAAUGAGGUUUCCUAUAAGGCUUCGAUGGUUUCCUAUAGGAAAGUUCUCUAAACUCAUGGAAGGGUUUCCUAUGGCUUUUAGACUUAUAAUGUUUCUUGUAAGGUUUCGAAGAACACUUACCAUUACAAUCUUUAGAAGUGGAGGCUUUAAAUGGGUCAUAGUUAGAUUGUUUACAUAAACUACCUAGUUCUUGCUUAGACUUUCUAAGCUCCCAUUUUAAUCGUUUCUGUAGUUUCAAGUCCUGACAAAUCUUUAAACCUUCUCUGUUAAUAAAACUGACAAGUUCACUGUAGGUGAGCUCAUCAUAGGGAAUACGGUUGUCAUAAAGGGCUUUAAUAGAAUUCAUAACAUUUUCUCCUAAUAGGGUAGGUAAACCUGCAAGGAAUUUUUCUUCCAAAUUAUAUGAUUUGCAUCAUCCCUAAGGAAAAGUCUGGUAAAGAAUGUGGUUUUGUAGCUUUGAAAUUCACUAAGCUUCCUACAUUUUAAGUUGUGUAGUAACUCAGCAUUCUUAUCCCUAAGGUGUGAAGGAUCACCUAUGAAAUGAAGGGAUAUAGUCAGAAUCAUGGUAGCAACUGCAUCCUAAAUUGGACUAUUGAAUUCAUCAUAGAUGGGGGCUCCAUUCUCAUCUGUUUAAAUUGAAUUUAAAAUAUCUAAUUGUUGUUGUUUGGUGAGGAGAUGAUCCCACUAUCCUUUAAGCUGACCAGUAAAGCCAGCAAUGAGAAUCUCUGCUAUGGCUUUGUCAGAGGUUCCCUGUUGGGUUUUAUAGGCAUUAGCUGCCAUGGUCAUUUAUUGUAAUAAUCCUAGGAUAUUAUACUCAGACAUACCAUCUAUGUUCCAUUCAUAGACAGAGGAGGCAUUAAAACGAGAUUGGUUUAAGGCACUCGGUCUGUUGUCUAUGGCUAAGUCAGGUGGAGAGCUAACAGUAGGAAGAGCUAAUUCCCAAUGGAUUUUAUUAGUUUUAGGAACAUGUUCUUCUUUAAAGGCUUUUAUGUCAGAGGAGACUAUAGACAUUUGGUCUUGUUCUAGUACACUAAUUUUGCUAGAUUGGGCACUAUCUGGAGCUAUUUGAAUUUUACUAGAAGAGGAAGAAGAAGCUUCUAUUCUAUCUAGUUGUUCUCUAAUGGCUUUAGCAAAAUCUGAUUUUGACUCUUGAACUAACUUUUGACUAGUCUUCGAGACUUGGUUUGAAAAUAGGCUCUUUAAGUUUCUUUUCAAAGUUAGCCUUUGACGUAAUACUAGGAGAGAUAGCUAUGAUUGACUUUUGGAAUUGGUUUUCUAUCCUAGUCAACUGUUUUCCUAUUGUAUUUAGAUUGACAUUACAGAAAUUAUUUUGUUGAAUGAUGCUUUCUAAAUCUGUUUCUGGAUCUUUGGGUUUAUGGAUUUUAUAGGGUGAGGCUUUUAUCUGAACAGGAGGUUCACCAUGAUCAAUGGUUAGACUCCUAGGUAGAGGAUGUUCAGAUUCUAUAAUCCUAUCACUAUAAGAAAGAUUUCAUUCAGUAAUUUUCUUCCUAACAGUAAUGGGAUUUGAUUCUUUAAAAGGAUAAGUAAUUUUGUUAGCUGAAGCAUACAUCUCAAACCAAUCAAAAAACAAUAUAUGAACUUUAUACAAAUUUACAAACUCAUAAUAGACUUGUUGGAUGUCUUUCCUUUGGUUUAAGAAAUGCUUGAAAAACCAAAGUCUUUUUUCUUUAUUAGUGCCAGAAUAAAAAUCAUUGUGAAGAAAGAGUUUUAUCUAAUUCAAAAUCUUUUUUAAUGACACUAAUUACAUUUUUUGUGACAGUAGAAAAUGUAGGAGAAGUUGGAGGAGAAGGUUCCUUCUCUUCCUGUCUUUAUUCAUGUUGACUGCUAGUGUAGAUUGGGUGUGGAACACUAGUGGUAUAGUCAACAGAGUGAAUAGAGGAACUAGGUAUAUCUGAUGUGGAAAACCUAAGUUGACUCUUUACUGGUUGGAAAGGGAGAUUUAUAACGGAGGGAAUCUUUGAAAAUUUCCUUUCUAAUGAAGGAAUACUUGAACAUGAAUCUUUAUCAGAGAAUCUAGAUGAUGUAGAUCUCCUAAAGGAUAGUUUGACUUUACCAUUUGAAUACUGAGUCACAUUUUGUAACUCUGUAUUUGGCUCAAGUUAUUUUGGAAUCACUGGUUCAGUGGCUCCUUAUAAGAUUCAUUCUUCAGGGAGGUUGACAUCCUUCCAUUGGAUUGGUCUAGGAAUAACUGUAUUGGCUUUAGACAAGUCAGUCUGCAAGAGAAGAGUUUCAUCUCCUUUUUACUGGAAUUUAUGUCGCAUAUUGGUAAACUCAGAUAUCAUGGCUUUGUAGGAUAUUCUAAAAAUUAGGGCAAUUGGUACAGAUCCUUCAAGCAUGUGAUAGUUAUGGGUCUUGAUCUGUAAUAUUAAGCUUUUCAGAAUGUUUUUUUUGUCUUUAAGGGAAACUGUUAUAUUAGGAUAACAACUAAAAAAAAGGGGUCAUUUACAAAGGCUUGAUUCAAUACUGCUAAGUAAAGAAUCAUCAAAAGCGAUGAAUCGGCCAUCUCUAAGGACAGCUAGGAUUGAAGCAUUCAAUCCUUCUUUAGUCAAUGGUUUUAUUCCAACUUGAAUUAAACCAAUGUGAACAUAAUUAAAAUGCUUUUCUUUUAGAUUUUUUAAAGAUUGUUCUGAAAACAAGUGAAUUGUUUCAAAAGGCUUUGAAAGGGUUAUGUCACGUUCUUCAGUUUUUAUGACAUAAUUAUUCUUUAAAAAAUCAAGCGUUUUGGUUUUGUAAAUCAUUUCUUUAAAAAUCUUUGGAAGUUCCCAACAAUCAAUUGCUUUAUUAAAGUAAUCAAUUGCUUUAUUAAAGUCUUCAAUUAUGAAUUCUUCUGAAUUCACAACAUUCUUUGAAUCAUUAGUUCUUCUAGAAGAAGAGCUAGAAAAGGAUGAUACUCUACAAAGUAGAGAAUCCAUGGGUAGGAACCUAUAAUCUAGUUUUAAUCCUACAGGUAUGGCUACAACCCAAGGCUAAGAGUUGGUUUUACUGCCCUUCAACCAAAUCAGGACUUACGACCAAAUACUACCAAGGCACCAGAAGUAACACUCACCACACAAGUAAAAUCUUAACUAAACUACAAGUCUUUAUACAAGCCUGUUUACAUUUCUUUAUAUAUAUAUAUAUAUAUAUUACUGAAAUUCAAUAAUUUUCAGUUCUCCAUAAUUAAAUAAACAAAAUUAUGAAUGCCUUAUAAAUUUCAUAAGUAUAAUGUCAUAAAUAUAUAUUUCAUAGUCACAGCAAGCUUAGUUUACAUGUUCAAUUAAUUCACCCUCAACUUUGAUCUCAUGAAACCUCUAAUGAAAUUACUAUAAAAGAUAGAUGCUGUGUUGAUAUUUACUUACCAUUCAAGCUCAACCUCCCUAGAUUUUUUGUUACAUGUACUAAGCGUCAAAUGUUCUUAUCUUUGUGGAAAUAAAAUAUUCCAUUCAUUCGACAAGGCUUUGACGACUGGCGAGAAAUACAACACAAUCUUAGAUUCUUAAUAUAUAUUGUUGAUGCUGAAAUCUGGUCGCCCUUUGCCCGACCAAAUUAUUCCACCAACGCUCGUAUUGACAACGGAGAAGAGGUUGCACUCUCCCUGUUCUAGUGAUUGCCCAAGCUCCUGGGAGCCAAAUCACUCUUUCUCUUCUAUCCAAACCUGCGUUCACAGAAACAAGUUAGAGACGCCGGUGGUUUGCCAGUGUAAACCCUCCGAUGCUUAAGUUAGUACAAGGUGUUUACGGGAAAAUAAUGUGACUUAAGUUGAAUAAACUCACUGUAAUAUUUUCAACUCAAUGUGUAUCCAAAAUCUGUAUAGAAUAAAUUCUGGUUUCAAUUUGGCAGAGUUUUCCCUUCUCCCCCUAUUUUUUCGUCCCCUGCUUCAUCGGUUUCUUGGCCUUUUAUAGGCAAUCAUCCCACGUUUUUUGUUAUUCUUCAUGUCCCAUAUUUUAGGGUGAUGACAGACCUUUACGGGUCUCCUACCAUCGAAUCGUGGGUAAACGUGGGAUAUCAUGCUCUCCUUAGCGGCUUGGGGCAUUGUGAAACUGUCGUGAGUUCAUGAGAUCGUGUCCUUUUUCUUUGGGUAAUAAAUAUCUGGUCGGUACGCACCUUUGGUCGGUACUCGUUUAUAGUUGGCAUAUACCCCAUACAAAAUGUAUUACCAGAACUCUGCUCGUGCCGUUUAGCUGAGGAGAUUCGCCCCAGGGUUAAGGUGAGAAGAUAGCUGAGCUCGUACUUUUCAUUUAAUUUUCAGUUUCUUCUUCAGUCUAAAAGAUUGAACUUUAUAAAUAUACUAUUUUAGCCCGGGGUUCAUAGGCACUUUAUAUGAUAGAUGAUCAACCUUUUAAAAAAAUAAUAAUAAUAAUAAAUGAUAAACUUAUAUAUGAGAGUAUUGUGUGUCGAUACAAAUCUUUAAGAUAGUGUUUACUUUCUGGAGUGGGAUUGUGGAGUGUGGAGUGUGGAGUGUAGAUUCCUUCUACUCCAAUGUUUACUUACCAUUUUUAAGGAGGGAGUGAGAUUCUCACUCCGUAGGUCCCACCUAAUUUUGGAGUGGGGGGAGGUGGGAGUGGGAAUCCACUCCUCCCUCUUCCCUUUUUACCCUCAUAAUUAAAAUAAGUAAAUAAUAUCAUAUUUAUUAAAAAUAAUAAUUAUAAACAUAUUUAUUUUAUUAAAUUUAAUAAAAUAAAAAUAAAUAAAUAUUAUAUUUAAAUUAAUAAUAUUAAACAUUAAUUUUAAUAAAUAUUAAUUAUUUAUUUAAUUAAUAAUAAUAAAUAUUUUAUUCUAAGAAAAUAUUAAUUUUGUACUAUAUUAUCAAUAAUAAUGUUUCAUUUGUGUUGCUAUUAUUAAUAAUUUUUAUUCACAUAAUUUAAAUUAAAAUUAAUAAAAAAUAUGAUUUACAUAAUUAAGAAUAUUAUUAAUUAUUAUUAAUUUAUAAAUAUAAUAAAAUAUUUAUUUUAUUUUCCAAAUAUAUUUUUUAUUAAUUUUUUAAUUACAAAUUAUAAUUCUUUAAAUAAGGGUAAAAUUAUAAUUUAAAACUAUUUACUCACAAUUCAAGACAAUGUAAACACAUAAAUUGGAAUUAAUAAUAUUACUAUAUACUCUUUUUAUUUGAAAAUAUAAUAUUAUUAUAUUUAUUUAAUAUCAGUAAUUAAUAAUAAUCAAUAUUUUAUUCUAAGAAAAUAUUAAUUUUGUAUUAUAUUAUUAAUAAUAAUAUUUCAUUUGUGUUGCUCUUAAUAAUAAUUUUUUAUUUACAUAAUUAAAAUUAAAUUUAAUAAAAAAUUAUUUACAUAAUUAAGAAUAUUAUUAAUUAUUAUUAAUUUAUAAAUAUAAUAAAAUAAAUAUAUACUCCCAAUUCUAUACUCUCAUUCCAAUAUAAGUAAACAAUCUACUCCCAUUUUCACUCCACACUACUAAUCUCAAGAUUCUCACUCCAAUUUAAAAUGUAAACGCAGCGUAAAAGAAGAGAGAGAGAGUGAGUGACGACACAAAUGUUGAGACACACACGGAGAGGGUGAUGAUAGAGCUGGCAAAACGGGUCAUCGAAUCGUGUUCGUGUCGUGUCGUGUCAGAUUCGUGUCGUGUCAAAUUUAGGUUGACCCAAACCCAACCCAUUUAAUAAUCGUGUCAAAAUAUUGAGACCCAAACCCGACACGGAAAAAUAAUCGGGUUACCCAAUAACCCGCUUAAUAUCUAUAUAUUAAAUAAAAGUUACAUCAAAUAUUUACACUUUGUUAUACAUAUGUAUGCACAUACAUACAUACAUCCAUACAUACAUACAUAAUUUAUCAAUAUUAUAAAAUAUACAUAUCUACUAAAAUAUUACACACAUUAUUGAUGUUUUAAUUAUAUAUAUGUAAAUAAUAGUAUAUAUCAAUAUUAUAAAAUAUACAUGUCUACCAAUAUUUUAUACAUUUACACUAUUAAAGCUCUAAAUGUAUUUAAAAUUUUAUAAAUAAACUAUUGUGUCUAUAUUCAUCCUUUUAAAGAAUAAAAAAAAAUUAUCCUAAUAUUUGAGUUUUGAUGACAAGAAUCUGUAAAUUAUUUUAAAAUAGAAAAUAUAAUCGGGUCAUUGAUCGGGUAAAUGGGUCAAGAAUUUUAACCCUAACCCGAUACGGAAAAAAAUCGUGUUGACCCGGACCCGACCCAUUUAAUAAUCGUGUUAAAUUCGACGACCCAUACCCAUUUAUUGGUGUCGUGUUCGUGUUGGGUAAUUGGGUCGUGUCAAAUUUUGCCAGCUCUAGGUGAUGAUACAAAACGAGAGAGAAUCAUAGAAGGGUAAUUCUGGCACUCAGAGAAAAAAAAUUGUAUCGACGAUUCCUAGGCCCGCCUUUCUCAAAUAUCCGCUUCGUUAUUUGAGGUAGAAGGGAGAUUAUGGGAUUCAGAGAAAAACAUACACAAUGAAAGGAAUAAAUAACAUUUGUAGACACAUAAUAAGUGAGAAUUUUCUUGUUUAUUUCUUCUCUUAAUCUUGCAAUUUAUUUUGCUACAACCUUUCUGGCACCUUGUUCCAUUUUUUCUAGACCGAUUGUUUGCACAGUGUUUAUAAAAGUCAAAUCGGUUCUGAAGCACAAAAUCUACUCGACUACAUUAUAUUAUAUGAAGUAAACUACCAAACAGACCCUCUUGAAAGUAUGUAUUUCCAUAAAAACCCUCAUAAAUUGAAAUAAUAAUUGUUAUUAUAGCUAAGUGUUCUUAAUGUCAUUUUGAAGCUAUAAUAUAUUAUGAUGUGAUGGGUAUAAAAAAAAAUGCACAUAACACGCAUAUUGUGAUCCGAUGGAUAUGAAUCAAAAUGAUUAAACUACCAAGCCCAUUGAAAUUUGUUGAUGCGAAAAUUUGAGAUGAGUGGUGUGUAAUUGACAACUACUUGAGUUGGAUUGUAGCCCAUCAACAGUUGUUUUUUUAAUGGAAGUGUCUCUCUUACAAAAGCCGAAGCAAUUGAACGGGGAAUAUAGGAGACAAUAAAUUAAUGUACACCUAUCGACAGUCAUUUUUUAAUUUAUUGACUUGGCAAACUCGACAGUCCUUUUUUCUUACAUUUAUAUAAGUUCACCAGAUUAACUCGACUCAUAAGCUAGCUCAAAUACUGAGGAUUAUCUCGAACUUAUAUUAUUAACCUAAUAACUCGGCGAAUGUAUGAUAACGUCUUCAAUAAGAAUCCCAUAAAACGGUGCCGUUAGGCGACGAUACAUGUAAUGGUGGGCAAUCUGUGUGGCUGAAUCCAGUACCGUCGCGUUAAGGUUGGCUCAAAUUAAAUGUUGAUGCUGCAAUGAAUCUGACGGCUGGGAUAGCCGGACUUAGGAGACAACUCUCUGCUUAGGUUCUAGGCCUAUUCCCUUCUUGGGCUUCUCUCCGUCUUCAAACCAGUGUAAAGAUACUAACACCCCUUCACUAUCCUCAUUACACCCUUUUCUUGGAAAUUACAUUUUUAGACAAUCAUACAAUUCUAAUUAAACUCAUUUGUUGUUCCUCUCUCUUCUAAGAAACCCACACAUUCUAUUACUUAUUUUAUCUGCAAAUUCCUUCAUUACAUAGACAUGUCAUUUUCUUUUCUUUUUAAUGUUUGUGACUCGUCAUACAUCCGAUAUUUUAUCGAAAUAACCUUUGCUUCUUUUCUUUUCUUUUCUUACAAAUUUAUUAUUCUCAUGUUUUUUCAAAAAAUAAUUAUUCUCAUACUUAAAGUACACUUUUAAACUAAGGAAAAUUCAAAUAUAUUUAUUUUAGAUCAGGGUUAUCACCCAGAAAUAUUAUUUGUGUGGAGGUAGAAAAUAAGAUUGUAAGAGAAGAAAGACUCCAUUUUAUUUUAGGAGUGAGAAAACACCACCAAAAAAAAAAAAAAAACAACAACAACAACAACAAACAAACAAACAAACUAAAUAGGGUUUAAGAAGAAAAGUGUAUUUUUAGUAUUAAAACUAGUAAAAUUGGAAAUAGUUUCAUCAGGAAUUUAGAAGGGUGGUAGAAGCUCCACUCUUAAAACUAGUUGUUUUUCAUUGGUUAUGGACCUUUUCGUCUUCUUCCGGGGCUUGUUGUAAUUUUCUUUUAUGCCGGGUUUAACCAAUUGUAAUAAAAUGAAAUGCCAUUCAAGAGAGUGAGAUUUCAAUACGAUCCCACAUCUACAAACAUACAUCAAAAUUGAUUAACAUAUGGGUCCGCCUACGUUACAUUUAAUGUAACGUACAGUCAGCCUGUGAAAUUUCAUCCAGCCCCUUAUACUCUAUGUUAUUUAUAUUUUAUUCAUGAAUAUUAUAAAUUUUUUGAAAUNNNNNNNNNNNNNNNNNNNNNNNNNNNNNNNNNNNNNNNNNNNNNNNNNNNNNNNNNNNNNNNNNNNNNNNNNNNNNNNNNNNNNNNNNNNNNNNNNNNNAUAACAAUUUUUAUUAUAAAAAUAAGUUUUAUACCAAAUAUUAAAAAAAAUCUAGAUAAUCAUUAAUUAUUAUUAUUAUUAUUAACAAUUUAAUAAAAAAUAUUAUUAAUUAUUGUUAAUAGAUUAAUUAAUUAUAAUGCUUUUUAUUAUUGUUAUUAAUAAUAACAAUAAUCUAUUUAAAAAAAUAUUUAUGAUUAUAAUAAAUAAUUAUAAUAAUUAUAAUUCAUUUAACAAUAAUUAUAUUUUUUAAUUAAAUGGAGGUUAUUUUGAGAAUUUAAUAUUAUAGGGGCGAAUUCAUACUCUAGGGUUUUAAUAAAAUAAAAUUGAGUAUAAGGGGUUAAACGAAAUUUUAUAUUUCAAAAAAUUUAUAAUAUUCAUGAAUAAAAUAUAAAUAACAUAGAGUACAAGGGGCUAGAUGAAAUUUUACAGGCUGACUGUACGUUACAGUAAAUGUAACGUAGGCGGACCCUUAACAUAUUAUUUAUUACAAGUAGACAAUGGAUUAUAUUAAGGUAUUUUCAACUGAGUAGACACAUUCUAAAUUUUUUUAUGUCGAAAAAUUAUCUCAAAUGAUGUGACAUUCAUUAAUUAGUUAGUGAAACAAAUAAUCAAUUCACUUAAAUCUUAUAAACAUUUACUAACCAACCACUCAAUAAAUGCUAUAUCAUUGGAAUGAAAUUUUGUAUAAAAAAUUUGGGAUGCCUAUCAUUAUUCUUUUUAAAUAUGACAAAAAAUAUAAUUGUACUAUAUGAACAAGUGAUACACUAAAGAGAUACGAAUGAAUGAUUCAUGUUCCAACAAAAUGGAUUCAUAUAACAAAUUAGAACUAAUUAGGAGUUACAACUCUUUCUAAUUAUCCGUCACCUUCAGAUUAGUGGUACAUGAAUAGUAGUGUUGAGAAAGGAACAUACCAAAAAUAAACUACAAUAAUGAGCAAUUAAGCUACAUUUUUUCUCUAUCAGCGCGUAUGUACAACAACAUAACUAUAGGAACUAAUUGAUAUUAUUAUUAUGCGAAUAUGCUUUCCAUGACAAUAUCACUAGUCGCAUGACCAAAAAAUACCGACAUUCACAAUAAUCUCUCAGAGCCCGUUCAGAAGAAAUCAUUCAGUGUGGAGAUAUGAGACAUGAAGAAAUCAAACGUCUCUAACAAUAUAAAUAUGCUUAGUCAUCAAUUUACCCCUUACUUACCAACUAAGAUUUUUUUUUUUUUUUUUAGUUUGGAGAAUAAUAAAGAAGAGAGAAUCUUGAAAACUCCUUCAUUUGCUACAAAACGUGAACUGUUUUCACCUAUACGAGAGAGACGUGAUCUUCUCUUUUAUCUUCAAAAAUACAACGAUUCAUUUCUUUAAUUUGCCUAGUAACAAAAAAAAAGAGGUAGAACGUCAUCAUACUGCCCAGGAACCUUACUAGCUUUCUUUCCUUGCCCAAAAGGAAAAAUAUUAUUCUCCAUUAACAAACAGCUACAAAGCUUGGAACAUCCCGAAACAUUGUUCUCCAUUUCCCCAUCUUUUUAUUAUUCAUGGUAGCAUUGCACUCUAAUUGAGAUAAAUGCAUGUAUCCGCAACUAUAUUAAUUGAGGAGACAAAUUACAAUUUCCCAGGCAUGAUGAACCAAUUAUCCACAGGUACAAUUAAAAUUUCAAAUGGACAUAUUUAUGUAAUUCCUAAAGCCUACCAAGCUUCUUAGUUAAUCUGCUCAAAAUAGAAUAUUCUAUAGCCACAUUUUGAUAAAUUGGGGUUGUUCAAGUCCUAUAUUCUUUGAAAGCUGAUUCUUGGAAUUGGUUGCUGAGUUUCCAAUUAUUAAUUGAACUAUAGUGAUUAACACACACACAUAUUUAUGAUUAAGGUACAGUCACAUGUAAUCUUUCGUUUACUAAUAAACUACAACAUGUUUCUUUUGCUAGCUAGCUAGUUGGUUUUUAAACAUAUAUAUGAAUUAUCUAACAGUAUAUAACAAUACGCAUAAUCCAGGUUAAACUAGAUUAAAUUAAACCGAAGAAUUAUGAAGCUUAAAAGUCACAAAGUAGGCUUUUCUAUUACAGUACUGCAAAGAAUGCAAAUUCAAUUUACCUUCUCAGAUCUCGUAAAGCUAUAUCAUUAAUUGGACCUUAAUAAAUAACCGAAGAAGGAAUUAUAAGAACCCAUAGAUGUAUUAAGUACUUCUCCCCCGAAAGCUUAUAUUCAUGGAACAAAGCAACUUGAGACACUUCCCAAUAAGCCAACAGAGGGACAAAUCCACAAGUCAACAAGAUUUUCCUUUUUCAUGAAUUAAUAGGUCUACCAUUACUCAACAUGCAUUAUAAAUCAUCCAAAAACUAGGAUAAGUAUGGAAAGAAAAAAGAGUGUGUGUGUGUGUGAGAGAGAGAGAGAGAGUUAAAAGGAAUCUGCAUUCAAAAAAGGAAAAAAGGGAGAAAAUAUCGAUCAAACCUCUUCUUCAGGUGAUUUCAAACGGGGGGCAUUGGUUUUUGAUCUAAAGAUGACUCCAUGGAUAAUUAAUUUACUGAAACACCAACACACUAUUUGAAUAUUUAUUUAUUUAUUUAUUGGUUAUGUAAGAAUUAUUUUCAAUAAAAGAACUCGAAUACGGGAAGAGAAAGCCAGGAGACGACACAGAUAAGAGAGUGACUUACAGUCCUGAUGUGCAAUAUGGUCCAAUUCUUCUCAAUGAAGAAAACGUACGACUCUUGUUAUCUUCAAGAAUUAUGGACCAACUUAAACUUGUUAACUGUCACAUGCAUGCGGGGCCCUUUUUUUUAUAUAACACUGUUAUGCCAAUGAUAUUAUAAAUUAAUAAUUUGCUAAAAUAUUAAUGUAAUUGUUAUGAUAAUUUAUUUAAUAAAAUAUGGUAAUAUUAUUAUUAUUUUUUCUUGAAACUUAAAUAUAGUUGAAUUCCUUAUUUAAUUUUCUUAUUGCAUCUAGAAGUUUUGGGAUUCAACUCUCAAAGUAAAAAUUUUGAAUUUAUUUUUUGAAUAAUUUAAUACAUAUUUAGUCGAUUAAUCCAUUUUUAAUGGAAUAGAUUGGUAAAUAUAAUAGAUUUCUAGUUAAUUAAAUACAUGUUUAUUGACUUGCAAAUACAUCAAUUAACUAAUACUUUUUUAAUUAAUAGAUUUUAUAUGUUUCAACACGUUUUACUUCGUUACUGACUGUCGCCAGGGUGCUGGAUAAAAAUGAAAAGCAGAAUAAAUCUGACGCAAAAUUUUAUUAAUAUACCGGUCUCCAUGUCAUAGCCAAUUAAAACAGCCGCUGCUUUCUUGGAAAAUCAUAAAUAUUGCAUUUUAAGAAAUAAGUGAAUAAAUAUUGAAAGAAGUAAAAGAAAGCAGACAGCGUCUAUCAUCGUUUCGUUUUGCUUAUAGAAAGGUGCUUUUCAACUCUUUUCUUCAAAUCAAGCCGAAAUAGUAACUGACAACAACUGCGAAAUAGAAACCUUUCCUUUUUUUCUUUUUUCUUUUUUCUUUUUUGUUGUUUGUAUUCCACGUUGUCGUUAUUAACUAUGAAAAGGAAAGAUAACAUGAAACUCACAAUUCAAUAUUUUGUUGCCCUAAUAGAUACUAGGAGCUUUGCAGUGGCACCAGCUAAACGGAAUAUUUAAUAUCAAAUGACGACCACAACUUCCAGAUUAUCUUCAGACUUUGAACUUGGCUGCAUGUAAUUUUGAAUCUUGUUAGUUUACUGCUAUUAAAAUGUUACACAAGAAAAUAAAAUAAGCAAACAGGUUGUGGUUACGUACCUUAUUUAUAAUUACACUCGAAUAAUGUUCACUUCAACUUGGGAAGGAGCUGGUUUGACAGUACAGGCGAUGAAGAUAGUUGGAAUGGAUGUUAUUACGGUGCUCGUGAGACGUAGAAACCGGUCGAAGCAGCGCUUACACGGAGAGGCUAACACUGAAUAACAGAGUGAUAAGAUUAUGAGACACAAAUACGCCACCAAGAAAAGAGAUGGAGCCAAAAUGAGAGAGGCAAGUGUUGAUAUUGCCAAGAGAACGGAUAGUUUUCCACAGCGUACAGAAAGUUGGCGACCGAUCCUGAGGUGGAGUUUGACGGAUAUGAAGAGGUAGAUCAAUAGUAACAGCAGGACAAGAAUCUGAGAGAAGAAGGGGAGCUUCAAAAUGGGAUAUAACAGAAUCUCACUGGUACCAUCCUGGAUGGCCCAAGAAUUACCAUCUUGAGAUUUCAGGAACAUAAAGAAGAUUAUAAGAUUUAGUAAUGGCAGAAAUAAAUACCUCAAAUCAAUAGAAAAUUUCAUGCUUAUGGUGAUGCUCAAGUUUUCUAGGGGAAGAUGUAUUUAAUUUACAAAAAUGCUAAAUGUUAAGAGAAGAAUGAGAGAAAGGUGAGAGAAGAAGGCAUGUGCUGAGAGAAGAGACAGAGAGAGAAGCAAAACGGCAGACUCACUUUUCUCUCAUUCUUCAAUUUAUAGUGAGCUUUUUAUGUCAUGAAAAAUUGGAAAUUGCGUGGCAAAUUCUUUUGACCAGUUGCACAUGCUGUCCUGUUGAUUGGUUGGUUUUUGGAAACUCGAUCAUCACCGUUUAUUCAAGCAAAGACCCAAAUGGUGAACUAACGGUGAUGAUCGAGUUCAAAAAGAGAAAAAGAAAAAGAAGUAAACAGUGAUGUCUUCAAACUUUUUUUCCCCCCUGAGAAAAAGGCUUUUAAUACAGUUCUUUUCUUUUUCCACAGAUUGGUAUUAUUUCUCAGUGUUUGCUUAAUUUACUGCAAUCAUUUUUCAAAAAGUGUUCAAUAAUAAUGAAUUUUCAACCAUUAUCCUAUACGAAUCAUUAAAUUAUUAAUACUGAUGUUAAUCAAAUAUCAAGUAGAAUUUGUUUUUAAUAGAUCAAUUAGUUAAAGCACAUUUGGUACACUAUUUAGAACUUAUUUUUAUCUAAAAAUUGAUAAUAGGACCAAAUGAAGUAAAUUGUAUUGCUCAUGUCACUGGUACAACAAAUAAAUGAUGUAAUACUAUAUGUUCAUGUAUUUUGAAAAAGUAACAUAUAAGUAGUAAUUAAAUUAAAUUGUACUACUCAUGUCACAUAUUCAAUAAUUUAUUAUAUUACCUCUAAUGUAGGAUAGAUUUUCUCAUUCUCAAUAUAUGCUUAAUUGUAAUAAUUUUUUAACAAUUGUUCAAAGAUAGCUUUGCUCCGGCUGUGGAUAGGGAUGGCAAAACCCGGGUCCGGGUCCGGGUUUUACCUUCCCGGUUCCGGACCCGGACGAUAAAUUUUAAUACCGGACCCGGAUGUAAACCCGGAUAUUUUUCAUCCGGGUCCGGACCGGGUUAAACCCGGAAAAAUCCGGGUUUCCGGAUUCCGGGUUUAUAACCCGGAUGAUUGCUAAAAGAUGCAAUUUCCCAUCUCUUUCUUCAGUGAAGAAUUCCUUUCUAAUCUUCUAUUUAUUAACACCAAUAAUGGAAAAUAAUUCAAAAUCAAAUACUUAGAUCAAAAAUAACAUAUUACACAAAUUCAAUUAUCAAAGAUAAUCAUGAUGUCUCAACCUUGAUGAUGACAAAUUUGGCAAUGAAUGAGGAUGACAAAUUGGGCUUUGUGGGGUUAGGUCAAGAAAAGGGGAAGGAUAAAUGGCGGCUGAUUUUUUUUUUUCCUUCCAAAAAGCAAAUGAACAAACACUGGGAAGGUGUAAAUGAAGAAACAGAGACAAACGCAUUCAUAAGUUCCUGUCAAUUUAUCACAAAGAAGGUUUGGAGGACAAAGCAAAACACCAGGGGGUAGAAGUGUUGGCGGCCAAAUCGAGAUCCCGAUUUGCGAAGGUGGACAAAUGGAAACGGCGGCCAAAACUCGUGACAUAGCUGGACAAACGGCAGCUGAUGAUGAAGAUGAAGAUGAACACGACGAAACGAUGAUGGGCAACGAUGAUGAUUUGUUGAAAAGAAGGGCUAAAGAGAGAGAGAGGAAAUGUCUGGGUUUGGUAGUUUGGCUGCCGCGGCUGUGGAAGGGCAUUAGGGCUGAUUUUUUCUAAUUUUUUUAAUUUUAAAAUGAUUUAAAAAUUAAUAUUAAAAUAGUUAUCCGGGUCCGGGUUCCGGAUAUACGGGUUUAUCUAAAUCCGGACCCGGAUCCGGAAACGUCCGGGUUGAAAAUAUUAAAUCCGGAUACCGGAUUUUAUUCACUCCGGUACGGGUUGAACCCGCCCCGGAUUUUCCGGGUUCAUCCGGGUCCGGGCCGGGUCCGGGUUAAAUUGCCAUCCCUAGCUGUGGAUGUGAUUGACAAAUUUAUUAUUAAAUUGUACAACAACGAAAAAGACAUAAGUUGAAAUUGUUCCCAACGACGUCACAUGUUGACAAUAUGCUGUCCAAAAUUUGACUAUAUCAAAAUUUUCUGUUCAGUAUUAGAAUAGAUUGUGCAUGAUUGGAUGCUAUAGGCUGCUUUUUGUUUUGCAAGCGUUAAUUUAUUUACAAUGCAUCUCUUAGUCUUUUUGUUAGCGGAUUAUAAUAAUAGCUGCAUGCUUGAAGAAGUGCCCAUGGGGGGCAGGUCAAAAUUUUCAAUGGUCAAAGUAAGAGAAGAGGAAGUUGUUUCCUUCCUUUUUUUUUUAAUUCGAAAGUUAUACUGGCGUUUUCUUACUCUUACUUUUUUUCCCCCUUUCUUUCUUUCUUCUUUUUGUGCAUAUGGUAGUUUGUUUUAUAGGCGUUUUUGGCCUAUAAAACAAAAGAAUUUUUAAAAGUUGUGGAUCGUUUUUUCUCUGGACCCAUUAAUUAUUUCUCCAACUUGUACUUGCCCACCUAAAUCUCCGUCCAAAUUUUCAUUGGAUAAGCAACUUCCUCUUCUCUUACUUUGACCAUUGAAAAUUUUGACCUGCCCCCCAUGAGCACUUCUUCAUGCAUGCAGCUAUUAUUAUAAUCCGCUAACAAAAAGACUAAGAGAUGCAUUGUAAAUAAAUUAACUCUUGCAAAACAAAAAGCAGCCUAUCCCUAUAGCAUCCAAUCAUGCACAAUCUAUUCUAAUACUGAACAGAAAAAUGAAAUUAAAUAAAAUUGCUCAAAAUCAAAAUCAAUAAAAUUCAUAAAUUUCAAAAGAAUAUAAAACUUUGAAAUAAUUUGCAAAAAGGUCCUCAUUGUACUAACUUUUGUACCCACUUUUGUGAGAAUAUCAUUGUUGUUUUUUGUAAGGUAACACUCGCCAAUAAGAAAACAAAGUUAAAAACGUUGAUAGAAUGUACCUUGUGGUCAAAUGUCAGACCUGACUUCUUCGAACGAAUUAAAGGCCAACAAUAAAAAUUUCACAUAAAAACAACCAGAAUACCUAUAAAACAGCUUAAAUUAAAAGUUUUCUAACCCGUUCAGUAGGGUUGGCAAUCAAGUCGGAGUCGGACUCGAUCACACAAACAAAGUGCCCGAAUCCAAAAAAACCCUGACUGUUUCACAUUCGGAUCAAGCUAGGGUCAAGGUUGGGCUAAGACUUUCCUGAGCCCAACCAAUUUUUUUUUUUAAUUUUUUAAUAUUUAAAUAAUUUAAAUUUAUAUCCCCUAAUACCAUGGUGGUGGCUGGCACGGCAGCAAGUGGUGCCGAUGAUGGAAGUUGCAACAAUGGCUGUCGUGGGCUCGUGAACUGAGUCGCAAUUUCGGUCAAUUUGGUGGCGGGUUGGUGGCAUGAUGGAAGUUGCAGCAAAGGCCGGAGGCUGACUUCUCUUGCAUUAGGAAUUAGAAUGGGAUAUGUGUUCGUGUGGUGUGAGUCGUAUGAAUGUGAAUAUGUGAUACUGUGAUCAUGUGAUGUGAGUGUGUGUGUGUGUUGUGUGUUCAUGUGCACUGUGCAGACAUCAUGCGUGCGUGAGAUUUUUUUUUUAAAUUUGUUAACUAAUUGGGUUGGGUUGACCCUUAAACUGAAUUUGAUCAGGCUUUUUAAGCCUAAGCCUGAAUUUUGACUCUUAAAUUCAAGUCAAAUCUCAAAAAAUUUGGGUUAUGUCAAUCGGGCCAAAAUUCGAUAUGGGAUUUUUUACUAUCUCUCUCGUUCAGAGAGAUGCCAACAAUUUUGGAAACUUUUUGUUGGACCUUACAUUUAUUUUUUUUUUGGUGUAUUAAAUCAUCUGGUAUUCGAAGGUUUCAUUGGGCCCCGACUAAUCCAGAUUCGAGUUGAGUAGGACCACUAGAGUGGCAAAACUCUCUCAGUAAGUAUUUAACGCAGCUGCAAGUCUCGAACUGAAGAUCUUUGUUAAGUUAGAACAACCUCAUGCUAGUUGAUCUACGCGCUUAUUAGACCUCACGUUUAUACUAUAUCAUAACUUCCUCCACCAAUCUGACAACAUCACAGAAAACAAGCAACACCACAUUUAAUUGUCCUUUUAAGCUAUGAAAAAGCUUCAAGUUUUGCAGGUGCCAGGAUAUAAUGCGAAGGACCACUAGAGUGGCAAAACUCUCUCAGUAAAUCUUUAACGCAGCUGCAAGUCUCGAACUGAAGAUUUUUGUUAAGUUAGAACAACCUCAUGCCAGUUGAUCUACGCGCUUGUUAGACCUCACGUUUAUAAUAUAUCAUAACUUCCUCCACCAAUCUGACAACAUCACAGAAAACUCUCUCACCACAUUUAAUUGUCCUUUUAAGUUAUGAAAAAGCUUCAAGUUUUGCAAGUGCCAGGAUAUAAUGCGAAACCAAUCAUAGAAAAUGUCAUAAGCAAGGGCACAAGCAGAGCAAAGAUCUUCAGUGCCUUAGUGUGAUGAUAAUAAUCAUGAAACAAUAUCAACAGAUGUGAUUUAGGGAUACAUCUCAUAAAAGCAAUAGAUCGAUAUAAAAUAAAUAACUUCAUAACAAAAGAGUUUACAUUGGGAAAAGAAAAAAAAAAUACUGAGGUUAAAGGUUGCGCUCUGGUUAUUGUACUUUCAUUCGUAUGUAAAGUCUCCCAAAUUCUUUAGUCAUGGUGUAAUAGAUUUUCUUAUAUAUAUAAUGAAUAAUGCGGUUGAAAGUAGCCCCUGAACUUAGAAUUACUUCCACUUGUUUAAAAUCUUAGUUAUAAUAGGGCAAGAAUGAGCUUUGGUAUAUUUAAUGAGAUACAGAAAGGUAUUUACACUAUUUUAGCUUGCAAAUUCAACACCUGGUAAGUCUCUCGCAAAACCGGUAUUUAGACGAAUGGACUUCAAAUGAAAGAAUUUUCUUACAAAAGCUAAAAAAAAUGCAACGGCAUAGUCAAAAUUGGAAAAUGAAAAUAUAAAGCAAAAGAAAAAGAUUCCAUCUGAUAAGACAAAUACAAAAAAUCUAAGUUCUAAUUUUGCCAUGCAAUAUUAUUCAUGCAGAAUUACUCUAAUUUAUUUUUCAGUUGUGGAUAGUAACAAUUUAUCUGUAAAUAUCUGUAAAUUUAUCUGCAAUCCAGAUCAGGGAAUCAAACUAUCAUGAGAUAAAUGAUUAAUAUGAAGUAAGAAUCUGAUAAGUAUUUUUUACUGGGUUCCUGCAUUUUUGCCUCAAACCCUGUUUGAUAAAUAAUUAAAAGAGCUUACUCAGUGCUUUCAGAACCAGCCAUGUCAACAAGCCUCAGCCAUCCUCCCGCUGCUGAGAGUUGGGACAGUGAGGAUUUUGUGUGAAAUUCCUCAUUCUAGUGCCUUAUAUAAUUAACAGUUUGGGAGCAAUGCUAGAAUAUUGCACUGUAAUUGAGAUCAACGCAUGUAUCCAGCAAGCAUUCAUUUAGGAGACAAUUACUUUAAGAAACGACAUUAAAAUUCAAGUAGACAGACUUAAAUACCUAAGUAAGUAACAAGGUUCCACGGAUGACAAGAAAGACAAUUUCUAAACAGUGCAAAUGAAAUGACAGUCUAAAACAUGCAUUCAUGCACAACCCAUUAUGUAAUACUACAGAGAAUGCAACUUCACUUUAACUUCAACAUCAUUUAAAAGAUAAUCCAAACCAAAUAAUUUAUACCCCUUCAAUAUUCCAAUAACAUACGGAAUGGAAGACCUGCAGACAGAGAAGGUAUGGCUGUUAAAAGAAUUUAAGAACCCGUAGAUGCAUUAAGUAAUUCUCCUAAAGCUAAUAAUGAAACAAAACAACUUCAUGAAACUAUCAAUAUGCCAUUAGAGGAAUAAAUCCAUAUGUCAAAUCCACCGCCACCUUAAGGUUGGUUCAAAUUGAAUGUUAUUGCAAUGAAUCAGACGGCAGGACAUAGGAGGCAACUCUCCGAGUAAGUUCUGGGCCUUUUCCCUCUUGGACUUCUCUCCAUUUUCAAAUUGAGUGUUGCUAUUAACACCACUUCACUUAUGAAAUUACACUUUUUAGAAACUCUUAUAAUUCUAAUUAAACUCAUCUAUUGUUUCUCUUUCUUUUAACAAAUCCACGCAUUCUAUUAUUUGUUUUUUCGGCAAACUCCUUCAAUACAUUAACAUGUCAAUUUCUAUUCUUUUUUAUGUUUGUAAUUCCUCAUCUAUCCAAUAUUCUGUUGAAAUAACUUGUUUCUUUUAUUUUCCUUACAAAUUCAUUAUUCUCAUACUUGUAAAAAAAAAUUAUCCUCAUACUUAUACGCAACUUCUAAACUAAAGCUUAAAUAUGCUUAUUUUGAAUCAGAAUUAUCACCUAGAAAAAUUAUUUGUGUAGAGGGUAGAGAAUAAGAUUGCUAGAGAAGAUAGAUUUCAUUUUAUUUUAGGGGGGAAAAAUAUUUUAAGUAUAUUUUUGGUAUUAAAACAAGUGUGAUUGACAUGGGGUCGUAAGGAAUGUAGAGGCGUCUUAGAAGCUCCACUCUUUAAACUAAUACUUUUUCAUUUGUUGUGGACCUGCUGGUCUUCUUUCGGCCCGAGCUUGCUGUAAUUUAAUCAAUUGUAAGAGGGAAAUUAUCUCUGAACGUAUGACAAACGAAUUACCAGCUCUAUUUUUUUUAUAAAAAAAAACAACCAUAAGGUGGGGGGUUAGGCAGGACCCCUACCUGUAAUAUAAAUAAGAAACUGAAAUGUACAAAUAAGGAGGGGGAUAUAGACCAUGACCUCCAUAGUAAAUGAAAACACAUGAAAAACCAAGAAUAAAUGGAAGAGAAAGCUAUCAAUGCUAGCGCCUAACAUGAGGGAUAGCCUGAGCAUCUAAAUGGAGAAUAUCCAAUAAGCCGACAAGAAGAUCUUGGGGAGAAGAAAAACGCCUACUGACACACCGAGAACAUGCCCAAUUAGCCAGAAAAUCAGCAGUAGAGGUAGCCUCGUGAAACACAUGUCGGACCAGAAUAGUCGAAGAGGAUAUGAGAGAGCACACCCAACGCAACAAGUGUACUCCCAACGAACAAGACCCUGGGAAUGGAUCCAAGAAACGAUCGUAGCCGAAUCCAACUCCACCUCAAGCGUGAGAUAACCCAUAUGAGCAACAAGCUCCAACCCCUCGCACACAGCCAUGAGCUCAACAUAAAGAAUCGGUUGGCGGCCAAGAAAGGAGCCAAAGGCAGCCAAAACCACACCUCGAUAAUCUCGCAAAAUACCUCCUCAGACAACCAUCCCAGGAUUACCCCUAAAACAUCUGUCCACAGUUAGCUUCAACACCCCAGGAGGCAGCCUCAUCUAUGAAACCAAUCGAAUCAGCCUCUCAGGAGGAGUCAUAACAUGCAAACCCUUCGCAAUCCGAGAACCUAAGACUUCCCUCAGAGCGGAAGGCUUAAAGCCAAAAGUAGAACUAGCUAACCUGAGAUCUGAAUCCAUUUGAAAAAUGAUCGCCUCAAUAGAGAAAGACUACAAACUAAACCGAAAAGCAUUGCGGGCCUUCCGAACUUGCCACAAAAUAAAGCAAGGCAGGAGGACCCGAAUAUGAUGCUGAGAAGGAGCACAUCUCCGCCAAUGAAAAAGCAAAGCAUGAGAAGUAAGAAACCUAAGAGCUCGCAUAUCAAAAAUCCGCUGGAAAUGAUCCCAAACCUAAUGAACCUACUGUCAAUCAACAAAUAAAUGCCUAAGGAUUUACAUAUGACAAAUGAAAUGUCAUUCAACAAUCAACAUAGUCACAGUUCAGUACGAUCCCACGUCUACGAACAUACAUCAAAAUUGAUUAACCGAUUAUUUACUACAAGUAGACAAUGGAUUAAAAUUACAGUAUUCUCAAAUUAUGAGGAAAAAAAAUAACUGAACGAAAAAAAUUUGAGACAAGUGAUACAAUAAAGGUGUAUUUGUCACACUGUAAUGCAUUACAAUGUAUUACAUUAUUUAAUGUAAGCUAAACUAUAUUAUUAUUGUAUUAUAUUAAUACUGAAUAGUAUUUAGCAUUACAUUGUAUUAUAUUAUAUAUAAUCAUAUUUUAUAUAAUUAUUUGUACAAAUUAAUAUGAUUUUGAUUUAUUAAUAUUUUAAAUUUCAUAUUGUUAAUUAUAUAAAAUUUAAUAUUAUUAAUUAUUUCAAAUUUUAUAUGUAAAAAUAAAAUUACUCAAUGCAUUAAUUUAAUAAAUAAAUAUAAAUAAAUAAAAUAUCAUUAAUUGAUUAAACCAAAAAAAGGAAAAUUUACGAAAAUAACCAUAAAAUUUUUGCUAUUUUCACAAUUAACCCUCUCAACUUUUUUCUAUCAAUAUUAGUCAAACACACGCUUUUCUCCCCAAAUUACCCUUCUUUACAGACCAAAAGCAACUUUCUUUCUCCCAUAUCGUCAAACCAAAGGUAGCUUUCCACUCUUGAAUCAUCAACCAACGGCGACGGCAAAAGACAACGAUAAAAGUGAAAUCCGAUCAUAAUCUAUCCGGAUCCAACACUAAUCGGCAUCACUUAGUGGUAUGAGUUAUUUUCUGAACUUGCUCGAGAGUUUCAGUGAAUUGAGUCGUGGGUGAAUCUGGCGACAGCCUUGGUGCGAUAGGCUGGAGAUUCAUUAAAACUGUAUUAAUUUGAUAGGGCUCAAAUAUUUUUUUUUUAUAAUUUUAGGCUUAAUGGAUUCAGUUGUACUUGAUUUGUGUUACGAUGGUUGUGGGAGACAUUAGAGGAUGGCCGUAUGGAGUAUGUGAAUGGUAAAAAUCGAGCUUUUUUGGUUGGGAAAAAUUUUCUGUUUGAUCAGUUAUUGGCAAGAGUAUACGAGGUGUUACAAAUAAACGCUAAUGAAUAUAAUAUCACAAUGAAGACAACUUUGAGGUCUAGUAACACAUUAUAUCGUAUAUGUGCACUGCCCAUGGAUAUAUUUGAUGAUGAAAUGGUGAGGGUUGUGUUGCAUGUGGCAUCCGACGUAGCCAAUUUUGGAUGCAUUCCUAUAUUCGUGACCACAUCACCUCGAGUUCCGAGCGAAGCUAUUGAACCACAUGUCGAUACAGAAACUUCGUUUAGAGCAAAUAUGUUUGGCCCCGAUAAUGAAGAAGAGGUGUUGCCAAGGACAAUAUUGCUACAGCAAUAUUACUCUCCAAUCCACGACAAUUAUGACAACAUUGAUGAUAACGGCGUUACAUUACAGGAUGUUGGAGCAACGGUAUUUCCAAUAACGACGUCGUUGGAGUAAUGGUAUUCUCCGUAUUACAACAAUGAUUUUCGGGACAAUGAUGAUUUUCAUGAUGAGACAGAAGGGGAUAAUGUUUAUGCAGAACCUUCUAAUAAUACUAGGGGCACUUAUUUCAAUAAUGAUGGUGAUGAUGGAGGAGCCGGUCCUUUGAAUGUUCUGUCGUUUCAGUAUGAGGAUGAGUGUGAAGACAAUACUCUUGUGAAUAACAGAGGCAAUAGACCUAUUCCUUCUAUGGUUCGGUUGAGAAGGAGAAUUGACCCUUACAAGUCUUGCUUCAACUUUGCCUUCGAACAUGGUUGCUCCAAGCUUUGUUAGCAGUUGUGACUCAGAUGAUAUAAGUGUGGGUAAGCUAUUUGCUGAGAAGAAUGAGUUUAUAUUACAACUACGCAAGGUUGCCUUUAGGGAUAAGUUUGAUUUCAAGAUUGCGCGGUCUACUAUGACACGUUUCGAGGCUCACUGUUGUUCAGAAUAAUGUAAAUGACGUAUUCGAGCAACUAGAUGUUCGAACGAGCAAAAUGUUCCUUGGGCGGUGCAGAGAAUUGACAAUGUACACACUUGUCAUAAUGAGGUAUUGGUUGAUAGACGUCAUCAAGUAAGGAGCCGGGUUGUCGAUCAUAUUAUCAUAGAAAAAUAUAUUCAAGAUAAGAGGAUUUAUACCCCGAAUGACAUAAGAGCAGAUAUACAAUAAGAAUACGGUGUUCAGUUAACAUACCAGCAGGCAUAUCGGGCGAGAGAAGUUGGUCUUGAAAUAGUUCGAGGCAACGCUAUAGAGUCAUACAACUUGCUCCCUAAAUACUCUCACAUAGUAACUACAACGAAUGAGGGUACAAUUACUCACCUCGAGUAUGAUGGAGAUGGUAAUUUCUUGUACUAUUUUGUAGCACUCGGAUCUUCCAUCAAGGGUUUUAUGCAAUAUAUUCGGCCUGUCAUUGCUGUAGAUGGUACUUAUCUGAAGGGACUAUAUCGUGGAAGCAUGUUCGUGGCAACAUGUCUUGAUGAUAACAAUCAAUUGUAUCCGUUAACCAUUGGGAUCAUGGAUUCAAAAAACAAUGAUGCUUGGGAAUGGUUUAUGAUGAAGUUACACGGAGUGAUUGGCGAUAGACCUGAGUUGGUAAUUAUCUCUGAUCGAUGCACUGCCAUAAGGAGAGUCGUUCUUAAAGUAUUUCACAAUGCAACUCAUGGCAUUUGUUUUUACCACAUCAAAGGUAACAUUAAGUCAUAGUUUAAAAUGUCCAAAGCUCUUUGGGAUGAAUUUGAGCCUCCCUUUAUUAAUGCAGUAAAAGCAUAUGGCCACGAGGAAUUUAAGAGACAACUUGAAGGGUUGUGGAUUAUCCACUCGGGUGCAGCUGAUUACCUAGAAAAUAAUGUCGGUACGUGUAAUUGGGUAAGGUCUCAGUUUGAAGGUAGGAGGUAUAGCAUACUUACCACCAACAUCGCGGAGAGUGCUAAUUCUUUGAUGAGGGAACCUCAAAAAUUUUCUGUUACUCAUCUUGUUGAUCACUUUAGGAAAACAUUGCAGCAAUGGUUUUAUGAUAAAAAAAUUGUGGCUGAAUCAAUGACUACUUGGCUAACAACAUGGGCGAAUGAAAUAGUCACUGAGAGGAGAACUAUAGCUGAAAGAAUGAUAGUUCGGCCGGUGUCUCUGCAUCGAUUUCAAGUUAUAGGUGGUGGGCUUAAGGAAGGUUUGGUUGACUUGCAAAAAAAAACUUGCUCCUGCAGAGUGUUUCAGCUUUAUCAGCUUGUAUGUGCUCAUGCAAUUGCGGCGUGUCUAACACACCGGGUGGAUUUUAUUAACCUUUACUCGGACUUUUACACUACAGAAUUGUUGGCGAUGGCUUAUGCAUAACCAAUGGAGCCAGUUGGUGAUGUGGCUGAUUGGGAAGUUCCAGAUGAAAUUCAGGAUAUGCAAGUAUACCCACCAGUUGAGGCACCACCACCUGGCCGUCGUAAAGAGCUCAAAAUACCCUCGGCUGGCGAGGACGUUAAUCGGCGGACUGUAAGAUGCGGGCGGUGUCAUGAACUGGACCAUAAUCAUAAGCGAUGUAAGAAUCUCAUUGUGUCGACUCGAAGUUAGUUGUAUUAUUUCAAUGAUUCGUUGGUUAAAAUUGUUGUUGUUUUUUGUGUUUCGUUGGUUAAAACUGUUAUUGUUUUUUGUACAUUGUACACUUAUAUGUCAUAAAACUUUAUUUUAUUUUAAAUAUUAAAAUGUGAGCAUUAAAAUUAUAUAAACUUAAGUGCGCAAAUUAAAAUAAAAAUUCAAGUUUCAACAUUCAAAUUACUACAACUGUUUACAAUAUAAUAUCGUCAUUAAAUAUAUCAACCGCAAUCUUCUUUCUAAAGUACUCGACAUGACUAUCGUUAAACUCCAAUCUAAGCCUGAACAUUAAAUACAUCGUAACCAUCAAUACAAAAACACCGCAAUUACCAGUUCCGGACUCUUGUUGUGGCGCGCUCUUAACUGUGAUAACUUUCCAGGGGUCUGCACUCCGCAACUCAGGUCGGAUGUUGUAGAAGCCAACAUAUUCCAACCAUCGAGGGAAUAUAACUUCAAGUAGCUUGAAUUUCAACUUGUACCUUUUGUCAUCGCGAGAUGUGAGUAAUGAGUCAUAAAUCCAGACUUUAUUUUUCCGAAAGUCAACUCGUGCUACUACCCAAUGCGCGUCGUCCAAGUUAACAGGGAUGAGUAACUGUAUAUAAAAAUUGAAAAAUAUGUUCGUAAUAUAUGAAAUUAAAAUACAACUAAGAAAAAGCGACAACUUGGAUAUUUUCCUUAUGGAGUAUGUGAAAUGCAAUAAAAAACAUACCAUAUCGACAUCCGUCAUUGAUUUGGACAUUGUGUGUUGUCGCCCACAAAGAUAACUAUUCAAGCGGUCGUCGAAUACUAAUGAAUCGACCGCACAAUCCCUGUUGCUUCAUAACUGAUUCAAGAACACCUAGUACAUAGAUAACCAAGAAAUGUAUAAAUUAACAAAACUUAAAGGCAAUAAUUAAAAAAAUAAAUAGUAUUUAUAAGUUUUGUCGGCACGUUACCCAAAAAACAUGUAUCAGUAUGUUUGACACGUUGAAUUAAGGCAUUCAGAUACAGCCGUUGUUUCUCACUAAUCAAGCGGAGAUACUCGUGAAUAUGCUGUAGAGAAACAAAAACAUUACGAUUUAAAAGAUAAAAUUUAUAAACAAAUCCACAACACUCAAAAAACUUCAAAAAUAUAAUUACCUUAUCGCCUAGCCAUCCCAUCAAAGUUAAACCCAAAAGUAUUUGAAAGAAUGACUGCGGGUACUGGACUCUCCAAACCACUGUCAUAUCACCAGCGAACCAUCGAUCAAACUCAGCAAACAGACUAGAAUCCUCCAAUCCUCUCAUUGGAUUUAUAUCUACACUCGUAUUCAUAUCUUGGGUAUGGUCCAUGAUUUGGGGUCGAGGUAUAGGUCGGGCGUUCUUUCCUCGCCUGAGUGGAGGAAUCAUGUAAGGACUAUUAUAAACAUACGACGGUAUGUACGCGCGGCCGAACUCACUAAUGCCCGAAGGCACCUCGGAGAACACCUGCACGCUCUCCCCACUAACAUCCCCGUAGAAACUAUACAAUGACGUGGGCGUAGACAAAUUUUGAUUGCCCACGUCAGUAUACACUCCAUAGUCAUCCGGGGUCUGUCCAUUCGCCAAGAUGAACAUAUUAGACAACUAUUAAAUUAAAAGUUAAAUGAACAUAAUUAUUAAAUUUAAUUAUGCUCACCGCAUACGAGCGUCCGGUGGGAGAAUCUUUAUUUGGACGUGUAGAAAAUGUGUCAAUAAAGCCAACCAUGGUUUCUUUAAAAUAGUAUAUCCGACUUCAAUUCAUACACGUUCCAAUCAAUCUUAUCCAGCCGUCGUCGCACGUAAUCAUUAAACUGCUUUGUCCUCGACUAUUACAAAAGAAAAUAAGUAAAAAUUUAGCAUAACAAUAAAACAAUAAUGAUUAAUAAAAGAAGAAUAUCGUAUAUUAUUUAUAACCUCAAAAUCAUGUGCGUCAUCAGAGUCGGCAUGUGUCUGCUCCUGGUGGUCAUCAACAGCCACCUCAUCCUCAGAAGUGUCAUGACACUGCUCUGGUGUUGGGUUUUGUAUGUUGUCAUGCUCGUCUGAUUGCCUUGAAACUGACGGCAUCGCAUUAAUUGAUGGUUGGUGGUGUAUAAAGUAUCAUUUAAAACUAAUAAAUGAAAAGUCAAAAAUUUUGAUUAAAUAUAAUUUAUAGUACUUAGAUUUAUAACCGACCUUAUGAACCCAAUCUGGAAUGCUUGGCAUGUAAUCUUUCAUAGUGAGCCAGUAUUUUCUGCUACUCUCCUUUGAAUUUGGCUCAAGGGUUUGUAAAACAUCCACUUGCCAUAAAUUCAAUUGAAACUUUUAAGUAUACAUAACUUAAAUUUAGUAAAGUUAAAAAAAUAACUAAUACAUAUUACUUACAAUACAAGAUUUGUCGUUGAAGAACGAAUAAACCUCAGCAAAGUUGAUUCUCGAAGACGCCAUGGGCUUCCAUUUGACGAUGCGGGGAAUCUUGUUCUUCGUUUUCAUGACCCAUGUUGACGGCAAACCUCCGAUCGCUUCGUAAAUCCAAGCCUGCAACAACCAAAGUAAAAAACCUAUUAACACAUCUAUCAAAUAUUUAAUACUAUAAAACUUAUUAAUAAACAAAAAAAUAACGCACUUGAACCCCGGACGUAAAGCCGUAAAGAUUUUACUUUUCAAUGUUAUGAUCUGGGUUUUUCAACCGAGUCGUCUUAAAUUUCUCGUCUUUCUCGAACAGUGUAUCGUCAAGACUAUCGUAUACCAUUUCCCACGACACACGACCCCAUGGACGGUUUCGGAAGUACUGUAUAUCAUCAACUUCGUUAAGCCAAUCGAAAUUGAUUUGACAGUGAUUUUUUCUUACAUUUAGUACUCUGUCCGCAAAAUAAAAGAGCGCAAUCUUUAAUGAGUCCAUAUCAUCCAUUUCCUCGAAUUUCAACUCCUUAAAUAAUGCAUCGAAUUCCUUAACAUUGAUCUUGCGAUGCACACCACCAAAGUACGUUUUCCAUAGCCUAUCUAUUUUUUUGUCAUCUCUUAGUUCGGUAUCAACACCAUAUGAAAGUCCAGUAACCAGGCACCACUUUACAAUUGACAAGCGAAUCAAAUGCUCACUAAUUUGAAACCAUAACUGAUCCUCACGGCUAUCUUCUUCAUGGGCCACUUGCCUCAGUAAAAGAUUGUGCAAAAUUACCCCACUAAAUGGAAAACUUCGACACUCCAAGAAAUGCCCAAAUAUAUCCUUCUUGAACAUAUUCAACUACCGCUUUGUUAAUUUUUCAUCGAUGGCCUUUACGACCGAAGAUAAAUUAUACAUACUCGAAAUUCGACCCGGAAAGUGAUCGGCAUAACGAAAAUACAUCCUGCCUACUUCAAUAUCAGACGAUUCUGAUUUCGUCAUGUAUCUGUAAUAAUUAUAACAUUAUUACAUUGUAUUUACAACAAAAACAAAAUAAAUUGACUUGACGAAAAAAAAAUUAUAAAGCCACUGUAAUUUGGUGCAACAGGCGCGGUUGUCACACCAUUUUUGAUGUGACAGGCCGCGCCUGUCGCACCAAAUUGGUGUGACAGUACCCAUGUGCGCGCGUGCCCAGUAAUGGGUACGCGCGCGUGCCCAGCAAUGGGUACGCGCGCGCACUGCUGCCCAGCGAUGGGCGCGAGCUAGCGCCCGUCACUUGGGCGAGCGGCACGCGCUCUAGCGCCCUUCGCUGGGCAGCGAUUCCCUCCUUAAGAAACACUCCCAAAUUGAGAAAGAAACACUCCCAAAACAACAAUAACCACCACAAUCACCACCACCACCAUUAUUCUCAAACUACAAACAUUAUUAUUCUAAAAUUUCAAUUUAAAUUAAUGAAAAUAAAAAAAAAUAGCUAACUUAGGUUUUGUUGAAGACUGUAGAUGGUAGAUCGAACGCCGAAGAGGAAUGAAGCCGCUGCCGAUGAUGGGAGUUUGUUCGGUUUGGGAGAGAUGGGUGAAAGAGAGUGUUGGGGGAGAGAUGAGAGAGAGGGGUAUUUUGGUCUAAAAGGGUCUUUUAUGACUAAUGUUGAUAGAAAUUUGUUUGGGGGGUUAAAAUGAAAAAAGCCAAAAUUAUUAUGAUUAUUGGUGUAAAUUUCUUCAAAAAAAAGGGCUUUAAAAAAUAAUUUAAUGCAUACCGCGGUGGGGAACGGUGUUUCAUUUUUGCAGAAAACCCGCAUAAAGCUUUUAAUUAAUGAGGUACAAUGCGUCUCAUUUAUUUCGCCAAACACUUCAGUUAAUGUAGGACCUACUAAUAAUACCAUCCAAUGCAUCAUGCCAAACAUGGCUGAAUUCGAACGGUGUCGGUAUGUCAAUUUGCCAAUAAAAGAGAUGCAUUUAACAAAAUAGAACUAAUCGGGAGGUAUAACUCUUUCUAAUUAUCCUCCACCUUUAGAUUUGUUCCACUGAUAUAUGAAUAUAGUAUUGGCAAAGGAACACACCAAACCUAAACUAUAAUUGCGCGUAAUUAAGCUAAAUUUUUUUACUAUCAGUUUGACCAAAAUAAGAUUAUGUACAACAAAUAUAACUAUAGGAACUAAGCGAUAUUAUUAUAAUGCGGACCAUAUUAUAAUAAUAUGAGAGCGGAAGGAAUCAGACUUUUUUAAAAAUAAAACAUUAAAGAUUAAAGAUUUUCUUUAAUGUAUCAGCAGCAACCAUCAAGAUUUUCGUUCGUUCAUGUCAGCUACCACACGAGCAGAAAGGCAAACAGUAUGUGAUUAUCAAUCUCAAUAUAGAUGCAAUGAUUUUCAGCAACUUGCAUUACCAAAGUCAUUCUCUCAAUUUUCUCUAUGCUUUAAGUCAUCAAUUUAUCCCUUACUUACCGACUAAUAUUUUAUUUUUUAUUUUUUAUUUUUUUAAUUUGGAGUCUAAUAAAGAAGAAAGAAUCUUGAAAACUCCUUUAUUUACAACAACAGUUCAAAGCCCUAAGGGGUAGGUGACACAAAAUGUGAACUGUUUUCAUCUAUACUAGAGAGACGUGGUCUUCUCUUUUAUCUUCAAAAUUAAUGCAAAUUAAAGUCUAGAAAAAUUGUGCAGCCAAAGACUCCAAAAUCUUCAUGCAUGUAAGUGACUAUGCCAUUGUGUUGGACUUGAGGAAGGAAUCAAAGAAAAACAUAACCAUUAAAUUCUACAUGAAAUUAUCUUGAAAUCUUACACAUAUAAAAAUUCUUUGGUCAUCUUCAACUGCUAGUUCUUCAUUAUUAACUGGCACAUCUGUUUUCUCGAUAAUUUUAUCUUGCACAUCAUGAAUAGUAUAUAUCUCACCUCAAGAAAUUUCCCAGUUAAUGGAGAUCAAUUUAUACAUCCACAAGUAGGGGCGGAGACAACAUAUUGAUUAACUGGAGGUUUAUUCAACGGCGAUAUAAAAAAAUUCAAAAAGUAAUAAAUAUAUAAAUUUGAAAGAUUUAUCCUACUUCAAUAUAUGUUUAAAAUUGUUCUUUACGAGUUUUCAUACAUUGAUAACGUUGUAUUAUAACUUCAUUAUCAAUAUUAUUAAAUAAGUCUUUUUCUAGGUAAACAAUCAAACUAUCAUUCAUCCAUUACUCUUCCAUUUGGUUUCAUAAUUGAUUCUUCAAAAUCUUCAUGACUGAAAAUGCUCUCUCUACACUAGCAGUGGCAACAGGUAAAGUCAAUGCUAAUAUUUUAAUAAGUAAACCAAUAGACAUACCUUAUGUCUCUUAGUCUCGACCAUUUGCUUUGCAAGAUCAUUAAUAUCUUUUAAUUGUGAAAACUCACCACUAGUGUGCAUAUCCAAAAUAUAUGUAUCAAGUUGAAUUCCAAGAGCCAUGAUAUCAAUUGCAGAGAACUCAUCUGGAUACAACUGAGCUAGCCGUAAUAGGUUCUGCUUGUUGAAAGAAAUUAAAUCAUCUGGAUAAAUUAUUCUAAUUCUAAUUCCUCAUUUAGAUUCUAGAUAUUUCGAUUCUAACUCAUUAUGUUUUCAAUUAAUUUUGAUUCCUGUGCUAGUGAAUGCAUCUUAAAAUUCAUAAUACUUAUAAAAAAUUGUAAAUAAUAUAAAGCGGUCUAAUUGAAUAUAAAGUGAUUUACAGUUUUAUAGUGCAUUCACUAAACAGGAAUCGAAAUUAGCUGGAAACAUAAUGAGUUAGAAUUAGAAUAGCUAUAAUUAAAAUGAAGAAUUGGAAUCAAAAUAAUUAAUUUACUUGAACUGUAGAAAUCGUAAAUAGAAUAAACUGUAUUACUAUAUAUGUGUUUACUUUGUCUUAGAAUAAAUAUCGAAAUGAGUCAAAUUGUAACAAAUUACUAUAAAUACUUAAUUAAUUUUAUUAUAAUUAUUAUUUUGUAUUUUAAUUAUUGUUAUUGGUAUUAUUAUUAUUGACAUUUUAACUAAAAAUUAUUAUUAAUUAUUGUUAAUAGAUUAAUUAAUUAUAAUAUUUUUUAUUCUUGUUGUUAAUAAUAAUAAUCCAUUUAAAAUUUAUAAUUACAUUUAUAAUUAUAAUAAAAUAAUUAUUAUAAUUAUAAUCUAUUUAAUUAUUAAUAUAUUUUUUAAUUAAAUGGAGGGUCUGGACAAAUUGGUACUCUAAGGGUUUCAAUAAAAUAAAACAGAGUAUAAGGGGCUCAACAAAAUUUUACAAUACAAAAAGUUGUAUAAUACUUAUGAAUAAAUUAUAAAUAAUAUAGAGUAUAGGGGUUUGAAUGAUAUUGUUCAGGUCAGCCGUAAGUUACGUUAAAUGUAACGUAGACGGACCCCGUUAACAAUAUAAGCUUUCGCACACGAUCCAAGGUCUUGACGAUUGACCAGCGUACGUAUCUGUCUUGAUGAAAACUUUUUCUGAAUGAUGGAUUUGAUGCUAGGACGCAUCACUACAUUACCCUUCGCAAUACGCUACAUGGUUUUAUCAUUUGAUGGUGAGACUUAGCUACAAUAUAACAAUGGUACGAUACCACUUCUUUUAUUUUUUGUGGCAGCACUCCUGUAAAUUUACAUAUAACCCCUUUUACUCAUUUUUAUUUAAACUUUACUUCAUAAAUAUUAAGUUAAUUUCUACUGCAUCCAUAUAAAGUAUAAACAUUUUAAUUAACACCUUGUACUAUUUACUAUUUACUAUUUACUAUUUACUAUUUACAAAUUUUUUUCUAUAUUGCACCAGUAUCACAAUACCCUAUCUCUUUACUAUUUUGAGAUUAAAUAAUUAAAAUGUUUAAUAUAGAACCUUACAUUUUUUUUUAAUAUUAGGAUUUUUUUUAAAUCCAUUAUCAAAUUUCAUUUAACACUCUACACUCUUUCUAUUAUAAAUUUUUAAUAAAUAUUCUAGUACAUUUUACUUACAUGCAUAAUAAAUUAUGUAAUCUCAAUAGUCUUAUUACAAAAAAGUUUAUAAUUUAGCACUCAUUUAAUUUACUGUUGUAAAUUUUUUUCUCCUUUAAUUUAUUGUUAUAAACAAUAGUUCAUCAUCUUUAAAUGAGUGCUAAAGUAAUUUUAUGUAACAUGGAUUGACAUUAUAUUAUUAAAGAAUUUUAUUACUAUAUAUGAAGGAUAAAUUUUUUUUUAGGAAAUUAUCAUUCAUAUACCCUAUAUUUAUUCUGUUAUCAAAAAUACUACAAUAUUUUAAGGGUGUAUCAAUCGUCCACCCUUAGUUGACAAAAUGUAUCAGCCGACCACCAAACCGUUAGUUGCCGUUUGAAAGUUAACGAAGUUACAGUGAAUUGACGAUUUUACCCUUGAAAAUUAUCACUUGUAUACCCUUAAAUUCUCUUUUUAUCACUUGUAUCAUAUGAAAAGACCAAAUUACCUUUCUGACGUCAUCAUACUUAAACGGCAAGUAACGGUUUGGUGGUUAGCUGAUGCAUUUUGUCAACUUAGGGUGGACGAUUGAUAUACUCUCAAAGUGUUGUAGUAUUUUUUAUAAUGGAGUAAACUAAAGGUAUACAAAUGAUAAUUUCCCAAUUUUUUUUAUGGAAUUAUAGUAAAAGCAGCUCCCUUUAAGGAGAAAAAUUUCAGAGCAAAAAUAUGAAUAACCGUACAAAAACAUGGAAAGUUCCACCAAACAGUGCAGUUUACUGAUGUGAGAAGACAGAGUCAAUCAAUUUCCCUGACUUCCAACCUUCAACUUAAUGCAAUCAAAGUCAUUACCCUCCUAUCCUCACAAUAGGAUAAGAUUUUCCAUUUAUUGCGUAUUUAACUACAGUUCUAGACUAUAGUGUUAUAGAGAUUGUUGGCAAAAGAAAAACAGAUCAUUCUUGUUAAUUUCCCUAGAUGAUCAGUAUGCUCUCAAUCUCUAUUAGGGGUGUUCAGAAUCUAAUUCAAUCCGUCUUAUCUGUAGAAAUUCGAUUCGUGGAUUGGUGGAUUGGAUUAGAUUGAAAAUUUAAUAAUUCGCAAUCGGUGGAUUGGAUAUGAAUCUACUUCUAUAAAUCCGUAAAUAUCCGCGAAUCUGCAAAAAAAAAUAAAAAUUAAGGAAAUUAUCAACCAUAUUCCCUUAAAUGACAUCAGUAUCAAACAUGCUACAACACUUUUCAAGUAUAUCACUCGUAUACCCUAAGUUGACAAAACACUUCUGCCGUCCACCAAUCUGUUAGCUGCCGUUUGCAAGUGCUGACAUCAUAAGGGUAAUAUAAUCUUUUUAGAAAAAUGACAUGUCAUCCCAUUUAUCGGAUAAUUAUUAAUAAUUGCUAAAAUAAAAAAAGCUACUUUACAACUGAAUCUACUCCUCCAAAAUUUAAUCUAAAUUUUUGAAGAUCUAUUCCUCCAAACUUCAACUGAAAUUUUUUAUGGUAUAAUAUGUAUAAUUGUAAAUUAUAUGUUGUUAAUAAUUUUUUAUGACAUAAUAUGAAUAUGUUUUACGGAUAAUUGUUAAUAAUAUGUACCAUUAAUAAUUCAUAUUUUUUUAAUAAAAAAUAUAUUGUUAAUAACAAAAUAAAAAAAUUGUGUAUUGAAAAUUUACAUUAAUUUUUAAGGUAAAUUUAUUUUUUUACCUCAUUUUGAGUUUCAAGGGCGAAAUAGUCAAUUUGCCACAAUUCUGUUAACUUUCUAACGGAAGUUAACGGAUUGAUGGACGGCAGAAGUGUUUUGUCAACUUAGAGUAUACGAGUGAUACACUUGAAAAAUAUUGUAGCACGUUUGAUACUGAUGUCAUUUAAGGGUAUAUGGCUAAUAAUUUUCCUAAAAAUUAUUUAUUUAAUUAAAAAAUAAAACUUGUAAAUAUGGCAUUAGUACUUUCUAGUAAAUAAAUAAGUUAAAAUAUAGUUACAUUAACACUAUAUUAUAUCUUAUCAGAUAAUAAUAUAAAAUAAACAAUAACUAAAUAAACAAAUAUAGAUUUCUAAAUAGUUAAUUUCCAUGUACUGAUCUAAACAAAUGUGUUUUUUUUUUUGAUGUGUUAUAUUUUCAAACUUUAAAUGUAUUUUCUAACCUUAUUUAAACAAUUGAUUUAUUUAAACCUUAUUUAAUUUUAAAUUUGAUUGUAAUAAAAUUAUUUUUAUAUUAAAAAUUUUUAUUUAGUUAGUUCGUGGAUUGGAUAAAAUUAAAAAAUUUCGGUCUGCAAACCAAUCCGCAAAAUGGUGGAUUAGAUAUGGAUUGGGUCAAAUCCGCAUCUUAUCCGCAGAUGUACGGAUUGGAUUUGGAUUUGGAUUGAAUUUCACCAAUCCGUGUAUUGGAUUGGAUUGAAAAUUUAUAAUCUGCAAAAUCGUAGAUUGGGUAUGGAUUGAUGUCUAAUUCGUAAAAUCCGAUCCACGAACACCUCUAAUCUCUAUGCUUAGUCAUAGAUAUACAACCAUGUCAAAAGCUAGCCCCUCCCAACAAAGUCCAAACUGAUGACAAAAAGUGAACAUUGUCCCACUGACAAGAAACUUGGUCUUCCCUCUUAUCUUCAAAAAUGCAAUCUUGCCUAGGAAUGGCAAAAGGUCGGGUCGAGUUGGGCUCGGGCUUGACCAAGCCCGAACCCGACCCGAUUAAAAAAAUUUGAAACCCGACCCUAAAAAAACCCGAACAUUUUAUAGUUAGGGUCAAGUCCGACCCGACCCGAAUCGAGUCAACGUCGGGUCAGGCCCAACCCGACCCUACUGAAAUAAUUUUCAUAUUAUUUUAAUAUUAAACUAUUUUUUUAAUGUUUUGUUUUAUAUUCAUGUUAUUUUAAUAUUUUCUUCUAUACAUGCACCUUAAUUCAAUAAUUUAGCAACUCAAAUUUGUAAAUAUCUUGUAAUUUUAUGACCACAUCCCAAAUUCAUUCAUGUUACUUUUUAAUUUUUGUUCUCUUUCUAGUUAUAAUACCAUGAAUAUAAAACAAAAAUAAUAAUUUUUCUAAUUUAAAAUAAUUAACAAGACAAAGGCAAAAUAUACAAUAUAAUUAAUCACAAAAUAAUUCACAAAACAACCAAUUAAUAGGAAUAAUUUUUUAAAUUUAAUUCCAUAAUCCAACUUUAAACACACACAAUGCGAUUAAAUUAAUAAAAAAAACACAAUUCAAUUCCACAACCAUUUCAACCACACACACAAAUCAAUUCCAAAAUGAAAAACAUGAAAAACACACAAUGCAAUUAAAUUAAAAACACACAUGUAAUUCCAUAACCAUUUUAGCCAUACACAAUUCAAUUCAACAACCCAACAUAAAAAAUAAAAAAUAAAAAACAAAAAACUCACGUCUUAUACAAAUAAAAACACACAAUUUAAUUCUACAACCCAACAUUAAAAAAAAAAUCUUAUACAAAUAAAAACUCAUAUUUCGGGUUGGGUGAUGUUGUGAUGUGUGGGUGUGUAAAACUUGUGUUAGCUUUUCUUUUUCUUUUUUUUUUUUAAAUAGGGUUGGGUCGGGCCGGGUCAGCUUAAAGCCCGACCCCGACCCAAAAUUUGUUAGGGCCUAAAAAAUUUGACCCUAACCUGAUCUGAGACCUGAAAAUUCAAGUCAAAACCCUAAAAAUUAAGGUCGGAUCAGUCGGACAAAAAACAAGGUCGGGCCAAAUUGCCAAGCCUAAUCUUGCCGAGUAACCCAAAAAGGAGCUAGAGCCUAAGAACCUUAGCUUUCUAUCCUUGCCCAAAAGCAAAAACAUUUUUCAUUAGCAAAGAGCUACAAGAACUUGGAGCAUCCUAAAACCAAUAACAUAAUUGAGAAUCAAUGCAUGUAUCCGUAAGCAUUUAUUUAGUACCAAAACCAAUUUUAAAUAUCUGAUAGGCUUACUUAAUUGCCCAAAUUCUACCAAGCUUUUCAGUUAACCUGCUCAAAAUAAAAUCCACAGGUACAUUUAAAUAAAUUGGGUUAUUUAACGCCUAUAAUCUUUGAAACCUCAUCAAAUUGCUACCAGAAGUAAUCCAUACCAAACAAUCAACACAUGAAAUACUAAAUACUUCUCUUAUUACUACUCAUGGCACAAAACAACAUCAAAAUAGGCUCAAUAUACCAUUAAAAUAAUAAAUCCAUACCAAUGACAAGCUAAAUAUGACAUCUUUCUAGAAUUAAUAAUUCUGCAACCAAAAAAGCACAAUAAUUAUCUACAUUCUAAAUAAUCCUAAAAACAGGACAAUGACUUAUUUAUGUCAUAAAAAGGACCUACAGACACUUAUCUUUUAAUCUAUUUUAUUUCCCAGCAAAAUCAAUAUUCUUCUAUUCUUUCUUCAACAGGAAAACAGGUUAUGUUACGGUAGUCGUUAGGCAGUAGGCAAAACACUUGAUAACUAAAUAUAUAAAAAGAAAUAAAAAAGAGUUAAAAAAAUUACAAAAGUUAAAAUCGAAAAUACAAAAAGAUUAAAAACGAAACUGCUUGUGAAAAAUGAAAAUAUCAAACCCCUUCUUCAGAACAAUUCAAAGAGGGAGUUGCUGGUUCUUAAUGCAACAGUAAGUAACAUGCCACUGAAACCCCAACCUUUAAACAUAGAACUUGAACUCAGGAAGAGAUAAAAGAAAAAGACAACGAUGACUGAAAGAGUCAGACUGAGAGAGAGUCACCAAUAUACGGCACUGGUCAGCUCCCAGUUGAAUUUGCAAGUUUGGGUUCGAGUCCCAGUCCCACAGGUAGUGAAAGUAGGUAGUUAUCUUAAGUUCCUAACCAGCUGAAGUAUCAAAACCUGUUUGUAUAAGCCUGCACAAUACAAGUUAACCAUCAGCAAACGAGGGGGCUGCAGCAAGAAACACACAUCAUGUACUAAUUAUAAAACAUGCAAAAUUAACCUAUUUUAUCAGUCACAAAACCCUUUUUCUUUAGAGAUAAUAUCCCCAUAGCAACUAUAAAUAUGGAAAAAAAAAAUGACCACAAAGUAGAACAGUCUCCUCCUUUUCUCCAAACAAAUACAACCAUUUCAGUUCACACCUAAGCUGAGAACCAUUCUAGUUUCAAUUUUCAACCAAUGAAACAACCAUAGUAUUCUUAUAAAAAAAAUGAAAUAACCAUAGAAUAAAAUAAUUAUACUCUAAUUCAAAUAUUGCUUCAGAACUUAGACUCAAUUGGUCAAACCUAUGGAAUUGGAAUGACGCAUUUAUUUAACCCAAAAGGUGAAAGUCAAGCUUAAGGUUCUUACAUAUCGAAAUGAUCAAAUUUCAUCCAUUCUGAACACGAGAUGCAACUUUUCAAGUUAUUCCAAGAAGCAUUAAAAGAAAUUUGUCCGUCCUACAUGGGCUAAGUAGUAUACUUUAGCUAGUAUCAUGCAUCAUCGGUUAAAUCAUUUGGAUUAUUAACAUUGAUACUUUUUAUUAGCUGAAUUGAUAACUUUUGCACCCUAACUUAAGGGCAUAUGUGAUAAGAAAAUUUUAUCUACAUCAGGUGCAAGUAUAAGCUUUUAACAAUUAAGCUGUGACUGUUUGCUUUCAGGAUCAAACGUAUACUAAUAGAGAUGAAUAAAACCCAGCACUUCAAGAAAAUUUUGACAUUAUAUCCCCUAAAUGUGGAUAUUAUCCAAUAUAUCAAACCAGCAAUUUUUAUACCCGGCUGCUUAAAACUUCAAAAAUAAAAAAAGAUAAAACAGAACCUUCUCAAGUCAACACUACUAUGAGCAUUGGUUAAUACGACAUUUGGGGCCUCUGGUACCCUAUUACUAUAACACUAACAGAUAUAAGUGCAUCCUACUAACGUAGCUUAGUCAUUCUAAAUACAUGUAUUAAAAAGCAUAAUAUCUACAAAAAGGUAGCUUACUAAGUUUACUAGGCCAGCAAUGCCAAAGCACAACCAGAACAGUAACAAAAAUAGAUGAAGACGGUUCUUCAUUACAAAACACAACUUUCAAAAGAUGUAAUCUCCAUGUUAAACCCCAAAUCGAAAUCAAUCCUCCACUCACCACAAUAUUUUUCACCAUCAUUGCCCAAACCUGAAAAGUAAGGGGUGAGCUAACGCACAGUUUGUAGUUACACACAACAAAGGAUCUUUUUUUUUUUAAACACCCAAAUAAUUCGCACAACUUCGGUACAUUUCUAACAUAAACCAUUUAUAUGUAUAUAAAUAUAUAUAAAAUAUUAAUUUCUUAAACUUUUUAAGUUUGAAAGUUGGUAUUCAACAGAAAUGUCAUAAGACAAGAUCAUAGCAACAUACACACAUACAAAUAUAGUGUUGCUCAUGCUUUCGGUAGUUAUGCAUAAAGAAAUCCUAAAAUUACUCUUUCAAUUAUACAAAAUAAAAACAUGCCUGACAAGUCCGUAAGCUGUAAAUCCUCAGCAAACAUUUUCCCCCAAUAUUAAUUUUGAAAAGAAAUACCUCACAUACUUUUGGGGCAUUAUUCGCAGGGCCACCACCCAUGAUUUCUUUUGUGGACUUUCACCGCGGGAUAGAAAUCUGACAAAGGUCAAUCCAGCAUAGCGUACUUUUGGGGCAAUAUUCCCAGGGGCCAUCGCCCAUAAUUUCUUUUGCGGACUUCACCUCGGGACAGGAAUCUGCCUAUCACCUAUCAACCUUCUCAAACCUCAACUUAAAUAAAAGGAAUAAAAAUUAUUAUUUCAGUUUCCUUACAAUGACACACCAGACCCAUGAUACUUCUCAAUAACAAUAGUUAUAGAUAACAGAACCUCAUCACAUCCCCAGUUUAACAACACAUCCACAAACUUAAACCGCAAACAUAGCACCAUAUCAUUGCAGGAUACAUAAACACAAUUCAGCUACACUUCCUUAUGAACGGAUUUGUUCUUGGGACGCCCAUACACCCCAAAACGCGUCUUGCCAAUUAAGGUGUGGAUCACCCCUUAUAAACCCAGCAUCUCUCCCGUGCUUUGCCGAUGUGGGAUUCGCCUAGGGUGUUACAUACACCCCCCCUUGGGGACUCAGCGUCCUCGCUGAGGUUUGCCCCACCAUCGCUCAAGAGGACACGCGGAGCCGCUCUGAUACCACAAUGUCAUGACCCAACCCAGACCUGGCAAGAUAUUGUCCGCUUUGGGCCUUAACAAGGCCCGCACGGAUUUGUUCUUGGGGCGCCCAUACACCCCAAAACGCGUCUUGCUAAUUAAGGUGUGGAUCACCCCUUAUAAACCCAGCAUCUCUCCCGUGCUUUGCCGAUGUGGGAUUCGCCUAGGGUGUUACACCAACAAUUUCCAAAACUUUUUGUUGGACCUCACAUUUAUAAAUUCUCAAAACUUCCUCCACCAAUCUGACAACAUCACAGAAAACAAGCAACACCACAUUUAAUUCUCUUUAAGUUGAUGUGAGGAUAUAAUGAGAAACCAAUCAUAGAACAUGUCAUGAGCAAGGGCACAACCAGAGGAAAGAUCUUCAAUGCCUCAGUGUGAUGAUAAUCAUCAUGAAAAAACAUCAACAGAUGUGAUUUAGGGAUACAUCUCAUAUAACAACCUUCAAAUGAUCUUAAUAUACAGCGAUUGAUAUAAAAUAAAGAAAGAGUUUACAUUUUUUUUUUGGGGGGGGGAAGGGGGGGAAUUACUGAAGUAAAGGCUGAGCUUUGGUUACCGUUCUUUCAUUUGUAUGUAAAGUCUCUCAAAUUCUUUAGUCAUGGCGUAAUAGAUUCUCCUCUAUACAUAAUGAAUAAUGCUGUUAAAAGAAGCCCCUGAACUUAGAAUUACUUCCACCUCUUUAUAUUCUUACUUAUAAUAAGGCAUGAGUGAGUUUUGGUGUAUUUAACGGGAUUUUGAAUGGUAUUUACCCCCAUUUUAUUUUGCAAUUACAAAACCUCGAAAGCCUCUUGCAAAACCUGAAUUUAGAUGAAUGGACUUCAAAUGAAAGGAUUUUCAUGCAAAAGCUACAAAAUACAAUGGCAUAGUGAAAAUGGAAAAAAGAAAAUAUAAAGCAAAAGAAAAAGUUUCCAUCUGAUAAAACAAAUACAAAAAAUCCAAGUUUCUUAUUUGCCAUGCCAAUAUUAUUCAUGAAGAACUAAUCUAAUUUCUUUUCCAGAACUAAACCAACUUGGUUACUACGACAUUACUCUUUCGCUUCUACGACAUUAAUCUAAUCAUCUUUUCUGGUUAAGUGAUUUCGUCAGCAAAUAAGACAAAAUAGAAAUUCUGAAAUAAACCUAGGGUUUCUAGCUUUGGGAAUUUACCUAAUGAGAAAUCAGUCUCACUGUUUCUAGAUUUGUAACCUCAGUAUCAUGGCGGCGCGACCUCGAUCAGCUGAGAUAAUCAGAUUUCGUACCGGCGACGAUGCAAAUGUUUGGGUUUGGGUUUGACGAUGGACGAAGGAAUGUUGGGGUUUUGGGUGGUUUAAGGAUUUUAUUUUAUUCAAGCAAAGUGACCAAAUUAACCUUUCAAAAUAAUUAAAGUAUCUCUAGGUUGUUAUACACUGAGAGGGGUAAAGAGUCUUAACUGUGACUACACCCUGAAUUUAAAUUAAUCGAGACCAAUGCGGUCGUCGAAAAUCGGGUGGUUUAAAUAAAAAUAAAUAAAUAAAUUUCUGCUCGUGUAUUUAUGGUACACGUGAGUUCGUGUGGAGAAAAACGAAAACGGGAUAAAAGAAAAAUUCGACGCAAAUUUUUAUUAGUAUGCAUAUGUAAGUACAUUAUCGAAUAUGCCUUAAACAACUGCCUUUUUUCCUGGGACAAUAAAAAUAAAAGGGGCGGAUGCAGCACAUGACCAGUGGGGGCUUGAGCCCCCACUGGCCAAAAAAAUUUAAAAAAAUAAAGGAGAACAAAUUUUAAAAAAUAAAAUAAUUAAGCCCAUUAAAUUUAUUAAAAUAGUCACUAUCAAAUAUAAACCCAAUAAAAUUUAAGUUUUGACUUUUAAGAAAUAUAAAAAUUUAUAUUUUAAUUAAAAAUAAUGAUAAUCUACCAGUUAAAAUAUUUUAUAUUUUAAAAAAUAUGAUUAAUUCUUCCAGUUUAUAUAAUAAUAGUGAAAUGAAUAUUUUCAGUAACAAAACUCAUGAAGAAUCAUCUUUGCAAUCAGAUGAGAUAAGUGAUAGUUUAAUUAUUUAUAUAAGAAAUAAUAAAUUUAAUAAUAUUAAUAAUGAGUUUAUUACAUAACAUUUUUAAAAUAUAAAAAUGCAUAGAGACUAAUUAUAAAUGUAUUAAUAAAUAUUUUAUAUAUUCAAAUUUUUAAUUUUUUAUAUUUUACUAUUAUCUAAUUUAGUUCUCGAUAAAUUAUUUUUCUAGAUCCGCUUAUCAAAUUAUAUAUAACAAAUAAUACAACAAAAGAAUAGAAGUACAAGUAGAAAGGCAGUAUCUAGGUUGUCUGCUACUCGGCUUCUAGUUCCACCCAAGAUACAUCUUCGUUCCGGUAACCAAGCACAGACUCUGUUACUGCUAUAACUAAUUUAUCACAUGACUAUAAUUUCCAGAACACCUUGCGCUUGUCCAAUGGGUUGUUCAACUUGAGGAGGAGCUAGCAGAUGUGCGUUGACAGAGGUGACAAUGAAGACAGCGAGUCGUCGAAGCCAGUAGAAGAAGUGCUGAAACAGAGAAGCGAACAUUGCAUAACAGAGUGAUAAGACUAUGAGGCACAAAUACGCUACCAAGAACAGAGACGGAGCCAAAAUGACAGAGGCCACUGCCGAGACAGCCAACAGAACAGAGAGUUCUCCACAACUCACGGAAAUGGGUCGGCUCACUUUGAGAGGAACUCUGAUGGGUGUGAGGAGGAAGAGCAGUAAUGGGAUGACGACGACAGGAAUCAGGAACCAGAACUGAAGCUUUAAAAUUGGAUACAGAAGUAUCUUACUUGUACCAUCUUGGACGUUCCAAGAGUUGCCAUCCUGAGACUUGAGGAACAGAAAAAAGAUUAUAAGAUUCAGCAAUGGAAGAAAUAGAAACCUCAAAUCGAUUGAUAAGUCCAUGCCUGUGAAUCAGAUUUGGCAGAGAUGAUUGAGUUUAAUUAUUAUGAAUAAGAUUUGGCAAUGGCGGAGUUGAAUGAAUAUGCUGGAGUUGAAGCUCCAUGAUACUACGAGGAAAUACUUAUAGAGCUAAUUUGAGGGUAAGAAACAAAGCAAGUCAAAACGAUUUGGUGCCGCCCUCUGUAGAUCGUUAAGACAACGUGUCCUCUUUCCUCAGAGGAAUUUAUAAGUUUAGUAUCUUUCUCAUUUUACUAAGUUAAUAAUUUAAUUAUUUAUUCAUUUUACUAUUUCAGAAAUUAUAAAAUAAUAAAUUGGUGCGGGAAGUAUUAGGAUAUAACAUUUUACACCAUAUAAUACUUCAGGAAUUGUUGAAUAUCCUCAAGAAACCUCACAUUUUACUACAAUUCUGUUAAUUAAAAUUGACUUGUAAAAUACCAAUUUUUCAUGGUAAAAACUAUAAAUUAAUUAAAAUAUCUCGUUGUUUGUAUAUACCAAUAUAUGAAAUUAAUUUUGAGAAUCGGUUCUCUCUAGUUUUCAAUUAAUUACUGAGUUUAAAUUUUUCCACUUGCUUCUUGUUUAAUAAUGCAUGCAUGGAUAUGUAUAUUGAUAUAAUAAUGCACAUAACACGUAUAUCAUGAUCCGAUGGAUAUGAUUCAAAAUGAUUAAACUACCAAGCCCAUUGAAAUUGUUGAUGCGAAAAUAUGAGAUGAGUGGUGUGUAAUUGACAACUACUUGAGUUGGAUUGUAGCCUAUGCCUAUCAACAGUUGUUUUUUCAAUGGAAGUGUCUCUUUUACAAAAGUCAGAAGCAAUUGAACGAGGAAUAUAGGAGACAAUAAAUUAAUGUACGCAUCGACGGUCAUUUUUUAAUUUAUUGACUUGGCAAACUCGACAGUCCUUUUUCUUACAUUUAUAUAAGUUCAUCAGAUUAACUCGACUCAUAAGCUAGCUCAAAUACUAAGGAUUAUCUCGAACUUAUAUUAUUAACCUAAUAACUCGGCGAAUGUAUGAUAAUGUCUUCAAUAAUAAUCUCAUAAAACGGUGCCGUUAAGCGACGAUACAUGUAAUGGUAGGCAAUCUGUGUGGCUGAAUCCAGUACCGUCGCCUUAAGGUUGGCUCAAAUUAAAUGUUGAUGCUGCAAUGAAUCUGACGGCUGGGAUAGCCGGACUUAGGAGACAUCUCUCUUAUUAGGUUUCAGGCCUAUUCCCUUCUUGGGCUUCUCUCCGUCUUCAAACUAGGGUAAUGAUAUUGACACCCCUUCAUUAUCCUCAUUGCACCCUUUUCUUAGAAAUUACAAUUUUAGACAAUCAUACAAUUCUAAUUAAACUCAUUUAAUGUUUCUCUCUCUCUUCUAAGAAACCCACACAUUCUAUUACUUAUUUUAUCUGCAAAGUCCUUCAUUACAUCAACAUGUCAUUUUCUUUUCUUUUUAAUGUUUGUGACUCGUCAUCUAUCCGAUAUUUUAUCGAAAUAACCUUUGUUUCUUUUCUUUUAUUACAAUUUAUUAUUCUCAUGUUUUUUCAAAAAAUAAUUAUUCUCAUACUUAAAGAACACUUUUAAACUAAGGAAAAUUCAAAUAUAUUUAUUUUAGAUCAAAGUUAUCACCCAAAAAUAUUAUUUGUGUAGAGGUAGAGAAUAGGAUUGUAAGAGAAGAAAUACUCCAUUUUAUUUUAGGAGUGAGAAAACCCAAAAAAAAAAAAAACCAACAACAACAAACAAACAAACAAACGAAAUAGGGUUUAAGAAUAAAAGUGUAUUUUUAGUAUUAAAACUAGUAAAAUUGGAAAUGGUUUCAUCAGGAAUUUUAAAGGGCGGUAGAAGCUCCACUCUUAAAACUAGUUGUUUUUCAUUGGUUAUGGACCUUUUCGUCUUCUUCCGGGGCUGCUUGUAAUUUUCUUUCAUGCCGGGUUUAACCAAUUGUAAUAAAAUGAAAUGCCAUUCAAGAGAGUGAGAUUUCAAUACGAUCCCACAUCUACAAACAUGCAUCAAAAUUGAUUAACAUAUUAUUUAUUACAAGUAGACAAUGGAUUAGAUUAAGGUAUUUUUAAAUGAGUAGACACAUUCUAAAUUUUUUUAUCUCGAAAAAUUAUCUCAAAUGAUGUGACAUUUAUUAAUUAGUUAGUGAAACAAACAAUCAAUUCACUUAGAUCUUAUAAACAUUUACUAACCACUCAUAAAUGCUACAUCAUUAGAAUGAAAUUUUGUAUAAAAAAUUUGGGAUGCCCAUCAUUACUCUUUUUAAAUAUGACAAAAAAUACGAUUGUGUAUAAAAAUAUAUAUAAACCAGUGAUACACAAAAGAUAUACGAAUGAAUGAUUCAUUUUCCAACAAAAUGGAUGCAUAUAACAAAUGAGAACUAAUCAGGAGAUAAAACUCUCUAAUUAUCCUUCAUCUUCAGAUUUGUUCCAGUGGUACAUGAAUAGUAGUGUUGAGAAAGGAACAUACCAAAAAUAAACUUCAAUAAUGCGUAAUUAAGCUACAUUUUUUUCUCUAUCAGCGUGAUCAAAAUGAGAGUAUGUACAACAACAUAACUAUAGGAACUAAGUGGUAUUAUUAUUAUGCAAAUAUGCUUUCCAUGGCGAUAUAAAUAUACUCUCCAUGACAAUAUCACUAGUCGCAUGACCAAAAAUACCGUCAUUCACAAUAACCUCUCAGAGCCCGUUCAGAAGAAAUCAUUCAGUGUGGAGAUACGAGACAUGAAGCAAUCAAACGUCUCUAACAAUAUAAAUAUGCUUAGUCAUCAAUUUACCCCUUACUUACCCCCUUACUUACCAACUAACAUUUUUUCUUUUUUUAGUUUGGAGAUUAAUAAAGAAGAAAGAAUCUUGAAAACUCCUUCAUUUGCUACGAAACGCGAACUGUUUUCAACUAUACGAGAGAGACUUGAUCUUCUCUUUUAUCUCCAAAAUUACAACGAUUCAUUUCUUUAAUUUGCCUAGUAACAAAAAAAAAAGAGGUAGAACGUCAUCAUACUGCCCAGGAACCUUACUAGCUUUCUUUCCUUGCCCAAUAGGAAAAAUAUUAUUCUCCAUUAACAAACAGCUACAAAGCUUGGAACAUCCCGAAACAUUGUUCUCCAUUUCCCCAUCUUUUUAUUAUUCAUGGUAACAUUGCACUCUAAUUGAGAUAAAUGCAUGUAUCCGCAACUAUAUUAAUUGAGGAGACAAAUUAAAAUUUCCCAGGCAUGAUGAAUCAAUUAUCCACAGGUACAAUUAAAAUUUCAAAUGGACAUAUUUAUGUAAUUCCUAAAGCCUACCAAGCUUCUUAGUUAAUCUGCUCAAAAUAGAAUAUUCUAUAGCCACAUUUUGAUAAAUUGGGGUUGUUCAAGUCCUAUAUUCUUUGAAUGCUGAUUCUUGGAAUUGGUUGCUGAGUUUCCAAUUAUUAAUUGAACUAUAGUGAUUAACACACACACAUAUUUAUGAUUAAGGUACAGUCAGAUGUAAUCUUUCGUUUACUAAUAAACUACAACAUGUUUCUUUUGCUAGCUAGCUAGUUGGUUUUUAAACAUAUAUAUGAAUUAUCUAACAGUAUAUAACAAUACGCAUAAUCCAGGUUAAACUAGAUUAAAUUAAACCGAAGAAUUAUGAAGCUUAAAAGUCACAAAGUAGGCUUUUCUAUUACAGUACUGCAAAGAAUGCAAAUUCAAUUUACCUUCUCAGAUCUCGUAAAGCUAUAUCAUUAAUUGGACCUUAAUAAAUACCCGAAGAAGGAAGUAUAAGAACCCAUAGAUGUAUUAAGUACUUCUCCCCCGAAAGCUUAUAUUAAUGGAACAAAGCAACUUGAGACACUUCCCAAUAAGCCAAUAGAGGAACAAAUCCACAAGUCAACAAGAUUUUCCUUUUUCAGGAAUUAAUAGGUCUACCAUUACUCAACAUGCAUUAUAAAUCAUCCAAAAACUAGGAUAAGUAUGGAAAGAAAAAAGAGAGAGAGAGAGAGAGUGUGUGUGUGUGUGUGUGUGUGUGUGUGUGUGUGUGUGUGUGUGUGUGUGUGUGUGUGUGUGUGUGUGAGAGAGAGAGAGAGAGAGAGAGAGACACUACUAGAAAAAUGGGCUACCAUGACAGAGAAUAUCUGUCAUCCGACCCCUCCUAUGACAGAGUUUCCAUCUGUCAUUGUAGCCCGUCUCACAAAUCUGUGACAACAUUUUAUCUAUCACAUGUUCCCAUGACAGUGUAUAUUUAUCACACAUGUGUCACGAACCAAGCGACGUCAUUUCGAAAGACUUUCGAGAAUUAAUUGGAAAUUUUAGCGGGUUAUUUAAAUUAUUUUGAAUUUGAUGGGUUUCUUCAAAAGCUGUCAUAUAUCAAUGAUUCACAUUCUCUGUCAUGAGAUUUAAGGUUUAAAAAAGAAUAAAAUUAUUAUUUUUAAUUUUGAAAUUAUAAUAAUAUUAAUUAUUAUUAUUAUUUAAAUUCCAGAAUUUUGAAAUAAAAACCACAUUUAAAACUUGAAUUAAUUGAAAUAAAAAUUACAUUCAAAUUCAUAAAAACUAUCAAAUACCAAAUUGUGUGAUGCGCUAAAAAUUUCAAUCACUUGAAACUUCCAACAAAUAGCAUCACAAAAUAUAUGGUGAAUCAAAUCCGUAUACAAUAUCUAAUAAAUCCUUUACAAUAUCCAAUCACCAACACAUCACUAGAAAAACAAUUAAUCCAUAAAAAAAACACUCUUAGAAAAUUCCCGAAAGCCACCAACAUCACCUGAAACAUAGGUUACAAUAAAAUGAGUGCCAAAAAAAUACAUAUUAAUAUAUUGCCCACUUACAAUUAAUCAAAUUCAUAAUAAAAUUCAUCAGUGUCUAAUUGAUUUAAUCAGCUUUGAUACUAAAGGGAAAAUGAGAAUAAACAACCCAAGAGAAAAUAGAAAAUCACAUUCGACAAUUGACAUAAUGAAGCAGUAAGCUCACAAGCUGUAAAAGAGAAAAAGGGAAGAAAAUAAAAAUGAUGAUAAAGCAGUAUAACCUGAAUGCUUAUGUAGCAGUGACAGUUGACUAGGUCUUCCUAAGAGUUGCUGGAUUAUAAAAGAUUAAGUAUAAACAAAAUAUUUUGCAACAUAGUACAUAGUAAAGAGAAAUAUAAAACCAAGUGCAAUUAAUGCCAAAGACGAGAAGAGAACUUUUAGUCUAGCCUUCUACAGAUUUCAAUUCUAAAUUUCUAGAUGAAUUUUUUUAAAGAGUAGUUUUUCAAGACUACAAUUUAAUUAAUGCACAACAUCUAACCUUCCAUAUAUAAUUAAAUAAAAUCCAUCAAAAUCAAGCUAAUAAAAAGAAAGGAAAAAGUUCUAAAAAUACAAAAGAUAAAGAGAAAAUGUAGAAAAUUCUGGAAUCACCAGAAUCUCCUCAAUCUACCAACUUUAAUACCAUGAUUGUAGGCUUGCCAAUCUAAGCCCAAAGCGUAAAGCAUAAUCUAAAGUUUCCAGUGGGUGAAGAAAUGAUGAUCUCUCAAUCAAUUCAAAAGGCAAAGACAUUGUCGAGCGCAUAAAUUGUUAGCUUCUCUUCUACCACAUCAGAUCCUUGAUGCAAAAUUCAAUGGGCAAGUAAAGGGACACAUUGAGAUAAAUAUUGGUCAAUUUAAGAAUUGAAAAUGGUGGAAAGAAGUUUAAAUAUUAGGACAGUCCAGACCAGGGGUUAACAUGAUAAUGAAAAAUUAUAAAUCUCAUGAGUUAUAUAUAUACAAAAACCAAAAAAAGAUAGAUAGGCUGGAAUCUCUUGGUUCUUAGGAGCAAAAGUAUCAUUAUUUAUGGACCAGCUGUUUCAAUUUUUCCAAAAUUACAUCUUCAAUUUAGCUUUACAAGACCAUUCUUUGCUCUGCUAGUUUACCUAGUCACCAACUCUGAUUGUCCAUUUAGGAUUGAAUCUAUAUACUCUUAUAUAAUGUCUCUUCUGGAGGAAAUAAGCAGAAAAAAUAUUCUAACUAGAUGAGACCCUUUAGUGUGAUGAUGCUACGCAAUGGAUGCUUUAAAUGCAUCCAAUUUAAUUUAUGAUGCUAAAGGACCACCGAGUACUGAGGACUAGUAAGUGCAACAUGGACCACAAACCAAAACAUUUCCAAUUAACAUAGCACAAUAUGUGACAAAUCAAAUUGAAAAAAAAAAUCUUCCAAAAAGUUCAACAUGUCAAUUAAGAGAAAAAUAAUAGGAUGCACAUUAAUACAUCCAUAAACAGCCUAGUUUCUCUAUCAACAAGUUAGUCAUAAGCACGAGUCAAAAUAAAUCAUUUGACUGAAAUGGUAGAAGACCAAGCAAAUAAAUGCAAGUACCACCACACAAAGCAUUUGCAUUUCCAAAAGUGAAUUUCAUAAAUUUUUUGCAGAAGAUAUCUUUCUAAUAAAAAAAAUAAACACAAGUACCAGUCAAUUGUAAUGGGUUUGAGAACCACAUAUACCUCUAAAUUUGAUUAAAACCUUGAAGUCACAGAGGAAAUUUUUCAGUGUGUUAACAACAUUGAUAUUCAGCAAGGCUUUGUGUAUGAGAUUCAGCUUGUGCAGCUUGGGCAGUGACCUGUGCUAGGGCCUGCUAGUGCUUCAUUCUAAAGGCUCCCUAGGUUGCAUCCAAUGAAUCAGGGAAAUUAGUAAUAGAUGAACGCAAAAUUUGGAUACCCAAGUAACAUAAUGCCAGUGAGGCAUGACAUACAAAGCAAUAUAGACAAUACAAGUUAUCACUCACUCAUUCAAGCUCUGGUCAUCAAAUUAUAACCGGAAGCUAAUACUCUUUCAUUCUUGGUUGCUAAUAAAGUUGUGACUAGAUUGGAGAAUUUCUCACAUAUUUGGCUUAAAGCUACAUAAAGAUCUCUAUAUCUUAGAUAUGGGAGUUAAAAGUGUUCACUGUUUACAUGAAGACAAUUGGAUCUCCAACACUAGUAAUACCAAGAGCUUUUCUUUCAUUAAUUGUUUGCAUUAACCAUAUGCUUCAUCUAAAAAGGGAUGAAACUAAAAUCAGGAAAGAAAAAUGCCCGAUUACCAUUAAAACUUGACCUGGAUAGCCUACUAUCCAGUCCAUUUGGAUAUUUAGAAUACCAAAACAAGAUGAGAUUAUCUCAGCAAUGCACAAUCACAUUACAACAUUGCUCAAAAUGUUCUUCUUUCAGAUUAAUUAAGUCAAGAGUUUUUAUCCCAAUUACAGGGCACAUUUAUAAAUUCUAUAGUAAACGGUUCAGCAAGCUCUAAUUCAAAAUUCCAUAGUAAAUGCUUCAGCAAGCUCUAAUUCAAAAUUCCAACCGACUGCUAACAAAUCAAGGCAAUGAAGAAAAUUCUCCAUCCCUCCAAAAAAAAAAAUCAAAAUUCAAACCCAAGGAUUAUUAGAAUUUAAAUGCGAAACCCAAUAAAAAUGAAAGCUUUCCUAAACAAGCUAAAAUCUAAUGAAUAAAUGAAGAAACUUUAAGUCUGACAAAGUUAAAUUGAAUUACCUGUGUAGGCGAAAGCAAACUGAAAUUUAGCGAGUCAAGCAGAAUUGCGGGGCUCAACCUGGGCGGCACCUCAAAAAUCGACGGCGGUUGAGCAAUCACCAGACCAGCCGAUAUAUUCUGAUCAGAAAACCCCAAACCCUAGUGUACAAAUGAAGGAACCCAUCAGCUUACUUCUCACAAAAGAAGACAGUAACAGCAACUCGAACUCGAAGAAAAUCUAAAUUAAGAAGACAUUAGCUAUAGCUCGGAGUUGAAGAAGGUAGCAGGCUAACGGCAACAACCAUUAAGUUGCGAAACAAAAGGAAAUGGGAAUAGCCAGCAAGCUAGAGAUCGGGGAUGAGGACGAAGACGAAGACGAAGAGCAGCAAUUUGUUGUCGGCAAGCAGCACAGCAGAUGACCAAAUCUGUGUAGGCAGCGUGAUUGUGUGUUUGUGUGUGAUUAGGUUUGGAUUAAGAAAUUAGGGCUUGCCAUGUGAAGCCGAAGGGGAGUCCAACACUUAAAUUUUUUUUAUUGGUAUCAAGAUACGGUGUCGUUCCAUGCCCAAAUUGGCCCAUUAUAAAUUCAAUGUUUCAUUAAAUAUUAAUAUGCUAUCAUGUGUAUUUGAUAGAUAAAUAAACUAUCACAAAUCUAUCAUGUCUUUACGAUAUAUGAACAUUCUAUCACAUGUCUGUCAUAUUUUUAUGAUAAAUGAUUAAUUUUUUAAAAUCUAUCACAAAAAUUCUAUCAUAGUAGCCUAUUUUUCUAGUAGUGAGAGAGAGAGAGUUAAAAGGAAUCUGCAUUCAAAAAAGGAAAAAGGGAGAAAAUAUCGAUCAAACCUCUUCUUUAGGUGAUUUCAAACGGGGGCAUUGGUUUUUGAUCUAAAGAUGACUCCAUGGACAAUUAAUUUACUGAAACACCAACACACUAUUUGAAUAUUUAUUUAUUUAUUUAUUGGUUAUGUAAGAAUUAUUUUCAAUAAAAGAACUCGAAUUGGGGAAGAGAAAGCUAGGAGACGACACAGAUAAGAGAGUGACUUACAGUCCUUAUGUGCAAUAUGGUCCAAUUCUUCUCAAUGAAGAAAACGUACGACUCUUGUUAUCUUCAAGAAUUAUGGACCAACUUAAACGUGUUAACUGUCACAUGCAUGCGGAGCCCUUUUUUUUAUAUAACACUGUUAUGCCAAUGAUAUUAUAAAUUAAUAAUUUGCUAAAAUAUUAAUGUAAUUGUUAUGAUAAUUUAUUUAAUAAAAUAUGGUAAUAUUAUUAUUUUUUUCUUGAAACUUAAAUAUAGUUGAAUUCCUUAUUUAAUUUUCUUAUUGCAUCUAGAAGUUUUGGGAUUGAACUCUCAAAGUAAAAAUUUUGAAUUUAUUUUUUGAAUAAUUUAAUACAUAUUUAGUCGAUUAAUCCAUAUUUAAUGGAAUAGAUUGGUAAAUAUAAUAGAUUUCUAGUUAAUUAAAUACAUGUUUAUUGACUUGCAAAUACAUCAAUUAACUAUUACUUUUUUAAUUAAUAGAUUUUAUAUGUUUCAACACGUUUUACUGCGUUACUGACUGUCGCCGGGGUGCUGGAUAAAAAUGAAAAACAGAAAAAAUCUGAAGAAAAAUUUUAUUAAUAUACCGGUCUCCAUAUCAUAGCCAAUUGAAACAACCGCUGCUUUCUUGGAAAAUCAUAAACAUUGCAUUUUAAGAAAUAAGUGAAUAAUUAUUGAAAGAACUAAGAAGUACAUGAAAGCAGACAGUGUAUCAUCGUUUUGCUUAUAGAAAGGUGCUUUUCAACUCUUUUCUUCAAAUCAAGCCGAAAUAGUAACUGACAAAAACUGCGAAAUAGAAACCUUUCCUUUUUUUCUUUUUUCUUUUUUGUUGUUUGUAUUCCACGUUGUCGUUAUUAACUAUGAAAAGGAAAGAUAACAUGAAACUCACAAUUCAAUAUUUGGUUGCCCUAAUAGAUACUAGGAGCUUUGCAGUGGCACCAGCUAAACGGAAUAUUUAAUAUCAAAUGACGACCACAACUUCCAGAUUAUCUUCAGACUUUGAACUUGGCUGCAGGUAAUUUUGAAUCUUGUUAGUUUACUGCUAUUAAAAUGUUACACAAGAAAAUAAAAUAAGCAAACAGGUUGUGGUUACGUACCUUAUUUAUAAUUACACUCGAAUAAUGUUCACUUCAACUUGGGAAGGAGCUGGUUUGACAGUACAGGCGAUGAAGAUAGUUGGAAUGGAUGUUAUUACGGUGCUCGUGAGACGUAGAAACCAGUCGAAGCAGCGCUUUCACGGAGAGGCUAACACUGAAUAACAGAGUGAUAAGAUUAUGAGACACAAAUACGCCACCAAGAAAAGAGAUGGAGCCAAAAUGAGAGAGGCAAGUGUUGAUAUUGCCAAGAGAACGGAUAGUUUUCCACAGCGUACAGAAAGUUGGCGACGGAUCCUGAGGUGGAGUUUGACGGAUAUGAAGAGGUAGAUCAAUAGUAACAGCAGGACAAGAAUCUGAGAGAAGAAGGGGAGCUUCAAAAUGGGAUAUAAAAGAAUCUCACUGGUACCAUCCUGGACGGCCCAAGAAUUGCCAUCUUGAGAUUUCAGGAACGUAAAGAAGAUUAUAAGAUUUAGUAAUGGCAGAAAUAAAUACCUCAAAUCAAUAGAAAAUUUCAUGCUUAUGGUGAUGCUCAAGUUUUCUAGGGGAAGAUGUAUUUAAUUUACAAAAAUGCUAAAUGUUAAGAGAAGAAUGAGAGAAAGGUGAGAGAAGAAGGCAUGUGCUGAGAGAAGAGACAGAGAGAGAAGCAAAACGGCAGACUCACUUUUCUCUCAUUCUUCAAUUUAUAGUGAGCUUUUUAUGUCAUGAAAAAUUGGAAAUUGCGUGGCAAAUUCUUUUGACCAGUUGCACAUGCUGUCCUGUUGAUUGGCUGGUUUUUGGAAACUCGAUCAUCACCGUUUGUUCAAGCAAAGACCCAAAUGGUGAACUAACGGUGAUGAUCGAGUUCAAAAAGAGAAAAAGAAAAAGAAGUAAACAGUGAUGUCUUCAAACUUUUUUUCCCCCCUGAGAAAAAGGCUUUUAAUACAGUUCUUUUCUUUUUCCACAGAUUGGUAUUAUUUCUCAGUAUUUGCUUAAUUUACUGCAAUAAAUUUUCAAAAAGUGUUCAAUCAUAAUGAAUUUUCAACCAUUAUCCUAUACGAAUCAUUAAAUUAUAAAUACUGAUGUUAAUCAAAUAUCAAGUAGAAUUUGUUUUUAAUAGAUCAAUUAGUUAAAGUACAUUUGAUACACUAUUUAGAACUUAUUUUUAUCUAAAAAUUGAUAAUAGGACCAAAUUAAGUAAAUUGUAUUGUUCAUGUCACUGAUACAAUAAAUAAAUGAUGUAAUGCUAUUUGUUCAUGUAUUUUGAAAAAGUAACAUAUAAGUAGUAAUUAUAUUAAAUUAUAUUUCUCAUGUCACAUAUUCAAUAAUUUAUUAUAUUACCUCUAGAUUUUCUCAUUCUCAAUAUAUGCUUAAUUGUAAUAAUUUUUUAACAACUGUUCAAAGAUAGCUUUGCUCCGGCUGUGUGUGUGAUUGACAAAUAUAUUAUUAAAUUGUACAACAACGAAAAAGACGCGAGUUGAAAUUGUUUCAACGACGUCAAAUGUUGACCACAUCAUUUUUUGGGCUUUCUCUCAUGGGCUAUUUCUUUCUUCUUCUUUUUUGAAAAAUCUCAUGUGGUAUUCAUUAGUGCUUUUAUUUAUAUUUUUAGUUAGUCAAUCUACUUUUAUUGAACUGGGAAACAAAUUGUAGUGUAAGGAAUAAAUUUAUGUUUAAAAAAAUCAAAACAAAAAAAUGAUAAUAAGAAUAAAUUUAUAUUAAAAAAUCAAAAUUAAAAUAUGGAUGGAUAAGAUUUGGCAGAGAUGAUUGAGUUUAAUUAUUAUGAAUAAGAUUUGGCAAUGGCAGAGUUGAAUAAUUGUGGUGAAGUUUAAGCUCCAUGAUACCAUGACGAAAUAAAUAUUUACAGUACCCUUUACAAAAUUUUGGUUGCCUCUAUUUAAUUUAACCCAUGCUCAGUUAAUUUCACUCUUUUUUAUUUAACUCUUAUUAAAUCCUUCUUAUUUAAAUCAAAAGGAUUAAACCUCAACGAGUGUUUCCCCGUAGGCUGUAUCUCCUCAUAAGUGACUUAACAAGUGUUUUGUGAAUGAAAAACUAUGUAAUCAAAAAGAAAGGAGAAAAACUAACUACUAUACAAUACAAGUGACUUAAACAAAAACGUCAUACACAAAAUAGAAUCCCGAUCCAGGAUUACCUCUGAUGUCAAAGUUAAUUUAUGGCAAAGGUAUUCUGGAAUUUGUGCAUGAAGGUUGUGGUCACCUCUUAGCUUAUAUGUUAUGUGAAUUUUGUGUUCUAAUUACUAAUUUGUCUUGACUUUGUGUUCAAACGUCAUUUCACAGUUCACACGCUUGGGCAUGUCCAGUGCUAUCAUUUUUAAUUUCCCAAUGGCAGGGCCUUGAGUUUUGAUUUAUUUAUUUUCUCCCCUUUUUUUGUUUUCUUGACUUUCUUUCUCUCUGCCGGGACCGGGGAGCUUGAGCUUGAGUUUUGAGCUUUAAUUAGAUUUAUAGUCUAUAGUUUACGGCAUUCACAAAUGUGACACAUUGCAAAUGUUUGAAUUAACAUUUGAGAAUACAAUAUGUCACAUCUGUGAAAUGUCUGAAUUGACAUUGGAGAAUAUAACAAAAGCCGAGCCCCACAUUUGUGAAUUCAGACAUUUCAAUCGGGAUCGCCUUCUACCACGUGGCUGCCGAUGGAAGAAGUUUUAAUCAUUUUGUGAAAUCUUGGCCCUUGGGCGUCCUGCGUCCAUGUCCUGUCCAAGGGCCAAGAGUUAAUAAUCAGCUUAUAAUCAGCUGAUUCCUAUUAUAAAUUUGAAGUGCAAAAUAUGAAGUCUAAUGAAGGGCAAAAGAGACUUUAUUGAAAUGAAAGAAAGAGAUUUAAUCAUUUUGAGGUGGGAUUUGCAGGAAAGUACCUGGAAAUACCCUGAAGUGCAUAAUAUGAAGUCGUAUGAAGGGCAAGAGAGACUUUAUAUAAAAGAAAGAAAGAGAUUUAAUCAUUUUGUGAAAUCUUCUGGUCGUCAAGCAAAGAAAUAACCCGCGGAUUAGUACCCUUUAUUCGCACUAUCUUGGUAGACGUCAACAAGACGCAACCUAACACCGGCCAUUUUAUUUUACAACAUUAUAUGUAAUGUCGAAGUAAUUGUUACUAGUUGGGGCGCAUUUUUAUUGGAUAAAAUUGUGGCAUUUUCUUAUACAAUAAAACCCAAGGCGCACCACAUUUUGAAAUCAAAGUAAUUGUUAUUAUUAUUUUUUUAAUUUUUUUUUUUUACAAAAUUUUAUCCAACAUAUUAUUCUUGGUUAUUCAGAAUUACUUUUAAUAAGAUGUAGAACAGCAGAAGUUAGACCAAAUUAUCUUUAAUAAAUGUAUGAAACUAUGAUCUAAUUGUAAACCAUUUACUAAUAAAACCAAAAUAGGCAGGCGUUUUCAAAUUGAUAUUGUUUUAUUAGCAGGUUGCCCACACUUGUCUUCUUUGAUUCCAUUUCUUUACAUCCGUUGGAUUAAAGUUUUGAUAUAUAUUUUCCUUUUUCUUUCUUUCUUUUUCUCUGCUGAUAAAGUUGUAGGUUGAAGAUGCCAGGAGCUUUGAGUUUGAAGAGGAUUUAUAUAGCUUUGAGGUUGUGUAUGCAAUUAAAAUAAAGAUAGAUAGACAACGUUGUCUAUCUAUCUAUCUUUUUAUUUCUUAAUUGUCUAUCUAUUCAUCUUUUCAUUAAGGAAAUGCUUACCGGUAAAUUUCUUAUGUAAAUUAAAUAGACGAUUGGUUACGGAGAAAAAGAGGAUGGAAUCAUAUUAAAACGAGUGGUUAUGGAGAAAAAAGAGAAUGGAUGGAAUCACAUUCAUAUGCAUGAGAAGCGCAUAUAGCUAUUCCAAUCAACAUCACAUUAAUUUCCUUUGACUCUACGAAAGCCUUCCCAAUUAAAUAGAAAUCACUCAAAACUCAAUUAAACAGAAAUUACUUUGAUUUUUCAAACAAUUAUUUAGUCUCCUGUCCAAUUGAAAAGUCAAGAACACUAUGUAAGCUUAAUUAUAUGGAAACAAUCAUUCCACCAUAAUCAUAAUCCUUAAGCGCUCGUAGGGAAAAAAAACAAAUAUAUAUAUAUAUAUAUAUAUAUAUAUAUAUAUAUAUAUAUAUAUAUAUAUAUAUAUAUAUAUAUAUAUAUAUAUAUAUAUAUAUAUAUAUAUAUCUUUGAAACUAUGAAUAUAUUGUUUCUUUUUAUCAUUACAAACAUGAUUUUAAAGACUUCAAAUUUUUUCAUAAUCUCGGCAAAUGUAAUUUGGUGCAGACUUUUAUUAUUUAUAAUGUAUGAUUAAGAUAUAAUUAAUUUGUAUACUGUUAUCCACUGAUUUGUUAAAGCAAAUUUAUAUAAGAGAGAUUUUAAUAUUUCUUUGGAGAUUUAUUAAUUGAUGAUUGAUAAAAAUAAAAAUCAUAAAAUAAAAAUCUAAAUCAUGCAUGAUUAAUAACAUAUAAUAUCAAAAAAUUGUUAAAUGGCAAGUAAAAUCUAUAAACAAAGGUUGUAGAUUUUGUUUUUGUUGUUUUAUUUAAAAUCUAAAUGUUUCUUAAGUUUGAAUACCAAUAUUUGAAAAAUAAGUUUGUUUUUCUUUUUCUAACAUUUGAAUAUAAGUGACAUCUUAUUUAUUUUUAUAAAUAAAAAAAAAUUCUCAACAUUAUUUGACAAUUAUAUCCUUAUAAAUAAAAAAAAUGAUUAGGUUUUAUAAUUUAGAAAAUGAGUAUAUUUAAUAUGUAUAUUUUUAAAAUAUAUUAUUUACUUCUCAUUCGGAUAAAAAUUAUAAAAUUUUUUUUAUAAAAAUUAUAAUUUUUUUUUUAUUCAAAUGUAAAUGUCUAAAAAGAAUGAGGGCAAAGCAAAUAACCCAUUCUCAUUACAAUCGGGACACCUCAGGGCAGCAACCUUCCCAUGCAGUUGCAUAUUGACGAUCAAUUUACAGCUGCCAUUGCAGCGAAAACAGGGGAAAAACCUGACAUCAGCACAGCCUUGACACACACAUUUGAGCUUCCUGAUGGAUAUGCCUUCAAUCAAUUCAUCAUACCAACCCUAUUCAACAUCAAAUUAUCAGGAAAUAAAAAUGAAACUAAUAUGAUUUUUUUUCUUUUUUGAUAAAAAGGUCUCCCUUUUAAACAUUCAACUAGUGAAUAAUAUAUAAAAGGUGGGCUGGAUUGUUAUUCACCCAAAAUACAAUUUCAGAUUGCUCCAAGGCUACAUUCCUGGCUUUUGGAGUACAUCGAAUUGAUUAUGUUGUUGCCUUUUAAUACAAGAUUUCAAAUCAGAUAUAACCCAAAAAAUUUCAGCUCUUGUGCUUUUCUUGUUCAGAACCAGGUCUACAACCUCCCGUGAAUCAGUUUCUAUGAUUAGUGGCCAACAUCUCACCUUUUCUGCAAUUUUAACACCAAGUCUUGCAGCUUCUGCUUCUGCAUAACCUACCUCCAACUGAAAAGAAGAAGGUUUCGUAGCUGCUGCUAUCACUUUGCCUCUAGAAUCUCUAAUCACAGCACCCUAAUUACCAACUCUUUUCUGCUCAACCGCAACUAAUGCAUCCACAUUUACCUUAAAACAACCUGCUGGUGGGGGUCUCCACUUGUUAUCUACAUUAGACUUUUCCCUCAACGAUGUCUGCAAUUGUGACAGCUGGAUCUUUUUGUAUGAAUGCACAACUGCAUCUGCUUUAGCUGCUGAUAAUUGGGAAUCUAUGUAUGUAUGUAUGUAUGAUAUUGCUGGUGCCACUGUAAGGUCCUAGUACCUAUUAGAGUAACAAAGUGUAGAAUUAUAAAACAUAUGUCAUCUUUUCAUCUUUCCAUUUUGUAAUUAAAUAAGUCAUCUCUCCAUUUUGUACCUAUUAGUCUGUUGUUACCCGACCAAGUUUUAGUUGCUAUCUUCGGCUUUUUCUUAAAGUACUUUUAGCGGUAGCGGACGCAGCUAGAUUCUCUUUUUUUUUGGGCAUUACUGUCCACUUGAUCAACGGUAUAUUUGACAAAAUUCCGUGUCUAAAUUUUUAUGCUAAAGAAAAAUUAACCGUUUAACUACCCUGAGCAUUAAAUGUGUAACGACUUUUAUAGAUAUAUAUUAUUGCUUGCAACUUUUGCAUGGCUGCUGGUUAAAAAUUAUUAUAUAGCAGAUUUCUAAUUAAAUUAGAAAAAUACUAAAGCAAGCACAGCAGCUUGAAUCGAUCACUGCUAGGCUUCGAGUCUUUGAAACUGACCCCCGAAACUGCUAGCUGCUUGAACAUUCAUAGUGACGACAACAAUAUACAUACAUACAUACAUACAUACAUGUAAAUUAAUUGGUUUAUUAAAAAUAAUUAGCGAAUGAAACCAUGAUAGUGAAACGUCGAUAAAAGUUGAAGCAGAGCUUAAACAGAGAAGCUAACAUGGCAUAACAGAGUGUUAAGAUUUUGAACCACGAGUAGGCCACCAAGAAAAGUGAUGGAGCCAAAAUGAGAAUCAAAUGUUGAUAUUAUACAAAAGAAUCUGAUUAGUACCAUAACUUCCCAGGAUUACUAAUCGAAAACUAAUACACAAAUAUUUUGUCUGAAAAAGCCAAUUAAAGAGCAAUAUAAAAAAAGCCAAUAAUUAAUGCAAAUUAAAUUCUAGAAAAAUUGUUCAGCCAAAGACUGCAAAAUCUUCAUGCAUGUGACUAAUUGACUAUGCCAUUGUGCUGCAUUUGAGGAAGGAACCAAAGAAACACAUAACCGUUAAAUUCUACAUGAAAUUAUGUUGAAAUCUUACACGCAUAAAAAUUCAUUGGUCAUCUUCAACUACUAGAUCUUCAUUAUUAACUGGCACAUCUGUUUUCUCGAUAAUUUUGUCUUGCACAUCACGAAUGGUAUAUAUCCACCGGUGUCACCUCAGGAAAUUUCUCAGUUACUGGAGAUCAAUUUAUACAUCCACAAGCACUGAUUUACACAACAAUUAUCUCCCAAAACCUAAUGUAAAUUUCAAAAAGACUAAUUUGAUUGCCUAAACCAUAACAAAUUUCUCAACAAUCUGCUCCAAAUAGGAUCCAAAUGUUUCGAUAUGCGUGCACCGAAAAACGGUCUUAGAAAGAGUGAUUUUGAUUUUUCAUUCAACAAGAGUGAGAGUGAUACAAACAGAUUGUUUUUACUGAAACAUAGAACGAAAUGAGAAGGAAAUAGAAUAUAGAAGAGUGAAAAUAGAUCAAUUUGAGGGAGUUUAUGCCGUCAAAAUAAAUAUGCAGUGUUCUAGAAACCAAUAAACUUCCAAAUUCAACUUAAUUUGCACUAAAAUUAUAAUCAUUCCAUGCUGUAUCUUAAUCCAACUAUAUUUAAAAGUAAGGGACUUCAUAACUGAUAACUCCCUCAUCUCAAAUUUCCUAUAGACAAGUGGAACUUUUACUGUCUUUUGGCAUCUCAAAUUAAGAUUAGCUCUAUAUAAACAUGAGAAGUGUUUACAUUGGCUGAGGAAGCUCCUUCUUGUUUCCACAAAGGUAAAUAUAUUUGGAAUUCUUGACCUUCUGGAGGACUCUAUACCUUCAGGCUUAUGAGGGGAAGAUGCCAGCAGUCUUCAGCUAACCCAAUUGAACACACCCUCCUCUCCUCUAUUGACAAAAAAGAUUGCACUGCGGGGAUCUCGUAAUCAGGCUUUGGUGUGGGGCUGAAUCCAAUUAAGGCUUUAGAUUUAUAGAAACCCAUGGUCUAAUUCAACCCAAGAACUAGUUUACAAAUAGAAAAUUUCUCAAAUUCAUACAGUUAGCCUAGUUAUUAUUCUCUUCCAACGUGAGAUAAUAUCCUCAACAAGAUUCCCAUCUUACGGCGCUGUUCAGAUAUGGUACAUAUAAUGGUAGGCAAUCUGUGUGUGGGGCUGAAUCCAAUUUAGUGUAAAUCAUUUUUUGGCCACUCACCACAACACCAUCAAGGCAAAUUUUGAGGUAACUUGGGUCCUGCAUGUCUAUGGUGCAAGUCAUUUCUCUUAACAAAUUGUCUACCUAUACUAUUUACUUUGAAGUAAAUUGAAGUUUGAUUCAACAUAGAGAGAUUUGAGUACCAUCGUAUAUCUACUGCAAACACGCAUCAAAAUUGAUUAACAGAUUAUUUAUUACAAGUAGACAACGGAUGAAAUUAUUUUAUUUUCAAAUUACGAGAGGAAAAAAGACUAUUUAUGAAUGCAAUGUAUAUUCAUUCUUCUCUUAAUCCACAGGUAAUUAAAGUUUCAAAUAGAUGUGCACAUGUACUGGCCUAAAGUCUACCAAGCUUCUAAGUUAGUCUACUCAAAACAAACUUUUCAACAUUCACAUUUUGAUAAAUUGGUUACUGAGUUUCCAAUUAGUAAUUGACCUGUGGUCAUUAAUACACGCACCCGCUUAUAUGCUUGUGGUACAGUCACACCGAAUCUGUUAUAGACUAAUUAAAUACAAUAUGUUUCUUUUACUAGCUAAAUGAUUGGAUCUUCAUUAAUGACCGAAGAAGAAAUUAUAACAACCCAUGCAAGUAUUAGCACUUCUCCUAAAGCUAAUAUUAAUGAAACAAAACAACUUCAGGUAUUUCCCAAUAAGCCACUAGAUCAGGAUCACGUCCACAAUUCAAUAUUCCACAUGAUUUUUCCAUUUCAUGAAUUAGUAGGUCUGCAAUUACUAGAUUAAAAGGUAAUAAAAUUAAUUACUUAACAUGCAUUCUAAAUCAUCCUUAAAUUUGAUAUGUUGGGUUCCAGCUGUAGGCAAAACUUUGGAUAAGUACAGAAAAAUAAAAUAAAAAAGAGUAAAAACGAAAAAGGAAGAAAAUAUCGAUCAAACCUCUUGUUGAGGAGAAAUCAAACGGAGGGGCGGCGCUGGUUUUUUUAUCUAACCCUUGAAGCCCCGACGCGCUAUUUUUUUUUUUUGGGUUACGUAUGAAUUAUUUUCCACAAAGAACUUAAACUCGGGAAGAGAAAGACCAGGAGACAUACAUAGCCAAAGGCAUCGACUCAAAGUCCUGGUGCCGCAACGUGAUCCAAUCCUUGUCCCUGAUGAUAUAACGUAGUCACACUUGUCAUCUCAAGAAUCAUUGGACAAGGCAUACUAACCGUCAUAUACAUGUGGGGUCCAUUUUGAAAACAUUAGGUGGAGUAUGUUAUUUUUUUUUUAUUUUAAAUUUAUAAAUGUAAAAUCUUAAUUUAUAAAGCUGAAUGGGUAUUACAAAUGGGGAUCUGGAUACCUUGCCACAGUUGUAAGGGUGUGUUUGAAAUUAAGGUUGGGCAGCUGUAUUUUAAAAAUUAUAAUACUAAAGUGUUUGGUAAACACUAACUCAUGUAGUUUGGAAAAUACAUUAAAAUAUAAUAAUUUUGUCAAAAUUAUUAUUUUAAAUUUAUAUUUAUUACAUAUUAUUAACUUUUAUUUCAUAAUUACAGUUUUUUUCCUACAGCAGUUGUAAUUUAAAAGGUACAUCGCCUCAAUUCUAAACACAUCCUAAGGUGCCACUAAUUUUUUCUUUUGUGACAUUAAAUUUCAUUUGACCACUUAUAUUAUUUUUUAUUUAUAAGUUUUUGUUCUUUGGCUGGUGACCUUUUAAAUUGUAGUUUUAUUUAUUUAAGAUUAUUUAAUUUUUUAAAAGAAUAAUAUAAUAAUAAGCAAAUGACUAAAUAAUAUUUAUUUUUUUAAGACUCACUACUAAUUAAACAAUAUAAAUUUGAAACAAUCUGAGCUUAUGUGUUUACGAUUUUAACUCUUCAUUUUUUUUGAGUUUUUGAUAAAUAUUAGAGAGUAUAAUGUUAAUAAUCAAUUAGACAAAUCUUUACGGUUGAGACUAUUUUUUUCAUUAAAUCUGACGAUGAAUACCUGAAAUAAUUUAUAAAAAAAAAUUGGUGGUACCUUAUAACUAUUGUAAGGUAGCUAGAUCUAGGUAUAUGAAUAGAAAACAAUCAAUCUAGCUACUAAGAAAAAAGGGUGGGCAAACUCAAUCUAACCUAAUGGACCCAACCCAACCCAAUCGAACCCAACUUAAUUUUUACAGGUUGAGUGAGUUAUUAUGAGUUAAUUGGGUCAAUUUUUUUUAACCCAAUUAACAAUUGGGUCGGGUUCGGUUAAUUAGUGGGUUGUGUUAGUUAUGAUGAUCACAUUUAACCCAACCCAACCCAACCCAUAUAAAUAAUAAUAAUAAUAAUAAUUCUCAAUUUACAAAAUCCUAAAAAUCUAAAUGACUAAUCUAUUUUUAUCCUCUUUUUAUUCUUUUAUAAAAAAGACUAUUUUUUUCUUGAAUUUACUAUCGACUCUACUAUCAAAACUAAAAUCACUCUCUUAAAUCUUAAUUCUCAGUCAACUAAGGUAUUUCUCUGAUUUAUUCAUUCUAUAUUCUUUACUUUUUUCAAACAGUAGACCAUGAAUAGAAUUUUCAUGCGAUAAUAUAUUUAUAUUUGAUUUCAAUAAGUUUUAUUAAAAGUUUCAUAUCCUUUUCUUUAUUUAAUUUUUAAUUUUGAUUCAAUUUUCAAAUCUUCAACCCAACCCAACCCAGCUCGAUGAUUUAAGGGUUGGGUUGGUUGAGUUGAAUAUGUUUUAUUUAAUGAGUAGAGCUAUUGGCACCCCCUACAUUAUUCUUACAAAACUCCACUUCAAAUAAAAUUACAAUUAAGGACAAUUGAAAUUUAAACACAUAUAUAUUUUUUUUCUAGCAAAUUACUUAAUUCAUAAUCAAUCUUUUCAAAAAAAAAUUCUUUAUGUUACUUCCUAUUUAACUAAAAUAAAUUGUACAAAUUUAGAAUAAUAUAUUGUUUUCUUUUGAUUUCUUAUUGAUUAAAUAUUUUUAUACUUAAAAUUGCUUUGCAAUUAUAAUUUCAAAUAUGUGUUAUUUCAGUUAAUGAUUAAUACUAAAAAACUUAUCACCUAUAUAACUUUUUAAUUUGUGUGUAGAUUAAUAGUAAAAUUAAAAAUAAUUAAAAAUAGCACAGUAAUACUUUAAGUUUUAAUAAUCGAACAAAUGAAAUGAAAAUUGAGAACUUAAAAAAGUGUAUCUAAAAAAAAAGACAUUUUCGAAAAUAAAAUGAAUAUAACUAAAAAAGGAGUUUAUGAGGAGAUAAGAGGGGUGCCAAUAGUCCAACUCUUAGUUAAUUGGGUUGGAUUAUUUUUAUUUCAACUCAAUCAAUAAUGGGUUGGGUUGGGUUUUCAUAAACCAUAUCCAACUCAACCCAUGCCCACCCCUAGUACUAAGAAGUAAAGUGGGUCUACAUUUGGCUAUUAAUAAUUUGUUCAUUACUCUUGCCAUAAGCCAAUUCUCAAUAUUUAUAUAAAAUUUUAAUGGCUAUUAGUGAGUGUACGAUCCUGGAGUCCGAAUAUAUAAAAAUGAAAAGGCCAUGGCUAAUUUAAAUCAACUCCAACAUAGAGCACAAAUCACAACCACACACGCAAAGUGAUAAAUAUUUAAAAAAAUACAUUAUAACUUUAAUCAUGUGACUAUGAAAACAUGUUAUACCUUAAAACGGUUUCAACAUAACGAAACCCUAUAAAUUUAAUGCAAAUUUUUAUUUAAUAUACUGUUCUCAAAAUCAUAACUAAUUAAACCAUCGGUUCUUUUUUGGAAAAUCAUAAAUUACUACAAUGAAAAAGACAAAAAUAAACGAAUCUGGAAAUAAGUACAAGAAGCGCUAUAUAUCUAUCAUUGGUUUGCUCCCAGAAUCUGGGGAGUGCUUUUCAAGUCUUUUCUUCAAUAAAGCCGACAAUAGUUAGCAGCUAAACUAAAAGGACAUAGAUACCUGCCAUUUCAUGAUAUCCACGGACAUUAACCAUGCAGAACCAAACACUUUCCAAACGAAAAAGGCUUGGAUUCCACUUUAUCAAUAGCAAUUACAAUUAUUACAUGAAAAAUGCUUGGUGCAGAGAGAUGUGAAAAAAAAAUGAGAGAAAUAAAGAAGAAAAGGGAAGAGAGAGAGUGGGAGAUAGAGAGAAAGACAAACUUCUCUCAUUUUUCUCUCAUCUUUCCUUACACUAAUCACAACUCUUAAGAUAAAAUAAGUUUCUUUAAAACAUCACAAUUAGAAGCAUCUAUCCUUUGUUAUUUUAGAAGGGACAUAUACGUUGUCAUAUGCAUAAAUAAAACAACUCAUUUUUACGUUUUUUUUUUAAACAGAGGCACUUAAGCAUAUAUAUAUGCCCUAAGCAGUUGCAUGGAAUAUCAAGUCCCAAGUAAAAUCACACCAGAUCCUCCGUCGGACUUGGCUGCAGGUCUUGGAUGAGCCGAUCACCUUCAACUCCAACGUCAACUUCAACUUCAACUUGAUCAUCAGGAGGAGUUGCCACGGCAGUGCGUCGCUUGCAGCAGCGCUUAAACAGAGAAAUUAACAUUACGUGAAAAAGUGAUAGGAUUAUGAGACACAAAUAAACCACCAAGAAAAGGAAAGGAGCCAAAAUGAGAGAGGCGAUUGUGGAUAUUGCCAGCAGACAAGGGAGAUGGUCUCCACAACUCACGGACAGAGGGCUGCUUACACUGAGAGGAACUCUGAUGGCUGUGAGGAGAAAGAGCAGUAAUAUCAGGACGGCAAGACCUAGGAAGGGGAAUUGGAGCUUUAAAAUUGGGUACAAAAGUAUGUGGUUGGCUCCAUCCUGGAGGGACCAAGACUGACCAUCUUGAGAUUUCAGGAAGAAAAAGAAAACUACAAGAUUCAUUAAUGGUGGAAACAAAAAUCUCACAUCGACAGGACAAUUCAUUUCUGGAAGUUUAAUGUCGAAAGAAAAUUUCAUACUUUUGCAAUGGAAGAAGAUUUGAGUGCUCAGCUAACCGUUAGAAAGGGCUGCUAGUUGAGCUCUUGGGGGAUUUAUGGGAUGGCAACAUUCCUCACGGCCUCAUUUUCAUAAAACAAAGGGGAUAGUAAAAACAAGGAAAAGACAAAAGAGAUGAUCAAAUCUCUGAGACACACUCACACACACAAUUGCCUUUCAACCAAGUCAACUAAUUUCAAAUUGUCCCACAAGACCAAAACCCUUCUGAAACUGAAAUUCCAGAUCUACCCCUUUGAUUAAACUUUAGAAUUUACUUUUAAAAGACGCUUAGCAAAACGCAUGAUCAACUUUUUUAAAAAAAAGAAAAAGUUCAAUUGGUCAUGAACUUAUACAUAAGAGUGUUGAUACAAGUCUUUUUUUAAAAAAAAAGCACCAAAAAAAUUAAAAAAAGAAAAGUGGGAGUGCUGAUACAACACAAGGGAAUACAAAACCAUUAGAUGAUGGGGAAAAAAAAAUGUUUGUCCUCACGAGAUAGAGGGUAAUUCUGGCAUUUUGAAAAUUAACGAAGUUGCGCAGAAGUUUCUUGUAUCUCGGGGAUCGUUGCUCUCUUGCUUAAGCUUUGAAAAACAAAGAAGCAUUGUAAUUAGUAGUUUGUUAAUUUUUUUAUAUUGAGGCAAAGUUUUCCUUUUUGUUUGAAAAAAUUUCCAAUAGCCCCCACCAUCGUCCUUGUAAUUUUCUUGCAUGUUAUAAGCGCCAAAUUAAUGUUAUUAUUUUUGUGGAAAUAAAAUUAAUAUUCCAUUCAUUCGAUGGAAGCUUUGGCACUGGCGAGCAGUAAUAAAACAUAAUCUCGGAUUCUUAAUAAUUUUUUUUCUUUCAAUUUUUAAUUUCUUCUUCACUCUAAAAGAUUAAAUUUUCAAAAAAAAAUAUUAAAUUUUAAAAAUUUCAAAGAAACAUUACUUUAAGUGAGCUUUAAAAUUUUAAACUAUAUGAGAAAGGAAUUAGUUGUUGGUUAAGGCCUUUGCAAUGAGAUAUCUCAUUAGUUUAGAUCCAGCAUUGACGAGAGUUGUGUUGAUCAUUUUAAAGAUCUUUUAUUAUGUAUUUAUUUAUUAUAUUAGAUGGGUAUGAGUUAAUUACAAUAUAUGUCAUGAAAAUCAUUUUUACCCAUAAAGGGUCUUCCGCCAUAGUUCUUUCUUUCUUUGGCGUUAUAAACAUUCAGAAAUCCAUUUGUGAUAUUCAUGGAUAAAGAAAAUGCAUAUUAUUUGAUCCAAUUAAUUAAAAGAGCAUACUUUUCAUAUUCGUGCACUAAGGGGGAACGUUUGAUCUAAUUUGUUGAUCUAUAAAAAUUCACGGUCUAACUAAACCCAAAAACUAGCCUAAAAAUUAAAAAUUCUUCAAAUUACUAUUCUCUCUCAAUGUGAGAUAAUAUCCUCAACAAGAUUCCCUCUUAGGGUGUCGUUCGGAGAUGAUACACGUAGUGGUAGGCAAUUGUGGGGCUGAAUCCAAUUUUGUUACCGCCACUUUCAGGCUGGUUCAGAUUGGAUAUAUUGAUGCAGCAAUGAAUCCGACGGUUGGGAUAGCAGAGCUGAGGAGACAGCCAGAUGCUGGACCUAUUACCUUGCUGGGCUUCUCUCCCAUUUUAAACUAGUAGCUUCAUAGACAUAUUUGUAAUGGAAAUGUUGGUCUUCUUAAUUAAGCCAGACCUUGCUCCUAGUUUUUCUAGUCCAAGUUAUAGCAAGAAAUGACAGGAGUCGCUCUAACCCAUCCCAAUCCUACACAAGAGAAAAUAAAAGAUAAAUUAAUAAUAAAGGAGCGAUGAUAUGCUUACUUAGUUGAGAUAUUUAUUUUGUAUUCUAACUAAUGUGUCACCAAUAGAAAUGUAUUGUUUAGAUUAAAAAUAAUAAAAUUUAAUAAUUAUCUGUCACUUGAAUCAAUCAGACAGUGACAUAUCAUUUCCCAUAUCAGUUGAAAUAUAAAUUAAGUAUUUCAAUUAAAUAAGUGUAGUAUUGUUGAUAACAAAGUUGUCUCAAAUAUUGAAGGGUUCAUCGGUGGGGUGCAAAUCAUUUUUCAUAAUCAAUUGUCUACUUUACUAAUUACUUCAAAACAAGUUGAAAUUUUAUUCAUCAUAGAGAGAUUUGAGUACGAUCGUACAUGUACUAUAAACACACAUCAAAAUUGAUUAAUUGAUUAUGUAUUACAAGCAGAUUAUUGUAUUUUUAAAUUAUGAGAGGAAAAAAGAAAACCUAUGCACAAAAGAUAUAUAAAUGAAUGAUACAUCUUCCAAUAAAGAGAUGCAUGUAACGAAUUAGAACUACUUAUGAGACACAAAAUCUUUUUAAUUAUCCUUCACGGUUAGAUUUAUUCCACAUCUUCCUUUUUUUUCAUUGUACUUCUAUUUUUAUUUAUUUAAUGUAGAUUUUAAUUCUCCAAUGGUGGGGACAGAUACUCCAUAAGUGACUUGUUGAUACUUUUUUUCGUACAUGAGUCAAUCAAGCGCAAAAGAUAGAGAUGUACCUGCAUACACAAUAAUAAACAAAUAAAACAGUGAGAUAGGACUAGAAAAAUUGGCUUUCGAGGAUCCCACUUUGAUACUUAAGUCAAUGAGGUGUCUUUUUAAUUAAAAUCCGAGAGGUUUUUUUUAAUUUUCUCAAGUUCUCAUACCGUUUUUUAAUUCACUUCCUCCUUUGAGAUCCUAACCCCCUCAAGAUGGUAAAAGUAACUAAAUCCAUAUCAACACACGAGUCAACAAGCUUUUGGUAAAAAUAUAGACAAGACGCCCAAAAGCUGAGGUGUCAAAAAGAGAUAGGAAAAAGGUCUCGUCUUUCAAUUUUUCUCCUUGUAACUUCCUGUCUCUUUUUUUUUUAUUUGCCUCGAAAGGAAAAAACUGGUCAUGGUUAAAUGGUGAAUACACGAACGUUUUUUGAGGGACUCAGCUUGAUCUGAAUUCAUUCUUCUGUAAUUUUUACUUUUUAUUUGCAUAAUAGGAUCGCCUGAGUUCACGCUGGUUAAAUGUAGCAGCGUGGCAACAAAAUUUGGCACGGAUGCAUCCUGCUUUUAUGAAUAAAUGAUACUAUACUAAAAUUAAUGAACAAAAUAUUAAAAAUUUUUAUUUAAUAAUUUUUAAACAACAUUAAAAGAAAAGCAAAAAAAAAAAAAUUACUCUUUUUGUGGUAGUCGACUGUUGACGUGAAGGACCGAAAAUCUUGAUGUUUGCCGCCAGAAGAUGAUGCGAAAGUCCGUUAAUCUGACGUGACGUCAUCGUUUUUGUGAUGCCACGUAAUCACCCAUGUUGUUUUGUGCGGACCUCAGAGCUGAGCUUGUCUUUCAUCUCCUCAAUAAGGCAAACGUGAUCAACUGUCACGUGCAUGCGGGGUCCAUUAGAAGAAGAAGAAGAGCGUGGUUCUUCUUCCAGUUCUGAUUUUUGAUUAUGUACGACAAAUAUAAUUAUAUGGAACGAUGAAUUUUUUUCAGUUAUGAUAUUCUCACUUUAAUAAAAUAAAAAUAUUAUAAAAAAUAAAAACUUUAAUAUAUUAAAAAUUAUAUUUUUUAAUUUAUUAAAAUUUGUUUGAUUUUUUAAGUGACAAUAUUUUUAUUAAAAAAUAAUGAAUAAAACUAAUAUUUUGAUAUGACAAAUAUAAUAAUAAAUGCGAACCAUAUUAUAGGGAAAAAUUAUGUUAUAACAGUGGUACAAUAUUACUGUUACAACUAGCCAUUAAAUUUAUAAUUAUGUAGUUAUAUUAGUAAAAUUUAAUAAGCUAAAAACAACAGUGAUACUGUAUCACUGUUGCAAGGCACCAUAUUAUAUGUACAGGCUCUCCAAUGACAGCGUCGAUAAUGGCAUGACUGAGAACACCGGCCCACGUAAACUGACAAUCAAUAGUUAGUUCUUCAAUUGUCAAAAGUAAUUCACAUAUAGGGACCUGUCUAUGGUACAGAUUCUGUAACAAACAUCUCCCGUCAUCCCACCAUCCGAUUUUCUAUUGUUUAGUUUCUCACUCCACAUCCAACGGCUGAUGCUGCAGUCUGUAGCUUACAGAAGCUGUAAGCUAGUCGAGUCCCACAAAUAGGUUAUUGUAACGCGUGUCGUUCUAAUAUCCCUCGUCCCACUAGAGCUCUAUCGUUCAUCAAUUUCGAAAAAGUAUGUUGAUGCUCAAUUAGCGGAGACUUCAAAUGAUCGAAUUUUGAAAAUUUAAUAUUCACAAUCCACAGUAGGGACAUCAUCUUGCGAACAGGAGUCAAAAAUGGACGGCAAAAAUGAACAUUGAUUACAUGUCCCCCGGACUGACUUACAAGAUUUCGAGUACAUUAUGAAGAUUAAAAGAUUUGAUAUUGGGGAAAUAAAAAUCUCAAAUCAAAAAGGUUCAUAAUGAAUGUUGUUAAGUCAUCCUGGUUAAGGUCUUCUCGGGAUUGGGAAGCCCCAUACGACUUUUAUAUAAAGCCCAUUGGAGCCGCCUGCUAAACAAAGUAAUGCCCGUAUUCAAGCAAAAACACACACACACAAAAAAAAAAAAAAAAGGGGGGGUUAAGAGUACGAAAGCACCAUUAUGAUUUAUGCCUUUCCCCGCCCCUCACACCAUUCAUGUAGCAUUUGGAUCAUUUCACAUUUGAGCAUUGUUUAUGAUUAAUGGCUAAGAUUUGUCCCUCCUAUGUCUUUAAUUUGUUGACCAUUUUACCAAUAAGGUGCCCCACGUGAUGAGAGGAGAUAAAAGAGAUGAAUUGUAAAUUAAUUAAAGCUUGCGAAAUAAUUAAAACAAGUCUAAAGCAUAAAAUCAUGCACAAUCAAUUCUAACAUCGAGAAUAGAAAAUGCAACUUUGAUUCAACCCUUGUUUUUAAUUAUAUAAAUUAUGUACUGUCAAAAGGGCAAAACUAACGUGGGUUCUUUCUUUUUUUCUUUUUCAAGAUCAAUUACAAUGGAAUCUUAUUAUUUGUUAUAAAAACAAAAAAAUUAAAAAUUUUUAAAUUUUUACACAUUAGUCCUAUACCCAAAAAUUUUCAAAUGCAUUAAUGCUUUUGGAAGCCACGAUUUGUUUAGAAUUCAAACUCCUAUAAAUUCAAGCACUUACUCUCUUUAUACACGCAAACAUCAGUAAAUUAAAAGAAAAGGUUUUUGAGUUGUGUGAUUGAAUUUGAGGCGCAAUAACUUUAAUAGGAAAUAAAGGCAAUUGUUUGCUUUCUUUUCUGUUUUGUAAAACUCCUAAUUUAAUAACCCGGUUAUGACACAAUUAAUUAUUCUAAUUGACUUAUAUUUUAAUUCAUAGAUAUGUGCUGAAUUGGCAUCUCUAUUGUUUUGCAUGUACGAUAUUAGCCAGAGAGAAUAAAGAAUAGAAAAUAUUUAUUUUUUAGUUUAUUUUUUCUAAGAAAAUAUUUAAAUUAUUUUCAAAUAGAGUAAUUGUUUGGAAUUUUUUAGUUUUGUAAAACUCCUAAUUUAAUAACCCGGUUAUGACACAAUUAAUUAUACUAAUUGACUUAUAUUUUAAUUCAUAGAUAUGUGUUGAAUUGGCAUCUCUAUUGUUGUGCAUGUACGAUAUUAGCCAGAGAGAAUAAAAAAUAGAAAAUAUUUAUUUUUUAGUUUAUUUUUACUAAGAAAAUAUUUAAAUUAUUUUCAAAUAGAGUAACUGUUUAGAAUUUUUUUUUACCCUUCUCUUCAUUAAGUUAAUGAAAGAUCUCAAUCGUAUGGAUGUAUGCUAAUGACUAUUUAAACUACUGGGGUGAAGUAGCAAAUAUCAAUUUAUUUAAGUGUGCAAUUAAAUUGAUUAUUUUUAUUUAAAGACAAAAACUCAACCAAAAAUAAAAACCCUAUUUUUUUUCUUAAUUCAUGAAUGCUAUAAUCAAGAAGAGAUUGAAAGUGGUUUGGAAUGGGAGAAGGGGUAGAGAGAGCACUUAACAAUUUUUUUUUUUAAAGUAUCGAUGCAGGGGUUUAUUAAGAAAGUACAACAAAUUAGGAUUAUUUUAGGAAUUAAGAAGAGUAUGUAGAGAAAAGGGGUUUAAAAAGAAUGUUAGAGGUGUGCCAAUAGUCCAUGUUAAAUAAAUUUUAUGUUACGAAAAAAAAUUAACUACAUAGAAUAUCAAAUUAAAUUUAUUUUCUUAUUUUGUACAUUACAUUUACUUGAGAUAGUAAAAUCUCGUGUUGGAAUAAAAAAGGUUAUGAGAUUUGAACCUUAGUCACAUGGGUGAGAAGAAAAUUAGUUGUCGUUAUGUUAAAUUAAAAAAAAUUAUAUUAUAUUUAUCAUUAAUUAUGGUUCGUAAAUAAUAUACAUAGUUUAACUAUAUAAUAAAUUAGUUAAUUUUUUAAUUAAUAAGUAAAUUUAUUAAUUUAAAUAGAUAUUAAUAAAUGUAAGAAUAAGUCAUUUAAUUAGAAAUCUAGUUCAAUAAUGUAAAAAAAAUUAGAAUAUUAGGGAUUUAUAUAUCGUAAUUUUAAAACUCCUGAUAUUUCUUAUUUUUUUAUGAAAAAAAGAGCUUUUAAUGUUAAUAACUUAAAAUCACAUCUAAGCCUUUAUAAAACUCCUCGUUACAUCUAAAGGUGAAUUUGAAGAAGACAAUAAAUGGGGCACAAACCCAUGGGUGACGUAGCCGGACCCCUGUAAAAAAAAAAAAAACAGCCUGCUUUCAUCGCAAUUACGUCAAGGGAGCAGAUUAUCUUAUCCGCAAGAAAUUUUAGUCAAGAAUAAGUAAUAUUCUACAUUUCUACUAGGUAUAAGAGUGGGAUCUCUUUCAGAGGAACAGAACAGCACUUACUCAUUACAAAAUUCAAACCAAAUCAAUAUAUCUGUCACCAUUUCACGUAAUGUGUGCAAAUCAGUGCUUUCACUUUUGUAGACAUCAAUUCGGAUUAUCGGGGUCGACACUAUAUAUCACUUUUUCUAGGUUUAGAAUUAUUCGCUCAAUUUUGAAGGACCUUUAGAACAAAAAUGAUGUUAAAAUCAAAAAGAGAAAUGUAGAAUAGAAGUAUCCUUUUAUAUGACAUCGCGGACCCGCACGUGAGUUACUCUUUGAACUCUUUUGGAUGCGUGUCAGCUUUUGAUUAAUUUCUACAACGCAUCAGCUUUAAAUAAUAUUGGAAAUUGCCUUAUCAUCUUUGUAUUUUGUCGUGAGUUUGUGGCAAAAAUGUCAUAAACUAAGCUACGAGCAUGCGUAAGGCCUUAGGGGUACCCUUUUAUCCUAUCAAUGUGACCGCAAUAAUCUCUCGGAACCUUUAAAUCAGUGUGGGGACAAAUGAGAUACGAAGGAAUUAAGCAUCUUUGAAAGAAAAUAUAUAUAUAUAUAUAUUUGAUGUAUUAAUUCUUUUGGAUUUUUAGCAACUUGCAUUGCCCAAAUCAUUAUCUCAAUUUUCUCAUCAAUUUACCCCCCUCGUUAACAAUAUAAGCUUUCGCACACGGUCCAAGUUAUUGAUGAUUGACCAGCAUACAUAUCUGUUUUCUUGAAAACUUUUUCUGAAUGAUGGAUUUGAUCCUACAACGCAUCAGUUCAUUACCCUUCCCCAUAAGCUACAUGGUUUUAUCAUUUGAUGAUGACAUUUUAAUAUGUAAUUUCGUCCAAGACAUUCCUUUGCGACUGAUACUACACAAUCCCUAAUUGUAUUCCCAUCAUACAAGGGUCACCCACCCUUAAAAGAGAAAGAAAAAGGGAAAAAAAUAUUAUGAAACUUAUUAAGAAGUUUACUAGUAGAAAAUCUCGGGGAAAAUACUUCGAAAAGCAUGAAUUCUUUUGCAAGCGCAGCUCAUAUAACAACUUUAAAACAUUUUAAGGAGAACAAUUUCCUUGCAAAAAAUAUGAAUGACCGUACAGAAACAUGGAAAGUUCCACCAAACAGUGCAAUUUACUGAUGUUAGAAGAUGCAAUCAAUCAAUUUCCCUGACUUCCAAGUUAUUAAUGGAGGAGACAAAUUAAAAUUUCACAUGCAUAAUAAACCAAUUAUUCCACAGGAACAAUUAAAAUUUCAAAUAGAUGUAUUUAUGAAAAUGCAUAGAGCCUACCAAACUUCUUAAUUAAUCUGCUCAAAUUGGAACAUUUGACAGCCACUUUUUGAUAAAUUGGGUUAAUUCAAAUUCAAUUACAAUCCCUUUACUAUUAAAAAGAUUCUCCUACUUUCAACGCAUUUUUUUUCUCUUAGAAUUGAUACACACACACAUAUAUAUAUAAACACAUAUUAUCCUCACGGGAUGGAGGGAAAUCCUACGCUUAAUCCUAACUUCCAAACAUAAUCUUAAUGACUAAGAUUUGUCUUUGUUGACCUCUGAUUCAGUGUUAACCAAUAAGGCUUCCCACAUGAUGAAAGGGGAUAAAAGAGAUUAAUUGUAAAUAAAUAAAAGCUUGCAUAUUAAAAAGCUGUCCAAAACAUCCGAUAAAAGAGAUAAGGUUCAGAAUGUCUCAAUUAAAUAGAAAUGACUCAAAACUCAAUUAAAUAGAAAUGACUUUGAUUUGUCUAACAAUUAUUUAGCCUUCUGUCCAGUUGAAAAGUCAAGAACACUAUGUAAGCUUAAUUAUAUGGAGACAAUCAUCCCACCAUACUCAUAAUCCUUAAGCGCGUGUAGAGAAAAAAUAUAUAAAAAUCUUUGAAAUUAUGAAUGCAUUGUUUCUUUUUAUUAUUACAAACAUGAUUUUAAAGACUUAAAUUUUUUUUCAUAAUCUUGGCAAUCUUAAUUUGGUGCAGACUUUUAUUAUUUAUAAUGUAUGAUUAAGGUAUAAUUAUUUGUAUAUUGUUAUCUACUGAUUUGUUAAAAUUAACAAAUUUAUAUGAGAGAGAUUUUAAUAUUUCUUUGGAGAUUUAUCAAUUGAUGAUUGAUAAAAAUAAAAAUCAUAAAAUAAUAAUCUAAAUCAUGCAUGACUAAUAAUAUAUAAUAUCACAAAAUUGUUAAACGGCAAGUAAAAUCUAUAAACAAAGAUUGUAGAUUUUGAGGUAGCUNNNNNNNNNNNNNNNNNNNNNNNNNNNNNNNNNNNNNNNNNNNNNNNNNNNNNNNNNNNNNNNNNNNNNNNNNNNNNNNNNNNNNNNNNNNNNNNNNNNNNNNNNNNNNNNNNNNNNNNNNNNNNNNNNNNNNNNNNNACAUAGUUAUUUGAUAUUUAUAUCCCUAUAAAUAAAAAAAUGAUUAUGUUUUAUAAUUUAGAAAAUAAGUAUAUUUACUAUGGAUAUUUUUAAAAUAUCUUAUUUACUUCUCAUUCGGAUAAAAAUUAUAAAAUUUACUUUUCUAUUUAAAUAUAAAUGUCUAAAAUAAAGAGGGCAAAGCACUAAUCCAUGGAAAUACAAAACCAGUAGAUGGUGGGGAAAUAUAUAUAUAUAUAUAUAUAUAUAUAUAUAUAUAUAUAUAAUCCUCACGAGAUGGAGGGUAAUUCUGGCAUUUUGAAAAUUAAGGAAGUUGCACAGAAGUUUCAUGUCUCUCGAGGAUUGAGAAAGCAACUUAUAUUAUUAGCUAAUUAAUUUUAUGAGUCAGUUUAACAAUUUACGGCACAAAUAAAAUAGUUUUUUAAGCACUACAUAAAUAUAUAUGUUGUAAUUUCAUCUCAAAGCAACAUGCGCAUGAAGUGGUAACGAAAUACAACCAAAAAAGUUGUUAAGCGAUAAUUCUCAUGUUGAAAUUAGAAUUUGUUAAUUGGCCUAAGCACUGUUUAAUAUUUACUUUUAAAAAGGAUAUGGCAUUAAAUUCACUUGCUAAGAUAUUGGAGUAGUGUUGAUGCAAUUUUCUGUCAUGCCUGCAGAUUCAACUCGCUAAGAUUUCGGUUAUGCCUUCAGGUUCAAGUAUUGUUGCUGAUUUAUGCGAGCUGUUGGGAUAAUUGAGCAUGGCUUUAGAUUCAAUUUGAGCAAAUAUAUUUUACAGAUAAUCAUUUUUAUUUAACACAGGUGAACAUUUCAGUAACGCGUACGUGGCUUUCUAAUUCUACACGUCCCUUCUUAUAUUAUAAAUAAUUACAGUUAUAAACCAAAAAAAAAAAAAAUGCAUGUACAGCAACUACAAAUACGUAUUAGACGCCCGCAUUAUUAUUAAUAUUUUAAUGGGGGAAAAAAUGACAUGCAGAGAAGAGGCAGCCGCCUAAUACUUUUGACUUGAAAACAAAUCUCGUGCACACCGUGACAUAUCUGUUGCAUUUCAAUCUAAGGAAUAAUUCAAUAUGCACACCGUGAAUCAUCGCAAAAAUAAUUCAAUAAAUAUGCUUUCGAUGGCUAAAAAAUACCGACAUUCACAUUAAUCUCUGAGGGCCCAGCUUUAAGAAGAAAUCUGAUUAGUGUGGAAAUAUGAGACGUGAAGGAAUCAAACGUAUUUCAAAAUAAAACAUUUAAAGGGACACGUCAUGAGAGAGCCAAGUAACAUAGAAAAGAGCUAUAACAUCAAAUGUCCCCAAAACCUUAUUAACUUUCUUUCCUUGCCCAGAAGCAAAAACAUUAUUCUCCUUUAACAAACAGCUACAAGAACUUGGAACAUCCCAAAACAUUAUUCUCUAUUUCCUCAUCUUUUUAUUAUUCCUGGUAACAUUGCACUAUAAAUGAGAUAAAUGCAUUUAUCCGCACACAUAUUAAUGGAGGAGACAAAUUAAAAUUUCCCAUGCAUAAUAAACUAAUUACCCACAGGUACAAUUAAAGUUUCAAAUAGACAUAUUUAUGAAAAUGCCUAGAGCCUACCAAACUUCUUAGUUAAUCUGCUCACAAUAGAACAUUUGACAACCACUUUUUGAUCAAUUGGGUUAUUAAUCGCCUUUGUGUUCUUUGAAACCUCAUUCUUGGAUUUGGUUGCUGAGUUUCCAAUUAUUAAUUGAACUCUAGUCAUUGAUACAUAUGAAUGCUUAUGGUACCGUAAGAUGGAAUCUGUCAUAGACUGAUUAAUUAUUUCAUGUUUCUUUUACUGGCUAAUUGGUUUUUUAAACAUAUAUAUAUAUAUAUAAAUUAUCUAACACUAUGGAAGAAGAGUAUCACAAAAAAACUCUUUAGAUUUUAUUUUUUAAAUAUCUAUUUACUUACCUAUGCGGUAAAUAGAAAAGUGAAAAAAUAAACUCUCCCCUAAAAAACUCUUCAAAUAAUGCAAGAUAAUAUUAUUUUAAUUAAAUCUUUUUCUUUACCACAUUUAAUUACUCUUCAUUUUAUCACUCCAACUAUUUUAGUCAAAUCUUUACUGCUAAGUAAUUUUAUGUUGAUUUUAAAUGUCGUUGUCAUUGUUGUUGUUAUAUUUUAAAUAUGUUUAUCUUUUAGUAAUUCUAUUGAUAUGCCCUUAAUAUGUUUUUAGAUUUUAUGUUGAUUUCACACUCCUGUAAGGUCCAUUUUGAAAAUUUUUUACUACGUUUGUGACCAUUAUUAUUAGGUUGAAUAUGUCAUUUUUUUAAUCUUAAAUUUUAAAAAUAAACGCAAAAUCUGAAUGCACAAAGCUGAUGGAUUUGGCGCAUAUAGAAAUUAGUUUUUCGAUAUUUUGGCUGUGUUUUAUUCUUAUAGAUAAAUAAUCAAAUCCUACAUGUAUAUUGGUCAAUUUGGCUUUAGUUACAUGACAUAAUUUUUUUUUUUUAAUAUAUAUGGAGUUGAACUAAGAAGAAAGAAUCUAUUUGCGAAUAUUCAAAUGCCACGUGCUGGUUCAUUGGUCCAUUUAGCUUUAGUUCAUCGUCCGUGGGUAGGUGACAUACUUGUUACUUACCUGCAUGCACCCCAAAAUCGCUAAAUCGUACCAAUUUUUUUUCCAUGUAUCCAUUUGCGAGUAGGAAACAGUUAAUCUCACAACCGAUAAUUAAAGUGGGUCUGCAUUUAGCACACGCUUUAAGCUCUUUCUAUUAUUUUGUUAAUUUUUUUAUAAUUAAUACUUAGUUCAUUGGUCCUGCCAUAAGAUUUUUGCAUUGGUACAGCGCGCGAUUGACUUUAAGCUCUUUCUAGUUUGUUUUUUUUUUUUUUUUUGUUUUUUGUUUUAAUGAAACAAAAUCAAAAUCAAAAUAAUGAAAGAGGUAAAGGCCAUUGGACUCGUUGCCGAGAGCAAAUGGCGCAUUUCAACGUCAUUCACGCGUACAGCAACAUUAUUGAAGAGCUUUUGGAUAAAACUGCGCCCUUCUUGUACUUCAAAAAUCCUUUGAUCAAGUUAGCCUUGCUUUAAUUUGGCUAUUGAUUACAUAUUAUUUCCAAUUUCUUCUAGAAAACCGUUGGUUUUCGGCAUAGUUAAGAGAUUAGAAAACGAAAAUCAAAAUUUGGAUGGAUGGAUGAUAGGAGAUUUCUUGGCUCGUUCCCGAAAGUAAAGGGAAUGCUGUGAAAGUCAUAAGUAGUCACUUUCACUCGUUUAUCAAUUUGAUUCAAUUUCUCAAAAGUAAUCCACAAAGAGAUUGUAAUACGUUUUGUCAUAAUCUCUCGUCUCACUAAUUGUUCAUGGUUACUGAUGGAAUUUUCACAAUUCCACUCAUACAGACUUCCCGUGGAAGACAUCAACUUGCAAACAGGAAAUAAUAAUAAUAAUAAUAAGAAUAAUAAUGAAUUAGAGUAAGAACGCAUUGCAAACAUUAAAAUAAAAAUUAAUAAUAUGUGAUAAAUAUAAAUUUUAAAUAAUAAUUUUGACAAAAUUAUUAAAAAGAUAAUAGAUUUUCUAUCAUACAAAUGAAAAAUUGUAGCAACAUAUUUUCUUAACUACAGCAAUUAGUAUUUAUUAAACAUUUUAGUGUUGGGAAAAAUUUAAUUAGUAGAAAAUCUUGGGAAAAAUACUUCAAAAUCCAUCAAUUGUGCAUGAAAAGAAACAACCAUUUUUAAUCUUUUGCAAGCAUAGCUCGUAUAUCAACUUUAAACAUUUAAGGAAAACAUUUUCCUUGCAAAAAUAUAAGCGACUCUACAAAAGCCUGAAGAGUUCCCCUAAUCAGUGCAGCUUACUGAUGUUAAGAGACACAUUCAAUCAAUUUUCCUGACUUCCAACCUUCAAUUUAAUGCAAUCACGGUCAUUAGCCUCCUAUCCUUACCUUAGGGUAAGAAUUUCUAUUUAUUGUAUAUUUAACAGCAGAGCUAGACUCUAUCGUUAAAAAAUAAUUAUUUUCAUACUAAAGACUAGUUUUAAACUAAAGCUGAAAUCUGUUUAUUUUAAAUAUAUCUUUUAUGGACCUUUUGGUCUUCUUUAAGCGUGAGCUUUAUUUGCAACAGAAGUCCAUGAUUGAAAAAAACCAAACUGUAUGUGAUUUAUUUUUACUGUUCUUUCACUACCACAUGAUUUAUUUGCAUCUCAAUAUAGAUGCAAUGUUUUUCAGCAUUACCCAAGUCAUUCUCUCAAUUUUCUUGGUCCAUUUGGCUUUAGUUACAUGACAUAAUUUUUUAGAUAUGGAGUUUAAUUAAGAAGAAAGAAUCUAUUUGCGAAUAUUCAAAUGCUACGUGCUAGUUCAUUGCUCCAUUUGGCAAAUGGAUACAUGGAAAAAAAUUGGUACGAUUCAGCGAUUUGGAGAUCAGUGCUUUACUUUUGAAGACAUCAAAGUUAAAAGAAUAAAUAUAAUAAUAAGUCUAUGACUAAAUAAUAUUAAAUAAAAUAAAUAAAUAAUAUUUAUUUUUUAAGAUUCACUACUGAUUAUUUUAUUUUAUUUGAUAUUAUUUAAUUUUUUAAAAAAUAAUAUAAUAAUAAGUAAAUGACUAAAUAAUGCUAAAUAAUAUUUUUUUUAAGACUCAUUAUUGAUUAAACGAUAUAAAUUUGAAACAAAUCAAACUUAUAUGUUUAAGAUUUUAACUCUUUUAACUUUUUUGAGUUUUCAAUAAAUAUUAGGGAGUAUAAUCUUAAUAAUCAAUAAGACAAAUCUUUACCAUUGAAAUUAUUUUUCAUUAAAUCCAACGGUGAAUGUCUAAAAUAAUUAAAAAAAUUUGAUAGUAACUGACAUCUAUUGUAAGGUAGCUAGAUCCAGGUAUAUGAAUAUAAAACAGCCAAUCCGACUACCCAGAGGUAAAGUGAGUCUGCAUUUGGCUAUUAAUAAUUUGUUUAUUACUAUUGCCAUAUGCCAAUUCUCAAUAUUUAUAUAAAAUUUUAAUGGCUAUUAGUAAGAGUAAGGUACUAGAGACUAGAGCUGGCAAAAUUUAACACGACCCGAUUACCCAACACGGACACGACAUAAAUAAAUGGGUAUGAGUAGUCAAAUUUAAUACGAUUAUUAAAUGGGUCGGGUCCGGGUCAACACGAUUUUUUUCCGUGUCGGGUUUGGGUUAAAAUUCUUAACCCAUUUACCCGAUCAAUGACCCGAUUAUAUUUUCUAUUUUAAAAUAAUUUACAUAUUCUUAUAAUUAAAACUCAAAUAUUAGAGAUGAUUUUCUUUUUUUUUCUUUAAAAGGGUGAAUAUAAACACAGUGUUUUAUUUAUAAAAUUUUACAUACAUUUAGAGUUUCAAUAGUGUAAAUGUGUAAUAUAUUGGUAGAUAUGUAUAUUUUAUAAUAUUGAUAAAUUAUGUAUGUAUGUAUGUAAGUAUGUAGUUAUGUACAUACGUAUGUAUGAUAGUGUGUAAAUAUUUGAUGUAACUUUUGUUCAAUAUAUAUAUAUUAAACGGGUUAUUGGGUAACCCGAUUAUUUUUCCGUGUCGGGUUUGGGUCUCAAUAUUUUGACACGAUUAUUAAAUGGGUCGGGUUUGGGUCGAUCUAAAUUUAACACGACACGAAUACGACUCGAUGACCCGUUUUGUCAGCUCUACUAGAGACUGGAUAUAUAAAAAUGAAAAACAGAAUAAAUCUGACACAAAAUUUUAUUUAAUAUAAUAUACCCCUGUCCAUAUCAUAACCAAUUAAAUCACCGCUUCUUUUUUGGAAAAUUAUAAAUAUUAAAAUUAAAAAGACAAGAAUAAACAAAUCUAGAAAAAAGCACAAAGAAGCACUACGUAUCUAACAUUGGAUUGACCCCCGGAUUCAGAGAAGUGCUUUUCAAGUCUUUUCUGUGAUGAAGCCACCAAUAGUUGAGCAGCUAAACUAAAAGGACAAAAGAUACCUGCCAGUUCAUGAUAUCCACGGACAUUGGCCAUGCAAAACCAAUCUCUUUCCAGACGAAAAAGACUUAGAUUCCACUUUAUAAAUAGUAAUUAUAAAUAUUACAUUUAAUAUGAGGGUUUUGAUAGAUAUUUAUCAAAACAGCUUCAGGUUCCCAAUAAGCCACCAGAGGAACAAAUCCACAAGCCAAUAUUCCAAAAGAUUUUUGCUUUUCAUGAAUUAAUACUAUUAAUUUAAUGGGUCUGCCAUCGCUCCCUUAUCUAUGUCUUAAUUAUAAUUAUGUGACUAGAACUUGAACAAAGAUUGACUUGUCGAUGUGUUGUCCGGCCGAAUCCACUUGUUGGGCAGUGAGGGUAAUUGCUUCCGGUGGAAAAAGAAAAAAAAAGCUUAAAUUUAAUGUUAAUUUUGGGAUAAUUAAUUUCAGGAGUAAUUUUUUAAAGAGAUGAAUCAAUUUUAUAAAUUGUCUUUUUGCAGUGGGGAUAAAUUAAUAUUUUCUAUUAAUUAUUUUAAAUCAGAGUCAUCACCUAGAAAAAUUAUUCUGUAGAGGAUAAAGAAUAAGAACAAGAUUGCAAGAGAAGAAAGACUCCAUUUUAUUUUAGGAGUGAGAAAACUGAAAAAAAAAAACCAGAAAAACAAAACAAGACAACAGAGUAAGUGGGUUCAAGAAGCAUUUUUUUUUUCUAUACGACAUUGUCCACACGAACUUGAGGACCCUUUGAACUCUUUUAAUGCGUGCCAGCUUUUGCUUGAUUUGUAUACCGAAUUUCUAAAACGUCAUCAGCUUUAAAUAAUAUUAAAAAGAAGAAGGUACCAUUUGCCUUAUCGUCUUUGUAAUUAGUUGUGGGUUUGUAACAAAUUUAAACUACGAGUAUGCGUGAGGGCAAUAAUCUCCGCACCAUUUAAUCACUGUGGAGAUACAUGAGAUGUGAAGGAAGGAAUUAAGUAUCUUCAAGAGAAAAUAUUUACUGUUUUGAUUCUUUUGGAUUUUCAGCCACUUGCAUUACCAAAAUCAUUAUCUCAAUUUCUCAUCAAUUGACCCCUUUGUUAAGAAUAAGGUUAUUAAGAAUUAAAUUAGUAGAAAAAUCUUGGGAAAAAUACUUCAAAAUCCAUCAAUUGCGUAUGAAAAGAAACAACCAUGUUUAAUCUUUUGCAAGCAUAGCUCAUAUAACGAUUUUAAACAUUUAAGCAAAACAUUUUCCUUGCAAAAUAUAUGGAUGACUCUACAAAAACCUCAAAACCAUCAAGAUUUUCGCUGUUUCACUACCACAUGAGAAAAAAACAAAUGGUAUUUUCAAAUUAAUUAUGAAAAGAAAAAAAAGUUGUUCAGAAAAUAUAUGUGAAUAAAUUAUGCAUCUUCCAAUAAAUAGAUGCGUCUAACAAAUAUAAUUGAUAUAAUAAUGGAUACAAUCAUAUUAUAUGUAUAAGCUUUGUGUGCUAAUAUCACUAGUGUCAGUGACAAAAACGACCAACAUACACAAUAAUCUCUAUUAAAUUUAGAUGGAUCUAAAUUACCAAUUUUGUAACUUAAUUAGACCCAAUUAAUACACAUACAUACAUACAUACAUACAUAAAUAAAUAUGUAAGCUCAUAGUACAAUCGUUUUUGCGCUAUUCAUUAGUUGUUUUUAUUUAUAUUUUUAGUUAGUCAAUCUACCUUUUAUAGAACUGGGAAACAAAUUGUAGUUUAGGGAAUAAAUUUAUAUUUAAAAAAAAAUUAUUCUGUAGAGGAUAAAGAAUAAGAACAAGAUUGCAACUUGCAAGAGAAGAAAGAUUCCAUUUUAUUUUAGGAGUGAGAAAACUGAAAAAAGAAACAAAACAAGACAACAGAGUAAGUGGGUUCAAGAAGCUUUUUUUUUUCCUCUAAACGACAUGGGGCCUUUGUGAGGAUAUCCAAAAAGCAGUACGUAGGUUCUGGUGGGGGACAAAACAGGAGAAAAAGAGUAUCAUUGGGCGAGGUUGCUGCCUGCUCGUGUGGAGAUAUGAGACGUGAAGGAAUAUAACAUUAAAAAUAAAACAUUUAAGGGACACGUGAUGAAUCAUCUUGUGGCAGCAAUUCAUCAAGAUUUUCGAUCGUUCGUGCCAACUCCCACAUGAGCAAAAAAGCAAACGGUAUGUCAUUAACCAGGAGCUGGCUAGGUUACAGAUUCUGUAACAUACAGAUCCAACUUAGCCACCUCCUGAUUGGUUAGCUAGCUACCAAACAAACCAUCUCAAUAUAGAUGCAAUGAUUUUCAGCAACUUGCAUUAGCCAAGCCAUUCUCUCAAUUUUCUUUAUGCUUUUAGUGAUCAAUUUACACCUCACUUACCAACUAAGGUUUUUUUUUUCUAAUUUUCUUAAUUUGGAAUUUAAUAAAGCAGAAAGAAUCUUGAAAACUCCUUCAUUUGCAACAGAAGUCCAAAGGGGUCGGUGACACAGAAUGUGAACUAUUUUCACACGUACGAGAGAGCCAAGUUACCAAGCAAAAAGCUAUAACGUCACAGUUUAACUUUCUUUCCUUGCCCAGAAGCAAAAACAUUAUUCUCCAUUAACAAACCGCUACAAGAACUUGGAACAUCCCAAAACAUUAUUCUCUAUUUCCUCAUCCUUUUAUUAUUCAUGGUAACAUUGCACUAUAAAUGAGAUAAAUGCAUUUAUCUGCACCCAUAUCAAUUGAGGAGAGUCUGGUGGUGGGUAUGGGUUGGGUUUUAAGUCAAUUCAAACCAAACCAUAAAAAUUUAAGCUCAACUCAAACGAGUCAAACCAACCCAAAUAUUUUUAACCUGGCCCAAACUAACCUAUUUAGGUUUGGUUUGAAUUUUAUAAUAAAAAUAUUUUUAUUUUAAUAAAUUUAACUAUAUAAAAUUAUAAUUAUUAUUAAUUAUUAAAUUAAUAUUAAAAUAUGAAAAAAUAUAGCGGAUAAAAAUUAUGAAUAAUGGAUUUUACAAUAACUAUGUUCUUAAAUAUUAACCAUAUUACAACAUAAAUUCUAACAAUGUCAAUACAAAUUAAAGUAAGAUAAGAUAUCCCAACUCAAGUAUCAAAGCAAUCCAUCAAAAUUAAAUUAUUUAAUUUUAUAAAUUUAAAUCUUCUGAGAUAAAUCUAAAAUUUAAUGUAAUUAAAAAAAGCGCCAAAAUUUUAAAUGCAGUAAGAAAAAUUAAACAUGAAAUCUAAUUAGGUUUAAAUUUAAUUAAAAAAUAACAAUAGAAUCAUAUUUUAUUUGAUAAAAUCUUAUAAUCAAUUACAUUUUUAAUUUUAGUAAGUUACAAUACAAAUAGGACUAUAAAAUUAUAUUAGAGGAUUUCAUAAAAAUAUUGUUUGAGUAAUUUAUUAAAAUGUUAAUUUAGUCUUGUAACUCAAGUUGAGACUGUAAAAAAUUGUUAUAUAAUAGUGUAUAGUACAACCAAUUGCAUAUGUAUUUGCCAUGUGUAGCACUUCUAUUAUUAUUAUAUAAUAAUAAUUAGUAGUGGUAUAAUUACUAUAUAAUAAUAGUUAUUAGUAGUAUAAUUAUUAUAUAAUAAUAAUUUUAAUAAAAAAUAUUAUUAAAAUAUUGAUUUAACCUUUUAUUUUUUAAUUUAUUUUUCAUUGAUAUGUUACUUUGAAUUUGUUCAUGACCCAUGGGUAAACCAUACCCAAUCCAUUGUGAAAUGGUUUCUUGCAUAAAAACCCAAAUUUAACCCAUUACCUGAAUUAUCCAACCCAUACCAUUUUAUUUGGUUUGAGUUUAAGUAAGCCCAUGGGUUAUGGGUUGUGGGUUUAUACCCACCCCUAGAGGAGACAAAUUAAAAUUUCCCAUACAUAAUAAACCAAUUAUUCCACAGGCACAAUUAAAAUUUCAAAUAGAUGUAUUUAUGAAAAUGCCUAGAGCCUACCAAACUUCUUAAUUAAUCUGCUCAAAUUGGAACAUUUGACAGCCACUUUUUGAUAAAUUGGGUUAUUUAACGCCUAUUAUACUUUGAAACCUCACUCUUGGAAUUGGUUGCUGAGUUUCCAGUUACUAAUUGAACUAUAGUCAUUAACACACACGUAUAUUUACGCUUAUGGUACAGUCGGAUGGAAUCUGUCGUAGACUAAUUAAUUACGACAUGUUUCUUCUGCUAGCUAGUUGGUUUUUUAAACGUAUAUAUGAAUCAUCUAUAACACUAUGUAACAAUACAAAUAGGGGUGGCAAAAACGAGUAAACAAAUUGAAUUCGAAUCGAAUCGUAAACGAAUUGAACUAAAAUUCUAUUGAUUCGGAUUCGAUUCAUUUAAUAAAUGAAUCGAAAUAUCAGGAUUUGAAUUCGAUUCGUUUAUUAAAUGAACAUUCAGUUUGAUCUGUUUAAUAUAAUUAAUAAACGAAACGAAUCGAAUCUGAAUUCGUUUGCUAUUUGUUUAUUCUUAUGAAUCCAUAAUUAAUCGAAUCGGAUUUGGAUUCAUUUACAAUUCAUUUAUAAAAUACAAUAUUAACCUUCAAAUUUUUUUAAAAAAAUUAAAUAAAUUUAAAGACAAAAAGUAACUCAAUUAAACGAAUUUUAAACGAAUGGACCAUAUUCGAUUCCUUUAUGAUCCAUUUAUUAAAUGAAUCCUAAAUGAAUAAACAAAUUAAUAUUUUCAAACGAGAAUUUAAUUUAUUUAAUUAGCGAAUCAAAUCGAAUUUAUCCAUUUAUUAAAUAAAUUAAUUUUUUUAAAUCUAAAUCUAUUUAAUUUAAAUCGAAUCGAAUCGAAUAUACGAAUUCUAACCCAAAUUGCCACCCUUAAAUACAAAUAAUCGAGAUUAAACAAGAUUAAAUUAAACGGAAGACUUAUGAAGCUUGAAAGUCACAAAGCUUUUCUAUUAUAAUUAAUACUGCACAGAAGGCAAAUUCAAUUUAACUUCUUAGAUCUCCUAAAGCUGUAUGAUUGGAUUGGAUCUUAAUUAAUAAUAACUGCAGGAGGAAUUAUAAGAACCCACCCAAGACGUAUUAGAUACUUCUCACGAAGUAUUAACUAUUAAGUCUACCAACAUACAAAAGAAUAUUUCACGUGCCUGCAGCAGGGCCAUUUUUGGAAAGCUUUUAGUACGGUUAUCCGUUUGCGACCAUUAUUAUUAGGUUAAGUGUGUUAUUCUUUAUCUUAAAUUUUAAAGAUAAGAGUUAGAAUAUUGGCACCCUCCUGUUAUAGUCUUAAAACUCAUUUUUUAAAUAUACUCUAUUAAAUAAUUUGAAACAUCAGAUAACUUUUAUGGAGACCCUCUUUUAUUCCACAAAUAUCCUUAUUUCACUUUUUCUCUGAACAAACUCCAUUCAUGAUGUCUCUUUUCUUAAUUUCUUUAGGUACAUGAACAAAAAUUUAUAUAUUUAAUACUAAUUGUGCAUCUUAUAAAAAAGAUACUAGCUAAUUUCUGUUUGGGAUUGAUUAUUUUUAUGGCAGUUUGUCUAUUGUUUAACUUUACAUAGACUUAAAAUUCAAAAUAAGAAAAAAUUGAAAUUUGAAUGUCUUGAGUGCAUUUAAAUGCUUACAAUAAGUCAUGAGAUAUUUUCAUCUUCAUCUAUUUUUAUUCAAAAAAAAUUUCUAGGGUUGGACCAUUUCUUUACGCAUCAAAACAGGAUACAAUUGACAUUUUUUAAGAUAAUUAAAAAUAAUGAAUAGUCCAGUGAAAAUUAAUGGAUUUACUUUAGUUAGUGUAAAUUAGUUUUGCCAAGGGUAAAUAUAAUUCAAGCUCAUCAAACUCUUUAAAAGAGAAAGAAUAAAUCUGCAACUAUAAAUGUGGUCUUCAAAUUUCAUUUGCACUUUGGCAUUGGAUGAGGUACAUGGGGUUUUUUUUUCGAUUAGGGAUAAAUUUGCAAACAAAAAUAAGAGGGGUUUUAAGAGGAUAUUGGAGGUGUGCCAAUAGCACCACUCCAAAGAUAAAUGCAAAGUCUUCAUGCAACAGAAAUAGAAAUAAAUUUUUCGCUUUUUUUACUGUGUUUUAUUCUUAUCGAUAAAAUACCAAAUGAUUGAGUCCAAUCAUGAAUAUCCGACUAAGGUGGGCGUCAUUUUAUUCUUAUAGUGCGUGAUCGUUUUUAACCAUUUAAUGAUUAAACUACAGAGUUUUAUCAUUUAAUGCUGAAAUUUAAAUAUGUAAUUUUUUCCAUGACAUUUCUUUGCGAUUGAUAGUACACAAUCCAUAAUUGUUUUCCCAUCAUAUAAGGGUCAUCCACCCUUAUGAGAAGAAGAAAAAAAGAAAGAGUUCAGCUACGUUGGAGCAUCUCUAAAUGCAAAGCAACCCCCACAACCAUUCGAUGGAUAUUGUUACAAUUGGAAAUGCUCCAAUGUAGUCGCUGCCAAAAAGAAAUUAUGAAACUUAUUAGGAACUUAAUUAGUAGAAAAUCUUGGGGAAAAUGCUUCGAAAAGCAUAAAUUGUAUAUGAAAAGAAACAACCUUGUUUAAUCUUUUGCAAGCAUAGCUCAUAUAACGACUUUAAACAUUUAAGCAAAACAUGUUUCUUGCAAAAACAUGAAAAGUUCCACCAAACAGUGCAGUUUACUGAUGUUAAAAAACACAUUCAAUCAGUUUCCCUAACUUCCAACAUUCAAUUUAAUGAAAUCACAGUCAUUAGCCUCCUACUCUUACAAUAGGAUAAGAAUUUCUAUUUAUUGUAUAUUUAACUUCAGUGCUAGACUCUAGUGCUACAGAGAUUGUCCGCAAAAGUAAAACAGAUCAUUCUUGUUAAUUUCCCUGGAUGAUCAGUUUCUUUGGUAAAAUAACUCUAGCACUUGCAGCCCCUGGGACUUCUUAAAAGAGAAAAUACAUAAUGGUGAAGUUAGGACCAUAAAAAAUACUCUUGGAAUUGAGCAACAUCAUGACAACCACAUUGCUUUCCAUAACAAUGACUAGUGGCAUGAUCAAAACAAGAGCAUAGAAAACAAUCUCUCAGCCAUUUAUAAGUCAUCAAUCAGUGUGAAUAUAUGAGAUACGAAGGAAGCAUGCACCUUUAAGAUAACAAAAACACAUAUAUAUCUUAAUAAAUACAAUAGUUCAUUCUCAUUGGAGUUUCAGAAACUAGCAUUAUCGAGAUUAUGCUCUCAAUCUCUGUGCUUAGUCAUCGACAUACAACCAUGCCAAAAGCUAGCCCUUCCCAACUAAGUCCAAACGGAUGCCAAAAAGUGAACAUUGUCCCACAGACAAAAAGUGAAUUGCUACCAAAAGUAAUACACACCAAACAAUCAACACAUGAAAUACAGGACCUUUAGACAGGGUAAAUAGGGCUGAAGAAGAAACUAAAAACCCAUAGAAGCACUACGUUCUUCUCCUAAUACUAUUAAUGGACCAAAAAAACAUCAAAAAACACUUAAUAUACAAUUAGAGGAAGAAAUCCAUACCAAUGACAAGCUAAAUAUGACAUUUUUCUAGAAUUAAUAAUUCUGCAAACAAAAAAACACAUUAAUUAUCUGCAUUUUAAAUAAUCCUAAAAAGGAACAUAUCAUUUUCAUUUAUGUCAUAAAAAGAACAUACAAACACUGAUUUUUAAUCUAUUUUUAUUUCCAAGCAAAAACAACAUUCUUCUAUUCUUUCUCCAACAAGAAAACAAGUUAUGUUACAGUAGUCACUAGGCAGUAGGUAAAACACUUGGUAACUAAAUAUAUAGAAAUAAACCAAAAAGAGUUUUUAAAAACAAAAAAAAAUUGAAAAUAAAAAAUGAUUAAAAAAGAAAUGAAAAUAUCAAACCCCUUCUUCAGAACAAUUCAAACAGGGAGUUACUGGUUCUUAAUCCAACAGUAAGUAAUAUUCCACUGAAACCCCUCCACCAAUCUGAAAACAUCACAGAAAACGAGCAACGCCACAUUUAACUGUCUUUAAGUUGUAAAAAAGCUUCAAGCUUUGCAGAUGUGAGGAUAUAAUGAGAAACCAAUCAUAGAACAUGCCACGAGCAAGGGCACAAGCAGAGGAAAGAUCUUCAAUGCCUCAGUGUGAUGAUAAUCAUCAUGAAACAAUAUCAACAGAUGUGAUUUAGGGAUACAUCUCAUAUAACAACCUUCAAAUGAUAUUAAUAUACAGCGAUAGAUCGAUAUAAAAUAAAUAACUUCAUAAAGAAAGGGUUUACAAUAGGGGGAAUGAAAAGAAUAUUGAGGUAAAAGGCUGAGCUCUGGUUACCGUUCUUUCAUUUGUAUGUAAAGCCUCUCAAAUUCUUUAGUCACAUCGUAAUAGAUUCUCCUAUAUGCAUAAUGAAUAAUGAUGUCAAAAGAAACCCCUGAACUUAGAAUUACUUCCACCUCUUUAUCUUCUUAGUUAUAAUAAGGCAUGAGUGAGCUUUGGUAUAUUUAUCUCGCAACUCCAAAACCUGGUAAGUCUCUCGCAAAACCUGAAUUUAGAUGAAUGGACUUCAAACGAAAGGAUUUUCUUACAAAAGCUAAAAAAAUAUAACGGCAUGGUGAGAAUGGGAAAAUGAAAAUAGAAAGCAAAAGAAAAAGUUUCCAUCCGAUAAGACAAGUACAAAAUAAUCCAAGUUCUUAUUUGCCAUGCCAAUAUUAUUCAUGAAGAACUAAUCUGAUUUCUUUUCCAGAUAAGGUUAGUAACAAUUAAUCUGUAAAUAACUGAACCAACUUGGUUACUACGACAUUACUCUUUCGCUUCCGCACUCAUUUUCUGCACAGUUGCGGUUCAUCAACGGCCGCGUUCACCAAAACGAGUUCACUCUCCCCACUUCACUUAUUUCCCCACCGUUAUGUCUCUCCAAGUGCAGCAGCAAGACAUGAACUCCUAUCAUUAUAAGCAAUAUAAAAAGCCCUCCUAAAAAUCCACCACCUGUUUGGCCAGAGAAACUCCAUUACUCAUUUCCACACUCUCAAUUUUCAGCCCUUUCAUCAAACAAAAGCAUUACUUACCCAUGUUUAGACAUAACUGACUUCAGCACAUAAAUUACGACAAGCUGGUCAAUUCACGUAAACAAGGAAAAAUUAACUCAAUCAAGUGAAGUAGGCACAAAAUGACCUCAAUGAGACAUCAGAGACCUCUAAAAUCAAAUCAAAUUCAGUUAAACAAAGAAUCACUGAUCAAAGAUAAGCAAAAGAAAAAAAGCAAUGAAUAACAGAAAGAAAUUUCUUAUAAAAAUUCAAUAAAAUUAAAAAAAAAAGCUAAUCAUCUUUUCUGGUUAAGUGAUUUCGUCAGCAAAUAAGAGAAAAUAGAAAUUCUGGAAUAUACCUAGGGUUUCUAGCUUUGGGAAUUUACCUAAUGAGAAAUCAGUCUCUCUGUUUCUAGAUUUGUAACUAUCAUGGCCGAGCGACCACGAUCAGGUGAGAUAAUCGGAUUUUGCACCGGCGACGAUGCAAAUGUUUGGGUUUGGGGUUGGGUUUCGGUUUGACGAUAGACCAAGGAAUGUUAGGGCUUUGGGUGAUUUAAGGAUUUUAUUUAAUUCAAGUAAAGUGAAAAUAAUUGAAGUACCCCUAAGUUGGUUACGCAUUUAAUGUCCAGAAUAGUUAAUUAAAUUUCUGCUCGUGUAUUGAUGGUAUGCAUGAGUUCCUAUCUCAACCGUUAGUGCAGAGACAAACAAAAAACAGGAUAAAGUUCGACGCAAAAUUUUAUUAGUAUACAAACGUAAGUACACUAUUGAAUAUGAAUAUGCUUUAAACAACUGCCUUUUUUCCUGGGAUAAUCACAUUAUAUAUAAAAUAAUACAACAAAAGAAUAGAAGUACAAGUAGAAAGGCAGUAUCUAGGUUGUCUCUGCUACUCGGCUUCCAGUUCCACCCAAAAACUGCUCAAACAUCUUCGUUCAGGUAACCAAUCGCAGACUCUGUUAUUGCUUUAACUAAUUUAUGGCAUUACCAUAAUUUCCAGAACACCUUGCGCUUGUUCAAUGGGUUGUUCAACUUGAGGAGGAGCCAGCAGAUGUGCGUUGACAGAGGUGACAAUGACGACAGUGAGACGUCGAAGCCCGUAGAAGAAGUGCUGAAACAGGGAAGCUAACAUUGCAUAACAGAGUGAUAAGAUUAUGAGGCACAAAUAGGCUACCAAGAACAGAGACGGAGCCAAAAUGACAGAGGCGACUGCUGAGACAGCCAACAGAACGGAGAGUUCUCCACAACUCACGGAAAUGGGUCGGCUCACUUUGAGAGGGACUCUGAUGGGUGUGAGGAGGAAGACCAGUAAUGGGACGACGACGGCAGGAAUCAGGAACCACAACUGAAGCUUUAACAUUGGGUACAAAAGUAUCUUACUCGUACCAUCUUGGACGUCCCAAGAGUUGCCAUCCUGAGCCUUGAGGAACAGAAAAAAGAUUAUAAGAUUCAGCAAUGGAAGAACUAGAAACCUCAAAUCGAUUGAAAAAUUCAUGCUUGUGAGUAUAAGACUUGGCCGAGAUGAUUGAGUUUAAUUAUUAUGAAUAAGAUUUGGCAAUUUAUAGGGUGUUGAAUGAAGCUGCUGGUGUUGAAAUUGACUCAAAAAAUUGUUCAAAGCCUGCACGUUGAUUGGGAGAGACAUAAAUUCUUAAUUUUUGUUCUUUUUUAUGCUUGUCGAUUGUGUCCGCUGAAGUUUGCCAAAUGACAUCUGCAAGGUGAACAGUAAUAUCCAAUUGAUGCCGCUCUAUUUUCUUCUACAGUAAAGUUAAAAAGUGCAUUUGCUUCUCCUAUUGGGAGUGUCGUGUUUAUAUUUUCUUCUACAAAAACAUUAAGUGAAUUUUUUGAGUCAAUUUCACCAGAACAAUUUUUUGAAAUUGACUCAAAAAAUUUUGAUUAAUAGUAAGACGCAGGUUGUCUUACAUAUGUGGUGAAAUUGACUCAAAAUUUUUUGAAAUUGACUCAAAAAAUUUUGAGUCAAUAUUAAUAUUUCGAUUCAUACAAGUUUUAAUUAAGUGAUCUUAAUAUUAUAUAUUUUUGUAGUAAAAUACUGUGAUUCUUGGAUUUGCCUAAGCGGACCUAAUUGUGAUUCUUACAAUACAACAGUAUUUUUUGUACUUGUCUUAUCUGGAAAAGAAAUCAGAUUAGUUCUUCAUGAAUAAUAUUGGCAUGGCAAAUAAGAACUUGGAUUAUUUUGUACUUGUCUUAUCGGAUGGAAACUUUUUCUUUUGCUUUCUAUUUUCAUUUUCCCAUUCUCACCAUGCCGUUAUAUUUUUUUAGCUUUUGUAAGAAAAUCCUUUCGUUUGAAGUCCAUUCAUCUAAAUUCAGGUUUUGCGAGAGACUUACCAGGUUUUGGAGUUGCGAGAUAACAUGGGGGUAAAUACCUUUCUAUAUCUCAUUAAAUAUACCAGCUCACUCAUGCCUUAUUAUAACUAAGAAUUUAAAGAAGUGGAAGUAAUUCUAAGUUCAGGGGUUUCUUUUGACAUCAUUAUUCAUUAUGCAUAUAGGAGAAUCUAUUAUGCCAUGACUAAAGAAUUUGAGAGACUUUACAUACAAAUGAAAGAAUGGUAACCAGAGCUCAGUCUUUUACCUCAAUAUUCUUUUCAUUCCCCCUAUUGUAAACCCUUUCUUUAUGAAGUUAUUUAUUUUAUAUCGAUCUAUCGCUGUAUAUUAAUAUCAUUUGAAGGUUGUUAUAUGAGAAGUAUCACUAAAUCACAUCUGUUGAUAUUGUUUCAUGAUGAUUAUCAUCACACUGAAGCAUUGAAGAUCUUUCCUCUGCUUGUGCCCUUGCUCGUUGCAUGUUCUAUGAUUGGUUUCUCAUUAUAUCCUCACAUCUGCAAAGCUUGAAGCUUUUUUAUAACUUAAAGACAGUUAAAUGUGGUGUUGCUCGUUUUCUGUGAUGUUUUCAGAUUGGUGGAGGAAGUUUUGAGAAUUUACAAACGCGAGGUCCAACAAAAAAUUUUGGAAACUGUUGACAUCUCCGCUGAACGAGUCAGAAAACUUUUAAUUUAACUAUUUUGCAGGUGUACUGGUUGCUUUUAUGUGAAAUUUUCAUUGUUGGCCUUUAGUUCGUUCGAAGAAGUAAGAUCUGACGUUUGACCACAAGGUUCAUUAUAUCAGCUUUUUUAACUCUGUUUUUUUAUUUCAUUCUUGUCUAUUGGUUAUAAUACAGUGGUGGCUUGGGGAGUUACUGCAACACCCCAAAUUUAUCCUUGGUUGAAUUUAUCUAUUUAUUUUAUAACUGCGUAUGUUUAUUUUAUUAUUAUUGUCGUUGUUUUAAUUGCUCUAAGCUUCCCCUGUUGUUUUUUUUUUUAAUCUAUAAAUAUUAUAAGGUGUCUUUAUUCUUUGGUUAAGUUCUGUAACAAACAAAAUCAACGUUCGGUAAUAAUAAUAAAAAAAAAGAAGAGGGAGAAAGUAAUUCCUUUUGUGAAGAACCCAUUUUGGUACUAAAGGUAGGUUGAUAACCCACAGCGAAAGGCAUUCUACUCAAUAAGGCGGAUACCUCGGAAUAGCAGAGAGAGAACGAGAAAAAUAAAAAAAUAAAAAAAGAGAGGAGAGGAAGAUAAAGAAAUGGAGGGAAAGAGAGCAAUUGGGUUUUAGAGAGAAUAGUUGUGCAUUUAAGGGAGCUGAGAACAACAGCAAGUAUGAAAUUUCUGGGAAACCAACAUGAGUUUGGCUGGAUUUUCUCAUAACUCUAAUCCUUUAGACCUGGUUUGGGUAAAUUUCUGUGCAUGCAUGGUUCAAUUUUCAAGUCUUGUUACUUUUAUUAAUGUUUUUUUUUCACUUACUUUUCUUAAUUGUUUCCUUUCUGCUGCUGCAACUCACAGCAAGUUUAGGAUUAUGUUAAAUUUGGGAUUCUUAAAUUAUUGGCAGUAUGGUUGGUUAAUUUUUGUAUUACCAAUAGGAAGUGGAGUUAGAGAAGAAGAGAAGUCUUUGGAGAACUAGGAGCUGUUGUUGCAGGAUUAAAGGAGGUGUUUAUAUGCAAUUGAGUGCUUUUGUUACUCAAAACUGAAAAAUCAGGUUGUUUUUCUUGCUUGAUCAUGUAAAUAUUUUUUUUUUUUGGGUCCUUAUAAGUUGUUUUGCUGAGAUUUAAUGUGCUAAUGGCUUAAUUGCUUCCUUUAAUAAUUAAUGCAGUGGGUGUAUGGGUAGCCAUUUAAUUACAUGACUAUGUGGCUAAAAUAAACAAUUGACAUGUUAGAAUUAUCAACAGGAUUGCGAGUUUUAAUUGAAGACCGUGUAUUGUUAUUACUUGAAUCAGUUAUGAUAGUUAAUUUGGUUGAUACAUUCAUGAAUGAGAAUUAAACUUUAACGGUGAUAUAGCCAAGUUUGGAAUAGGAAGUGUAGCUGAAUUGUGUUUAUGUAUCCUGCAAUGGUAUGGUGUUUUUUUUGCAGUUUUAAGUUUGUGGAUGUGUUGUUAAACUGGGGAUGUGCUGAGGCUCUGUUAUCUAUAACUAUUGUUAUUGAGAAGCAUCAUGUGUCUGAUGUGUCAUUGUAAGGAAACUUACAUUGAUGCUAUUGAAUGAAUUAAUAAUUUUUAUUCCUGAAGUUGAGGUUUGAGAAGGUUGAUUGGUGAUAGACGGAUUUCCUGUCCCGCGGUGAAGCCCGCAAAAGAAAUUAUGGGCGAUGGCCCCUGGGAAUAAUGCCCCAAAAGUUCGCUAUGCUGGAUUGACCUAUGUCAGAUUUCUAUCCCGCGGUGAAAGUCUACAAAAGAAAUCAUGGGCGGUGGCCCUGGGAAUAAUGCCCCAAAAAUAUGUAGGGUAUUUCUUUUCAAGGCCAGUGCUACGUUACGUUAAUCGUAACGUACGCCACACACAACAACAGUAGCGGAUCCCACCAUAAGUACUGUUGUUGUGUGUGGAUGUACGUUACGAUAAUCGUAACAUAGCGGGAUCCUCUUUUCAAAAUUAAUGUUGGGGGAAAAAGUUUGAUGAGGAUUUACGGCUUACUGACUUGUCAGGCAUGUUUUUAUUUUGUAUUAUUGAAAGAGUAAUUUUAGGAUUUCUUUAGACGUAACUACGGAAAGCAUGAGCGCCACUAUAUUUGUACGUGUGUAUGUUGUUAUGAUCUUGUCCUAUGACAUUUAUGUUGAAUACCAACUUUCAAACUUAAAAAGUUUAAGAAAUAAAUAGGGUCUGGCUACGGUGCAACUAUUGUAUCGUGUCGCAGUUGCAUUCAGCCAUUCGAUGUACUUGAAUGGAUGGGGUCUACUGGCAUUUAACGACUGGAUGCAACUAUGAUACGGUACCACAGUUGUACCACAGGCUUUCCCAAAUAAAUAUUAUAUAUAUACAUAUAAAUGGUUUAUGUUAGAAAUGCACCGAAGUUGUCCGAAGUAUUUGGGUUUUAAAAAAAAUAAAUAUAUAAUAUUAAAAAAAUACAAAAUUUGGGUACUCGGAUUAAAACCCAGCCUAGUGUUGGGCUUAAAAAACCCAACCCGGAUAUUUAAAAAUUGCAUCCGGCUCGGAUUCAAGCAUUGCAAUACUCAAACUCGGACUGGGUUUUGCCAACCCUAUAUGCCGGUGUUUUUGGUCACGCCACUAGUGAUAUUGACACGAAAAGCUUGUACAUAAAAUAUGGUUGACAUUUAUUAUUAUAUCACUUUGUUUCAUAUGGUUAUACUUGUUGUGCAUAAUCCCAUUUUGAUCACACUAACAUGAAAACAAAGGUAGGUUAAUUACACGUAAUUAUAGUUUAGUCUUGGUGUAUUUCUUUCUAACACUAGUUUAAUUUGUAUCUUGUGAGUAAUUCUAAUUUGUUACAUGCAUCUAUUUAUUGGAACAUAUAUCAUUCGUUCAUAUAUAUUUUGUGCGCAGUGUACACAAUAUAUAUAAACUUUGAAAAGGUAAGUUUGAAAAUACCUUUAUAGGAAAAAAAAAGUAUCAAAUCUUUUAGCAAGGGAAAAUGAUAAAGGUACCGAGGUUUUUAAAACCCGAGAAGACCGAAACGACAACGUUAAUUGUGUUUUAAAAUUUUAAUGAGUCUCACGUGUUUUUCACGUGAUAUACAGUAAAAGCAAAAUAAAAAAUAGAAAAAUUCAGCCCAAAAUCCUCAACUCCAUUAUCUUCCAAAUUGGUUCCGCAAAUAUUAUUGAUGACGUGUAUCGAACCGAUAACAUUUCAUCGUCAAGGACCUCAACCACUAUGAAAAGCCCCCGACUCACCGCGUUUAAAAAUCACUCUAAUUCGUGCAUACUUCACUUUAUUGAGUUAAUAGUUAAUUUUCCUUGUUUAUAUGAAUUGGAAAAAUUCUACGGUACAUUAGAGGGUCCGUGUCAUAAUCUAAUGUGGAACCAUCAACUAAUAAUAAUUAGACAUGUGGCUAUUAAUUUGAAUCCUAAAAAUUUUCCUUUUUUUCCAUCCUCUUUCCUCCAUUUUUAAGAAUUUUUGUUUUCCUUCUUCUCUCUCAUCCCUCUUGAAUUUCCUAAUUUAAUAAAAUAGAAGACAAAGCAUCAAUAAUCAUUAAACCUUGCUCAAGUCUAUUUAGAAAUUGGAAUGAGGACCAGAAUUGCGUGCAAGCAAAAGGAAUUAGACAUACUCUACAAAGAAGAGAUUUUUAGAAAAGAGCCAUCUUCAGAUCUUCUUAUCAAAUCGUGUUUAUAAGAACACAUUGACUUUGAUUUACAAAAAAAAAAAUCCCCUUUUAUCCUCUUUCCUUAAUUUUGAAUACUUUGUUUCCCUUCUUCUCUUUCCCUUCUCCCGAAUUUCCAAAACUGAAAUUAUUUAGUUUCUCUCACAUUCGAUCAGACUUGGUUUCUCGUCAUGUGGUGUAUAAUCUAUCUUCAACAGCUGCCAUAUUUUUUUUUUCCUAUUUGUCUAUAAUCUUGAAAUUUUGUUUUUUUGCUUUUUAAACUAUCAUUUUAAAAUGUUGACAUUUUGCAGAAGUUGGAUCUCUUUUUCCAGACAAUCUAAGUUGUCAUGCGUCAUUCUACUUCAUCAAAGUAACAAUAAACAAAACAUCAGUGGACGCUAGAAAAUAUGGUGAAAUCUCUCAAAAUUCUAAUAAUAAAAAACAAGUGUUGAAAGUAUUGAUAACCCCAAAAUAUACACAAAUUAUGUGAAUUAAAAUGACUGAAUUUUCAGAGAGCAUAUCCUUACAAUUAACAAAUCUAAUGGAACAAAAAAAAAAUUAAAAUUUAUAUUUUAAUCCCUUCUUCUUCUUUGCUGCCAAAAUCAGGCCAUAAAUAUUUUCCUGGCCAGUGGCCAAGGAGAGAUUUAAACACUUUCAAGCUUCACGCAUCUAUUUUCCUUCUCAAUCUGGUUUGAGCACUCUGUUUCAAUGUGGCAGAUUUGCACAUUUCUCAUAGACAUAUAACCAGUUAUAAUGUGGCGCAUGGGCCACAUAUAUGAGUCCCAUAUUUUCACCUCAAAAUAUAGUUUCUUCCCAAGCUCGCCUUCCAAUAGCUUCAAGCACUCUGUGAACUCUGUCCUUUGUUCAUCCAGAUACUUGCACAAAUUUUUACCAUGAAAAUUAGACCAAAACUUGGCUCGGAUGAUUGCUGGUAAGGAUCAGAAGGCGACAAUUAAUGGAAACUUAGUUCCAAAUUGUAUCAAUAAACUUAGUAUAGUGAGAGAUUCACUACUACUAAUGGGUUUGUUUUUUGUGAAUUAGAUCCCGUAUGUUCUAAUAAACAGGAUCUGAUUGAAGAAGAUGUUUUUUUAUUUAUGGAAAUCUCUUCUUUGUAGAGUAUAUUUAAUUCUUUUUGCUUGCAUGCAAUUCUCACCCACAUCAUAAUUUCCAAACGGACUUGGCCAUGCAUUAAUGAUUAUUAAUGUUUUGUGUUCUAUUUUGUUAAAUUGGGAAAUUCGAGACGGAUGAAAGAGAAGAAUGAAAAUAAAUACUUUUAAAAGUGGAGGAAAGAUGAUGGAAAGAUUAAAAUUAAUAGCCACAUAUCCAAUUAUUGGUUGGUGGUUACAAUUUAACUUAUUUGACAAUGGAACAUCUGAUGUGCUGUAUGUGAAUUGGGUAAAACUUGUCUUACAAAUAAUGUAACAAACAUCCAAUAAAUAUAAAUCAUUGAUUUUGAUAUUUCUUAAAUUUAAUGGAUGAAAAUAAUUUUAACAUGAAAUGAGGGAUGGGUGUAAAAAUAAUUUGUAAAAAAAUUUAUUUUUAAUCACAUAUUUACUUUUUUUUUUCAAAUAAGUCCUCGAUAAUUUUGUAUAACUAAAUAGUUUUGUAGUUCAUCUCUCUUACAUCUAUUUUAAAAUUUCAUAAAACUUUUACUGUAUUUUUAUAAAAGUCUAAAUGAUUAUUGUAUUAAUAAAUAUUUACAACUUUUGAAUAUAUUUUUCUGCCUUUAUAAUUUCUUGUCUCUAUUGAGACAUAUACUAAAUUUUUCUUCUAACACACACACACACACACAAACACUCACUCACACACAUUGAUGCUGCGUUUACUUUUUGGAUUGGAGCGGGAAUCCUGAGGAGUGGGAAUCCUUAGAUUAGGAGUGUGGAGUGGGAGUGGGAGUAGGGUGUUUACUUAGACUAAAUGAAAGUAUGGAUUGUUAAUCAGAAUCCUAAUUAUUUGUUUACUUUGUCUUGGAUUGGGAGUAAAUUAUUUUAAAUUACAAUUUUAUCCUUAUGUACAGAAUUAUAAUUUGUAAUUAAAAAAUUAAUAAAAAAUAUAUUUGGAAAAUAAAAUAAAUAUUUUAUUAUAUUUAUAAAUUAAUAAUAAUUACUAAUAUUCUUAAUUAUGUAAAUCAUAAUUUUUUAUUAAUUUUAAUUUAAAUUAUGUGAAUAAAAAUUAUUAAUAAUAGCAACACAAAUGAAAUAUUAUUAUUGAUAAUAUAGUACAAAAUUAAUAUUUUUUAGAAUAAAAUUUUAUUAUUACUAAUUAAAUAAAUAAUUAAUAUUUAUUAAAAUUAAUGUUUAAUAUUAUUAAUUUAAAUAUAAUAUUUAUUUAUUUUUAUUUUAUUAAAUUUAAUAAAAUAAAUAUGAUAUAAUUAUUAUUUUUAAUAAAUAUGAUAUUAUUUAUUUUAUUAAAUAUGAUAUUAUUUAUUUUAUUAAAUAUUAUUUAUUUAUUUAUUUUUAUAAGGAUAAAAUGGGAAGAGGGGGGAGUGGAUUCCCACUCCCACCUCCCCCCAUGGGAGUGGGAAUCCCACUCCCCACUCCAAAAUUGGGUGGGACCCACGAAUUCUCACUCUCACUCCUUCCUUUUUUAAGGUAAGUAAACACUAGAGUGGGAGGAAUCCACACUCCACACUCCCACUCCAGAAAGUAAACACUACCUCAAUCUACUUUCCCAUCCUAAUAUAUACCAUCAAUGUUGCCACAUAGAUUUUGUAAUUUAAAUUUAUUAUCCUAAAUUAUGAGAGAUAUUACAUAAGUUAAAUAUCUCAUGAAUCUAACGAAUUAUUAGAAACAUGAAAUAAUGAAUAAAUUAUCAGAACCUCUAAUAAUUUCAUAAAACAUAGAAACCAAUAAAUUACCAACUUCUAACUAUAGGUAAAGAGAAUUUUUUUUUUUUUAUGAAAGAUUUCAACCUUUUUGAUCUGAUCAAUGAUUUAGAAAUGUGGAGAAAUAAUAAAUUAAAUUGAAUGUCAUUAUAUUUAUUAAAUAAAUUAAGAAACCCAAAUUUAUCUAUAAAUGAUAUAGAAGGUGUAAAUAAACUAUUAGAAAUUAAUAAUUUCAUUGAAGAAAAUAUAAAAUAAAUUAAAAAGUUAAGAUAUUAACUGAGUAAAGAAUUUAAUAAAGGUAAACAAUUAAUAAAAGGCUUCAAUAUUGAAAAUCAUGAUAUAUUAAAGUAAGAGAUCAUUAAUAUAAUUAAUAAAAACUCAAUAGAUAUAAGAUUAAACAAGUUAAAGAUUCAAUUAAAUAAAUAAAAAAUUAUUGAGCAAUUUAGUACUAAAUUUGCUAUAAAUAUAAAUAGAAAAUUUAAAAAAAAAUUAAAGUUCUAACCGUAUUGUUGCCUGGCUGCAGCCUGAACUCUAAAGCAAAACUUAACAUCUUAUUGAUGUUUUUAAUAAUUAUUAUCUUUUCUAAGGAUUUAAAAACUUAUAGCUGUAACGUACAAUUGAUGUAAGAUUAGCUUCGCCCAUAAUUAAAUAUCAUUAUGUUAAAUGAAAUUACAAUUUUACCAUAGACCGACAUAGAAAUGUUCCAUGUUUCCUUUACUUUCUAUUUUUGCUUUUUCACCCAUUAGAGGGUUGAAAUUAAAGUCAGCUUAAUUAAUCGAACCAUUAUUGAUUAUUAUAUCCAGUAAAGUUGCAUGAUACGAUAUUGAUUCUACAUGACUUAAUUCUCAUGAUACAAUUGUACGUUCUAAAUAGUAUCGGAUUGGAUUCAGCACUUACAGAUACAGAUGAAUCUCUUCGUGGCGGGGCUUUGAUGUUGUAAUAUGCAAUGAAAGAAACAAAUCAAAAGUAACUCAACCAAGUUUUAAAAAGACUUAUCAAAAGAAUGAGCAAUAAUUUCUGGUUUGAUGCAAGUGUUCUUAAUUAUUCAGUAAAUAAUGGAGGAACUUUUGUCAACUCUCAUAAAUUUAUGUUCUAUUGAACAAGUUUCUGCAAGUUAAAGGAAUUCUAAUUGUUGUUGUUGUUGUUGUUGUUUUUUGGGUUUAUGUGUUAUUCACCCAAUUUUGAAGGACUAUUAGUGUUGAAACUUCCUUGUGUCAAUAAGGUGCUUUUGUGGUUCUAGUCUUUAGGAAGUUUGUUGGUAAUGAUAUUAAGAUUGUGUUUACCUAGUCUUUAGGUUGUAGUUACUGGAAAUGGUUGCAGUAUUUGCUGGAUAAUGGCUGCUAUUAUUUUGUUAAGUUUGUUCAUGUAACGCCUAUAAAAGGCAACUUAUUGUGAAUAAAAUAUGCAGUACUUUCAUCCAUUUAUCCUUGCUUUGAGUGUACUAUUUCAUAUUCACUUAUAACAGUGGUAUCAAAGCUUGAAUUAGAAAAGUGGGAUUGACAGAGUUAGUAACAACAGUUUACUUUUUCACUUGUGUUGGAGCAGCAUAAAUUCAUGGCUUUUGAGAAUUUUGUUCAACUUGCAAUUCCCCGCUUUGAUGGUCACUAUGACCAUUGGAGCAUGUUGAUGGAGAAUUUUUUAAGGUCCAGGGAGUAUUGGCAGGUUGUUUCAACUAAAAUAACUGAACCACCAACCAGUGUUGUUUUGACAGAUGCUCAGAAAAUAGAGCUUGAAGGGCAACGAUUAAAGGAUCUCAAGGAAAAGAAUUACUUGUUCCAAGCUAUUAAUCACUCAAUCUUAGAAACAAUUCUUAACAAAGUACCAAGGGACAGCAAGGGCGAAGCGGGUACACCUUCAGACACUUCAAGCUGAAUUUGAAUCUUUAUGAAUGAAGAUAGGAGAGUCAGUCUCAGCAUAUUUUGCAAGGACAAUGGCAAUCGCAAAUAAGAGAUGAAUUUAUGGCGAACAACUCGAAGAUGUUAUCAUAAUUGAGAAGAUUCUUCGAUCUUUGACGGAAAAAUUUAACUAUAUUGUUUGUGCAAUUGAGGAAUCAAGGGAUAUUGACACACUUUUGAUUGAUGAAUUGGAAAGCACUUUGCUAGUCCAUGAGCAGAAAGUAAUCCGGUAGGAUAAGGAAGAACAUGCAUUACAGGCAGCAGAAAAUCCCAAACCAACUGCAAGCACGGGCAGAACAUAUUAGAAGAAAAUGUUGAUGAUUCUCAAGGAAAAGGAAAGGAUUGUGAUAGUCAGGAUUCGACAGGACAUAAACCAAAGUCUAAAGACAAAUUGAAUGUUAAAUGCUUCCGUUGUCAGAAGUAUGGUCAUUACCGCUCCGAGUGCCGUACUAAUUUAAAUAAGAAUCGUGGUCAGAAAUCUAACUUUGCAGAAAAGGAGGAAGAAGAAAUUUUCCUUCUUAUGACAUGUCAUACAAAGGAGAAAAGACACCAAAAUCUAUGGUACUUAGAUACCGGUUGCAGCAAUCAUAUGUGUGGGGAUAAAUAUGCUUUUUCUGACUUGGAUGAGACUUUUCAAAAUACUGUAAAAUUUAGUGGUCAUCUCCACCGUUUCUGUCAUGGGGAAAUGAAAUGUUGCAAUCCAAACCAAAUGUAAUUGUUGAGCAAAUGUAAUUGUUGAGAUUAUUGAGCAUGGCUUUAGAUUCAAUUUGAGCAAAUGUAAUUGUUCCUUUUAAGGUGAUGUAAUUGGUGUAGGGAGAGGAUUUAAUUCGAAUGAUUUAUGGUUCUAGAAAAAAACGAAUUUUCUUUAUGUUAACUUGAAACAAUAUGUGUGUAAAUUUUUACGAUGUUAGCAAUAUUUAAUAACAGAAUAGUUGAAAUAUUUUUAAAUUGCAUUGUAGUUUUUAAAAAUAUAAAAUGGAUAUACGAUUUUUUUUAUUGCAAUCUUACUACAAAAAUAAGGGUUUUUGGUAAUUGAAAAAAAAAACAAAUUAAUUAUUUUAAAAUAAAUAAUAAUAUUGACCCAAAUUUUUGACAUAAAUUAAGUUCAAAAAAUUUAUUUAGCAUAAAAUGUCACAAGCUAUUGAUUAGUAUCUAUCAUUGAUUUGUGAUCGAAUUAUGUUGUUAUGUAAGCAUAAAAUUUAUUUGCCAUGUCUGCAAAAUAUGAUAACAUGUCAUCUACCAUGUCUAAUGCCAUGUUUUCAAAAUGAGAUGUCAUGUCAUUUGCUACAUCAGAUUCCAUGUAAAUAGAGAAUUGUAACACAAUUCCUUGACUGAAAUAUUUUGUCACUAAUUAUUGAAUUUUCUGUCACUAUAUUAUUACAAGGGCUUUUUUGACAGAAUAAAAUUAUGCCAGUAGCAUGAUUUGUGACAAUUAUUCUGUCAAAAAAUCCCAAUUUUUUAGUUGUGUAUGAGAAAGGAAUUAGUUGAUGGUUAAAGCCUGUGCAAUGAGAUAUCUCACUAGUUCAGAUUCAAUAUUGACGAGAGUUGUGUUGAUUAUUUUAAAGAUCUUGUAUUGUGUAUUUAUUUAUUAUAUUAUAUGGGUAUGAGUUAAUUACAAUAUGUAUCAUGAAAACGAUAUUUACUCAUAAAGGGUCCUCGGCCAUAGUUCUUUCAUCUUUGUUUAUGUGGCAUUAUAGACAUUCGAAAAUCCAUUUAUGGUAUUCAUGAAUAAAGAAAAUGCUUCUAAUUUGAUCCAAUUAAUAAAAAGAGCGUACUUUUCAUAUUCGUGGACUAGGGAGACAUUUGAUUCAAUUCGUCGAUUUAUAGAAAUCUAUGGUCUAACUCAACUCAAAAACUAGUUCGAAAAUUAAAAUUUAUUACCCCAUUAGUCCCCACGUAAUUUUUAAAUACCUCUCUUGAGGUUUGAGGUAUUCAUUUAGAUGACGGGUUUACUUGUAUUCUCACAAGGUUUGAGGUAUUCAUUUAGAUGACGGGUUUACUUGUAUUCUCACAUACUUCCCUCUCUACUGUCUAUAUAAAUGCAUGUACGGUAUUAGUAUAUAAGGGUGAAUUCAGUAAGAGUGUUGGCUUGUGUGGGGAUCUCGUAAUCAAGCUUUUUUUCCCAAAGGAGAGAAUUUGACUGUGUUGCCAGCUUUCCCAAUAUACAAAAGGUGAGCACAGUUAAAAUUAGGUUGCGGAUUACGGCAGUAACUACUUAGAGAAACUUUUCCGUUUUAGUUGCUAAUUAGUCACUUAAAUUUAAAAAAAUUAGGGUCUCGUUAAUCGAUAACGAUAACAAACACCGGACCUAACUUAGGAGGCCACUCAACUUUUGAGGGAGUGGUUAAAACAGCUGCUCCAUGUUUAAAAGUAUGCCCUUGACGCCUAUAUUCUUUGAAAAGCUCAUUCUAGGAAUUGCCAUUUUUUUUUUUGAAAAGCUUAUUCCAAUUAUUAGUUGAACAAUUAAUAGUCAUUAAUACACACGCACGCAUACUUAUGGUACGGUUAGAUAAAACCUGUUAUAAAUUAAUUAAUUCCAACAUGUUUCUUUUACUAGCUAGUUGGUUUUUUAAACAUAUGUAUGAAUUAUCUAACGCUAAGUAACACGUAAUCCAGGUAAAACAAGAUUGAAUUAAACAGAAGACUUAUGAAGCUUGAGAGUCACAAAGCAGGCUUUUUCUCUAUUAUAAUACUGCACAGCAUGCAUGCAAAUUCAAUUUAACUUCUCAGAUCUCCUAAAGCUAUAUGAUUGGACCUUUAUUAAUAACCGAAGAAGGAAGCUUAAGAGCCCAUAGAUGUAUUAAGUACUUCUCCCCCAAUGCUUAUUUUAGUGGGAACAAAACAACUUCAGAUUCCCAAUAAGCCACCAGAGGAACAAAAUCCACAAGCCAAUAUUCCGAAAGAUUUUUGCUUUUCAUGAAUUAAUACUAUUAAUUUAAUGGGUCUGCCAUUACUCCCUUAUCUAUGUCUUAAUUAUAAUUAUAUGACUAGAACUUGAACAAAGAUUGACUUGUGGAUGUGUUGUCCGGCCGAAUCCACUUGUUGGGCAGUGAGGGUAAUUGCUUCCGGUGGAAAAAGAAAAAAAAGAGCUUAAAUUUAAUGUUAAUUUUGGGAUAAUUAUUUUCAGGAGUAAUUUUUUAAAGAGAUGAAUCAAUUUUAUAAAUUAUCUUUUUGCAGUGGGGACAAGUUAAUAUUUUCCAUUUUAUUUUAAAUCAGAGUCAUCACCUAGAAAAAUUAUUCUGCAGGGGAUAAAAAAAUAAGAACAAGGUUGCAAGAGAAAAAAAAGACUCCAUUUUAUUUUAGGAGUGAGAGAACUGAAAAAAAAGGAGCAAUGAUAUAGGCACAAACUCUUGUACAAAUUUAUUUUGUACAAACUGACGUGGCAUUAAUUCAUUAAUUGAAUGAAAAUAUAAAUUAAUAAAAAUAAAUCAUGUAGGUCAACUGAUAUUUAAUUUAAUUAAUUUUAUCACGCCAUAUCAAUUUAUAUAAAAUAAAUUUGUACAAGAAUUUAUAAGAAUUUGUGGUUGUAUUAUUAUAAAAAAAAAACAAAACAACAGAGUAAGUGGGUCCUUAUUACGACAUUGACGACACGAACUUGGGAUCGCUGUAAGUUACGUUUUAGCGUAACAGAGUAAGCGGUUGAAGUCCGUCUCAAAAAAUAGUCAACGAAAGAGAAUCUCUUCUACAGCCGGUCGUGACAAACAUAACGGCGUCGUUUACACCAUCAAAUUACGAGAGGAAUUCCAUCUCUUCCAACACAAGUACACAACCCCACCCCCCCCCCCCCCCCCCCAAAAAAAAUUCAGACCUCCACCACCGAAUUCCAGCCAAAAGCAUCAGUUAGCCGUUAAAGGAACCACACUUUAAACUCAAUUCAUCACAAAACUUCACGAAAAUUACAGUCGCAAUUAGCAACGCUAAUAAUGGCGGAUUUUGGAAACUUCCCGGACACAGACGAGGAGUCAGCAGUCGGGCAAACCCUAAGUUAAAUUUAUAUUUUCUAAUUCGAUGUUGCCUUUCGCCCCUCAUUUCCUUCGUAAACAGUUUUUCUCGCUUCCCUCCAACCAAACAGGCCUUUUGAGUUAGGGUUCAGGGUUUUUUUCCCCCUUUUCGUAAACUAUAUUCGUUUAUUUUGGUGUUAACCGAAAUGAGAAACUUACAGUUAUCGUUCAAUCAAACGCAAAAUGUGAGACUUGAAAAAGCUCUCGAAAAGCUUGAGUCUUUAUCCUCAAAUUCAAACCCUAACUCCAGUGUCACCGUCGGCGACACCAUCCCUGUUUACGAAGAUGGCGUCCUCAAGUAAUCACGCAUUCGGACUGAAUCUAUUUAUUUUCGCUUUAUUAUUUUUAUUUUUCUAAAUUAUGGAUUUAAUGAAAUACUGGGGACACGGAACCUCGGACUGUAAGGGCGAGCUUGUUGCUGCGACUGCUAUGGUGUUGUCGAACGCAUCAACAAGUUGAUCUACGUACGCGCUUUACGCUCCAGGUAAUUGGAAUUUGCUAGGCUUUAGUCUCUGUUUUAAAUCUUAUGCAUUUGUGUUGUUUGGUUCGGAAAAAUCGUUGCUUUUGUUUUAGUUCUAUUGUUUGUUCAUAGAUACAAGCCGGAGACGGGAGAUAUUGUCAUAGGACGUGUCAUAGCGGUAAAUUCAAAUUACUUAAUUAACUUCAUUAUUUGGAAGUUGAUUCAUAUCACAUUCUUGUACUGUAUUGUAUCUUCUACUUCUUCAAUUUUAAUAUCUAGAACCUUAAAAAUGUUCAUUGUUCAGGUUGCUCCAAAGAGAUGGAAAUUGGAAGUAAACUUCACCCAAGAUGCUAUUUUGAUGCUUUCUUCAAUGAACUUUCUGAUGGAUUUAAGGUAUCAUACUUUUUCUUGAAGGUUGGUCUAGUUACCCUAUUGGGUGACAUAUGCUAUAACUGGGAGGUAUCAAAAAAAUAAUUUUGUUCGUAAAUAGGGCACCAUAUGAGGCAUGGGGCUUGUCUUAUAUUUUUAUGUUUAAGAUCUGCCUAAAUGUGGAUAGUUUGGUAUUGAAUUUUCUCUUUUGCUUGCUAGAAGCGGCGAACGGCUGUGGAUGAACUCAAUAUGCGCAGUGUUUUUACAGAAAAUGACUUAGUCUGCGUAAGUGAAUUGCUAUGUAUUCUUAAUUUCUUUUAUGGUGAUUGUGCCAUCUGAGGGAGAAAACAAGUUACUUAUUUGAUGUUACCAAAAUCUGUUCUCUUUUACAGGCUGAAGUUGGUAGUUCAUAGGGUGAUGACAGUUUACAAUUUCAAGCAAGAAAUCAGAAGUAUGGCAAGGUGUGUCAUGUUUGAAAAGUUUUCAGGUGCAUCUUCUGCACUUUUUUAUCUUUACACUCACUCUUUUAUAAGGAAGAACAAUGUAGAUGUGAAGGAAUGGCCAAUACCAUCAGUACAAGAAAAAUAAUAAUAAUAAUAUUAGUAGGUAAAUUUAAUGUCCAACUAUCAAUUUCCCUUUUCCUUUUUGGCUUAGAAUUAAGCUGCCAAUUUGACUAACCUUGAGGAAUGGCAAGUUGUACUUUAAAAUUAUGCCUUGGCAUGGGCAAAUCAAUAUUUGCUUGCAGCUAACUAACUGUUGAGGAUGGGAACUUAAGAAUUCCAAAGAAGACUAGGAGUAACUUAGUGUAUUGAUAAUAACAAUGUUUAUGAUUCAUUUCUUCAUGUAGGAAACAGAAAAUUUUCAUUGUUAAAUUGUUUCUCUUUUUUACUUUAAGACCUAGCAUCAUUGCCAUCAACAUUAUUUCAUUAGCAUCAGUUUUUCAUCCUAUUCGUACCUGUAAUGUAUUGAUAUGGACAUGUACCAAUACGCCUUCAGCUCGAGAGGGGUCAACUGCUCAGAGUCGAUCCUUAUCUAGUCAAGAGACGGAAACAACAUUUUCACCACCUAGAACAGUAUGGAAUUGACUUGAUAAUUGGAUGUAAUGGAUACAUCUGGAUUGGUGAGCAUGUUGAAGCCAGAGACAAGACGGCGGUGGAUCAAGGAAGCGAUUCUGAACAACCAAUCACCAAAUAUGAUAAAAUUUCCAUGGAUCUUGAUGAACAAGAUGGAACUUGCACUCCACGAGAAGCGAGACAGAACGUUUGCAGAAUUGCAAUUUUUUUAUUUGGGAUUAGGUCUUUGGUGGUUUGGCAUUGUUUGCUUUUCCAUGUUGUACAUGUUUCUGGGAUUUGCUUCAUUCGUUCGCAGGGAGCACGGUUUAUUUCUUGUUAUCUCCAUAGGCGUGAAUGCUUAUAUUACAUGUUAUUGUUAAGAUGCAUGUACUACUUCAGUUCUGGUAACUUAUGUCCAUCAGGAUUAGGCAGUGCAUGUUUGUGUCAUCAUUCAAAGUAUCACUGCUAUUCGUUUAUAAUUCUGUUCAAUGUUGUAGCCCUUAACUCAUGUUUGUUCCUUCCUUCUGGCGAUUGAUCCUUGAAGUCUCUUUGUUGGUUCAAUUUUAGUGGUUAUGUUUGCACAGAAGAAUGUGGUCUGCAUAUUCAGUAUCAUUAAUUUGCAGUAAUGAUCAUUGUGUCCCUCUUCCUCUUAAAGCUUUUGGAAAUUCACAAUAAGCCCCGUGAGUCUGGGUCUUUCUAUAUGCAUGUGCCUCUAUUCGGGUGCAUGCUUGUCUGUGGUGUGUGAGCAUGCUUGUGAUACAAUUAUCUAAUGUCUACUAUUUCAUUGAUUGUGGAGAGGACUAGGGUGUAUGCACAUGGGUUAAUUGGCAGAAUGGUAUGUCUGACAUUGUUAUAUCCAUUCCUUCUCGAUAACAGUUGCAAAAUUUUUGUUACAAAGUUCACGGCCUUGCUAAAUCUUUCCCUACAAACGUGUACAGGUGGUCACUCACUCAAUCAUUUCCGUUAGUUACUGAUAUGGAUUCUCAACGAAGAUCAGACGCUGGUGUCACUAUCAAAUUCAAUAACACAUAGAUCCAUAAAUUAUGUUCUUGACAACAUAAUGAGUAAUUUCUGCUUCUUCAAUGCUUGUAAUGAUGAAGUUGGUGGAGCUAGUCUUUUCUUUUCAAAUGUACUAGUUCUGCUUUCCGAUUUUUCAUCUUCAUCAUUCUCACCAUGUCCAUCUCUAGUAGAGGGGGUGGACGACUCAGCAUUUUUGGCAGCAUUUCUUUUUCCAACAUUCAACCUGAUCUGCAACUUUCUUUCAGCAGGGUCGUUUGAGGCUCCAAUUUUUUAUUGGCAUGAAACUUUUGCGCCAAGUCCAAGCCUACAACAACAUGAGGAAUGUUAUUACCAGCAUCCUAUGAUGAACAAAAAAAUAAAAAAUCUAUGGUCGGGUUAGGAUGAAUACACUGACCUAGACGGCCUGGCCUCUUAUGCACAUACAUAGGCAACUGACACACAUACGUAGGCAUACAAAACUCAAUGCAUAUACAUAAAAACUGCACCAACAUCAGAUAAAUUAGACUCAAAUAACUUAAAUUAAAUUACAGUCAGUAAAAAAACAAAAUAAGUAUUACAUCCAUUAUCCAGAAAAUGAAAUGAUAAUCCUAGUGUUUUCUAAAGAAUUUUCAUGUCAUCUAUCCACUUGCUGUUUAUUACUAUUAAAAAAUUUACCAUGAACCUUCUAAUAUGAAAAUGACUCCAAAGACCAAAACACCAGAUUUUUAUACUCAAGAAUUAACCAUGCACCUAAUAAUACUUAUGGAUGCCACUGUUGCAAAAAAUAAUCCAUCAUCUUACUAUUUAAAGAUCAAACAUAUUAGAAAAAGGAAAAAUAAAACAAAACAAACAAAAACAGUUUGCCAAGUACACUGAGCAAGUAGAUAUUCCAACUUCACCAGACAUCCUAUUGUGCCCUUUUGCACUUGUUUUGGAGCUAUUAAUGUGAGGUAGUCAUGACGAAACAAUUACAACACUGACUUGGCAAAUUAUUAUAAUGAAAAUCAAUCGAUGUGAUCAAUCAAAAAAGAAAUUAAAUCUUACCCAGAUACAUCUCUAUGAAAGCGAUCUGCGACCCAUGCCAGCAGCUUGAGGAUGCAGUCAAUAGAUCCUCCUCUAGCUGCCAAGUGAAGAGGAGUGCUUCUUCUGCAAACAAACAGAAAAAGAAAUAAAUAUAGAAUAAAAAUGAAAAAGAGAAACGGACAUCAACAGGUGAAGAAUUACCAGAAUGAAUGUGAUCCCAAAGCUUCUCAAAGAUCUUGUGCCUUCUAUACGGUGAGAUUAUGGCCACAACGCCAGGAUUUGCACUUUCGGCUUAGGGUUGUUGUGUGUUGAUUGAAAGUUGUGACGGCAUAGUCAUCCAUAUACAACCAUGUCAAAAGCUAGCCCUGCCCAACUAAGUCCAAAUGGAUGACAAAAAGUGAACAUUAUCCCACAGACAAGAAACUUGGUCUUCCCUCUUAUAUUCAAAAAUGCAAUCUUGCCAAAUAACCCAAAAAGGAGCUAGAACAUCACACUGCCCGAGAACCUUAGGUUCUAUCCUUGCCCUAAAGCAAAAAAUAUUUUCCAUUAGCAAAUAGCUACAAGAAUUUGGAGCAUCCCAAAAUCAAUAACAUAAUUGAGAAUCAAUGCAUGUAUCCGCAAGCAUUUAUUUAGUAGACAACUGAUUCCCAAAACAAUUUUAAAUUUCUGACAGAAUUACUUCAUUGCCUAAAUUCUACCAAGCUUUUCAGUUAAUACGCUCAAAAUACAAUCCACGGGUGCAUUUAAAUAAAUUGGGUUAUUUAACGCCUACAAUCUUUGGAACCUCAUCGAAUUGCUACCAAAAGUAAUCCACACCAAACAAUCAACACGUGAAAUACAGGACCUUUUGACAGAGAAAAUACGGCUGACGAAGAAAUUGGAAACCCAUAGAGGCACUAUACUUCUCCUAAUACUAAUAAUGGAACAAAAUGACAUCAUAAAACACUCAAUAUGCCAUUAGAGGAAUAAAUCCAUACCAAUGACGAGCUAAAUAUGACAUUUUUCUAGAAUUAAUAAUUCUUGAAACAAAAAGCACAGUAAUUAUCUGCAUUUUAAAUAAUCCUAAAACCAGGAUAAUGACUUAUUUAUGUCAUGAAAAGAACCUACAAACGCUUAUUUUUUAAUCUUUUUUAUUUCCAAGCAAAAACAACAUUCUUCUAUUCUUUUGUCAACAACAAAACAGGUUAUGUUACAAUAAUUAUUUUCAACAUAGAACUUGAACCCUGGGAGAGAUAGAAGGAAAAGACAUAGAUGUCUGACUGAGAGAGAGUUAAGACAGUGUGAGAGGUAAAAGAACAACACGGCUUAGAAGUUAGAAUCAUCAUCCACUUAUCUCACUUAAUCGUUGGUGUAAAAGUCCUCAUAGAAGAAAGAAAUAUUAUUUUGAAGGGUAAAAUGUAAACAAAUUAAAAUUUUAGAUAAAAUUGUGACACGUUUAUAUUAAGCGUGUAUAUUAAGAUUUAAGAGAGAGUCACCAUUAUACCGCACAGGUCAGCUCCCAGUUGAACUUGCGAGUUUGGGUUUGAGUUCCAGUCCCACAGUUAGUGAAAGUAGGUAUUAGGUAAUCAUCUUUACCAGCUGAAAUAUCAAAACCUGUCUGUAUAAGCCUGCACAUUACAAUUUAAUCAUCAGCAAAGGAGGUGGCUGCAGCGAGAAACAAGACAUUAUGUAGUAAUUACAAAACAUUGAAAAUCAUCAUAUUUUAUCAGUCACAAAACCUAAGAUAGUCUCCCCAUAGCAACUAUAAAUAUUGGGGGGCAAAAAAAAGGACCACAAAGUAGAACACUCCCCUCUUUUUCCUCCAAACAUAUACAAAAUUUCAGUUCACUCCUAAGCUGAGAACCAUUCUACUUUCAAGAUUCAACCAAUGAAAUAACCAUAAUAUUCUUAUUAAAAAAAAUGAAAUAACCAUAGUACAAAAUAAUUAUCCUCUAAUUCAAAUAUUGCUUCAGAAUUUACAAUUUAUGCUAGAAUCAAUUGGUGAAACCUAGGGAAUCGGAAUGAUACAUUUAUUUAACCCAAAAGGUGAAUAUCAAGCUUAAGGUUCUUACAUAUUGAGACGAUCAAAUUUCAUUCAUUCUGAACAUGAGAUGCAACUUGAACUAUUUCAAGUUAUUCCAAAAGAAAGCAUUGAAAGAAAUUUGUUCAUCCUACGUGGUAUAAGUAGUCUCAGUUAGUAUUCUGCAUCAUCAGUUAAAUCAUUUGGAUUAUUAACAAUGAUCUUUUUUAUUAGCUGAAUUGAUAACUCUCUAAGCCACCACUGUAAAGCUAGCAUUUGGAUUAUAACUGAUAGAGAAGAAUAAAAUGAAAAAAAAACAGAGCUAAAUAGGUUGAUAUAAUGAAACUUGUCGUCAAAUGUCAGAUCCGACUUCUUCAAACGAACUAAAGUCCAGCAAUGAAAAUUUCACAUACAAGCAACUAGAAUACCUGCAAGAUAGCUUAAAUUAAAAGUUUUCUGACUCCUUCAGCAGAGAUGCCAACAAUUUCCAAAACCUUUUGUUGGACCUCACGUUUAUAAAUUCUCAAACCUUCCUCCACCAAUCUGACAACAUCAUGGAAAACAAGCAACACCACAUUUAAUUGUCUUUAAUUUAUAAAAAGCUUCAAGCACUACAGAUGCCAGGAUAUAAUGAGAAACCAAUCAUAGAACAUGUCAUGAGCAAGGGCACAAAGAGAGGAAAUAUCUCCAUUGCUUCAGUGUGAUGACAAUCAUCAUGAAACAAUAUCAACAUAUAUGAUUUAGGGAUACAUGAAAUAUAACAACCUUCGAAAUGAAAUUAAUAUACAGUGAUAGAACAAUAUAAAACAAAUAACUACAUAAAGAAAGAGCUUACACUGUUGUUUGUGUUUGUGUGUGUGUGCUUUUUUGUGUUGGGGGGGGGGGGGGGGGAGAGCUGAAGUUAAAAGCUGAACUCUGGUUACCGUUCUUCCAUUUGUAUGUAAAGUCGCUCAAAUUCCUUAGUCAUGGCAUAAUAGAUUCUCUAAUAUAUAUAAUGAAUAAUUCUUUUAAAAGAAGCCCCUGAACUUAGAAUUACUUCCACUUCUUCCAAUUCUUAGUUAUAACAAGGCAUGAAUGAGUUUUGCUAUUUUUAGUGAGAUAUAGAAAGGUAUGUACCCUCUUUUUAUCUUGCAACUUCAAAACCUGGUAAGCCUCUCUCAAAACCUGAAUUUAGACGAAUGGACUCCAAAUGAAAGGAUUUUCUUACAAAAGCUAAAAGAUUGAAUGGCAUGGUGAAAAUGGGAAAAUGAAAAUAUAAAGCAGAAGAAAAAGUUUCAAUCUGAUAAGACAAAUACAGAAAAGCCAAGUUCUUAUUUGCCAUUCCAAUAUUAUUAAUGCAGAAUUACUCUAAUUUAUUUUUCAGUUAAGGUUAGUAACAAUUUAUCUGAAAAUAACUGAACCAACUCGGUUACUACGACAUUACUCUUUCUCUUCUACUUCUGGUUCAUCAAUAGCCACGUUCACCAACACGAGUCCACUCUUCCCCCCUUGACUUAUUUCCCCAACCUUUAGGUCUCUCAAAGUGCAGCAGCAAGAAAUGAUCUUUGCAUCAGUAUAAGCAGUGUGAAGCCCUCCUAAGAAAUCGACCACCUGUUUGGCUAGAAAAACUCCAUUACUCAUUGCCACACCUUAUACUUUCACCCCUUUCAUUAAAACACAAGCAUUACUUACCCAUUUUUAGACAUAAUUUAUUUUUCUGAUAUCACAUCAUUCAGGGAGGGGGAAAAAAAAAAAAAACACACACACACACACACACAAUUAACUGACUUCAGCACAUAAAUUACAACAAGCUGUCAAUUCACAAAAAUAAGGAAAAUUAACUCAAUCAAGUGAAGUAGGCCACAAAAUGACCUCAAUAAAAUAUCAGGGACCACUAAAAUCGAACCAAAUUCAGUUAAACAAAGAAUCACUCAUCAAAGAUAGGCAAAAGGAAAAAAGAAAUGAAUAACAGAGAAAAUUGCUUAUAAAAAUUCAAUAAAAAAAUAAAAAAAGCUAAUCAUCUAUUUUUGAUUUAGUGAUUUCGUCCGCAUAUAAGACAAAAUAGAAAUUCUGAAAUAUACCUAGGGUUUCUAGCUUUGGAAAUUUACCUUACGAGAAACCAGGCUCUCUGUUGCUAGCGUUCUAACUUUACCACUAUGGCCAAGCGACGCCGAUCAGCUGGGAUGAUCGGAUUUCGCAGCGGCGACGAUGCAAAUGUUUUAUGUUUGGGUUUGACGGUAGACGAAGGAACGUUUAGUGUCUUGGGGGUAAUUUUGGGAUUCUAUUUUUUAUUUUUUUAAUUGAAGUAAAAUGACCACAAGGACCUUGCUAUGUUACAGCUUCUGCAAGUAACAUAGCCAAUGAGAAUCCUCCACUCGUGUUGGUGCUGAUGCAACCAGGGCAAGGCAACUGUUCAGAGAAUCCUCCACUCGUGUUGGUGCUGAUGCAACCAGGGCAAGGCAGCUGUUCAUGCAAAGUGAAAAUGCCGAGGCCGUUAGUUGCAGCUUCUGCAACGUAGCCUUGUCCCAAUAAUUUUAAGUAUCCCCAAGUUGUAACACAUUUAAUGUUCAGAGUAGUUAAACAAUUAAUUUUUCUUUUGCAUAAAAACAGAAUAUAAAUUUGGACACAGAAUUUUAUUAAUAAUAUAACGCUGUUCAAUUGGGCCACAUAAUACAAAGACAAUAAACAAUAAAAAAAAAAAUUUAAAAAGAAGUAAAAAUCUAGUCUGCUUUGCGCUUAUUUCCUUCGAGCAAAAGCACUUUCAGACCUUCAAAACUUCUAACUAAUUAGAAAAUGGAAAGAUGACAACAUAUUUACGAGGACCCUACAGUGGCACCAGAAAUAUAUACAUACAUAUAUAUAUAUAUAUAUAUAUAGACACACACACAGACAUCAAAUGGCCACAACUUCCAGGUUACUCUCAUGAUCGUCAGUUGAACUUGGCUGCAGGUUUUGGAUGUGGUUCGUUUCUGCUUCAAUAAUGUUCUCUUCGUCAACGUUUUCCGCAAUUUCUUGAUUCCGGUCCACACGAGUGAUCAUGAUACGUCGAAUCCAGUUGAAGCAGCGCUUAAACAGGGAAGCUAACGUUGCAUAACAGAGUGAUAAGAUUAUGAGGCAAAAAUAGGGCACCAGGAAGAGAAAUGGAGCCAAAAUGACAGACGCAACCACCGAGAUAGCCAACAGGACAGAGGGUUCUCCACAACUCACGGAAAUGGAGCGGCUCACACUGACAGUGAGUCUGAUAGGUGUGAGGAGGAAGAGCAGUAAUGGCAUGAUGACGGCAGGAAUCAAGAGCCAGAAUUCUAGCUUGAAAAUUGGAUUCAAAAGUAUCUUACUGGUACCAUCCUGGACGUCCCAUGAGUUGCCAUCCUGAUACCUGAGGAACAGGAAAAAGAUGAUAAGGUUUAGCAAAGGCGGAAACAAAUACCUCAAAUCAAUUAACAGAUCCAUGCUUAUGAGGAAGAUCAAUUUGGCAAUGGCAGGGGCUUGAAUUUUGAUUUUAUUUAUUUUCUUUUUUUUUUUUUUUCCUUUCUUUCUCUCUGCUGCUAAAGAUGCCGAGAGCUUGUGUGUGCAAAGGGUAACUGGAGGAUUUAUAGCUCCGGGGAUGUCUACGAAAGUACCCGGAAGGGUUACUAGCUCGAAAUGCUGUGUGUGUACAAAGGCUUGUCUUUUUCUUCAGAUAAAAACAAAAUAGUGCCAUGGUGGACAUGCAAGAUGACAUCACAUCUUGUUUUUCAAAUAAAAAACAAGAUUGCGCCAAGAAUCGUGUUAAGGAUUGUUGCUAGUUAUAAAUAAUCUUGUUAUGUUGUGUCACUAAAAUUAAUAAUUAAAUGGACACAAGUAAUUAGGUGUUUGAUAAAUCAUCUUAAAAAUAAGUGUGUAUCGAUGAUGGCAUUAUAAACUCAUUCUAACCCAGUUUAAGUUAAAAUAAUUUUUCAUUAAACAUUAUUUUUUUAGACUACUAUGACUUUUUUUAUUUCAGCUAAGUAUAUGAAUUUUUGUUAGGGACUAAUACUUUAUUAAGAUUAUAAAGAAUCGUGUUAAGGACCACUAUGACUAUUGAUUAUUUUAUUAAGACUUGUAUGAGAUUUUUCAAAGAUCACUAGGCUCAUAGCUUUCCAUUAGGUGUGAAUGUGAUUGACAAAUUUAUUAUUAAAGUGUUUUCUUGUAUGACAACCAAAAAGAUAUAAGGUCAAAUUGUUUUAACUAGUGCCGACCGUCAACGUGCCAACGUCACGUGUUGGCCAAGUCCUAUUAUCCUGUCCAAAAUUUGGAGAAAUUUUUUAAUUUUAUAAAAUUUUUGGGCUUUCCCUCAUCGGCUAUUUCUUUUCUUCUUUUCUGAUAAAUCUUAUGUGCUAUUCAUUAAUUGCUUUUAUUUAUAUUUUUAAACACUAUUCAACACAAGUUACUUAACAACAAAGGCAUACGCAAAAUUAAAACUUAUUCAGGAUUUAUAGCUUUUGACAAAUCACAAUUUGUCUUUGAGUCUGUGAUGCCGAUGCGGGACUACCCCUGACGAGAUAUGGCUGGAUAUAAAUAUAAAAAUUGCAUUCAGUCUUCUAGUAGGUAGGCAACGAUAUUCUGGAAGGAAAUGUUAUGCGAAUUUUGUGAUCCAAUUUGCCCUGACUUUGGGUCCCUCACCAUUUCAAUUUCAACAAACUACCAACAUACAGAUUUUGUAACUUAAUUAGACCCAAUUAAUACACAUACAUACAUACAUAAAAAUGUAUGCUCAUAGUACAAAUAAAGGCCAUUGGACUUGUUACCAACAGCAAAUGGUGCAUUUCGAUGCCAUUCACGUGUGAAGCAACAUUAUUAUUGUGUCAGUGUUUUCACUUCUGUAGACGAGGGAAGGACAUCUAAGUUUCUUGAUGAUUGACCCGCAUAGCUUUGCUUCAAUUUGGCUAUUGACUACAUAUUAAUCACUUACCUGCUUGCUAAAUCAAGGACUCUAAAUCAUACCAAUCUUUUUCCAUGUAUCUAUUUGCGAAUCUUUGACCAUAGUUAGCGAUGUUAUUUACUUUUUAUCAUAAAUUUACAAAUGCAAAAACUUAAUGCAUUUUAUUUUUUAUUUUUUCCUAAAUGGAACGAUAAUGAAUUUCCAAACCAUGCUUCCAUGCAACUUAGGGAAUCAAGGAGACAAGGACUCGGAGUGGUUUGUUCUGCACUUCCACAAAAGAAGAAGCACUGGAUUUUGCUGACAAAAAACGUCCUUGUUUAUGAUAUCUUUUGGUCUAUCUCAAUUUGGUGUUCUCUCCCUUUUUUCUCUUAAAUGUUUCUAUUCAAGUGAUGCGAUAAAAAUGGCAAACGAGUCCAAGUGUUGAUUCUUUGAUCCAAUAUUGUCAAUCUGUCCGGUUCAAGGAAGCAUAAUUGAACAUAACACGAAAUCACUUAAACUCGAAUUGUUAUAUAUCAAAGGGUAGAUUAUCAGUUAAUAUAUUGUCAAUACUCCUCCUAGAAUAAUUUUUUCAUUAUUUUUAAAUGUACUUUUGCUCAUAUUUAUUAUAAAUUAAAAUAAACCAUAUAAUAGAAAUUAAAAUAAAAAAUUUCAAAAUUAAAAAUAAGAAAUAUAAGUUUCGGUGUGAAUAAAAAUUAAUAAUAAGAUAAUUUUUCUUAUAUUUUUUUUAUUAUUUUUUAAAUAUUUUUCUUAUAAUAUAUAUACAAACACAUACAUGCAUGCAUGCAUGCACACACACACAUAUAUAAGAUAAAUUACCAAACAAAUGACUGAUUUUCUUUUAAAUUUUUGGUGCCGUGGGAGUUUUCGAAUUGUAUGAAAGCAACUUGCGAUAAGUUAUAUAUAUUAAUUUUAAUAGGGCAUGGGAGAUUGACAAUCCUCCCAUAUCAAAUCUAUUUGCAGUUCUUUUUAAUUCUUAUAUUUAUAUGCAUGAUUUUCUUUUCUUUUAUUAACAAAUCUGCGUUAAGGAGGAAAUUUUUUUUCCCCUUACAACGAUACCCUUAAGAUGCCUGCUGCAUGCAUAUUUAGUUAGCUGUUAAUGAUUUACUGUUAAAAUUUAUUUUUUGUUUUUAUUUUUUAAAUUCACUCUAGGUUUUGCAGUGGCAGGAGCAUGGAAAAGUUUGUCGGUUAAGUGAUUCGAAAUUUUUUCUCCUAUUGAUAAAUAACUAAUUAAGUUUUCUCUUUCCUUUUUUUUAAAAAAUUUUUUAAUCCGACCGAUGACUAUUUAAUUGAGUUUCACCAGUUGAAAAGGACUUAUUGGAGUGUAAUAGAUUCAAAGAAAACUUCAAAGGAUAAGUCUAUUAUUGGCAGAUUGACGAUUGGGUUGGAAUAAUCAAAGUAGAAGGAUAAACCAAUUAUCCACGGGCACAAUUAAAAUUUCAAAUAGAUAUAUAUUUAAUUAUGUAAUUGCCUAAAACCUCCCAAGCGUCUUACUUAAUCUGCUCAAAAUAGAAUAUUCUACAGCCACUUUUUUGAUAAAUUGGGUUAUUUAACGCCUAAAAAUAAGCUUCAAUAGAAUUUUCUUACCUAACCACUUAACUCAUAGAUGUAUUAGGUAGGUACUUUCUCCUAAAGCUUAUUUUAAUUGAACAAAACAACUUCACAUCAAAUUUGCAAAGUCAAUAUUCCACAAAAUUUUUCCUUCUCAUGAAUUAAUAACUCUACCAAUAUAAAAAAACAUAUUUCACCUACACGUAUGGAAAAUUUUUUUUAUUGUGUCUGUUUGUGACCAUCAUUAUUAGGUUGAGUUGAGUAUACACGUAUGGAAAAUUUUUUCUAUUGUGUCCGUUUGUGACCAUUAUUAUUAGGUUGACCAUUAUUUUUUCUAUGGUUAUUUUUUUAAUCUUAAAUUUUAAAAAUAAAUGCAAAAUCGUAGUGUAUAAAGCCGAUUUUUUUUUCCCCAUAAUGAAUUUUCAACCAUGCUUCCUUACAACUUAGGGAAUUAAGGAGUUGGGAGUGGUGUGUUCCGCACUUCCACGUCCUUGUUUAUGAGAUCUUUUGGUCCAAUAUGUCAAUUUCAUAUUGUCUCCCUCUCUCUUUUUCUUUUUUUCUUUUUUUUUUUGUCUAUUUAAGGUUUCUAUUCAAGUAAUGCGGUGACAAUAGCAAACAAGUCCGAGUGUUGAUUGUUUGAUCCAAUAUUGUCAAUCUGUCCGGUUGGAAGCAUAAUCUACUCCUCGAAAAUAUAAUUUUACAUUUUUCAGAUAAUCACGAGAUUCCUCUCUCCAUAAAUCUUAUGUUAAUUUGCACACCACAUUACCUUUUCUCAUACCCAAUAUAAUGCACAAAUAAAUCAAUCUCUUUUGAUAUGAAUAUGCAUAGCGACGUUGUUAUGAUCAAGUUAAAAGUUCUAUGAUAAAGAAGAGUUCGCUCUAAUUUCACGUAAAAAAUUGAAUUCAUAAUAAAACUGUUCCAAAUUUUAAAUUAAUGACGAACUUGCUCCAAAAAUUUAGUUUGCUAUAGGGUGAACAUGAUUUUUCUUGCUCAUAAUAUGGCAGCACAAGAGCUAUUCAUCUAUUGCUAUACGUACUAUAAGUGGGCCAGCGGAGGUUCGGAGUGCACACACGUGGCGCACCAACGAGCGGCGUUGCAAAGCACUGAUAUCAUAUCACUCGUGGCCCAUCAGCUACACGAGGGAAUUGUAAGAGAGAUUGUAACAUCUUUCAAGUUUUUUUUUUUUUUUGGUUUGAUAUUCUGGACGAAAACGGUUUACCGUUUAUUGAGAAAACGGCUAACCGUUUAAGUCCAGAGAGCAUGUUUUCUGUUCUGGGUAAAACAGCGUACCGUUUAUGGAGAAAACAGCUAACCGUUUAACUCCAGAGAGCAUGUUUUAUGGUCUAGAGAAAACGGCUCACCGAUUAUUGAGAAAACGGUUAACCAUUUAUGUACAAAGAGCAACGUAUUUGACAUUCUGGAAUAAAACGGCUCACCGUUUAUUGAGAAAACGGUGAACCGUUUAUUUCCAGAAAGGCGUCAACUAGAAACGGUUGACAAGCUUGAAAAUUUCAAGUGUUGAUCGUUGCAAAUUCAAACCAAAAGAGUUUUUUGAAGAAGUACCAUUUCGAAUGGUUGCAUUCUUUUGAAUUAACAUCUUCUUCAUAAAGGAAACAUAUACAAUAAGAUUAAAAUCAGAUUUGUGCAGGUUUAAUAAAUGUUCUGGAAAUACAAUCUUAUUUGCUAAAGAUUGUAUUCAGGAUUUGAUAUAUCUUGGGGGUAAUUUGCCAUUAAAACUCUAUAGCAAACCAAGAUUGGUGAGGGCAAAUAAAACCUUAAAGGAAAGUGUGUAAACACGUCUCAAAUCCUAAGAAAUUUCAUUGUUCUUUGCCUCCAUAUUCUCAUAAUUCACCAACAAUCUUUAAGGUUUUAUUUUGUGCAAAUGGAGGUUGAGAAGAGUUUGACAUCAUUUCUGAAUCCUAGUGUCCAUCUCGAUCGUUUUGAUGGAACUAAUUUCACUCGUUGGAAGGGAAAAUUGUUCUUUCUCCUUACUGUUCUUAAAGUGGCAUAUGUUCUUGAUCCGAAAUUGGAACCAUUUCCAGAACCAAGAGAAGAUGAUACCGAAGUUGUUAAGGCUGCAAGGAAACGUCGUGAAGAUGAUGAAUUGAUAUGCCGGGGUCACAUACUCAAUACGCUUUCUGACAGAUUAUAUGAUCUCUACAAUUCUAUGACUUCUCCGGUGGAAAUUUGGAAUGCUCUUGAAUACAAAUACAAAACGGAGAAAGAAGGUACUGACAAAUUCCUUGUAUCUAAAUAUUUUGAAUUUAUUAUGGUAGACACAAAAUCCAUUCUUGAUCAAAUACAUGAGUUACAAAUUAUUGUUGCUAAGCUUCGAGAGUUAAAAGUUGAAAUUUCUGAAUCAUUUCAAGUUGGGGCUAUUAUUGCUAAAUUGCCUCAAAGUUGGAAUGAUUAUAGAAAGAAACUCCUUCAUAGUAAAGAGAACAUAACUUUAGAAGAAUUGCAAAAACACUUGGUAAUUGAAGAAGAGACUAGGUCUCGUGAAUCCAAGGAUAAGCAUGAUUCUACUAAAGUUAAUGUUGUUGAAGCUAGUAAAUUCUCAAAGAAUUUUAAAGUCAAGAAUGACAAGAAAUUCAAGAAGUCCAGCACACAAAAGUUUUCUGGAAAUUGUUUCUUUUGUGGUAAGAAAGGCCAUCGCCAAAGUGAUUGUAGAUUCAAGAAGAAAAAGGAAGAAGUGAAUUCCCAUAAAGCUAAUGUUAUUGAAAACAAAUCUGAAGAGAUUUGUGCUAUGGUUUCUGAAAUGCAAAUUGGCAUGAUUACCGAAACCAAUAUGGCUGAAACUAAGUCCUAUGAUUGGUGGCUUGAUUCGGGUGCAACAAUUCAUGUUUGUAAUGAUAAGAAAUUUUUCUUAUCAUACAAAGAAGAAACGGAAGGACAAAUGGUUCUCAUGGGGAACAAUAAUGCAGCCAUAGUAGCAGGGAAAGGAGUAGUUGAGAUCAACUUCACUUCUGGAAAGAAAGUCACAUUGUAUAAUGUCUUUCAUGUACCUUCCGUUAGGAAGAAUCUUAUUUCUGCUAGUUGUAUGUGUAAGCAUGGGCUUAAGAUUGUGCUUGAGGGUAAUACUUGUAUUGUGUCAAAGAAUGGAUUAUUUGUUGGGAAAAGGGUAUUCUUGUGAUGGAAUGUACAAACUCAGCAUUAAUAAUAAUAAUAUCAACUUAGCUUAUAUUGUUGAGUCUUGUGAUGUUUGGCAUGCUAGAUUAGCACAUUUGAACUUUAGAUCUUUGAAAUACAUGUCUAAGCAUGGUUUGAUUAAUUGCAAUGAUGUUAAAGGUCAUAAGUGUGAAAUCUGCAUCCAAGCUAAAAUAACUAAGAAACCUUUUCCUAAAGCUGAACGAAAUACUCAAAUAUUGGAUUUGAUACAUACUGAUAUUUGUGAGUAUAAUGGCAUUUUAACAAGAGGAGGUAAGAGAUACUUCAUCACUUUUAUUGAUGAUUGUUCUAGAUACACUUAUGUGUAUUUACUUAGAACAAAAAGUGAAGCUUUUGAUAAAUUUAAAAUUUUCAAAGCUGAAGUUGAGAACCAAAAAGAUAAGAAAAUCAAAAUGGUUCCUAGUGAUAGAGGUGGUGAAUAUUUCUCAAUUGAAUUUAAUAAAUAUUGUGAAGAAGUUGGAAUUAUUCACCAAAGAUCAGCUCCAUUUACUCCUCAACAAAAUGGUUUGGCUGAGAGGAAGAAUAGGAUCUUCACGGAUAUGAUAAAUUCCAUGAUCCUUAAUGCAAAACUACCAAAUAAUUUGUGGGGGGAAGCAUUACUCACUGCAUGUCAUAUUCAUAACAGAAUUACAUCUUUGAAAACACAUAUAUCUCCUUAUGAAAUUUGGAAAGGAAGAAAACCAAACUUGAUGUAUUUAAGGGUCUGGGGUUGUUUAGCUUUUUAUAAAAUACAUGACCCUAAGUCAUCAAAGUUGAGUGCUAGAGGUAUAAAAAGUGUUUUCGUAGGAUAUGCUGAAAAUUCCAAGGCUUAUAGGUUGUUAGAUUUAGAUUCUAAUGUGAUUGUGGAAUCUAGAGAUGUUGAAUUUAUUGAGAAUAAAUUUCAACAUGAUUCUAAUAUUGAAUCAGAAUCAAUUAUUGAUCAACCAUGUGUUAAUACUCUUGUUACCUCCACUAAUAAUAAUAAAAGGAAAGAGUCUACGACAUCUUUCGAACCAAGGAGGAGUCAACGUGAAAAGAAAGAUAAGAGUUUAGCUCCGGAUUUUAUUUCAUCACAAGCACUACUCUUCUUGGUUGAAGGGGAUAGAAAGAAUGUACUUAACAAAGUACCAUUGUUGUUAAAUAUUGAAAAAGAUCCAAAGACAUUUAGCGAGGCUAUGUCUUCUAGAGACGCUUCUUUUUGGAGAGAGGCAGUAAAUGAUGAAAUGGAUUCGAUUAUGUCGAAUCAAACAUGGGUCUUGGUUGAUCUUCCUCCAGGAUCUCAACCAAUUAGCAGCAAAUGGGUAUUUAGAAGAAAGUACAAUAAUGAUGGUUCUUUGCAAACUUUUAAGGCUAGAUUAGUAGCCAAAGGGUUUAAGCAAAGAAAUGGUAUUGACUAUUUCGAUACAUAUGCUCUGGUAGCUAGGUUAACUUCUAUAAGAGUGCUAUUUGCAAUUGCUUCAUUGAACAAUUUAUAUGUGCAUCAAAUGGAUGUUAAAACAGCUUUUCUUAAUGGUGAUCUUGAUGAAGAAAUCUAUAUGGAACAACCUGAGGGAUUUGUUUUGCCUGGAAAUGAGAAAAAGGUAUGCAAGUUAAUCAAAUCUCUUUAUGGCUUAAAGCAAGCACCAAAACAAUGGCACGAGAAGUUUGAUUCGGUAAUUUUAUCACAUGGUUUUAAGCAUAAUAAUGCUGAUAAAUGUGUAUAUUUUAAAUAUACGAAUGAUUUUGGUGUGAUUAUAUGCUUGUAUGUUGAUGACUUGCUUAUCUUUGGAACAAAUAUACAAGGAGUAGAUGAUACAAAGAAGUAUUUAACUUCACAAUUUAAGAUGAAAGAUCUUGGUGAAGUAGAUACUAUCUUAGGUAUCAAAGUGAAUAAACAUAGUGGGGGUUACUCGUUGUGUCAAUCUCAUUAUAUAGAGAAAGUGCUUCUUAAAUUCAAUUAUUUGAAAUUUAAAGAAGCUAAUACCCCAUAUGAUUCUAGUAUUAAAUUACUAGAGAAUUCAGGCCGAAUAGUAGCUCAACUAGAAUAUGCUAGUGCUAUUGGUAGCUUGAUGUAUGCUAUGCAUUGUACGAGGCCUGAUAUAGCAUUUGCAGUUUGCAAAAUGUCAAGAUUCACGAGUAACCCUAGUGUUGAACACUGGAAAGCAAUUGGUAGGAUACUUGGUUAUCUUAAAAGGACCGUUAAUUUGGGUUUGUUUUAUAAUGAUUAUCCUGAAGUACUGGAAGGAUAUUCAGAUGCUAGUUGGGUAACCAAUACAAGAGACAAUAAAUCCACUUAUGGUUGGAUUUCUACAAUCGCUGGAGGAGCGGUUUCUUGGGCUUCAAAGAAACAAACGUGCAUAACUCAUUCAACAAUGGAAAGUGAGUUUAUAGCACUUGCAGCUGCAGGCAAAGAAGCAGAAUGACUGAGAAAUUUGUUGUUUGAUAUAAUGUUGUGGCCACAACCGAUGCCAUCUAUUUCUUUGUACUGCGAUAGUGAAGCUACAUUGUCUAGAGCUUAUAAUAAAGUGUAUAAUGGAAAGUCUAGACAUAUUAGCUUAAGACAUGAAUAUGUGAAACAAUUAAUAGCAGAUGGUGUUAUUAAUAUUGUUUAUGUUAGGACUAAUAAAAACCUAGCAGAUCCUUUAACAAAAGGUCUUUCAAGAGACUUAGUUAAGGAUACAUCUUUUGGAAUGAGAUUGAAACCUUUACACAAUAAAGUCACCAACGACGGUAACCCAACUAUGUAGUAGUUAUACCGCUACUCCAUAGUUAAAUGGGUAAUAACAAGUUGUUGUUAUGUGACUGGAUUGGCACCGAGUAAUAAAUAAUCCCAUUCGAGAUAUUCGGUGCAAAUAGCUACGAGGUUGAGGUUGAGUAUUUAUUCUUAAUGAAGUUCAAGUCUUAUAGUAGCUAAAGACAUGAUUUGAAACUUCACCUAAGUGAACAUAAGAAAUGGUGCUGUUUCUAACAAGGUCCUGGUUUAAUCUUGUAAAUGUUCAUGAAUCCAAGAUAGAGCACAAGGCCGGAAUAGUGCUAACUAUUGGAACACAACUUUGAAAUCUGGGAUAACUUAUAUGUGAUGUAUCUCCGGUAUUUACUUAAGAGACAAAGUUUAAUGCUUAGCACACUAUUGUCUUGUAAAUGCUUUGAAAUACACUCACUAAUUAAAGGUUAAAAUCGAAAGAUACAUUUUUGUAUGUAUAAGUUUAUUAUUAAUAAAUCUGAAAAAUAUUACAAUCUAGUGGGGAUUGUAAGAGAGAUUGUAACAUCUUUCAAGUUUUUUUUUGGUUUGAUAUUCUGGACGAAAACGGUUUGCCGUUUAUUGAGAAAACGGCUAACCGUUUAAGUCCAGAGAGCAUGUUUUCUGUUCUGGGUAAAACAGCGUACCGUUUAUGGAGAAAACGGCUAACCGUUUAACUCCAGAGAGCAUGUUUUAUGGUCUAGAGAAAACGGCUCACCGGUUAUUGAGAAAACGGUUAACCGUUUAUGUACAAAGAGCAACGUAUUUGACAUUCUGGAAUAAAACGGCUCACCGUUUAUUGAGAAAACGGUGAACCGUUUAUUUCCAGAAAGGCGUCAACUAGAAACGGUUGACAAGCUUGAAAAUUUCAAGUGUUGAUCGUUGCAAAUUCAAACCAAAAGAGUUUUUUGAAGAAGUACCAUUUCGAAUGGUUGCAUUCUUUUGAAUUAACAUCUUCUUCAUAAAGGGAAAGAUAUACAAUUAGAAAUAUCAUCAGAUUUUGCAAGUUUCAUAUAUGUUCUGGAAAUACAAUCUUAUUUGCUAGAGAUUGUAUUCAGGAUUUGAUAUAUCUUGGGGGUAAUUUGCCAUUAAUACUCUAUAGCAAACCAAGAUUGGAGAGGGCAAAUAAAACCUUAAAGGAAAGUGUGCAAACACGUCUCAAAUCCUAAGAAAUUUUCUUUGUUCUUUGCCUCCAUAUUCUUAAUAUUCUCUAACAGGAAUAGUCCCAAAGCCGAAGGAGGUGGCUGAGAAAUGUAACAGCAACUAUAUUACAUUUUACAUGUUAUUAGGUUUAUCGGUUUCUUUAACUUUAAUACAGAUGGCCGGCUAGAGAGUGAGACCCACAUGACUAACUGAGGAUUAUUCCAAAUUAGAGUUAAUUAUAAUAAUACAGUCUUUAAUUCAACAAUGUUAAUUGUUAAUAGAUAAUGUUAGGUCUGAGUCACUUUGUUGAGUUUUUCAGGGAACUUUGAUAUGGAGAAAGAUGUGCAGUUGCUGGCCCUGAUUAAUUAAAUUAUAUACUACUAAAUAUUUCCUUCCCCCACCUCCAAAUUGCAUAUAUGAUAACCAAACUACUAAUUAAUAAUAAUUAUAAACGAAAACAUUGACAAUUUUAAAGGCUGUCAUUUUCUUCGAUCAAAUUACCUCAGCCGGAAAAAAAUUGAUUUGGAAAUUAAAAUAUAUAGUCAAUACUCCUCGAAAAAUAAUUUUACAGUAUUUCCAUUAUUUUUAAAUAUACUUUUGUUCAUAUUUAUUAUAAAUUAAAUAAAUCAUAUAAAUAGAAAUUAAAAUUAAAAAUUUGAGAAUUAAAAAAAAAUAAGUUUCGGUGUGAAUAAAAAAUAAUAAUAAGAUAACUCUUUCUUGUACUUUUUGUUAUUUUUUAAAUAUUUUUCUUAUAACACACACACACACACACACACACACACACACACACACACACAUAUAUAUAUAUAUAUAUAUAUAUAUAUAUAUAAUUUUCAAGAUAAAUUACCAAACAAAUGACUUAUUUUCUUCUAAAUUUUUGGUGCCGUGGGAGUUUUUGAAUUGUAUAAAACAACAAGUUAUAUGUGAUAUAUAUAUAUAUAUAUAUAUAUAUAUAUAUAUAUAUAUAUAUAUAUAUAUAGAUUUUAAUAGGGCAUGGGAAAUUGACAAUCCUCCCAUAUCAAAUCUAUUUGCAGUUCUUUUUAAUUCUUAUAUUUAUAUGCAUGAUUUUCUUUUCUUUUCUUUUAUUAGCAAAUCUGCGUUAAGGGAAGGAAUUUUUUUUUUUUUUUUCACUUACAACGAUACCCUUAAGAUGCCUGCUGCUUACAUAUUUAGUUAAGAGUAAGCGCAAGGCCUUAGGACAACCUUUUUAUCCUAUCAAUGUGACCGCAAUAAUCUCUCAGAACCCGUAAAUCAGUACGGAGAUAUAAGAGAUGUGAAGGAAUUAAGCAUCUUUAAAAAAGAAAAAAUAUUUAAUGCAUUAGUUCUUUUGGAUUUUCAGCAACUUGCAUUGCCCAAAUCAUUAUCUCAAUUUACCCCCCUCGUUAACAAUAUAAGCUUUCGCACACGAUCCAAAGUUAUUGAUGAUUGACCAGCAUACAUAUCUGUUUUCUUGAAAACUUUUUCUGAAUGAUGGAUUUGAUCCUACAACGCAUCAGUUCAUUACCCUUCCCCAUAAGCUACAUGGUUUUAUCAUUUGAUGAUGACAUUUUAAUAUGUAAUUUCUUUCUUCCAAGACAUUCCUUUGCGACUGAUACUACACAAUCCAUAAUUGCAUUCCCAUCAUACAAGGGUCAUCCACCCUUAAAAAGAGGAAGGGGGGAAAAAGUAUAUGAAACUUAUUAAAUGUUUAAUUAGUAGAAAAUCUUGGGGAAAAUACUUGAAAAAGCAUAAAUUGUGUAUGACAAGAAACAACCAUGCAUGUUUAAUCUUUUGCAAGCAUAGCUCAUAUAACAACUUUAAACAUUUUCCUUGCAAAAAUAUGAAUGAAUCUACAAACACCUGAAAAGUUCAACCAAUCAGCGCAGUUUACUGAUGUUAAAAGAGACAUUCAAUCAAUUUGCCGGACUUCCAAACUUCAAUUUAAUGCAAUCACAGUCAUCACCCUUCUAUCCUUACAAUAGGAUUAGAAUUUCUAUUUAUUGUAUAUUUAACUGCAGUUCUAGACUCUGUCUGCAAAAGUAAAACAGAUAAUUCUUGUUAAUUUCCCUGGAUGAUCAGUAUGCUCUCAAUCUCUAUGCUUAGUCAUAGAUAUACAACCAUGUCAAAAGCUAGCCCUUCCCAACUAAGUCCAAACGGAUGACAAAAAGUGAACCUUGUCCCACUGACAAGAAACUUGGUCUUCCCUCUUAUCUUCAAAAAUGCAAUCUUGCCGAGUAACCCAAAAAGGAGCUAGAGCCAGAGAACCUUAGCUUUCUAUCCUUGCCCGAAAGCAAAACCAUUUUUCAUUAGCAAAGAGCUACAAGAACUUGGAGCAUCCUAAAACCAAUAACAUAAUUGAGAAUCAAUGCAUGUAUCCGUAAGCAUAGUACCCAAACCAAUUUUAAAUUUCUGAUAGGCUUACUUAAUUGCCCAAAUUCUACCAAGCUUUUCAGUUAACCUGCUCAAAAUACAAUCCGCAGGUACAUUUAAAUAAAUUGGGUUAUUUAACGCCUAUAAUCUUUGAAACCUCAUCAAAUUGCUACCAGAAGUAAUCCAUACCAAACAAUCAACACAUGAAAUACAGGACCUUCAGACAGAAGAAAGAUGGCCGAAGAAGAAAUUAAAAACCCAUAGAAGCACUAAAUACUUCUCCUAUUACUAAUAAUGGAACAAAACAACAUCAAAAUACGCUCAAUAUACCACUAGAGGAAUAAAUCCACACCAAUGACAAGCUAAAUAUGACAUCUUUCUAGAAUUAAUAAUUCUGCAACCAAAAAAGCACAGUAAUUAUCUGCAUUUUAAAUAAUCCUAAAAACAGGACAAUGACUUAUUUAUGUCAUAUAAAGGACCUACAAACACUUAUCUUUUUAUCUAUUUUAUUUCCAAGCAAAAACAACAUUUUUCUAUUCUUUCUUCAACUGGAAAACAGGUUAUGUUACGGUAGUCACUAGACAGUAGGCAAAACACUUGAUAACUAAAUAUAUAAAAAGAAAUAAAAAAGAGUUAAAAAAAAUUACAAAAGUUAAAAUCGAAAAAACAAAAAGAUUAAAAAUGAAACUGCUUGUGAAAAAUGAAAAUAUCAAACCCCCUUCUUCAGAACAAUUCAAAGAGGGAGUUGCUGGUUCUUAAUGCAACAGUAAGUAACAUGCCACUGAAACCCCAACCUUUAAACAUAGAACUUGAACUCAGGAAGAGAUAAAAGAAAAAGACAUAGAUGACUGACUGAGUCCGACUGAAAGAGAGUUAAAAAGAAAUAAAAAAGAGUUAAAAAAGAAAUAAAAAAGAGUUAAAAAAAUUACAAAAGUUAAAAUCGAAAAUACAAAAAGAUUAAAAAUGAAACUGCUUGUGAAAAAUGAAAAUAUCAAACCCCCUUAUUCAGAACAAUUCAAAGAGGGAGUUGCUGGUUCUUAAUGCAACAGUAAGUAACAUGCCACUGAAACCCCAACCUUUAAACAUAGAACUUGAACUCAGGAAGAGAUAAAAGAAAAAGACAUAGAUGACUGACUGAGUCCGACUGAAAGAGAGUCGCCAAUAUACCGUACUGGUCAGCUCCCAGUUGAAUUUGCAAGGUUGGGUUCGAGUCCCAGUCCCACAGGUAGUGAAAGUAGGUAGGUAUCGUAAGUUCCUACUAACCAGCUGGAGUAUCAAAACCUGUUUGUAUAAGCCUGCACAAUACAAGUUAAUCAUCAGCAAAUGAGGGGGCUGCAGCGAGAAACACAGAUCAUGUAUUAAUUAUAAAACAUGUAAAAUUAACGUAUAAUAUAAGUCAUAAAACCCUUUUUCUUUAGAGAUAAUCUCCCCAUAGCAACUAUAAAUAUGGAAAAAAAAAAUGACCAAAGAGUAGAACAGUCCCCUCCUUUUCUCCAAACAAAUACAACCAUUUCAGUUCACACCUAAGCUGAGAACCAUUCUAGUUUCAAUUUUCAACCAAUGAAACAACCAUAGUAUUCUUAUAUAAAAAAAAUGAAAUAACCAUAGAAUAAAAUAAUUAUACUCUAAUUCAAAUAUUGCUUCAGAAUAUAGACUCAAUUGGUCAAACCUAUGGAAUUGGAAUGAUGCAUUUAUUUAACCCAAAAGGUGAAAAUCAAGCUUAAGGUUCUUACAUAUCGAAAUGAUAAAAUUUCAUUCAUUCUGAACACGAGAUGCAACUUUUCAAGUUAUUCCAAGAGAAAACAUUAAAAGAAAUUUGUCCAUCCGACGUAGGCUAAAUCAUACGGAUUAUUAACAUUGAUAUUUUUUAUUAGCUGAAUUGAUAACUUUUGCACCCUAACUUAAGGGCACAUGUGAUAAGAAAUUUUUUUCUACAUCAGGCGCAAGUAUAAGCUUUUAACAAUUAAGCUUUGACUGUUUGCUUACAAGAUCAAACAUAUACUAAUAGAGAUGAAUAAAAUCCAGCACUUCAAGAAAAAUUUGACAUUAUAUCCCCUAAAAUGUGGAUAUUAUCCAAUAUAUCAAACCAGCAAUUUUUAUACUCAGCUGCUUAAAACUUCAAAAACAAAAAAUAAAAUAAAAUAAAAUAAAUAAAAUAUAAUAAAACAUAACCUUCUCAAGUCAACUCUACUAACCUUCUCAAGUCAACUGUACUAUGACAAUUGGUUAAUACGACAUUUGGGGCCUCCAGGACCCUAUUACUACAACACUAACAGAUAUAAGUGCAUCCUACCAACGUAGCUUAGUCAUUCUAAAUACAUGUAUUAAAAAGCAUAAUAUCUACAAAAAGGUAGCUUACUAAGUUUACUAGGCCAGCAAUGCCAAAGCACAACCAGAACAGUAACAAAAAUAGACGAAGACGGUUCUUUAUUACAGAACACAACUUUCAAAAGAUGCAAUCUCCAUGUUAAACCCCAAAUCAAAAUCAAUCCUCCACUGACCACAAUACUUUUCACCAUCAUUGCCCAAACCUGAAAAGUAAGGGGUGAGCUAACGCACAGUAUGUAGUUACACACAACAAAGGAUCGUUUUAUUUUUUUAUCUUUUAUUGUUUUUAAACACCCAAAUAAUUCACACAACUUUGGUACAUUUCUAACAUAGACCAUUUAUAUGUAUAUAAAUAUAUAUAAAAUAUUUAUUUCUUAAACUUUUUAAGUUUGAAAGUUGGUGUUCAACAGAAAUGUCAUAAGACAAGAUCAUAACAACAUACACACAUACAAAUAUCAUGUUGCUCGGUAGUUACGUGUAAAGAAAUCCUAAAAUUACUCUUUCAAUAAUACAAAAUAAAAACAUGCCUGACAAGUCAGUAAGAUGUAAAUCCUCAGCAAACAUUUUCCCCCAAUAUUAAUUUUGAAAAGAUAUACCCUACAUGCUUUUGGAGCAUUAUUCCCAAGGCCACCGCCCAUGAUUUCUUUUGUAGACUUUCACCGCGGGAUAGAAAUCUGACAAAGGUCAAUCCAGCACAGCAUACUUUUGGGGCAUUAUUCCCAGGGGCCAUCGCCCAUAAUUUCUUUUGCGGGCUUCACCGCGGGACAGGAACAUGUCUAUCACCAAUCAACCUUCUCAAACCUCAGCUUAAAUAAAAGGAAUAAAAAUGAUUAAUUCAUUCAAUUGCAUCAAUGUAAGUUUCCUUACUAUGACACACCUAGGAAUGGCAAUGGGCACCGCCCGCAGCGGGUUUGUCAUUACUAAACCCAAACCUGUACAAAAUUUAAAUUACCAUCCGCAGCGGGUUUUAACAAUUACCAAACCCGCAAUGGUAUCCGGCGGAUUUUUUACGGGUUUCCGUAUUUAAAAUCAAAAAUGUUUAAUAUAUAAAUUUAUAAUAAUAACCUCAAAUUCCAUAUAACAUACUCAAUUUUAUAUUUAAAUAAUGUAAAUGAAAAAUUAAAAUUUCCACAUCAAUUCAACAUAAAUUCUCAAAUUAAGUAUAAAUUACACAAAUCCAUUUAAAAAACACAAACUAGUAUCUAAAAAUAAUAAUUACAUUUCAUAUUAUCAUUUAAAACAAGCUCCAAGAAAAGAUAUUCAUUUCAUUCACCACCAUAAGCACGCAUCCAACACAAUGCUUAUAAUAAUAAUUAAGAUUAAUAUUUUCAAAUACUAAUUCGAAGGAAAAUGCCUUUAGUUUUCUUUAGAUUAUGACUUUAGAAUAGGAUAUAGGCCACAUACACACAUACACAACUUUGAUCCUUUGGCUAUUUGGUAAUUUAAUUAAUGACAUUAUUUUCUUUAUACAUUUUUAGAUUAAAAUUAAAUUAAAAAUAUUUGAAAAAAAUAUUGCGGGUUUGGUGGAUAUCCAUGCGGGUAUCCACCGGAUAUAAGGUUAAUACCAAACCCACCCGCAUCCAUGUGCGGGUUUUAAUUUAUAAUACUAAACCCGCCCGCAACGGGUAAAAUUACCCGCAACGGGCGGGUUUUGGCGGGUGGGUUUGUGCGGGUUUACGGGUUUGCGGGUACAAUUGCCAUCCCUAGACACACCAGACCCAUGAUACUUCUCAAUAACAAUAGUUAUAGAUAACAGAAUCUCAGCACAUCCCAAGUUUCACAACACAUCCACAAACUUAAACCGCAAACAAAGCACCAUAUCAUUGCAGGAUACAUAAACACAAUUCAGCUACACUUCCUAUUCCAAACUUGGCUAUAUCGCCGUUAAUGUUUAAUUCUCAUUCAUGAAUGUAUCAACCAAAUUAACUAUCAUAACUGAUUCAAGUAAUAACAAUACAUGGUCUUCAAUUAAAACUCGCAAUCCUGUUGAAAAUUCUAACAUGUCAAUUUUUUAUUUUAGCCACAUAGUCAUGUAAUUAAAUGGCUACCCAUACACCCACUGCAUUAAUUAUUAAAGGAAGCAAUUAAGCCAUUAGUACAUUAAAUCUAAGCAAAACAACUUAUAAGGACCCAAAAAAAGGAAAAAAAAAAAAGAGAAAAAAAUUACAUGAUCAAGCAAGAAAAACAACCUGAUUUUUCAGUUUUGAGUAACAAAAUCACUCAAUUGCAUAUAAACACCUACCUUGAUUCUGCAACAACAGCUCCUAGUUCUCCAAAGUCUUCUCUUCUUCUCUAACUUGGCUUCCUGUUGGUAAUACAAAAAUUAACCAACCAUACUGCCAAUAAUUUAAGAAUCCCAAAUUUAACAUAGUCCUAAACUUGCUGCGAGUUGCAGCAGCAAAAAGGAAACAAUUAAGAAAAGUAAGUGAAAAAAAAAAUCCAUUAAUAAAAGUAACAAGAUUUGAAAACUGAACCAUGCAUGCACAGAAACUUACCUACACCAGGUCUAAACAAUUAGAGUUAUGAGAAAAUCCAGCCAAACUCAUGUUGGUUUCCCAGAAAUUUCAUACUUGCUGUUGUUCUCAGCUCCUUUAAAUGCACAACUAUUCUCUCUAACACCCAAUUGCUCACUUUCCCUCCAUUUCUUUAUCUUCCUCUUCUCUCUUAUUUUAUUGGUAAAUUAUCAGCCAUAUACUCUUAAAUAACAUCCGUAUCAAACGUGUGUGAAUAUUUUUCAAGUGUAUCACUCGUAUACCCUAAAUUGACAAAAUACUUCUGCCGUCCACUAAUCCGUUAACUUCCGUUUGCAAGCGCUGACAUCAUAAGGGUAAUUUAGUCUUUUAAGAUUGACAAAACUUUGAUUAAAAAAACGAAAUGUCAUCGCAUUUACUAGUAAAAAAUGACAUGUCAUAUGAUAUAUAUUAAUAAAAAUGACAUGUCAUCCCAUUUAUUAGAUAAUUGUUAAUAAUUGCUAAAAAAAAAUUACUUUACAACUGAAUCUACUCCUCCAAAAUUUAACCUAAAUUUUUUAAAAUCUACUCCUCCAAGCUCCAACUGGAAAUUUUUAUGGUAUAAUAUGUAUAAUUGUAAAUAAUAUGUUGUUAAUAAUUUUUUAUGGUAUAAUAUGAAUAUUUUUUAUGGAUAAUUGGUAAUAAUAUGUACCAUUAAUAAUUCAUUUUUUUAAUAAAAAAAUAUAUUGUUAAUAACAAAAUAAAAAAAAAUUAUGUAUUGAAAAUUUACGUUAAUUUUUGGGGUAAAUUUAUAUUUUUAUCUCAUUUUGAGUUUCAAGAGCAAAAUAGUCAAUUUGCCAUAAUUCUGUUAACUUUCUAAUGGAAGUUAACGGAUUGGUGGACGGUAGAAGUGUUUUGUCAACUUAGGGUAUACGAAUGAUACACUUGAAAAGUAUUCACAUACGUUUGAUACAGUUGUCAUUUAAAGGUAUAUGACUGGUAAUUUCCUUUAUUUAUUUAUUUUUUUCUCGUUCUCUCUCUGUUAUUCCGAGGUAUCCACUUUAUUGAGUAGAAUGCCUUCCGCUGUGGGUUAUCAACCCACCUUUAGUACCAAAAUGGGUUCUUCACAAUAAAGAAUUCCCUUCUCCCUCUUUUUUUUAUUAUUAUUCUUAUUAUUAUUACCCGAACAUUGAUUUUGUUUGUUACAGGAACUUAACCAAAGAAUAAAGACACCUUAUAAAUUGGUUGUGGGCUGGGCUUAGUUAUUGAUUAAAAAAAAAGGAAAUUAUCAGGUAUAUACCUUUAAAUGACACCCGUAUCAAACGUGCUACAAUACUUUUUAAGUGUAUCACUCGUAUACCCUAAGUUGACAAAAUACUUCUGCCGUCCACUAAUCCAUUAACUUCCGUUAGAAAGUUAACAGAAUUGUGGCAAAUUGACUAUUUCGCCCUUAAAACUCAAAAUGAGAUAAAAAUAUAAAUUUACCCCAAAGAUUAACGUAAAUUUUCAAUACACAAUUUUUUUUAUUUUGUUAUUAACAAUACAAUUUUUAUUAAAAAAAUAUGGAUUAUUAAUGGUACAUAUUAUUAACAAUUAUCUGUAAAAAAAUCCAUAUUUUACCUAAAAACUUAUUAACAACAUAUUAUUUACAAUUAUACAUAUUAUACCAUAAAAAAUUUCAGUUGGAGCUUGGAGGAAUAGAUCUUCAAAAAUUUAGGUUAAAUUUUGGAGGAGUAUAUUCGGUUGUAAAGUAGCUUUUUUUUUAAAGUAAUUAUUAACAAUUAUCCAAUAAAUGGGAUGACAUGUCAUUUUUAUCAAUAUAUAUCAUAUGACGUGCCAUGUUUUACUAGGUAAAUGAGAUGACAUAUUUUUUUAAAAAGACUAUAUUACCCUUAUGAUGUCAGCGCUUGCAAACAACAGUUAACGGAUUGGUGGACGGUAAAAGUGUUUUGUCAAGUUAGGGUAUACGAGUAAUACACUUGAAAAGUGUCGUAGCACGUUUGAUACUGGUGUCAUUUAAGGGUAUAUGGCUGAUAAUUUCUUAAAAAAAAAACAACAAAGGAAGUUUAGAGCAAUUAAAACAAUGACAAUAAUAAUAAAAUAACAUAUAUAAUUAUAAAUAAGUAGAUAAAUUAAACUUAGGAUAAAUUUGGGGUGUUACAAUAACUCCCCAAGCCACCACUGUAUUUAACUGAUAGACAAGAAUAAAAGAAAAAAAAAGAAUUAAAAAAGUUGAUAUAAGGAACCCUGUGGUCAAAUGUUAAAUCUGACUUCUUCGAACGAGUUAAAGGCCAGCAAUGAAAAUUUCACGUAAAAGCAACCGGUAUACUUGUAAAAUAGCUUAAAUUAGAAGUUUUCUCACUCGUUCAGGAGAGACACCAACAAUAUCCAAAACUUUCAAAUACAACUUAAGUUACACUAAAUCAUAAUCAUUUCAUUCUUUAUCUAAAUAUCUAAAUAUGUUUACGAGGGGAAGAUGCCAACAAUCUUCAGCUAAUCCUCUUGAACACACCCUUUUCUCCUUUGUUGACAAAUAAGAUUACUGUGGGGAUCUCAUAAUCGGGCUUUGAUCUCAAUUGAGUUUAUAAGCCUUUGUCAGUUGGGCUGAAUCCAAUUGGGAUUUUUAGAUUUAUAGAAAUCCAUGGUCUAAUUCAACCUAAGAACUAGUUCAAAAAUAAGAAAUUCCUCAAGUUUACAUUGUUAGCCUAGUCACUGUUCUCCUCCGAUGUGAGAUGAAGUAUCCUCAACAAGAUUCCCAUUGUGCGGCGCAGUUCGGAGAUGAUACAUGUAAUGGUAGGCAAUCUGUGGGGUUGAAUCCAAUUUGGUCACCGCCAUCUUCAAGCUGGUUCAAAUUGAAUAUCAUUGAUGCUGCAAUGAAUGAUGAAUCAAACGGGUGGGGAUAGCAGGACUUAGGCGGCCACAGGAUUCUGGGCCUAUUCAUUUCUCGGGCCGUCUUCGUAAUGGACCUUUUGGUCUUCUUAAUUAGGCCCGGGCUUGCUGUAAUCCCUCAAAGCAAAUGUUUUUGGCAGCUUGGGUCCUGCGUUUCAAAUAUGCAAGUCAUGUUUUGUUAAUCAAUUGUCAACUGUACCAUUUACUCUGAAAUAAAUUGAAAUUUCAUUUUCACAUAGAGAGAUUUCAGUAAAGUAGUACAUCCUCCAAACACACAUCAACAUCAAAAUUGAUUAAAUUAUUAUAUUUUCAAAUUAUGAGAGGAAGAAAAAAUUGUUUAUAGAUGCAAUGUAUAUUCAUUCUUUGCUAAAUCCACAGGUAAUUAAAAGUUUCAAAUAUAUAUAUACACGUAAUUGCCUAAAGUCCACCAAGCUUCUAAUUUAAUCAACUCAAAAUAAAGUUUUCACAACAGUCACAUUUUUUAUAAAUUGGGAUAUUAGCCCCUUUAUUCUUCGAAAGCUUAUUGUUGGAAUUGGUUGCUGAGUUUCCAAUUAUCAAUUGAACUGUAGUCAUUAACACACACCCACAUAUGCUGAUGGUACAGUCAGAUCGAAUCUGUUAUAAACUAAUUAAAUUACAAUAUGUUUCUUUUACCAGCUGUAUGAUUGACUGUUAAUUAAUGACCAGAGAAGAAAUUAUAAGUACUCCUCCAAAAGCUAAGAUUAAUGGAUCAAAACAACUUCAGAUAUUUCCCAAUAAGCCACUAAAUCAGGAUCAAAUUCACAAGUCAGUAUUCCUCAAGAUUUUUCCAUUUCAUGAACUAACAGGUCUGCCGUUACUGGAUUAAAAGCUAAUAAAAAUUAAUUCCUUAGCAUGCAUUCUAAAUCAUCCUUAAAUUUUAUAUGUUCGGUUCCAGCUGCAGGCAUAACUUCGGCUGAAGUACAGAAAAAAAAUAAAAUAAAAAUUAGAAAAGAAAGAGUAAAAAUGAAAAAGAAAGAAAAUAUCGAUCAAAACGUACGACUCUUUGACCAAACAAGUCAACUGUCACAUGCACACGGGGCCCAUUUUUGAAAACUUUUUUCUACUUGUCUGUAUACAAGUUUGCAAGCUUGAUGUAGGCAAUGAGACUAAAGGCAAGUGAGUUGCAAAGAGCCCUGAAGAGGUGAAGGCGGUGAGGUCAGGUUUUUUAUUUUAAAUUUAUGAAAGUCAAAUAUUAAUUUAUAAAGCCGAACGGGUAUCAUAUACGGGGUCCAGCUACCGGGCCCCCAGGACACCGUGCCUCCUUCAUUUGUCAUUAUCUAGUCCAGCCGUUAGAUUAUAAAGAGUGUUAUCCAACGGUUGAGAUUUUAGUCACGAACAAUGUGUGAAGCGGGCAAUUGCCCAAACCCAUUUGAGGUACAAGAGUAGUUUUAGGGAUCUGUAAAUCCUUAACCGUAUUUGGCCUGACGUGAGCGAUUUCCCUAAAGCAACCACCAGUUUCGUAAUUGUGUGUGACUAUAGCUGCUGCAGCGACGCUGAAUUAAAUUUUCGAAGACGAUUGUGGUGACUUGUGGAUUUGUUGUGGUCGUAUUGAAGAAAUGGAUAGGAUUGCGUAAACCAUCAUUAAAGGUUAGUGAAAUUUUAAUGUGAGAUUUGUGACGUGAAUCAUUUGUAGCUGAUAAUAUAGUUGGUGCGAAAUUAGAUUUCAUUGGUGCGAAAUUAGAUUUCAUAUGGAUAAUGGGAAGAUAUGAGAGUGCAGGGCGUAAAUUUUUAAAUUAAAUUUCUGGAAAUUUUAUGAACAGUGUAGUAAUAUAAAGGAGUUUAUUAUUAUUAUUUUUAUGUUAAUAAACACGUGUAUUGAAAUUGUACGAGGGAGGGAUUUCGGCAACAGAAAUUCAGGCUAGUGGCAGCUGAACCUGAAAUAAUUGAGUUGAAUAUUGUUGCUGCGAAUAAUGUGGUGGGAAGUUAGAUUUCCUAUAGAGAAGUAGAAAAUAGUGGAGUAAAGGAGAAAAAAUAUUGAAAAUGAUUUAGGGAUUAUACUCUAACAGCUGAACACGGCCCAUUUAAAGUUGUAUGAUUGAUGAGAAACUUGUGGUUUGCUCUAUGUGUUUGCCAUAUUUCCUUUUCUUUAUCUUCAGACUGACUAUGCCUUCGGCUGCAACUUUGUAGAAGCAUCUACGAAGUGACAAGUCAGAUGUGAAUCACACAGAAAUUUUGAAAAUGAUAUCAUAAUUUCUUGUGCUUGUAUAAUAACAAUGGGACUAAUUAGUUUAGAUGUUUUGUAUGUUUUUAAGUUAAUGUAAUAAAAAUUGAAUGUAUGUCUGGCAAUUCAACAGUAAGGGGGAAGUUAGUAAGUUGUACUAUGAACAUGUGUGGAAAGUACAAACAGGAAAAGUGAAAUUGCAGCAAGUAAUAAAAUGAAGUUAAGUGCAAGCAUUUAGAUGGUGAUGCAAGGGAAAUGGUACAUGUUUACAGCUCGUUGUACAUAUGUUUCAUUGACUGUAUGCUAAUGUAACAAAUAGCUGAUCAAUUAACAAUUGCCCAUGUCAUAACAGUUUCAGUACAAUCCAUAUUUGGCCGAAACUCUUACCGCUGGACAUGACUUCUUGCGAGUACUAUUAAGCAGCAAUGAUGACGACUCCAUAAGUAAGUUUGUCACACAGUUAUUCAUAAUUGCAUUUUCACUUACUCUUUUUGCUAUUUGAAAUUGCAGGCCUGUAAAGGUGACCGUGUCCCAACAUGCAUGAUCCCUAAUGCUGCCAUGUGCUCGCCCUUCCACAUCUGUCCAUGUUAUCUUUUUUCCUAUGAUUGAAGCCGAAGCUUAUCUAUUUCUUACAUUCAAACCGAUGCUGUCAAAGGAACUCCACCAACUAGGAUGAAAUACAAGUAUGCAACCCAAGAGGGGGGGUGAAUUGGGAUUCUAAAAAAUUAUUCAAUUUAUUAAAGAAAAUCUUAAUGCAAUUAUAAAUCAAAUUCAAAACAAUAAAUUCAAUCAUGCACAAUAUUAAAAGAGUAAGGGAAGAAAAAACAAACACAAGGAUUUUUACGUGGUUCGGCAAUCCCCGCCUACGUUCACGCCUCCAAACUCACCCGCUUGAGGAUUUCACUAUCCAAGCCUCCAAGGCUUCAAAUGCUUACAUUUGACUUCCAAGGUAUCAAUGAACCUUUACAACAAGAGAUUAUCCCCAAUCUCUUAACCCAAGUGUAUCCCAACACUUACAAUCACUCAAAAUAAAAGAUUAUAAAUUGUUUUGCCUCUCACAAUAUAUAAGAUUACACAAUGAUGCUUAAUAUGUGAAUAGAUGAAGCAAGAAUAUGUUCUAAGCUCUAUGAAGAUUGUAUUCUCGAAUAUUAGCUCAAAUGGUCGUGUUGUGAUUAAUCAUCUUUGAAUUUGAAUGAGCUUAUUUAUAUUUGGAGCCGAAAAUCUAGUCGUUACAAACUGUCGGACAGAAAACGGUUCGCCGUUAACCAUAAACGGUUAACCGUUUAGGCUGGUCAAAGUUACCGUUGGGCCAGAUUUCAAAUAAUCGGUUUGCCGUUUAGGAUUGCCCUUUCGCCGUUAACUUCCAGAGACCUGCAAAAUGAGUAUUUGUUAUCCGUUUACGCUAAACGGUUAAGGACUUGCGUGAAGUGGCUUCUCUGGAAAUUAUCGGUUAACCGUUUGAUAUAAACGGUUCGCCGUUUGUCUCCAGUAACCUGCAAAACAAAUUUAGCCUUAUCAGUUUUCGUUAAUCAGUGCCAGAGGAGGACAACCUUCAAUUUUGGACGUUAUCGGUUAACCGUUUAAAAUAAACGGUUCACCGUUAGGUUCCAGUAGCCUUCCCAUCUUGGGUGUUUUCUGUUAAGCAUAAACGGUUAGAGCUUAGGUAAUAUGUUGCUCUCUGGUUCUAAUCGGUUAACCGUUUAAAAUUAACGGUGAACCGUUUAUAACCAGAAUUGCAUUUUAAACCAGUUUUUGCAGAGAAUCUUUUUCUAAUUUUAAAGUCCAUCUUUUAUGAAGCAUGAAUGGAAUGAUUACUAAGGCUCUCGUUUAUUAAGAAAUAGCUCCAAUACUUUUAUCAAAAAAUCAUUUAAAAUUUGUUAGCAUCAAAAUCAAUAUUAUUAAUAUAUUUAUGUUAACAAUCUCCCCCUUUUUGAUGAUGACAAAUUCUAAUCAAUGUUUAGCUCCCCCUUAAUAUGUGCUCCCCCUAAAUGUAUGGCCAAAUUGAGAAAUGUGAAUAAAUUGCCCCAUUUUAAAUCCAUCUUAAAAACAAAUAUCUCCCCAUUUAAAAUUAAAAAAAAAUCUUAAAAACUUAAAAACCAUCUUAAAAACUGUAAUUAUCUCCCCCUUCAUCAUCAAAAGGAAAAAGGAAAUAAGAAAUACGCAAAUCCAUGAAAGAAAGUGCCCGGUUUUGGCAAGCGAAAAAAAAUUUUGGCAGAGUUUCCCCUUAAAAAUGAGUAAAACCAUAAAUACAAAAUGAGAUAAAACACUUCCAAAAUUAGAUCAACAUUAACUUCUGCGUUCAACAAGCCAACAACUCCAUGAACAAGACAAAAUAACACUUCAAUAUCCACAAAUAUACCAACACUCCAAUAUCCACAAAUAAACCAUUUCUACAAUAUCCAACCAAUUAGGCAAUCACAAAGCAUCAAUAAGCUAAUCAUCAAGAACAUCACACACAUAUGCAUCAAAAUCAAAAUAAUAAUAAAAAUGCUAGCAACCAGAAUGUAAAAUGUAUGUGCGAAGACAAAGCUCAGAAACUACGGAGGCGGAGAAGAUGUGCUCCCUGGAUCAUAGCCGAAAUAGCCGAGAAUAGUGCGCUGUCCAGCGAUAAGCUCCAUCUGCUGAUCAAGGCUCUGCCGCUGGAAUAUCUGAAAGUCAGAACGCAGCUGCUGGUGGUCACGGGAAAGAGUGUCCAACCGAUCAAGAAUCAGCUGCUGGCGCUUCGAAAUCCGCUGAACAUCAGAGAUCAGCUGCUGCACUGCGUCUGAAGCAGGGGGCUGAACUGGAGCUGGAGGCGGCAUAGAGGCAGAUGGCUGCUCGGGAACAGCAGAAGGCUCAGGAGCAGUAGGCGGCUCGGAAGAGGAGGGAAUAUCAGCAUCCAUCGCACGCUCCUCAGAGUCUGAGUCAGCUGGAGGCUGAGGAACAAAACGGCGACGCGGAGGAUGAGGAUGAGCGCCUAGUCUAAAGUCAGGAAGCUGGUCGGGACGAUAGACAUCAUUGAGCAUCCGAUCGUCCUCUGGAGCAAUCAAGGUAUCCCGGUUUUUGGAGUUGCUUGUCUUUAUCCACACUCCAUUCUUUCUAGAGAAUCCGAUACUGGUUACUGCCUCGGAACCAAUCCGUCGAGUCUCCAUAUGUCCAGUAUCAAGAAGUGGCACCUCAAAGCGUCGCAGUAUUUUAGUGAUGAUACUGCCGUAGGGAAGCAAGCGGUGGUUGACCACUGGAGUACUCAGCAUAUGUCGCACAAUAAUAUACCCGAGGUUAAUGGGACGGUCUGUAAGAAGGCUAUCCAAUAAGGCGACGUCUAACCUCGUAACCUCAUCCGAGUGACCCUUCCUAGGAGUCACUAUGUGCUGUAGAAUAGAGUGAAGAAUACGAACUUGGAGCGGUAAAAGUUGAGACCGAAAUGGAAGCUGACAGAUAUCAUCCGAUAAGUCUCGACGACGACAUAUAUUACGGACGCCGUGAGUAUGAGAAAAAGUAUCAAAGGAGAGGGUUUUCCUAGAAGUGUAGAUGUCAAUCCCCUCACAAGAGAUACCUAGAAAGUCAGCUAAGUCCGCAUCAUCAAAUUCUAUGGGUACACGGCCGACUUGAGUGACUAUCCUAUUUGGACGAGUAUUGGAGAUUUCCAUGUUCGAAUAAAAGACUCGCACUAAGUUUGGAUAAACUCGGUCAUCAAAAUCAAUGCCAGACUCCCAAGGCCGAAGCAUAUCCCGAAUACUUCUACCACAUACAACCAAAUUAUGGAAAUCAUCAAUGUCAACAAAGAAGGAGUCAAGUACCUUUCGACCAUUGAAGCGUUCUUCGAAUCGCUUGGCCAAGGAAGGAGUGGGGAAGUGAAUCCUUGCAAAUUCCGAGACGUCCCGAGGUGGUAUGAGAUUCCUUGGAGGCACAGAUUUACGUCUGAGAUUUCUCCGAGGAGGUUCAGCCAUGGAAACACGUAAUGAGGAGUAGAAGAUGUGAGUAGGAUGUUUAAUUUGGUUGAAGAAAGGUGGAAAUCGGAUUAAGGACAGAGAAACCCGACUCGCGACAGUUAGGGUUUAGAUUUGGGAUUUUUGAAUUUUGGGUUCGAUUUGAAGUUUUGAAUCGGUAGAAAUGUUCUAAAGGUGAUAAGAAAUGAUUUUGAGAAUUUGAUUUGGCACGGAAAUCAAGAAAAAUGAGGAUUUGAGAACAAAGAGACCUUCGGCUGCGCAACAAUGGAGGAAACGGUGAGAGGGUAACUGGAGAAGGAGAAGAAAACCUUUAAACAGUUUAUAUACUUCGCGAAAACGGUUAACCGUUUAUUGAAACGGUUAAAGGGUAACGUCCAGAGGCUGAAGAAAGGGAAACGGUGAAAGCCUAAGCGCUUAACGGCUAAGGAGUAACUGUUAGAGGACUCUCUGUUGAAAAACGGUUCACCGAUUGUGGAAAACGGUGAAAGGGUGAACGGGCAGACACAUAAUCUCGUUUCUGGAAUUAAACGGUGAUCCGUUUAUAGGAAACGGCUAACCGUUUAUUCAAUCUGUAAUUUCGCACAUUUGAUUUAAUUUUUGGCCAGCAAAUAAUAUAUUCCAAGAUCAUUUAAUUGAUCUGAAAAUAUUUUAUGAGCCAAUUUAAUGCAUGAUUCAUGGACAUGUUUUCAACCAAUCAAUUCAUAUAAUCAAGAGUUAUUAAUGCAAAUUCAUCAUUUGUCUACCAAGCUCAAGCAUUUCAUAAAUAGUAAUCAAUCAAUUCAAUACACUCAAUAGCAUGAAUAGAGAUGUUAAUGCAAAAAUUUCAUCAUCCCAAGUUCAUGCCGAAUUUUUGAAAAUUGUUCUUCGCAAAGCGGUUUUGUGAAAAUAUCGGCAAGUUGUUUUUCCGUGGAUAUAAACUCUAAUGCAAUAUCUCCCUUUUGAACAUGAUCUCUCAAGAAAUGAUGUCUUAUUUCUAUAUGCUUGGUUCGAGAAUGUUGAAUGAGAUUCUUUGAAAGGUUUAUAGCACUAGUAUUAUCACACUUAAUAGGAAUUUGUUCAAGAUUAAUGCCAUAAUCUCUAAGUGUUUGUUUCAUCCAAAGUGCUUGUGCACAACAACUUCCGGCAGCUAUAUAUUCAGCCUCAGUAGUUGAAAGUGCAACAGAAUUUUGUUUCUUGCUAAACCAUGAAACAAGAGAGUGUCCUAGAAUAUAGCAAGUUCCACUAGUGCUCUUCCUAUCCACUUUAUAACCAGCAAAAUCCGCAUCCGAAAAAUAUGUUAAAUCUAUAUGAGUUCCCCUAGGAUACCAAAUGCCAAUAUCUAUGGUUCCACUCAAAUAACGGAAAAUUCUUUUAACAGCGAGCAAAUGAGAUUCCUUGGGACAAGACUGAAAUCUUGCACACAAACAUACACUAAACAUGAUAUCGGGUCUACUUGCAGUCAAAUAGAGUAGGGAUCCGAUCAUACCUCGAUACAUUUUGAUAUCCACUUCUUUACCUUUUUCAUCUUUGUCCAGCUUGGUUGUUGUGCUCAUUGGUGUAUUCUUGGUCUUUGAAUCAUCAAUGCCGAAUCGUUUGAGUAGAUCUUUUACGUACUUAGCUUGAUUUAUGAAAAUUCCUUCCUCGCUUUGUUUGAUUUGAAGUCCAAGGAAGUAUUUCAACUCUCCCAUCAUACUCAUCUCAAAUUCUUUGCUCAUACACAAUGAAAAUUCUUUACACAACAACUCAUUAGUAGAACCAAAAAUGAUAUCAUCAACAUAAAUUUGAACAAUAAGUAUGUCUUGGUUCUUAUGCUUAACAAAAAGAGUAGUAUCCGCUUUACCUAUAGAGAAGUCAUUUUCUAGCAAGAAAUUUUUAAGUCUAUCAUACCAUGCUCUAGGUGCUUGUUUUAAUCCAUACAAGACUUUGAGCAACUUAUACACAUGAUUUGGAAAUUUUUCAUUUUCAAAACCAGGAGGUUGUUUCACAUAAACUUCCUCCAAAAUAUAUCCAUUUAAGAAAGCACUCUUGACAUCCAUUUGAUAUAAAAUAAAAUCCUUAUGACAUGCAUAUGCUAACAACAUCCUAAUGGAUUCUAACCUUGCUACAGGUGCAAAGGUUUCAUCAAAAUCAAUUCCUUCCUCUUGGUUGUAACCUUGAGCCACUAAUCUAGCUUUGUUUCUUACAACCACACCGGAUUCAUCCAUCUUAUUUCUAAACACCCAUUUAGUACCUAUUAUAGAUUGAUGUUCAGGUUUAGGAACUAGUUCCCACACAUUGUUUCUUUCAAAUUGAUUUAACUCCUCUUGCAUUGCCAUAAUCCAAGAUUCAUCAUUUUCUGCAUCCUCAAAGGAUUUUGGUUCAAUUUGAGAGAUGAAUGUAUUAUGCUCACAAGUAUUUCUAAGUGAUGAUCUAGUUGUUAUACCUCGUGAGGGAUCUCCUAAAAUUACAUCUUUAGGGUGAGAAGAGACAUACCUCCACUCCUUGGGGAGUGUUUGAGAAGUACCUUCAUUUUGCUCCACAUUUGGUUCUUCAUGAUGUUCCUCUUGAAUUCCAUGUGGUGCAUCCUCUUGAUUGUCAUUUGAUGCUUCUUCUUCUUGUUCUUCUUCUCCUACAUCAUCAUCAACAACGACUUUCUUCGUAGAGGAGGGGUUAGACUCAUCAAAUGUGACAUGCAUAGAUUCUUCCACAACUAAAGUUCUUGUGUUAUAAACUCUAUAAGCUUUGCUUGAAUUUGAAUAACCAAGAAAAAUACCAACAUCGGAUUUUGAAUCAAAUUUACCAAGAUUGUCUUUUGUGUUCAGAACAAAACAUUUGCAUCCAAAAACUUUAAAAUAGCCAAUGUUGGGUUUUCUAUCUUUCCAAAGCUCAUAUGGAGUUUUAUUAAGAUUAGGUCUAAUCAACACCCGAUUUAAAACAUAACAACCGGUGUUGACGGCUUCGGCCCAAAAAUAUUUUGGUAAUGCAUUUUCAUUUAACAUGGUCCUAGCCAUUUCUUGAAUAGACCUAUUCUUUCUCUCAACAACUCCAUUUUGUUGUGGAGUUCUAGGUGAAGAAAAUUGAUGCUCAAUGCCUAGAUUAUUGCAAAAACUCUCAAAUGCAUGAUUUUCAAAUUCUCCUCCAUGAUCACUCCUAAUGCAUACAAUACCAUGCCCUUUUUCAUUUUGUAAUUUCUUACAAAGCACUUUAAAUGCAUCAAGAGCAUCAUCCUUAUUGGCUAAGAAUAAUACCCAUGUAUAUCUAGAAUAAUCAUCCACUAUCACAAAAGCAUAAUAUUUGCCAUUUAGACUUGCAUAUCUAGAUGGCCCAAAAAGAUCUAUGUGAAGAAAUUCAAGUGGUUUUGAAGUAGAAAUAUGGUUUUUAUUCUUGAAAGAAGUUUUAAUUUGUUUUCCAAAUUGACAAGCUUCACAAAUCUUAUCCUUUUGAAAACCAAUUUUCGGAAGACCUUUAACUAAAUCAUCUUUCGAAAUUUUUGAAAUCAAAUCCAUACUUGCAUGUCCUAACCUUCUAUGCCACAACCAACAAUCAUCAUGCAAUGCCGAAAAACAUUUAUCAAGAGUAGAUGCACAUUCUAUGUCAAUGAUAUAAACAUUACCACAUCUAUUUCCAACAAAUAAGGUUUUGCCAUCACAUGAGUUCUCAAUAACACAACUAAAUUUAUCAAAGAUAACUUUAUAACCUUUGUCACAUAAUUGACUAAUGCUAAUUAAGUUGUGUUUCAAGUUUUCAACCAAACAUACAUUCUCAAUUAGAGUUGAAGAAACUUUACCAACAUUUCCAAUUCCAAGGAUUUUUCCUUUUGAGUUGUCUCCAAAGGAUACGUCUCCACCAUUUUCAAUUUUGGUAAAGCUUGAGAACCAUGCAUAGUUUCCGGUCAUGUGCCUUGAACAACCGCUGUCCAAGUACUAUUUAUUCUUCUUCUUCUUCAAGCCCUACAAGAAAAAGUCUCAAGUUUUAGGUACCCAAAGCUUUUUGGGUCCUUGAGAGUUAGCAACGGUUCCUUUUGGAACCCAAAUGCACUUGACACCAUAAUAUGCAUUCCUUUUCACGGGACAUUUAAAUUUCAUGUGACCAUUUUGAUUACAAUAAUGACAUACAAUCUUAUGAUCAUUUGUGGAGGUAGCUUUAACAAAAUAAUUCUUAUAAUACUUUUGCUUCAAAUUUGGCUUAUAUCCAAGUCCUCAUUUAUCAAAAACACAUUUUUGUGAGUUAAGCAUAUUAUCCAACAUCUUUUGCCCAUUUGUAAAUUUCAAAACAAUUUCAUUUAAUUCAUUAUUCUUUUUCUUGAGCAAUUCGUUCUCAUUUUUCAACUCAUCUAUGUGUGAUUUCAAAUGCUCAUGUAAGAUGCUAGGUUUCUCAUUUGAUAAUGCAAUUUCAUCAUGCAAUGUUUUGUUUCCUACUUCUAGGCAUACAAUUCUUGCAUUUAGAGAUUCAUUUUCAUUUUUAAGCUUUGCCAUUUCCUUUUUAAGACAUACAUUCUUUUUACCAAUUUUCAUUAACUCAUUAUGCACAUCUUGAAAAGCAUCAUAUAAUUCAUCAUAGGUAGGAUCACUUACCUCAUUGAGAUCAUCAUCUCCUCCUAUUGCCAUGAGUGCUAGGUUUGAUACUUCUUGCGAUCCUUCUUCAUCAUUUGAUUCUUCCUCACUAUCAUCCCAAGUUGCAACCAUUGCUUUCUUCUUGAGUUUGUUGAUAAGUGGGCACUCCGAUCUUAUAUGUCCAGGCUUCUUGCAUUCAUAGCAAGUGAUUGCCUCCUUCUUCUCCCUAUAGUUCUUGAAGUUUCUGAAAUUUCUUCGCUCUCCGGUUUUCUUGAAGAAUUUUCUGAACCUCCUUGCUAGCAUGGCUAGUUCUUCAUCAUCCGGUUCACUCUCCUCAUCACUCUCAUAUUUUGAGGCUUUGAGAGCAAUGCUUUUCUUCUUCUCCUCAUGUCCUCUUUCUGCAGCUAAAUCCUCUUCAUACGAAAUAAGAGAACCAAUUAAAUCAUCAAGAGGUAAAGUAUUUAAAUCUUUGGCCUCUUCAAUAGCGGUUCUUUUGGGUCUCCAUUCUUUUGGAAGAGACCUAAUGAUUUUCUUAACUUUCUCACUAUUUGAGAAGGUUUUCCCUAAGGCACCUAGGGUGUUCACUAUGUCCGUGAAUCUAGUAUACAUAGAAUACACAUUUUCAUUUUGUUCCAUUUGGAACAACUCAUAUUGACGAGUGUAUCUACUGAUUUUAGACUCUUUCACUUGAUUUGUCCCUUCAUAGACAACUUCAAGUUUGUUCCAUAUCUCUUGUGCACUUUCACAACUAGAUACUCUAUGGAAUUCUUUCUUAUCAAGGGCACAAAACAAAGCAUUCAUAGCCUUGGAGUUUAGAGACAUCUUUCUCUUUUCUAACUCACUCCAUUGACUCGAUGGUUUAGGAAUAUCAUCUCCUACUUCAUCUUUGAACGUAGGCAUGAAUGGACCAUCACAAACAACUUCCCAAAUUUCAUAAUCUAAGGCUUGCAAAUAAAUUCUCAUUCUAGUUUUCCAAUAAGCAUAGUCAUUACCAUCGAAAAAUGGUGGUCUAGUUGUGGAUUGCCCUUCUCUAAAGGUUGAGUCAUUUAGGGUUGCCAUGGAUCUUUUACUCUAGACGAUUAAGUCUUAACAAGAGAACGAGGCUCUGAUACCAAUUGAAAUACAAGUAUGCAACCCAAGAGGGGGGGUGAAUUGGGAUUCUAAAAAAUUAUUCAAUUUAUUAAAGAAAAUCUUAAUGCAAUUAUAAAUCAAAUUCAAAGCAAUAACAAUUAAGAGAAUCACAAUAUAAAAAGAUAAGGGAAGAGGGAUUCAAACACCGAGAUUUUUACGUGGUUCGGCCAACCUCGCCUACGUCCACGCCUCCAAGCUUUCCGGGCUUGAGGAUUCCACUAAGCAAGCCUCCAAGGCUUCAAAUGCUUACACUUGACUUCCAAGGUGUCAAUGAACCUUUACAACAAGAGAUUAUCCCCAAUCUCUUAACCCAAGUGUAUCCCAACACUUACAAUCACUCAAAAUAAAAGAUUAUAAAUUGUUUUGCCUCUCACAAUAUAUAAGAUUACACAAUGAUGCUUAAUAUGUGAAUAGAUGAAGCAAGAAUAUGUUCUAAGCUCUAUGAAGAUUGUAUUCUCGAAUAUUAGCUCAAAUGGUCGUGUUGUGAUUAAUCAUCUUUGAAUUUGAAUGAGCUUAUUUAUAUUUGGAGCCGAAAAUCUAGCCGUUACAAACUGUCGGACAGAAAACGGUUCGCCGUUAACCAUAAACGGUUAACCGUUUAGGCUGGUCAAAGUUACCGUUGGGCCAGAUUUCAAAUAAUCGGUUUGCCGUUUAGGGUUGCCCUUUCGCCGUUAACUUCCAGAGACCUGCAAAAUGAGUAUUUGUUAUCCGUUUACGCUAAACGGUUAAGGACUUGCGUGAAGUGGCUUCUCUGGAAAUUAUCGGUUAACCGUUUGAUAUAAACGAUUCGCCGUUUGUCUCCAGUAACCUGCAAAACAAAUUUAGCCUUAUCAGUUUUCGUUAAUCAGUGCCAGAGGAGGACAACCUUCAAUUUUGGACGUUAUCGGUUAACCGUUUAAAAUAAACGGUUCACCGUUAGGUUCCAGUAGCCUUCCCAUCUUGGGUGUUUUCUGUUAAGCAUAAACGGUUAGAGCUUAGGUAAUAUGUUGCUCUCUGAUUCUAAUCGGUUAACCGUUUAAAAUAAACGGUGAACCGUUUAUAACCAGAAUUGCAUUUUAAACCAGUUUUUGCAGAGAAUCUUUUUCUAAUUUUAAAGUCCAUCUUUUAUGAAGCAUGAAUGGAAUGAUUACUAAGGCUCUCGUUUAUUAAGAAAUAUUCUUUCUUGUUCUAGCAAUUCUAUUUUCUGGGUUAUUAAACCAAUGUAUGUAACUAAUAUAUUUUCCCAUCCUAAAAUCAUAUGAUCUAUGCAAUCUGCUAAUUCAUGUAUUUAUAUUAAAUGCAUGUUGAUUUUGAUGGUUCAUAAUGCUUCCUUUUUGUACCAGUAUACCAGAAAUUUUAUAAAUUCAUCUAUAAAUUUCAUUUUCUUUUCUAUUAAAAUUUCACCUCCUAUUGUGUCUAUAUUUCUUUCUCUGAGUUCUUCUGUUAAUUCGAGUUCUAUAUUUCUUAUAUUAUUUUUAUCGGUUUUUAAAGCCAUUAUAAGACUUUUUAUUUCUUCUUUGUUAUACACUUUUAGUGUAUAUAAGCUAUUAACUAUUGCUUGUAUUGGAUCCAUCAUUUAAUUCUAUGUCAUUUUUUCCAAAAAUUUAACAUUUAGGAUCUAUAGUUAUGGCUCUGAUACCAUCUUGCACGUAUGUGCCAAAAAAAGUACAAAUAAAAAUUAUUAAAUAAAUAGUCAAAUAUUCUCAAUGGAGUACAAAUAAAAAUUAUUAAAUAAAUAAUCAAAUAUUCUGAAUGGUUAAACUACUUCUAUUUUCUAAAUUAUCAUAUUUAUUGUUUUUAUUCCAAAAUUAAUUAACUAGAAUAAAUAUAUAGAUAUAUAUAUAUAUGAUUAAUUAAACAAAUUAUUUAUAACCAAAAAAAGUAUGUGGCGUUGACAAAGUGAUGAGAUCCUUGGCAAUUCAGCCAAGAUAUUUAAUUCUCCUUUGGACCAAUAGCCCGCACACCUUGGUUUCCAAUCUAUAUACUUUUUUCAAUUUAUAAUUCAAUUUCUUCAUUAUCUGAAUUUACAUAUGAAGGUCCAUCCUCUCUAUUUUUAUUUUCUAUAUAUGCUAAACCUAUAUCAAUUCCUUGUUCUACUGUCAUCAUAAUUAUGUUAUGCUUUAGAUUUUCUGAUUCGAUAUAGUUUAUUAUUUUCCGUUUUAUUUCUUGUGGGAGAUCUAGUGAAAAUACUGCUAACAGAUUUUCGGUUCUAACAAGGUCUCUUUUACUUAAUAAAUAUGAAUCUUGUUUAUAUGACCCUAAAUUAAAGUCUAUUAUCAUCAUAAAGUUGUUAUAUGUUAUUUUAGUAUUAGGAUCUAUCAUGCAUUCUUUACAUUCACCUAAAUAAAAUCUAUGAUUCAUUUUACAGAAAAGAACCAAAAACUUGUUUCAUCUCAAAAAUAUGCUCUUCCUCCAUAAAUCUCCUCAUCAUUGAUCACCAACAAACUUCCACCAAAGAUAAGGUUUGAGAAUUAUUGCCUAACUUAUUCUUGUUUCCUUGCCUUCCAAUCCUUUUCCAGUGACCUGCAGCCUGUGUGUCCUUAUUCCCUCAACGGCUCCUCUGCCUCAACGGGAUCAGCGGACUAGAUCGGCCUUACUGUAUGCACUUUGAUUGUUUGGCUUAGAAAUGUUGAAUAACUAUAGGUUUCUCUUUCCUUUCUAUGGGGUUAUUUGUUUUCUUGAUCAGUGAUGUUUUGAUUUAGGAAUUAAAGCUGUAGAGUUUAGUUUUUCAUUUUUCAGAGGAUUUUCAAGUUUUGGAAGAACUGAAUUUUUUGUGAAUAAUUAGCUCUGAGAGCCUUCUUCUUUUUCUUUCUUUAUUUAUAUCCGAAGUAAUCUUCGGUUUGAUUACAUUUUUGCCCUUAGAUUAUUAGGCACUUACAUCACUGCUUACAUCACUACUUAACUUUUUAUUACAUUUUUGCCCUUGUGUUAUUGGGCACUUACAUCACUGCUUACAUCACUGAAUUAUAUCUUAUCUUGGGUAUCUUUUUUAUUUUGUCUGCCACAUCUUGUCUGCCACAUCUCGGGUAUCUAUUUUGUCUGCCACAUCUUGUCUUUGUUGGUCUAUUGCUUUCUAUCGCUUUCUAUUGCUUGCCAGUCUGUUUUAUCUCCAUGAGUUGGUAAACCUGCUCCAUGGUUUUGCUGCUACUGGGAAAUCGCAUAGUACUUAUCUCGUUGAUGAAAUCUAGUAACAGGUUCGAUGGUGUAUUCCCAUCUUCAGAAGUGAUGAGGAUGUAAUUUUGGAAUUUUAUAAUAGUCCUAAAAUUUCUCUUAUACAAGUCCUUUGCUAUGCUCCAUAUGGCCUUAAUCCCUCUGGCUCUUCGUGUUCUAAUCCAAGGUUCAUUUAUGUGAGGAACAUUGGUGUAUUCUGUUCCUACUUUGACUUUGAAAUUUUUUGUGAGGUGGCCUACAGAUAUCAUGUAAAAGGCUUGAUACUCAACAUUCUGAUAAUAUUCUGGGCUUAUGGUGUAGAAUUUUAGGUAUAUGGGUCUUUUUUGGGCAAAUCUUGAGACUUCUUUAACUAAUAAGUCAUCAAGGCUGGCUAUUUCUUGAAGGUUUAUAUCUGGAUAUAUUAGGUCUAAAUACCCAUAUUUUGCUAUUUUCCCAACAAGGAGUGGAUCUGCUCCUUUUGUAACAAUCAUUCUGGGGUACAUAUUUUUUCCUGGUGCUUUAAAAAUUGUAUUAUUGUGAGAACAAGUAGAGUAUACCCAUGAAGAGAAUUGUUUAUACUCUUCUUCUUUUGGAUUUAGGGGUUUUUCCUCUUCUUCUGUAUAAGGAUUGUUUAUUUGGAUAAACUUUUUUGGAAGGUCUGAUUUUGGUGACUUAAUUUCUAUGGAUAUGGUUUUAUUUGGAGUUGGGUCAGAGAUUGGUUUAUCUCCUCCGAAAGGUCCACCACUGCUUCCUAUAUUUAUCGAGCUAAUGUUUAUUGGGCUUGUGUUUAUAGAGAGUGUCUUUGUUAGGUCGUCUAUGUAUGACUCUAACAAAUUUACUCCAACAAAUUUACUCAUUUCUCAUGGGCUUCAGAAGCCUCUUUUAAAUAGUUUAUUGCAUCAAUUAUAUCAGAUGCUUCAGUCUUGAGCCUUUGAAUUUCGGCUUCUAUUUUGCCAAGGAUUCUAUUUACUUCGGGAUUCAUUCUCCAAAUUCUAUGUUCCUGCUUAAAAAGUCUGCAAGGAAAUUGUUAGUUCCUUUAAUAUGUAUUAUCUUAAAAUUAUAAUAAGAUAGGUAAGCUUGCCAUCUAUGCAAUCUUCUGUAUUGGGGUUCAUUUGGUAAAAUUCUAGUGAUAAGAGAACUUACUUGAGAAUUAUCUGUUUCUACAAUGAACUGUUUUUGAAGUAAAAAUAAUGAAAAUUUUUUAAUUCCUUUAUAUAUUGCAAGGAGUUCUUUUUCAUGAACUGGAUAAUUUGUUUGUGCCUGGUUAAAAGUUCCACUGGUAUAUCGACAAAUUUCAUUUAUAUCAGUUUUAAGAAUUGCUCCCCAAUAUAAGUCAGAUGCAUUUGUCUGUAUUAUUAGUUUAUCUUUUUCGUUUGGUAAUCUUAAAGCUGGUAGAUUUUUAUAUUCUUGUUUUAAAUUUUUUACGGUUUCUGUAUGUUCCUCAUUCCAUCCUUUAGUAUUGUUUUUUCUUAAUAAUUUUUUAAGUAUAUUUCUCUUUUUCGCUAGAUCUUUUAUAAAUCCUUCUGCAUAAUUUAAGCAUCCCAAAAAUUUUUGUAUUUGUUGUUUAUUUUCUAAUCUAUCUGGGAACUCAGUUAUUUUUCUUCCUAUAUGGCUCUGAAGCCUGAUUCCUUGUUUAUCAAGAAUCAUUCCUAAAAAUUCUAUUUUUCUAUGUUCUAUAACUGCUUUUUUACUCGAUAAAACUAUUCCUUCUUUUAUACAUAUAUUAACAAAUUCCUUUAAAUGACUUUUAUGUUCUUCUAAUGUUUCUGAUGCUAUCAAUAUGUCAUCAACAUAGACUAUAAUAUAAUUGUAAUUUCUAAAUAUUUUAUCCAUUCUACUCUGAAAGAUUUGAGGGGCAUUUUUUAAUCCAAAAGGCAUUACUAGCCAUUCAUAAUGUCCUUGUGGGGUACUAAAAGCUGUAUAAGGAAUACUAUUUUCUUCCAUUUUUAUCUGCCAAAAUCCUGAUUUACAGUCAAAUUUUGAAUAAUAUGUUUUAUUUUUGACAAGAUUUAUUAAUACUUCUUUGUUAGGGAGAAAAUACCCAUCAAAUUUUGUGUACUUAUUUAGUUAUUUGUAAUUUAUUACCAUUCUUGUCUUUCCUCUAACCUGUUCUGCUCUUUUUCGAACCAUAAAGGCUGGACUGUUAUGAGGGCUAUUACUGCUCCUAAUGAGUUUUAAAUUUAAUAGUUCUUUUAUUUGGGUUUUAAAUUCUUCUCUAUCCUCUUCUGUAUACAUCAUGGGUUUUAAUCUUAUUAUCCUAUUUUCAAUUAACUCUAUUUUUGCCUUAGGAUGAUCUGGUUUCCAUAAUGCUAAUGGUUUUUUUUAUAAACUUGUUCAAGUUGUGACUUUAUUGUUUCUAAUUGUAUAUUGUAACUCUGUCCUUUCUGUAUUAAAUAAUGUUUUACUUAUCACCACGCUGGGCUGGCUGAACUCUAUAAGGUUUGAACUCACGAGGAACACGAAGUAUAUGGUUACAAGGAGUCUUGAGAGUAAUCAUAUAUGGAGUUUGUUGGUAAUAUACAAAUUGUUGGAGGAAAUCAUUUCCUAAAAGAAUAUCACAAUCCAUAUGAUUAUACUGAAAGACUUGGGAAAUACGAACUAUUUUACUUCCUAAUAAGAUUUCAAAAUUUAAGAUAGAUUGAUUUACUUGUUGUUUAUCUCCUGUGAUACCGACAAUUUUUAAGUGUCCAUUGUAUUCCCAUUUAUUGGAUAAAAAGGAUUUCAUAAUAGUUAUUUCGCUACAUGUGUCUAUUAAAGCACAAGUAUCGAUAGCUUGUUCUGUGAUAUGUAUUUGUAUAUAGACAGACAUAGGAUAUUUUAUAUAAACUUGUCUUAACAUGUUGCACAAACUAUUUUUUGGCCUUGUAUUAGGAAAGUUAUUUUAUUUGGUUCAAUCUUAUAAUAUUCUAAAUCAUUUAAAAAACUAUUUCCUAGAAUUAUAUGUUUUUCUGGAUCUGUAGUCAUAAAUGAAUCUAUAUAACAAGGUACUAUGAUUCUAAGUCCUUCUAUUAUUACAGGAACUUUGACUUCUUGUUUGCAUAUAUGUCUAUUUCCGUUAAAAUCAGUAUAUUCAUACGGGAUUUCUCUUUCUCUUACUAAAAGUCCUUUAUUUUUAGUGUGAUUCAUAUAAUUAUAACUUGUACCUGUAUCUAAUAGUAUAGGUAUCUUUGGAGUAUAGUCUAUUCUAUUAAAGUAUUGUCCAAGUAUUUUUACUACAUUAUUUGCUGAUACUGAUUUAAUUAAUUGUUUAUCAAUGCUUAAUCUUCUAGAGGAACUUCCUCUUAUCAAGGUUCUUCCUUUAAAGCUUAUAGGGAUAAUGGAGUUUUCAUUAUUAUUAUCUAGGAAUUAUUUUUUGUCAUCUAUUUUUAAUUCGUAGUUAAAAGGGAUUCUAUAAUCUUGACUUACUGGUUCUAUAAAAGUUGCUAUAUCUUCACAAUCCUUAUUUAUUUCAAUGUAAGGUUUAUUACCAUAUAUUUCUCCAUAAUUUGAAUUACAAAAACUAUAUAAAGCUGAAUAAUGUAUUGUCAUUAUUCUAUUUCUUUCUUUCAUUAGGUUCUUUUUUUAAUAAUUUAAAAUGUAGGCUUAGUGUUUCAUCUAUAUUCCUGUCCUUUAUAUGUACACAAUAUCUAGGAUGGCAGGUAAAUAAUAAUUUAGUAUAACACAAGUUUCCUUCUAUUGUUCCCAAGUGUCCUAUGCUAGGGUCUGUAAAUCUUUGGUCGUGUAAUGAUAAAACUAUGGGGCUAUCUAUCCCUUCUUUGAAAAGUGAUUUGAUUAAUAUUUGUAUUUCUGCAAGAUAUACAUAUUGAAUUUUUUCUUUAAUUGAUUCACUUUUUAUUUUUCUUAAUGCUAAAUCUACAGAUAUUUUAUUUAUUAGGCUAAAUCUAAUAUUUCCUUCUGCUUGUGUAAUUGUUACAGCUUUUUCUUGUUCAUAAUAUUCGUGUAAUAUUAUUCUUUUUCUUUUAAACAUAUCUCUAAAUCUAUGGAUUAUACUGUACUCUGGUUUUUCCAUAUUUAAUUUUAAAAGUUUGUUAUAUUUUUCUUUAUUAAAUGUAGCUACAAUACUAUAUCCACUUUUAUUUUCUUCUUUUUCUAUUUCUUCAAUUUCCUCUAUUUUUUCAUUCUCUAAUAAUUCUUCUUUAUUCUGAUUCAUUCUCUGAAUCUGAAUUUUUCAUUAUAUAAAUUUCUUCUCCUUCAUAAUCUGAUAAAUCAUUUAUUUCUUCUAAAUCAUCUUUUAUAUUUUCAAAAUCUUCAUUAAGAAUUCUGACUUUCUUUUUUGUACAAUCUGUACUUAUAUGUCUUAUUUCUCCACAAUUCCAACAUUUACAUUUGGAUUUAUCUAGUACUUUUCUUUGGUUUUUAUACUUCCUUUUAUAAUACUUUCUUACAGGUUUUUUAUAUUUUCUUUUGAAAUUAUUAUAUUUUUUAUAUUUAUAUUUUCUUUCCUUCUGGUAAGACUUUCUACGUUGUUUAUGAGGUAUAUAACAUCCCCAUUGAGUAGGCAUUUCCGUCUUUUCACAACAUAUUUUAGUUAUAUUUUUACUCUUUUUUAUUAAACUUCUUUGGAUGCAUAUUUCACUUAACCUUGUAUUUAAGAAUCUUAUCCUAGCUCCUAAUGUAUCAGGGAGUCUAUUAUUGCUAUUGUUAGUAUAUUUUUCAUAUUCAUUAAUGAAAUAUCCAUUCCAAGGAUAUGGUAAUUUAGAAUAGUAUAGAUUUUUAUAAAUAUUUUGGUCUUCAUGACUCAUGAAUUGUGUAUAAUAAUAUUUGCUAAAUUCGCAUGUAUAUUCUUUUACAAAACACAUAUUACAAAUUGUCAAAUUUAUUAAUUUCAUUCGAGCGUCUAACUUAUCACUUUUUGCCUCAUUUUCUGAAUUUUGUAACCAAUCUUCUCCUAAAAAUUCAUUAGCAAUGUACUCAAUUAUUCUUUCUAUGCCUAAUCCUUUAUCUCGUCCUAGUGCUAUUUUGGUCGAAUCUUUGAUUAAUUUUUGUGUAUCCUCACUUAAUCCUUUCCACCAAUUAAAUACAUUUCCUGUAAAGCUUGCUAUUAAAAUAUCAACAAAUAUAUUUAUCUUUUCUUCCUCUGUUUCUACAUUCCAAUCAUCCCUAGAUCCAUUAAAUAUAAAAAAUAAUUUCAUUUGCAUUCCCCAUUCUACCAAUGCUUUUCGAGAAUCUAUUUUACAAUCUAAGUCUAAAAAUGUACCUGCAUUGCUUAUUGGUAUUAGAUGGUCAUUAUUAGGUUGGUAUUCUUUUUUCCAAGGGGUAUUUUUAAUGGGUGGAUAAUAUUCAAAAAAUGGUCGAUUUUUCUUUUUAUUAGUCCCAUAUUUAUGGCUUGAUUCUCCUAUGUCAGGUUUUAAUUCCGGACCACCUGCAACAUUCAUUUUUAUGCAAUAUUCUUUUUCAAAUUCUUCUAAGUCGCUAAGAUUAAUAUCACUAAAUUUUUCUGUUAGUUCUUCUAGUGUGUUUUCCAUUAUUCUGAAUCGUUAGGUGUAAUUUCUUCUUUUAUUUCUAAUUUUUCUUUACCUUUUUUCUUACUUUGUAAUUCUGCUUUUAAGUUUUCUGCUUCUUCUAAAAUUUUCGGGUAUUGGGUUUUUAUAAACCAAUCAUCAUAACUUCCUAUUUGUGGUUUUACUAUUGGCUUUUUAAAGCUUGUUCCGAUUAUUCCUGACUUUAGUAUUUCGAGUUUUUCUACUUUUUUAUUUUUCUUUUGGAUCAUCUUUAUUGUAGAUAAUUCUAUUUUUAUUUUUCCGAUUUCUUGUUUAAUUUCCUUCAUUUCCUCCUUGAGAUUUAAAAGAAUUUCUUUUAAUUCUAUAAGUGUUGUUUCCAUUAAAUUUAAGGGUCCUGGUGAUAUUGUCUAUUUGGAAUGUAUGUUACGUUCAUCGUAACAUAGAGUUAGCCAUAUAUUAUUUAUGAUUUUUAAUAAACCAAUCUCCAAGCCAACGAGAUAGACACACGCAGCACGUUGUAUGCUAACAUCUCAAUCAAACAAGGCUUCCGAGAAUUGAAGUUUUGAUUGGUCUUCUUUUACCCCCACUAAAAGCACGAGGUUAAAUAAAAAUAAGGCAAUGUUGUCGGAUCAAUCCCCUGUCGAAUCUCUCACUCCACCUACUUGUUUUAAACUUUAUUUAAUUUAACAACCACCAAAUAAAAAAAGGCAAUUGUAAAUUCGUGAUUCCGUUAAACCCAGAAGCAUCCACUGUGGAGCAGCACCACCACCACCACCAGUCGAGACAGAGCAGAGACGCAGCACCACCACCACCACCAGCCGAAACGGAGCAUAGACGCAUCAGUAGCAGCAUCACCAAUUAUUCCUCAAGAGAGACGCAACAGCAGCAACAGCAGUAGUCGAUCCUUAAAAGAGAAGUCGUUGCAGCACCACUACCACCAAUCGAGAGAAGCUGGGACACGGCAGCAGUCGAUUCUGGUUGAAGAACUGUGAUGGAAAGGGAGACAGUUGUGACGAAUCGUGGUUGAAGAACUCUGACAGAGAGAGAGAUGUGAAUUUCAAUCGGGAUAAGGAGAUUAGGCUUGGGUUUUGUUUUGCAAUUUCUUUUGUGAUAUAAUUUGUGAUUCAUCUGAGAACGUGUUAAACACGUUCUCAGUUUUAUAACAAUAAAAAAGAAUAUGAAUUAUUUGUUUUAUAAUUCAUUUUUGGAUCCAGCCCACUGAACAAGAAUUACAUAUGUACUCUCAAAACGAAAAUGAAAACAGGGCCCUGAAAAUGAUACCGAACAGGCCCUAAUCUUCUUCAACUCUUUGCUCAAUCUUACUGGUUUAUCAUUGAUUUCUUGUCCCAUAACUCGACUCACGAGAUUAGAAGAGUCUUUGUUAUUAGAUCUUUAAGUUCUCCAAGCUCUUCUGAAUCUUUACCAUAAAUCAUACAUAAGUGAAUGCUUUAUUCUUAAAAUUUGUUGCCUAUUUGUGACUCUGUAACAGCACAUAAAAUAGUAGAAAGCAACAAUAAUAAACAUCAGAACCAGCAAGUAUAACAGCAGCAAACAGCAAGUUAAACAACAAAAAAUAGUAGUAAAACAUAACAAGUAAAACAACAGCAAACGAUAGUAAUAAACAGCCGAAAUAGCAAGUAAAAUGCAGUAACAAGUGAGUAAAAAGAAGCAAACAGCGAGUAAACCAGCAAAAACAGCAGCAACCAGUGAGUAUAACAGCAGCUUAAUUGUAGACUUGUAAUAUUAAGUAAGCUUAAUUGCAUUCAAUUAAGUAAAACAACAGUAAAAAUAGCAAAAACAGCAAGAACAACAAGAACAGCAAGUAAAACAACAAAAACAACAAGUAAAACAGUAGUAACCAGCAAGUAAAAUAGUAGUAAAAAACAGCAGAAAUAGCAAAAACAGCAGUAAAAAAUAACAGCAGUAAAAAAAAAAAGGCAAAGAUAACAGCAGUAUCCAGCAAGUAUAACAGCAGUAACCAGCAAAAACAGCAAGUAAAACAGCAAAAACAAUAAAAAAAUAGUAGUAACCAGCAAACAUAACAGCAAAAACAGAAAGUUAAACAGCAAUAAACAGUAAGUGAAAAAAAAAAAAGAAGCAAAUAGCAAUUGAAACAAAAAUGAAUUGCAUAUCUUGGGAACAUACUCCUAAAGCAUUAGUGGCAAUGAUAUAACAAUUCUGUUAUUAAUGCCAAAGAAAAAAAAAUAGUUAAUUAUUUAUAUCAUACAGCAUAUAAACAUCAAACAUAUUAGAAAGAGGGGAAAUAAAACAAAACAAAACAAACAAAAGCAGGACCAGCUUUGUUUGAUAAGGGCCUUGUGACUUAUAAGUGUAUCAAGCAUUACAUAGUAAUAAUUAAUAUUGGUUCUUAAGGCAUCUCUAGCUAGUUAUUAUUAAUAUUGGUUUGAUUCUCCUUUUAAGCUUUUGUGUAUAUAAAUGCAACCGGAUGAAAAAGCUCAAGUUAAUUGAAGGGAACAAGUUUCAGCCAUCAAUUAUGAUUUAAGUAUGUAUAUAUAACUGAGACUGACAUUUAAUUAACCAUCUAAUUAACAUCUUAGCAGUUCAGAUAAAAAACAUGUAACUGAAUUGCUAAGGUGUGUAUAGUAGUUAUCAAUUAAUCCAAGAUUCAUUCACUUCUUGUAAUCUUAGCUAUGUAAGAUUCAACCCAGUCAUAUAUAAUUUAUAUGUCAUAUUGCACUUCCCAUGCAAAAUCAAUAAGAAGAAAAAGAUAAAUAAGUUAUAGAGCAACAAAUUAGAGACAGUACCCAAAAUGUGUCAGUCUAACACAAGAAGUCAUAUAUAUAUAUGCUGUAUCAAUAUUACCCUCAACAGUAUAUCCAGUCAAGGUAUUAAGCCAAAAUACGACUUACAUAGUUUGGCAAAGAAAAGAUAAAAAACAUGUAACUGGGCAACUACUUAAACCAUGAUAUAUUGCAGUGGAAAUUGAACAUAGUUAAAAAAAAAAAAAAGAGAUCCCUGGCUUACAGAAUGGUCAGUAAUUGUACAGCCAUAUUCACCAGAAAUGUAGACAUAAUGUAAAAUUCGAAACGAAUGAAGUUGAAUGAACACAAAUUGCAUAUUACAAAUUGCAAACAACAAAAUAGGGCUAUGACAAAUCAAAUUAAAUCUCCAGUUGUAGCAGUGUACCCAUUGCACAUGUGCAAUUUAGCUUUAACAACCAUCUACGAGAAUAAUCUCAUUUCUCAUACACAAAGAAGGCACCAUCUCUACAACAGUUAAACCAAGUGUCAAACCAGAAACACCAUAAACUAUACACAUCUUAGCAAUCCCAGCGACAUUUUCAAUCAAAUCAAGAAUCGAAUCAAAUACCACCAUUCAGAAGCAAAUUUGAAGCAACACAACAAUGAAAAAGAACCAUAACCCACAACUCACGACAUCGCACUGAAUUGAGAUACCAAGUCAAUAAUAAUUCAUCUUAUAAGCUGGAAUCAGUUAUCCAAUGAAUCGUAACACAACUUAUAAAUUGAUUCCCAUUAACUUUAUGGCAUGAACAAUUGCAACAGCCAAGAACAUCCAAACAGCCAUAAAAAAGGAAUCAACAAGGGCAUCCAAACAGCCAAAAUAACAAAAUAAUACAUGGAAGAGAUGAGAAAGAGUACCUAAUGUGAGAAAUUGUGAAGCUAAAGAGUCGGAAAUUGCUAUGAUAACAGUGAAAGCUAAACCGAGAACUGAUGAAGCUCUCCGGCGAAUGCUAUUGUUCAAAUUCUGAACAAUUUCGUAAAGGAAGAUGGAUGAGAUAAUCCGAACGGUCUCUUGUGCUCAAACGCUGUCAGCAGCGCUCUUUAUAGCCGGUGAAAGCUGCCGGAAGUUCAUCAAUGACUUUGCUAUAGAGAUUUUGACAUUCUAUGAGUUGCAAAAUCGAAAGGAGAAUGAGGAUUAGGGUUGUUUGAUUUAGACUUCUUGAAGGGUAAACUUGGAGAUUAAAAAAUAAAUGAGGGUAGAAUAGAGAAAUAGAUCUUUUUAAUUGGGUGGAAUCCAGAUUUCCGCACUCAAUAGAGAGGAAAGUGAAUUUCUCAACUCAUGGAAAUUGGAGAAAAGUCGGAAUUUGAUUUCCAGUCAAAUUCUACCAACCGAACAGUGGAAAACUAGCAGGAACCAGAAACCCUCUCCUCUCCAGCCUUCUCUGCUGCCAACCGAACAUGGCCUUAAUGUAACUUACACCACUCACACAAAUUACUUCUUCAUAUCAUAACUAAUUAAACAACCGCUUCUUUCUUGAAGAAUCGUAAAUAUUAAAGUAAAAAGACAAAAGUAAACAAAUAUAGAAAUAUGGUCCGCACAAUAACUACACGGUAUCUAUCAUCGGUUUGCUCCCAGAAAUAGAAAAGUGCUUUUCAAGUCUUCUCUUUAAUAAAGCCACAAAUAGCAACUAACUAAAAGCUAACUGCUAUAUCCACUGAUGUUGUCACAUUGACGAUAUAAACCAAACAUUUUCCAAACCCAGAAAAAAAAAAAGGGACAUUGAUUCCACUUUAUAAAUAUAAUUAGGCAGCUGCUACUUUGAAACUGUUACAAUUGUUUCAGAUUCAGGUAUAGACAUCCAACGGUUUUGGGGACUCCUCUAUCUCAGAACUGUUUUAAGGUAGCUGAACUCAUAUAAUUAACGUAAUUACAAUAAUUAAAUUUAAUAUUAUGAUUGAUACAUAUUUAUUAAAACAAAAUGUAAAUAUAAAUAUAAAAACAACAAUUAAGAUAAAAUAAGUUUCUUUAAAACAUCACAAUGAGAAUUGAGAAGCAUCUAUUGUUAUUAUUUUAAUUUAUCUGCGAGCCCCACAUAUUCAUUUAACAAAGAAAUCAUAAAGCAUUGCCAGAAUUAAAGUUUUAUUGAAGAAGAAAAGUAAUUUAUAAAUAAUAUUCUUUUCAACUUUAGUACUGCGUGUUGAUGGGGAGACAAAAUGAAAAGUGUUGACAGGCAGAGACACACGAAUCUCAUAAAUAUUAUUAAAAAAAAUUCGUUGACAGGGAGAGACAAACGAAUAUCAUAUAUAUUAUUGAAAAAAAAAAAUCAUAGUCUGUAUCGUCUAUACAGAAUCGUAUGCAUAACUGAAAGUCUAAAACAACUGAUCUGGCUUUUAUAAAAAUAGAAGAUAAUAUUAUUACUGUGGCACCUGUACCCAGCUAUAGGAAGUGGUAGUUGCAUGGAAGCUCAAGUCACCACAAUUACACCAUAUCCCCAGAUGGACUUGGCAGCAGGUCUUGGAUGCUGCCUCAUCAGUUAGAUCAUUUGGAUUAUUAACAAUGAUAUGUUUUUAUUAGCUGAAUUGAUAACUCUCCAAGCCACGUCUGUAAGGCUAACAUUUGGAUUAUAACUGAUAGACAAGAAUAAAAAGAAAAAAACAGAGUUAAAAAAAGUUGAUAUAAUGAACCUUGUGGUCAAAUGUCAGAUCUGACUUCUUCAAACGAACUAAAGGCCAGCAAUGAAAAUUUCACAUAAAAGCAACUAGACUACCUGCAAGAUAGCUUAAAUUAAAAGUUUUCUGACUCAUUCAGCAGAGACGCCAACAAUUUCCGAAACUUUUUGUUGGACCUCACGUUUAUAAAUUCUCAAAUCUUCCUACACCAAUCUGACAACAUCACAGAAAGCAAGCAACACCACAUUUAAUUGUCUUUAAGCUACAAAAAAAGCUUCAAGCUCUGCUGAUGCCAGGAUAUAAUGAGAAACCAAUCAUAGAACAUGUCAUAAGCAAGGGCACAAGCAGAGGAAAGAUCUUCAAUGCUUCAGUGUGAUGAUAAUCACCAUGAAACAAUAUCAACAGAUAUGAUCUAGUGAUAAAUGAAAUAUAACAACCUUCAAAUGAAAUUAAUAAACAGCGACAGAACGAUAUAAAACAAAUAACUUCAUAAAGAAAGAGUUUACAUUUUUGUCGGAAAUCUGAUUACCGUUCUUUCAUUUGUAUGUAAAGUCUCUGAAAUUCCCUAGUCGUGCCCAAAUAAAUUCUCUUAUAUAUAUGAUGAAUAAUGCUGUUAAAAGAAGCCCCUGAACUUAGAAUUACUUCCACUUCUUUAAAUUCUUAGUUAUAAUAAGGCAAGAGGGAGUUUUGGUAUUUUUAGUGAGAUAUAGAAAGGUAUUUACCCUCACUUUAUCUUGCAACUUCAAAACCUGGAAAGUCUCUCUCAAAACAUGAAUUUAGACGAAUGGACUUCAACUAAAAGGAUUUUCUUACAAAAGCUAAAAAAUGCAACAGCAUAGUGAAAAUGGGAAAAUGAAAAUAUAAAGCAGAAGAAAAAGUUUCCAUCAGAUAAGACAAAUACAGAAAAUCCAAGUUCUUAUUUGCCAUGCCAAUAUUAUUCCUGCAGAAUUACUCUAAUUUAUUUUUCAGUGAAGGUUAGUAACAAUUUAUCUGUAAAUAACUGAACCAACUUGGUUAUUACGACAUUACUCUUUCUCUUCUACACUCAUUUUCUGCAUAGUUGCGGUUAAUCAACGACCACAUUCACAAACACGAGUCCACUCUCCCCGGCCCCUUCACUUAUUUCCCCAACCUUAAGGUCUCUCAAAGUGCAGCAGCAAGACAUGAACUCCGAUCAAUAUAAAGCAAUAUUAAGCCCAGCUAAAAAAUCCAACACCUAUUUGGCUAGAAAAACCCCAUAACUCAUUGCCACACUCUCUAUUUUCACCCCUUUCAUCAAAACACAAGCAUUACUUACCCAUGUCCAGACAUAAUUUCGUUUUCUGAUAUCACGUCAUUCAGGGGGGAAAAAGCAAUUAAAGGAUUUCAGUACAUAAAUUACAACAAGCUGUCAAUUCGCAAAAACAAGGAAAAUUAGCUCAAUCGAGUGAAGUAGGCCUACAAAAUGACCUCAAUGAGAUAUCAGAUACCUCAAAAAUCGAAUCAAAUUCAGUUAAACUAAGAAUCACUCAUCAAUAUGAAUAACAGAAAGAAAUUUCUCAUAAAAACUCAAUACAAAUAAAAAAAAAUUAGCUAAUCAUCCUUUUUUGGUUUAGUGACUUCGUCAGAAAAUAAGACGAAAUAGAAAUUCUGAAAUUUACUUAGGGUUUCUAGGUUUGAAAAUUUACCUUACGAGAAGCCAGGCUCUCUGUUUCUAGCUUUGUAACGUUACUAUUAUGGCCGAUCUACGCCGAUCAGCUGAGAUGAUCAGAUUUCUCGCCGGCGACGACGCAGACGUUUGGAUUUGGGUUUGACGAUAGACGAAGGAAUGUUUAGGGGUCCUGGGUGAUUUUGGGACUUAUUGAAUUGAAAGACCAAAAUAACCUUUAAAAAUUUACACAUGUAAUAUUCGGGGUAGUUAAACAGUUAAUUUUUUUUUUAACCAUAAAAACAGAAUAUAAAUCUACAUACAGAAUUUUAUUAAUAUACCCUUGUUCAUCCGGACCAUAGUACAACGACAACAACAACCCAAAAAAAAAAAAAUCUAGCCUCUGUCUGCAAGUGCUUUUUCAAGCAGAAGCCAAAGAUAGCAACUAAGCUUUCACAUCAAACUGUUCAAACUUAUUCGGGUAACAACAGACUAUAGGCCAUUGUAAUAACUAGUUCGCAAUGGAAAGAUAUAAAACUCUCAUAAUUCUACACUUUGUUAGUUUGUUACUUUAGCAGGUACUAGGACCCUACAGUGGCACCAACAAUAUCGUCUACCACAACUUCCAGGUUGUUCUCAUCAUCAUCAGUUGAGCUUGGCUGCAGGUUUUGGUUCCCGUUCAGACGGUUGAUCAUGAUCAAGAUUGUGCCAGUAAUGGGCGUUAUUAUUGCAGUGAGAUUCCGAAACCAGUUGAAAAUGUGCUGAGACAGAGAAGCUACGGUUCCAUAACGGAGUGAUGAGAUUAUGAGGCACAAAUAGGCCACGAAGAAGAGAAAUGGAGACGAAGUGACGGAGGCAACCACCGAGAUAGCCAACAAAACAGAGGUUUCUUCAAAACCCUCGGAAAUGGAGCUCCUCACAUUGAAAGCAAGUCUGAUGGGUAUGUGGCGGAAGAGCAGUACUGGCAUGGUGACGGCAGGAAUCAGGAACCGGAACUGAAGUUUUAAAAUCGGAUGCAAAAUUAUCGUACUUGUACCACCUUGGACGUCCGAAGAAUUGCCAUCCUGAGACCUGCGGAACAGAAUAAAGAUGAUAAGAUUUAGUAAUAGCAGAUAUAAAAAGCUCAAAGUGAUUGACAGAUCCAUGCUUAUGAGGAAGAUCAGGGGCCUGAAUUUUUAUUUAUUUAGUUUCUUUCUCUCUGAGGUUAAAGACGUUGGUUGAGUAUGACAAGAACUUUUGAGUUUGAGCAGGAUUUUAUAGUUGGGAAUUGCAUGGGGGAAGGUUCCUGGAAGCUGCUGCCUCUGCUUGACCAAGCCUAUUUGGUCUUUUAAUAUUGAUAAGUAAUAUUAUCAUUAAUAUUAGGUUAUUUUGGUCUUUUAACACUGAUGAGUCAUGUUAAGUGUUAUUAGGUUUUGGUCUUGAUGACUUUUCUUGAAGCUAUAUUAUAUGUAGGCAAACACAACCUUACAAUCAAUGUAUGGUACAUCCCUCACUCAUGAACAGUGUAUGAGUGGGACCCACUCACUGUUCACAUAUGUGAGGGAUAUACCAUACAUUGAUUGUAAGGUAGUGAGAUCCUUAUAUGUAUAAACUUUCCAUGACAAUAUCACCAGUGGCAUAGACCAAAAACAUCGACAUUCACGACAAUCUCUUAAGAGGAGGGAUUGUCAAUUUCCUCAUAUUAAAUUCAGAUUGAUGUAAGUUAUAGAUUUUAUAAUUUAAUAAAACGCAAUUAAUACACAUACAUAAAUGUGUGUGCUUACAUUGCAACAUUUUUUGGGCUUUCUCUUUUGGGCUAUUCAUUAGUUGUUUUUUUAGAGUAUUAAUAUAGUCAUAAAUUUGUAUAUAAAUUUAUUUUGUAUAAAUUGAUAUGGUGUGAUAAAAUUAGUUGAAUUAAAUAUCUCUUGGCUCACAUGAUUUAUUUUUUAUUAUUUUAUAUUUUCAUUCAACCAAUUUUAUUAUGUCAAAUCAGUUUGUACAAGAUAAGUUUGUACAAUAAUUUGUUACUAUAUCAUCACUCUUUUAUUUAUAUUUUGAGUAAUGAUACAGUCACAAACUUUUGUACAAACUUAUUUUGUACAAAUUGAUGUGCCAUAAUAAAAUUUGUUGAAUUAAAUAUCUCUUAGCCCACAUGAUUUAUUUUUGUUAUUUUUAUUUUCAUUCAACCAGUGAAUUAAUGUCACAUCAGUUUAUAUAAAAUAAGUUUGUACAAGAGUUUGUAGCUCUAUCACCACUCUUAUAUUUUAGUUAGUCAAUCUACUUAUAUAGAACUGGGAAAUAAAAUAGAAGUGUAGUUUAAGGAAUAAAUUUAUGGAAAAAUAAAUAAAAAGAAAAAUCAGAAUCAAGAUAAUGAAAUAACUAAAGGCUAUUGGACUCGUUGCUAAGAGCAAAUGGCGCAUUUCAUUGUCAUUAACGUGUGGAGCAAAUUUUUCAAGAGCUUUUGAAUUAAACGGCGCCCUUCUUAUAUUUCAAGUCCUUUCAUCAAGUUAGCUUCGCUUUAAUUUGGCUAUUGACUACAUAUUAUUGCCAAUUUCUUAUUAAAAAAAAAACGUUGGUUUUGGACAUAGUUAAGAGAUUAAAAAACGAAAAAUAAAAAUAUGGAUGUAUAAUCGGAGAUUUCUUGGCUCGUUGCCGAAAGUAAAAGGAGUGUUGUGAUUGGUUCAAGAAACGGAUCUGGCCUCUAUUUGAAAGUCAUAAAUAGUCACUUGGCUCGUUGGUCAGUUGAUUCAAUUUCUCAAAAGUAAUUCACAAAGAGAUUGCGACACGUGUUGUUAUAAUCUCUCGUCUCGCUAUAUCUCUCCUUCACCGUUAGUGAUCGAAUUUUCUGAAUUCACUGCAAGAGACUUCCUGCGGAAGACAUCAACUUGCAGACAGGGAAAAAAAUAAAUCAAUGAGUAAGAAAGCAUUAUGCCUUUGAACUUUUCCUUGCCAUUUUCUCUCGCAAAAUAAUUGAAUUUAAAGCUUUUAUUUUAAAUGAUAUUAAUCAAAAUGAUUAAGUUACCAUUGAAAUUGUUGAUGCGAAAAUAUGAGAUGAGUGGUGUGUAAUCAAUAACUCUUCGAGUUGGAUCGUGGCACACCAAUAGUUAUCUUUUAAAGGUCAAAUUUCAACACACAAAUAAGUCUUGUAAUGCUAAAUUAGCCUUAAAAGUUUAUGGAUUGCUUACCAUUAAAAUUAAUGUAGUUACGCGUGUACUUUCUAUUUCUUCAUAAAGUAUUUUCCCUUAUCAAAAAAUUAAUUAAAAAAAAUUAACUCUUUGACUAUGAUUAGUCCCUUGUUAUUAGGCUGCUUGGGUCCGUAUAUUAUCUUUAUCCAACCUUCGAUUAUGGGUUUGGGAUAUUUGGGUGAAUUAUUUUUAAGUCCCGGUAACUUUUCAAAAUUUCAUUAAUUUAGUAACUAAUUAAAUCAUCUUUAUAAUAAAAGCAAUUUGAUUAUUUUAUCCUUGUAACAUUAAAUUGUAAAAAAGUCUGAGAUAAUGCUUGAAUUUAUUUAAAAAAAAAUUAAAAGCAAAAACCCAUCAAUUAAUUAAAGCGAAGAACACGAUAAAGUUAACUUAAAUCAUCAUUUGAUCAUUCAUAUAAAGAUAUAGAAUACUUGUUCUAAAUUCAAAAAUUUGAGUUGCUGCUUCUUUUUUACACUUGGCUUCUCAUUCUUAUACAAUUCACGGUUUGAAUUAUCCUCGUCCACUUUUUUCACCCCACUCAUUACACAAUAAUUAUCAUCAAGCCCACAAGUUUGCAAAAAUUAUUUGAAUUGGACCAUUAGCCUACGUUUUGGCCUCGGGAUGCCCCACUCCAGCCUUUAUUUGUAAAUAUUAUUUUCCUCUUAAUGAAGUUACUACUCAAAAAGGAAAAAAAAAAAAAAGGUAACUUUUUUAUGAUCAUCUUCCUCCCUAGCAUGAUUAUUUUGUUUCAAUUUAAAAUUUAUUAAAAAAAGCGUAAUUAAAUUUUGGUUUAAAAAGGACGUUGAUGAUGAUACAUCGGUGCCAAAAGCCAUCAAAGAAAGAAAAAAAAAAAAUCCCCAUUGGUUGUGGGUGGACAGAGUUUUAAGCAUAAGAGAUUGUUUGUGUUUCAAAUGUGAGUUUAAUUAGAUAUACAUUUGUCGUUUCAUCUAAUUUUAAUGAAAGUUAAAGUUAUAAAAUACCUAAGGGGUUUUAAAAGAUAUUUAAGGUGGUGCUAAUAGUCCAACUGUGUUCGUUUUUCAUGCAGAUGAAUACUUAAAUAGGCCAUGCAUCAAGAAAAAUAAAUGCAAGAGGCAAUAGCUGAUAUUGCCAAAAGAAUCGAGAACUUUCUAAGAUGCAGAAAAUGUGACGGAUAGUGAGUAGGAAUUUGGUGGGUGGACAGAUGUAUGUUUGUAAAAUGCAGAAAAAUAAACGACCAAUGAUUCCCAUUUUCGUUUUGUUUUGUUAUGCAAGAAUUAUUUUCGACAAAGAAGCUGAAAGCCAGGAGACAUAGACAAAGGAGCGACGAAGAAAUAUUUUUGCGAAUUUUUUUUUACCACUAGCACUAGGUAGCGUGUGUUUAUUUAUUUUUUAUUUUAAAUUUAUAAAUGUAAAAUAUUAAUUUAUAAAGCUGAAUCGGUGCGUACGUAUAGAAAACAGUUAACCUGAUAACCGGUAAGUUAAAUGGGUCUGCAUUUGGCUGUUAAUAAUUUGUUCGUUGCUCCUGCAACAGGCCAAUUCUCUAUAUUCAUAUAAAGUUUUAAUGGCUAUUACUGAGUGAGUGUGUAGGGUACUGGAUAAAAAUGAAAAAAACAGAAUAAAUUUGACACAACAUUUUAUUUAAUAUACCCUUCUUCAUAUCAUAACUAAUUAAACAGCCUCUACUUUCUUGGAAAAUCAUAAAUAUUUAAAGUAAAAAGACAAAAAUAAACAAAUAUAGAAAUAUGGUCCGCACCAUAAGUAUCUUUCAUCGGUUUGCCCCCAGAAGUAGAAAAGUGCUUUUCAAGUCUCCUCUGUAAUAAAGCCACAAAUAGCAACUAACUAAAAGCUAACUGACGCCGUCACAUUGACGAUAGAGACCAAACACUUUCCAAACUCGGGAAAAAAAAAAAAAGACAUCGAUUUCACUUUAUAAAUAUAAUAAGGCAGCUGUUACUUUGGAAGUGUUGCAAUUGUUUCAGAUUUAGGUACAGACAUCCAACGAUUUUGGACUACUCUACCAUAGAAUUGAUGUAAUUACAAUUAUUAGAUUUAAUAUUAUGAUUGAUACAUAUAUAUUAAAACAAAAUGUAAAUAUAAAUAUAAAAAGAACAAUUAAGAUAAAAUAAGUUUCUUUAAACAUCACGAUGAGAAUUGAGAAGCAACUAUUGUUUGUUAUUUUAAUUUAUCUGCGGGCCGCACGUACUCAUUUACCAAAGAAAUCGUAAUGAAUUACCAGAACUAAAGCUUUAUUGAAGAAGAAAAGUAAUUUAUAUAUUAAUAUUCUUUUCAACUUUAGUACUGCGUGUUGAUGGGGAGACAAAAGUAAAAAAUUGUGAACAGAAAGAGACAUACGAAUCUCAUAAAUAUUAAAAAAAAUUCGUUGACACGGAGACACACACGAAUGUCAUAAAUAUUAUUGAAAAAAAAAACAUUCAUUGUCCGUAUCGUCUAUACGGAAUCGUGUGCAUAACUGAAACAACUGAUCUGACUUUUAUUAUUAAAUUCACUUGCUAAGAUAUUGGAGUAGUGUUGAUGCAAUUUUCUGUCAUGCCUGAAGAUUCAACUUGCCAGGAUUUCGGUUAUGCCUUCAGGUUCAAGUAUUGUUGCUGAUUAUGCGAGCUGUUGAGAUAAUUGAGCAUGGCUUUAGAUUCAAUUUCAGCAAAUGUGUGGGGAGAGGAUUUAAUCCGAAUGAUUUAUGGGUUCUGGAAAAAAAGAAAUUUUCUUUAUGUUAACUUGCAACAAUAUGUAUGUAAUUUUUUACGAUAUUAGCAAUAUUUAAUAACAGAAUAGUUGAAAUAUUUUUAAAUUGUGUUAUUUUCAAAUUAUGAGACAAAGAAAAUAAUUUUGCACAAAAGAUAUACUAACAAUACACUAAAAAUGCAUGAACGAAUAAUACAUGAAUAUUUCAAUAAAAGAAAUGUAUGUAGCACAUUUGGAACCACUCAGGAGAUACAACUCUCUUCUAAUUGUCCUUCACCUUUAAAUUUGUUCCACUGGUACAUGGAUAGACUAGUGUUGGAAAAGGAACAUGCCAAAACUAAAUUCCAAUUACAUUUUUUUUUCCUAUCAUUAAGUUUCUGUAGUUAAAUUUAAGGGUAAUUUUCGGAUACCUCCCCUGAGGUUUACCCCUGCUAUACUUAGAGAGAAUGUAUGAAUAUAUUGACAUAUAGCACCCCUGAAUGUAUAUAAGCGUUAGAGAGCCCUUUGGUUUGACAAUAAAAAUACAAUAAUGCCCUUCAUUCUACAGUACAAGAACUGACAAUUGGUCUUACAUUACAGAGUUGUCAAAUCAUCUUUUGCUUCUUGGCGCCAAGUGCAUAAGAACAUCUCUUAAUAUAUCAAUGGAACACCUAGGAGUUAAAAUGCGAACAAGAGCCUCUUCCAUUGCAGCCUGCAGUGGUAAUUUUAGCAUGAUAUUAGUCUUAUAAAAAAAAUGCAAGAGAAAACAAAUCGGAGAAUUCAAAUAUGAGACAAAACUAAAAAUCAAAUACCUGCACAAUUGAAGAAAUCAUUGUAAAUGAGGCUAGCUUUUUGCCUUCAAGACUUGCUGCAACUGAUUCACAUAGUUUCUCAACUAUCUCCUUAGCCUAAAAUGUCAGUGCUCAAGUCCAUUAGCAACUUCUUAAGAAUGAUCAGAAUAGCCAAUGAAAGAAAACUAAUAAACAUCAGAGGAAAAAGGUAAAAGAUUCAGAUACAUACAACAUUCUUGGUCAUGAGCCUAUCCUUAAGAGAUUUCAGAGCGGGUUCUAAGUCUGCCUUAUCCAAGUUUGCCUUUCCAGCAAUACUGAGUUAAAAAUAAAGACGAUUUAAUAAAUAGAACAUAUUUUUAACAAACAGAUUUAUUGAGAGAUUAAUCAAACAAAAUUGAGUCGUCAAGGAAAAAUACCUAUGGAACAUAGAUGAAAACCAGCCCGUCUUCUUAGCAUCAGGCUUGUUGUGCUUACCCACUUCUUCAUCUUCUUCGGAUUCACUAUCACUGCUGAAAACCUCUUCCUAGUCCAUCAUACUUUCACCAUGAUUUGAUGCCUCAACCUCGAUAUUACUGCCAUUUCCACCUGCAGGAUCCGUGAAGUCCAAUUUGGACUCUGGAGGCGAUUCGUCCUAAACUCUGUUCUUCUUUGUUGUCUUUUUCUUUGGGUUCGGUUUUGAACCCUUGCUAACAAUAGUAUCAGUUUUCUUACUACCUUUAUUUCUUAACUUCUGUAACUUGCAUCAAAAGCCCCAAUAUUAGAACUUGUAUUUUCUUUACCGUUAGCAAUACCUGUUACCCUAGAUUUUUCAAUCUCAACAUUGCUGACAUUAGAGUGUCCAUUCUCCAAUUUAUGGCCUCUCAUAUUAUCACUAUCCCCGUCAUCAUUUGCCGACCCACCUCCACUCCUCUUACUUCCCCUUUCAAAUCCACUCUUUUGCAGCUGUCCUCCCUGCUUCUUAAGGUUAUUCAUAGGCAUAGUAACUUGCUUUGAUUUUUUUAACUCCUCCGCCCUCGCUUCUGCCUCCUUCCUAAGUUGUCUAAACAUUUCAUCAAAAUCUGAAUAGUUAGUUCGUUUUCAUCAAAAUCGUAAAUAUCAGUCUUGUCUUUGUUCUUAUGCACUUGGCGCCAAGAAGUAAGGGAUGAUUUGACAACUCUAUAAUGUAAGACCAAUUGCCAGUUCUUGUAUUGUAGAAUGAAGGGUAUUAUUGUAUUUUUAUUGUUAAACCAAACGGCUUCCUAAUGAUUAUAUACGUUCAGGGGCGCUAUAUGUUAAUAUAUUCAUACAUUCUCUCUAAAUGUAGCAGGGAUAAACCUCAGGGGAGGUAUCCGAAAAUUACCCUUAAAUUUAAUUAUAGAAACUAAGUGAUAAUGUUAUUGUGCGAACCAUAUUCUAUAUAAUAAAUAUGCCUUCGAUGACUAAAAAAUACGACAUUCACAUUAAUCUCUGAGGGCCCAGCUUUAAGAAGAAAUCGAUUAGUGUGGAAAUAUGAGACGUGAUGGAAUCAAACGUAUUUAAAACUAAAACAUAUAAAGGGACACGUCAUGAAUCAUCUUGAGGCAGCAAACCAUCCAGAUUUUCGUUCAUCCACUACCACCCGAGCAAAAACGCAAACGGUAGGUGAUUUACUUUUAUUGCUCUUUCACUACCACAUGAUUUAUUUGCAUCUCAGUACAGAUGCAACUUGCAUUAUCCAACCAGUAGAUGGUGGGAAAAAAAAUAUAUGUUUGCCCUCACGAGAUGGAGGGUAAUUCUGGCAUUUUGAAAAUUAAGGAAGUUGCACAGAAGUUGCAACUUGCAUUAUCCAAACCAUUCUCUCAAUUUUCUUUAUGCUUUUAGUCAUACUAAUUUCACACGUAUGAGAGAGCCAAGUAACAUAGAAAAGAGCUAUAACACCAAAUGUUCCUAAAACCUUAUUAACUUUCUUUCCUUGCCCAGAAGCAAAAACAUUAUUCUCCAUUAACAAACAGCUACAAGAACUUGGAACAUCCCAAAACCUUAUUCUCUAUUUCCUCAUCUUUUUAUUAUUCCUGGUAACAUUGCACUAUAAAUGAGAUAAAUGCAUUUAUCCGCACCCAUAUUAAAAUUUCCCAUGCAUAAUAAACCAAUUACCCACAGGUACACUUAAAGUUUCAAAUAGACACAUUUAUGAAAAUGCCUAGAGCCUACCAAACUUCUUAGUUAAUCUGCUCACAAUAGAACAUUUGACAGCCACUUUUUGAUAAAUUGGGUUAUUAAUCGCCUUUGUGUUCUUUGAAACCUCAUUCUUGGAAUUGGUUGCUGAGUUUCCAAUUAUUAAUUGAACUCUAGUCAUUGAUACGUAUGAAUGCUUAUGGUUCCGUAAGAUGGAAUCUGUCAUAGACUGAUUAAUUAUUUCAUGUUUCUUUUACUGGCUAAUUGGUUUUUUAAACAUAUAUAUAAAAAUUAUCUAACACAAUGGAUAUCAUCAAAAGACUCUUUUGAUUUUACUCUUUAAAUAUCUAUUUACUUACUUAUGCAGUAAAUAGAAAAGUGAAAAAAUAAACUCUCCUUUAAAAAACUCUUCAAAUAAGAUAAGAUAAUAUUAUUUUAAUUAAAUCUUUUUCUUUACCAAAUUUAAUUACCCAUCAUUUUAUCACUCCAACUAUUUUAGUCAAAUCUUUGCUGUUACGUAAUUUUAUGUUGAUUUUAAAUGUCGUUGUCAUUGUUGUUGUUAUAUUUUAAAUAUGUUUAUCUGUUAGUAAUUCUGUUAAUAUGUUUUUAGAUUUUAUGUUGAUUUCCCGCGCCUGCAGGGUCCAUUUUGAAAAAAUUUUACUACGUUUGUGACCAUUAUUAUUAGGUUGAAUAUGUUAUUUUUUUAAUCUUAAAUUUUAAAAAUAAACGCAAAAUCUGAAUGCACAAAGCUGGUGGAUUUGGCGCAUAUAGAAAUUAGUUUUUCGAUCUUUUGGCUGUGUUUUAUUCUUAUAAUAGAUAAAAUAUCAAAUCCUACAUGUAUAUUGGUCCAUUUGGCUUCUGUUUUGGAAAAUCAUGAAUAUUACAAUGGAAAAGACAAGAAUAAACAAAUCUAGAAAAAAGCACAAGAAGCACUACGUAUCCAACAUUGGUUUGCUCCCAGAAUCAGGGAAGUGCUUUUCAAGUCUUUUCUUUAAUGAAGCCGACAAUAGUUAGCAGCUAAAGGACAAAGAUACCAUGCAGAAUCAAACACUGUUCAAACAAAAAAGUCCUGGAUUCCACUUUAUAAAUAGAAAGUACAAUUAUUUAAUUUUUGGAGAAAGUCAUAAUGGUGCUUCCUUAAUCGUUUUUUUUUUUUAAUUUUGGGGCUCGAAUAUGCGCAUUACCUUGUUUAGCAGGUGGCUUUAUGUGAAUCUGUGAUACUGCCAAGAAGCUUUGUACUUCCCAAUCCCAAUACCUUAACCACAUCCAUCAGGAACCUUUUUGAUUUGAGAUUUUUUAUUUCCGCCAAUAUUAAAUCUUUUAAUCUUUCAUUAUGUGCUCGAAAUCUUAUAUAUAUAUAUAUAUAUAUAUAUAUGUAAACGGGGACAAUUAGUUCAUGUUCAUUCUUGCCAUCCAUUUUUUACUCUUGUUUGCAAGCCCAUAUCUUCCACAGGAAGUUCACUUCGGCGGAUUGUGAAUACUUCGCCGCUAAUUAAGCGUACUAAGCAUCAACGUACUUUUUCGAAAUUGAUGAAUGAUAGAGAUCUGGCGGGACGAGGGAUAUUAUAACAACACGUGUUCCAAUAAUCUGUGUGGGAAUUACUUUUGACACUUGAUGAACUAUAGAUGGUCAGUUUAUGUAUGCUGCUGUUUUCAGUCGUGCCAUUAUCGACACUGUCAUUGGAAAGCCCGUACAUUGAACAUGGUUCGCAUUUAUUAUUAUAUCGUCAUACCGUAAUAUUAGUUUUUUUUUAAUAUUGUCACUAACAAAUCAAAAAAUAUAAAUUUUAAUACACUAACAAAUAAAAAAAUAUAUAAUUUUUAAUAUAUUAAAAUUUAUUAAGAAUAUAUCCAAACGGAUGACAAAAAGUGAACAUUGUCCCACUGACAAAAAACUUAGUCUUCCUCUUUCUGAAAAAAAAAACUUAGUCUUCCCUCUUAUUUUAAAAAAUGCAAUCUCGCCGAGUAACCCAAAAAAGAGUUAAGAGCCAGAGAACCUUAGCUUUCUAUCCUUGCCCAAAAUCAAAAACAUUUUUCAUUAGCAAAGAGCUACAAGAACUUGGAGCAUCCUAAAAUCAGUAACAUAAUUGAGAAUCAAUGCAUGUAUCCGCAACCAUUUAUUUAGUACCAAAACAUUCAAUUUUAAAUUUCUGACAGACUUGCUUAAUUGCCCAAAUUCUACUAAGUUUUUCAGUUAACCUGCUCAAAUACAAUCCACAGUUGCGUUUAAAUAAAUUGAGUUAUUUAACGCCUAUAGCCUUCGAAACCUCAUCAUAUUGCUACCAGAAUUAAUCCACACCAAACAAUCAACACAUGAAAUACAGGACCUUCAGACGGAGGAAAUACCGCUGAAGAAAAAUUAAAAACCCAUAGAAGCACUAAAUACUUCUCCUAUUACUAAUAAUGUAACAAAACAGCAUCAUUAUACGCUCAAUCUACCAUUAAAGAAAUAAAUCCAUACCAACGACAAGCUAAAUAUGACAUUUUUCUAGAAUUAAUAAUUCUGCAACCAAAAAAGCACAGCAAUUAUCUGCUUUUUAAAUAAUCCUAAAAACAGGACAAUGACUUAUUUUUGUCAUAAAAAGAACCUAUAAACACUUAUUUUUUAAUCUAUUUUAUUUCCAAGUGAAAACAACAUUCUUCUAUUCUUUCUUCAACAGGAAAACAGGUUAUGUUACAGUAGUCACUAGGCAGUAGGCAAAACACUUGAUAACUAAAUAUGUAAAAAGAAAUAAAGAAGAGUUUAAAAAAUUACAAAAAUUAAAAUAAAAAUACAAAAAAUAAAAAAUGAAAAUAUCAAACCCCUUCUUCAGAACAAUCCAAACAGGGAGUUAGCGGUUCUUAAUGUAACAGUUCUUAAAGUAACAGCAAGUAACCGGCCACUGUAACCCCAACUUUUCAACAUAGAACUUGAACUCUGGAAGAGAUAAAAGAAAAGACGUAGAUGACUGACUGAAUCCGACUGAGAGAGAGUUACCAAUAUACCGCACUGGUCAGCUCCAAGUUGAAUUUGUAAGUUUGGGUUGGAGUCCCAGUCCCACAGGUAGUGAAAGUAGGUAGUUAUCCUAACCAGCUGAAAGUAUCAAACCUGUUUGUAUAAGCCUGCACAAUACAAGUUAAUCAUCAGCAAAGGAGGAGGCUGCAGCACAUCAUGUACUAAUUAUAAAACAUGUAAAAAUAACGCAUUUUACCAGUCACAAAACCAUUUUUUCUUUAGAGAUAAUCUCCCCAUAGCAGCUAUAGAUAUGGAAAAAAAAAAAAUGACCUCAAAGUAGAGCAGUCUCCUCUUUUUCACCAAACAAAUACAACCAUUUCAAUUCACACCUGAGCUGAGAACCAUUCUAGUUUCAAUUUUCAACCAAUGAAACAACCAUAGCAUUCUUACAAAAAUUAAAAAAAAAAAAAGAAAUAACCAUAGAAUAAAAUAAUUCUACUCUAAUUCAAAUAUUGCUUCAGAAUUUAAGAUUUAUGCUAGACACAAUUGGUGUCUAGCAUAAAUCUUGGUCGCUGUAUUGUCUCUCUGCGGCUGGAUUUUUCCGUAGUAUAAAGACCUAACAAUCCAAGGAUGAAGUGGAAAAAGCAUGAUUGUUCUGAAUUACCAAUUCUUUCUAUAGAACCCUUUACUUUGUGUAUAUAACUGAAUACUGUUCUUGAUUCUUUGGAGAAACAUAUUUGUCCUCCUCCUAUACUGGAAAUGAUUAUGAUUUCUCUGGACUUUGUUACUGGAACUUUUAAUUUAUCAGGUUCCAUAAACGGGAAACACUAUCACAAUUAGAGUGUGUGUGUAUAACCAUCCUCUAACAAAGUGAGGAUCCCUAUAAAAAACCAAAAAAAAAAAAAAACAGAUUUUAUUCUCAUUUUGUUAAAGUGAAGAUGUCACUAGAAUACAAAAAAACACAUAUUUCAAUACAUUAAAAAUUGUAUCUGUUAGUGUAUUGAAUUUUUUUUUUUUAUUUACUGUAGUGCCAGACUCUUUCUACAAAAGUGAAACAGAUCAUUCUUGUUAAUUUCCCCAGAUGAUCAGUUUCUUUGGUAAACAACUCUAGCACUUAUAGCCACUGGGACUUCAUACAAUAAAAAACACAUAAUGGUGAAGUUAGACCAAGAAAAAUAAGCUAUUGGAAUUGAGUAAUACCAUGAGAACCACAUUGCUUUCCAUAACAAUGACUAGAGGCAUCAAGCAUGAUCAAAAUAACAGCAUGGGAAAUAAUCUCUCAGCCACUUAUAAGUCAUUAAUCAAAAGCAUGCACCUUUAAGAUGGCAAAAAUUUAUAUACACACACACAGUUCAAUCUCACUAGAGUUUCAGAAACUAGCAUUAUCGAGAUUAUGCCCUUCAUCUCUAUGCUUAGUCAUUGGUACACAUCCGUGUCAAAAGCUAGCCAUUCCCAAGUCCAAACGGAUGACAAAAAGUGAACAUUGUCCCAGAGACAAGAAACUUGGUCUUCCCUCUUAUCUUCAAAAAUGCAAUCUUGCCAAGUAACCCAAAAAAGAGCUAGAACAUCACACUGCCAGAGAUCCUUAGCUUUCUUUCCUUGCCCAAAAGCAAAAACAUUUUCCAUUAGCAAAGAGCUACAAGAACUUGGAGCGUCCCAAAAUCAAUAACAUAAUUGAGAAUCAAUGCAUGCAUCCGCAAGCAUUUAUUUAGUAUGAAAACCAAUUUUUAAUUUCUGACAGACUUAAUUGCCCAAAUUCUACCAGGCAUUUCAGUUAACCUGCCCGAAAUACAAUCCACAGGUGCAUUUAAAUCAGUUGGGCUAUUUAAAUGAAAUACAGGACCUACAAACCUCAUUGAAUUGCUACCAAAAGUACUCCAUGCCAAACAAUCAACACAUGAAAUACAGGACCUUCAGACAGAGGAAAUAUGGCUGAAGAAGAAAUUAAAAACCCAUAGAAGCACUACAUACUUCUAAUACUAAUAAUGGAACAAAACAACAUCACAAUACACUCAAUGUACCAUUAGAGGAAUAAAUCCAUACCAAUGACGAGCUAAAUAUGACAUUUUUCUAGAAUUAAUAACUCUGCAAACAAAAAAGCAUGGUAGUUAUCUGCAUUUUAAAUAAUCCUGAAAACAGGGCAAUGACUUAUUUAUGUCAUAAAAAGAACCUACAAACACUUAUUUUUAAUCUAUUUUAUUUCCAAGCAAAAACAACAUUCUUCUAUUCAUUCUUCAACAAAAAAACAGGUUAUGUUACAGUAGUCACCAGGCAGCAGGCAAAACACUUGAUGACUAAAUAUAUAAAAAGAAAUAAAAAAAGCUAAAAAAUCACAAAAAUUAAAAAUUGAAAAUAAAAAAAGAUUAAAAAAGAAACAGCAUUUAAAAAAUGAAAAAGUCAAACCCUUCUUCAGAAAAAUCCAGACAGUAAGUAAUAUUCCACUGAAACCGCAACCCAAUAUCUGAAUUUUUUUUUUUUGGGGGGGGGGGGGGGAGGGGGGUAAGAAUUAUUUUCAACAUAGAACUUGAACUCUGGAAGAGUUAAAAGGAAAAGACGUAGAUUACUCACUGAGUCUGACUGAGAGAGAGUCGCCAGUAUACCGCACCGGUCAACUCCCAGUUGAACUUGCAAGUUUGGGUUCGAGUCCCAGUCCGACGGGUAGUGAAAGCACGUAAUGAUGCUAAUCAGCUGAAGUAUUAAAACCUGUUUGUAUAAGCCUGCACAUUACAAGUUAAUCAUCAGCAAAGGAGGGGGCUGCAGCAAGAAACAACACAUCAUGUACUAAUUAUAAAACAUGUAAACUUAACGUAUUUUACCAGUCACAAAGCCCCUUUUCUUUAGAGAUAAUCUCCCCAGAGCAACUAUAAAUAUGAGAAAAAAAAUGACCACAAAGUAGAACCAUCCCCUCUUUUUCUCCAAACAAAUACAACCAUUUCAUUUCACAUAGAACCAUUCUAGUUCCAAGUUUCAACCAAUGAAACAACCAUAGUAUUCUUAUAAAAAUAAAAAAUGAAAUAACCAUAGAAUAAAAUAAUUAUACUCUAAUUCAAAUAUUGCUUCAGAAUUUACGAUUUAUGCCAGUUUCAGUUGCUCAAAAAUAUGGAAUUGGAAUGAUGCAUUUAUUUAACCCAAAACGUGAAUACCAAGCUUCAGAUUCUUACAUAUUGAAAUGAUCAAAUUUCAUUCAUUCUGAACAUGGGAUACAACUUCAACUAUUUCAAGUUAUUCCAAGAGAAAGCAUUAAAAGAAAUUUGUUCAUCCUACGUGGUAUAAGUAGCAUACUUCAGCUAGUAUUAUGCAUCAUCGGUUAAAUCAUUUGGAUUAUUAACAUUGAUAUUUUUUAUUAGCUGAAUUAAUAACUGUUGCACCCCUAACUUAAGGGCACUUGUGAUAAGAAAAAUUUAUCAACAUCAGGUGCAAAUAUAAGCUUUUAACAAUGAAGCUGUGACUGUUUGCUUACAAGAACAAACAUAUACUAAUAGAGAUGAAUAAAACCCAGAACUUCAAGAAAUAUUUGACGUUAUCUCCCCUAGAAUACGGAUAUUAUCCAAUAUAUCAAACCAACAAUUUUUAUACCCAGCUGCUUAAAACUUCAAAAAAUCGGUCAGCACAACAUUUAGGAUCUCUGGGACCCUAUCACUACGACACUAACAAUUAUAAGUGCGUCCUACUGAUGUUGCGUAGUUAUUAUAAAUACAUGUAUUAAAAAGCAUAAUAUCCAUAACAAGGUAGCUUACAAAGUUUACUAGGCCAGCAAUGCUAAAGUACAACCAGAACAAUAACAAAACAUACGAAGACUGUUCUUCAUUACAAAACACAACUUUCGAAAGAGGUAAUCUCCAUGUUAAGCCCCAAAUCAAAAUCAAUCCUCCACUGACCACAAUUUUUUCACCAUCAUUGCCCAAACCUGAAAAGUAAGGGCUGAGCUAAUGGCCCGUAACACAAAGGAUUUCUUUUUUUCUUUUAACACCAAAAUAAUUCACACAACUUGGGUACAUUUCUAGCAUAAGCCAUUUAUUUAUAUAUAAAUAUAUAAAUUAUUUCUUAAAACAUUUUGAGUUUGAAAGUUUUGGUAUUCAAUAGAAACAUCAUAAGACAAGAUCAUAACAUACCCUAGGGUUACUCAUACUUUCUGAAGUUACAUGUAAAGAAAUCCUAAAAUUACUCUUUCAAUAAUACAAAAUAAAAACAUGCCUGACAAGUCAGUAAGCUGUAAAUCCAACCAUAGAACAUGUCAUAAGGAAGGCACAAGCAGAGGAAAGAUCUUCAAUGCCUCAGUGUGAUGACAAUCAUCAUGAAACAAUAUCAACAGAUGUGUUUUAGGGAUACAUCUCAUAUAACAACCUUCAAAUGAUAUUAAUAUACAGCGAUAGAUCGAUAUAAAAUAAAUAACUCCAUAAAGCCAUAAAGAAAGAGUUUACAUUUGUGUUGGGGGUGGGGGGAGUUGGGGAGGAAGGAAGUAUGUAAAGUCUCUCAAAUUCUUUACUCAUGGUGUAAUAGAUUCUCCGAUAUACAUAAUGUAUAAUGCUGUUAAAAGAAGCCCUGAACUUAGAAUUACUUCCCCCUCCUCAUAUUCUUAGUUAUAAUAAGGCAUGAGUGAGUUUUGGUAUAUUUAAUGGGAUAUUGAAUGGUCUUUACCCCCAUUUUAUCUUGCAAUUACAAAACCAUGAAAGCCUCUUGCAAAACCUGAAUUUAGAUGAAUGGACUUCAAAUGAAAGGAUUUUCUUGCAAAAACUACAAAAUACAAUGGCAUAGUGAAAACGGGAAAAUGAAAAUAUAAAGCAAAAGAAAAAGUUUCCAUCUGAUAAAACAAAUACAAAAAAAUCCAAGUUUCUUAUUUGCCAUGCCAAUAUUAUUCAUGAAGAACUAAUCUAAUUUCUUUUCCAGACAAGGUUAGUAACAAUUUAUCUGUAAAUAACUGAACCAACUUGGUUACUACGACAUUACUCUUUCGCUUCUGCACUCAUUUUCUGCACAGUUGCAGUUCAUCAACGGCCGCGUUCACCAAAACGAGUCCACUCUCCCCACUUCACUUAUUUCCCCACCAUUUAAUGUCUCUCAAAGUGCAGCAGCAAGACAUGAACUCCUAUCAUUAUGAGCAAUAUAAAAAGCCCUCCUAAAAAAUCCACCACCUGUUUGGCCAGAAAAACUCCAUUACUCAUUUCCACACUCUCAAUUUUCACCCCUUUCAUCGGAACACAAGCAUUACUUACCCAUGUUUAGACAUAAUUUAUUUUUCUGAUAUCACAUCAUUCAGGGGAAAAAAAAAACAGACUUCAGCACAUAACAUAAAUUACAACAAGCUGGUCAAUUCACAUAAACAAGGAAAAAUUAACUCAAUAAAGUGAAGUAGGCACAAAAUGACCUCAAUGAGAUAUCAGAGACCUCUAAAAUCAAAUCAAAUUCAGUUAAACAAAGAAUCACUCAUCCAAGAUAAGCAAAAGAAUAAAAGCAAUGAAUAACAGAAAGAAAUUUCUUAUAAAAAUUCAAUUAAAAAAAAAAAGCUAAUAAUCUUUUCUGGUUAAGUGAUUUCGUCCGCAAAUAAGACAAAAUAGAAAUUCUGAAAUAUACCUAGGGUUUCUAGCUUUGGGAAUUUACCUUAUGAGAAAUCAGUCUCUCUGUUUCUAGAUUUGUAACUUUAGUAUCAUGGCGAAGCGACCUCACUCAGCUGAGAUAAUCGGAUUUCGCACCGGCGACGAUGCAAAUGUUGGGGUUUGGGCUCGACGACAGACAUAGGAGUGUUGGGGUUUUGGGUGAUUUAAGGAUUUUCUUUUAUUCAAGUAAAGUGACCAAAUUAACCUUUCAAAAUAAUUAAAGUAUCCCUAAGUUGUUACACAUUAAUGUCUAGAAUAGUUAAUUAAAUUUCUGCUCAUGGAUUUAUAUGGUACAAGUGAGUUCGUGUGGGGAAAAACGAAUAACAGGCUAAAAGGAAAAUUCGACGCAAAAUUUUAUUAGUACAAGCAUUACGUAAAUACAUUAUUGAAUAUGCCUUUUUUUUCCUGGGAUAAUCAUAUUAUAAGUGACAAAUAAUACAACAAAAGAAUAGAAGUACAAGUAGAAAGGCAGUAUCUAGGUUGUCUGCUACUCGGCUUCUAGUUCCACCCAAGAUACAUCUUCGUUCAGGUAACCAAGCACAGACUCUGUUACUGCUAUAACUAAUUUAUCACAUGACCAUAAUUUCCAGAACACCUUGCGCUUGUCCAAUGGGUUGUUCAACUUGAGGAGGAGCUAGCAGAUGGGCGUUGACAGAGGUGACAAUGAAGACAGCGAGACGUCGAAGCCAGUAGAGGAAUUGCUGAAACAGAGAAGCUAACAUUGCAUAACAGAGUGAUAAGAUUAUGAGGCACAAAUAGGCUACCAAAAACAGAGACGGAGCCAAAAUGACAGAGGCAACUGCUGAGACAGCCAACAGAACAGAGAGUUCUCCACAACUCACGCAAAUGGGUCGGCUCACUUUGAGAGGAACUCUGAUGGGUGUGAGGAUGAAGAGCAGUAAUGGGAUAAAAAGAACAUACAAAUGCUUAUUUUUAAUCUAAUUUUAUUUCCAACCAAAAGCAACAUUCUUCUAUAGGUUAUAUUACAGUAGUCACUAGGCAAUAGGCAAAACACUUGACAACUAAAUAUAGCAAGAAAUAAAAAAGAGUUUAAAAAAAAUCAAAAAAAUUAAAAAUUGAAAAUAAAGAAAAGAUUAAAAAAGAAACUGUAUUAAA
This 204363-nucleotide long non-coding RNA is filed under the name Citrus x clementina. RNAcentral's name for it is "Citrus clementina (C. clementina) long non-coding RNA (CCLE_LNC000164)". The record is from RNAcentral. Lineage: Eukaryota; Viridiplantae; Streptophyta; Magnoliopsida; Sapindales; Rutaceae.